AAACCUGAGGAGUCGAAGCACCGCUUGAGUUUUGUGAUUUUGCAGAGCCAAGUGCAUGGGGCUAAACCCAGCUUGGUUUAGCUUUCUUGCAAACGUUGGCUUUAAGUUCAUCAUCUCCAUCAUAAACUCUAUAUUCCCUGCAGAGACUGCUACGUGCAAUGGGGUAUCAAGAAAAGGAACAUGAUCAAUAUGCUCUAAAACACAUUGAUCAUUCUGAAUCAACUCAUAUAAGACGUUAAUAUGUCCUUCUUGUGCAGCAUUUCUCAUCGUCUCAUCCAUGACAAAGAGUGUGUGUUGGAAGGAGGGGAUGGAAUACAAACACUAUACUACAUUAAAUACAAAACUAAUUAAUUUAACAUAAUAUUUAAGAUUAUUUAUUAAUAUAUUAAAUAUUAUCAAGUGUCGAUUCACUCAGUAUAAACACUAUUAGUACAUUAAACCCUAAACCCAAUUAGUAUAACAUGAUUUCUAUAAUUUUACCAAACAAGAAAUUAAUAUAUCCUUUACUUUUAACUAUACAAAUAAGAAAUUUCAAUCUUCCCCUAUUUUCUUUCCUUUAAUUAUAUUUAUCCACAUAUAGGCUUAAUGUAGAUUUUGUUUUAUUUUAUUUAUUUUUUACCAUUAUCCUUUAUAUUUUAUCUUUAAAAUUUUAAUUAUAUUUCAAAAUUAAUUUUAAAUAAUAUAUCAAAUAUAUUUUAAAAUUUAAUUUUUCAAAGCUUAUCUUUUUUUAAGUUUUCUUUCAAGUGUUGCACUCACACUCGUAAUCCUCACAUGGUGGAAUUGCCUACAAUAAUGAAGGAAAGAGCAAAGCACUAAGGACUACCCAAUAAUUGGGAGGCAAUGGCAUACCCUACAUAUACCAUUUACUGUCAGUGGUAAUGGAUCACUUGCCUACUUUACACGUAUUUUGUUUUCUUUCACUUUUUCUUGUCCUGCAUUAUUUGGAUUUGUGAGUAAAACUGUUGCUACUUAUUGAUCAUACUCACUAUGAAGUAUCAUCUCCCGAGAGCACACAAACUCUUCACAAGUAUCACAAGUAUCGCGUAAGGAGAAAUGUCGAAUUUUAGAUUACAUAAUAAUUUCAUCUUACCCAUCAUAAAAUUCAAAGUUUAGAGAUUAAGAAAAAUAAAAAAUAAAAUUAUAAUAACUUCUUUAUCAGAUGUGUGCAGGAGUUAUGUAAAAAAAAAAGUAUUUAUUACACAGCAAAUAAAAGAAUUUGAAAAUUAAAAAAAUUUUGGUGCUAUAUUUUUCACUUUCCACAUGAUCAUCUGGUGUGUGCAGAACAAUAAAUCUAAUCUUUACUGCUAGUCUUUCUUCUUUUUUACUCUGAAUACUCUUCUCUUGUUGCUUUUAUUGAAAUAAUGUAAUAAAACAUUGUACCAAUGGAUUGUUGAACUCUUCUACCAUCUAAUUUUUCUUAGUAUAAAUAUUAAAAUUAUAACCAUUUUAGUUGUUUAAUAUGAUCAAGUUAUAUAACUUGUGAAUACUUUUUUUUAAGGAUUUAUCUUUAAAGAAAGUAAAAUAAUAAAUUUUAGUUCAAGAUUGUUGGAUUAAUCAAAUAAAAAUUCGAUUCGAUAAUAAAAAUAUUUUUUGUCCAAUUUUAAUUGAAUUGGUGUCAUAAAUCAAAUGAACACCAAUUCAGUUGGAAAAUUACGAAAAUAUCUAUCCGUGAUUAAAAUAAGUAAUAUUAUUCUAAGGUCAUUUAGCCUUUUUAUGUAAAAAAAAUUCAGUAAAAAUAUGAAUAUAAUGGGAUUUGAAGUAAGACUCAUCUACUCGAUUAACUCAAAAUUUUUACUCUAUUCGAUCGAACAUUCACUUCUAAAUAUUACAUUUCCUUUAAUUGUGUAGCUAAUUAAGUGCUCCUUAUUUCAAAAACAUUUUUUUUUCUUUUUUGAUAGAAAUUGAUAUUUAAAAUGUAAAAAAUAAAAUAAAAUAAAAUACUGUUUGAACAUGUAUAAAUUAAUAUUGUACGCAUAAAAUUUAUAUUGAAUAAAAUUUAAUACCAAGAAAAGUAAAAAAUAAAAAUGUUAAAAUAAUAUAUUGGUGAAUCAAAUUUAAUAAUGAAUUUGUAGUUGAUAGUUAUAUACAAAAUGGAUGAUAUAAUACGUCUGAAGUCUUCCCUUGGUUGACCAUAAAAGGUUAUAGACCUUUUGAAAUCUUCCUAUUGUUGACCAUAAAAGGAGAGGUCAUCCUCUUCUGUGUUUUGUUUCCUUUAUUUGUGUGGCUAAUUAUGUGCUCUUUAUAUCCUUUCAAAACAAAGUUUUUUUCUUUUUUGGUAGAAACUACAAUAAAGAUUAUUGUAAUUUAAAAUCCAAUUAAAGUUACUAUUUGUUACGUGUAACAUUUAUUUCGAAUAAUUUUUAUUAUCGAGAAAAAAGUAAAAACAAAUAUAUGAUGUAAAAUUGUUAAUUUAAAUAUUAGCUCGAUCGAUAUUAGUAUUUUGUCAAUGUAGGGGAGUGUAGGUUUAAAUAUAUUCAAGUGUGAUUUAUCCUUAUAUUUAAACAUUUGAGAAGGGUUGGGGUGAAGUUAGAAUUUCUUUUGGGGGAGACAAACUAAAUUGUAUACUUUUAUGAGAGCUAAAAUAUAAUUUUACCAUUUUAAUAACUUAUAUCUUUAUAAUUUUUAAAAGACCAAAUAAAAAUUUUAUCAUUCUGAGGAUAAAGUACAAUUUUACUAUUUACUAACUUAAAAUUAUAUUAACUUACUAAAAUUUAAAUUUCACAUUUUUAAGGGAAUCCUGCUAGGCCCUCCCUCCUGCCACCCUUGGGAAGGUAUAAAGUGAAGCAAUAAAGAUCCAAAAUAUAUAAAUACUUAUCACACUUGACCUAUUGCUUUUCUUCAAGCAAAACAAACGCUAAUGCACAUGAAAAUGCAAAUUCACAUCCAAACUAGUGAUGCAUUCUAUAUACAACCUAGUGAAUAAAUAAAUAAAUAAUAUUUAACCACAGAGUUGUCUCUAUGUAAGUGCCUUUAUUUAGCCUCUUUGAUUAGAUAUUCUUAAAUGUUAUUUCACCACUGAAUAAUUCGAAUAACGACUUGACUUAGUAAAAUCGAACAUUAGACACAAAUUAAAACCCAAGGCAACUUUGGACAUUUGAUCCCCUUUCAAUUCUUUAACCGACCAUUCAUUUCCCCUCUUACAUGAAUCCAAAUUUCAUUUCAUCCGGGAAAAGCCAUCUUAUUCUCAACAAUGUCUUUGCCAUUUGAUACAAAAGCCUUCCGUUAGAUAGGAACAGAUUUGAUAAAUACUAAUAAUUCUCAGAUGGAGUAUUAGAACGGAAAAAUCCAUUAGAUAAUGAACUAUUGGUUCUAAGCCAUCUCUGGCUAUGAAUCAAUAAUUCGAAGUGUUUUUCUUGCGUAUUCUUGAUAAACCAGAGUUUAUAUAUAGAUGUAGGAGGACUUGUUUGGGAAGUAAGAAGUCUCUUUGACAUCUCUUCAUCUGCAAAGAAUUCUCGGUAUGAAAACACAGAGACAAAGGGCUGAUCUUUGAAUAGGAAAAAGAGUGGAUCAACAGGAUCCCAAAUGAAUUGGCUUAUUUGAAAAAAGCCUUAUUCUUUGGAAGAUCUGUUUGGGAAGUAAGAAGCCCAUUUGAUAUCUCUUCUCUUGUAACUUCAUCUUCUAUUUUUUGUUCAACUUUACCAAAAGUCUCAAGAAUUUUUUCCUCAACCUUUUUCACUUUGGCAAAACUUUCUAAGGAACGAGGUUUUAUUGUGAACGACUUUGGUUCUAAUCAAAAUAAAUUCUCAGUUUCAUUUAAGGGUUUGAUCAUUGAUGCAAAAAUGAAUUUCAAUAUUCUUUAAUAAAUUGGUUAUAGUUACCGAUGACCUAGUAACUCAAUCUCUUCUUACCUUUUCGAUAAUCAAGACAAUCGUCAUUAAUUACUUCUCUUAUUGACAAUCAAUCUUAAAACGAUCGCUUAGAAAUUUAAUUUAUCUAUAGCUUAAGAAUGAAAGAGAUUAAAUUCUAAUCAACAAAAGCACAAUCACGGUUUAUUUAAGUUAGAUUGCAUGCCCAUGUUACACAAAUAAUCAUGCAGUCGUCACAAAUAUUAGAAAUCAAUUGAUCAACUAAAUAUCUAAUUUACAAAGCAAUCAUUCUAAACUAUCAAAUACCUAUCAAUUAUUUAACAAAUCUGAACAAUUAUAAUUAAAUUAGAAAAUAUGCAAAUAUUAAACAACAAAAGGGUAAUUAUGAUGUUUGGAUUGUUUUGUUAGAUGGUGGUCAUCUUCCUAUGUUGAUUGUUGGCGUUUAGUUUCUUUUUAUUGGAUGUAUCUGAUUUGUCAAUUUUUGUCUUCUUAUUUUUAAUAUAAUAAUUUUAUUGUUGAGAAAAAAAUUUAUAAUUUUAAUACAAAUUAUCAAAUUAACUAUUAACUUUUAAAAUUAAUGGUUAGUUUUAUUUUUAAAAAGUAUUUUAGCAUUUUAUUUAUUUUUUAAUUUAAAAUCAAAUAAUUAAUUAAAUAUAUUUAAAUUGUAUUAAAUAAAAUCAAAUUAAUUUUUAUGAGUCAUAAUAUAAUUUUUUAAUAGUUUAUUUUCCUAUGUGGAACAAUUAUUGAGAGUAAAUAAUCUGAUUACAUUAUUAAAAAAUAAUAGAAUAAAUUAAAAAUUCAAACAUCUUAAAAAGUUAAAAUAAAAUUUAAUUUAAAAAUAAAUAUUAAUAUUACAAAUAUAUUUAAAUUUUCUAUCUUAAUCUUCUACUUCAAUCCAUUAUUCUCAUCAUCAUCUUUCAUCUUGAUUUUCUUCAACCUAUCAUCAUCUAGACUAGUCAUUUUUUGACCGGACAAGUCUAAUCAGCUUCGAUCAAUAUUGGACUUCUAAUGUAGUUAAUUGCUUUGGAGUUGCAAAUUACUUAACAAUAAUAACAAAUUGAAGAUUUGUAUAAAAUUGUAGUGAUAAUACUACUUAGAAAAAUAGUAUAAAAUAAAAUUAAAAUUAAUAAGAACAUACAAUUAUAAAGUGUAUUUUUUUAUUAAACAAUGAUAGGGGAAAGUAAAUAAGGGUGACUUUAAAACAAAUUUAGUACAAUAUGUAUUGCAAACUAAAUAAAUAUGUGGUGAUGAUGAAUGAUUCAAUAUUAUAAUUUUAUCUUACUAUUGAUUAAAAUGAUCUUUCGUCACUUUUCAAUGCCAUUGUCCUUUGAUUAUGACUUGAAAUUUUCUCUUCAAAAAGUUAUUAUUACUUUAACAAUUCAUUAUUUUUGAGACACUUCAAACUUAACAAUGCUAAUAAUCUCUAAUUGUUUAAUGUUAUUUAUAAUGAUAAACCUUAAUUUUAGUUUGUAUAUCACUAUAACACUAAUUAAAUGAUAAUUUAUUUAAAAUACUAUAUAUUAUUAAUAAUUAAUAUACUCAAUUAUGUAGUUUAAAUCAAUAAAAAAACUCUAUUAUACAAUAUAUAUAUAUGAUUUUAUCUAUUACUUUUAUAGAAAAUUUUAUCUAUUAUUCUUAAUUGUAUAGUUAAAACAAAUAAAAACUCUAUUAUUUAAAAAUAUUUAUUUACUUAAUGUUAUUUUAGUAAUUAAAUAAAUAUCUAAAGGUUUUUUAAUCCAUUCAAAAAAAAUUUCAAAUUUGUGCUUUUAUAUAUAUUAUAAAUUUUUAAAUUUCACAAGAUGUAUAUAUUUUUAAAAUGAAAUAUGUAAUAAUUGUUUAAUAUGACUUACUAAAUUAAAAAAAAAUUGUCAAUACAACAAAGACAAAUCGAUAACACAUGUUACAAAUAGGUUAAGAAUAAAAAUACAUAUACAUAUAACCAAGAAGAGCAUUCUGGUCUUACAAUGUGCACAAUACCACGCUUGAAGCAAAGUCAACAUAGUUGUUAACUUGAUCCUCUUCAGAUUUAGAGUUGCUAGAAUUGUUUUCAUCACUCCAUGUAAUCCACAACACCUUCUUUUUCUUCUUGAGAGUGUUAGCACACUUAACUUGAUUUAGCACACUCAACUUGAUUUUGACCAUAGCCAAAGGCUUUCAUGACAUUGGAUGUCUUUUUUCUUUUCUUUCUCAUUCUGCUCUUUGACAACAGUAGUACUUUUGCUCUUGAUCUUAGGAGUAUUAUUUGGGGUUUCAAAUUUCUUAAACUUUCUAGCUUGCUUCUUAAAGGAUUUAUUGAAAUUCUGAGUAAGAAGAGCAAUCUCUUCUUAAAGUUCUUCAAAGGUAUUGAAAAUUGACACUUCAUUGGCAUCUUGGAGUGCAAUGCUUCUCUCUCCCUUUGAUUUAACUCUCUUGAUUUCAUCUAGAUUUAGCUCGAAAGUUUGUAGAGACCCUAUUAACUCAUCAAUCUUCAAGCUCCCCCGAUUUUUAGCUUAUUCAAUAGUAGUCACCUUAAUUGAAAACCUUUCAAGUAGUGAUCUCAAGGCCUUCCUUAAGAGAAGAAAAUGUCUCUGCAGAGUUUGACCCUUGUUAACAAAAGCAAAUAAGACUCCUUACAAGACAUGAAGGGGACCAAUUUUUGGAAUAAGUAUUCGAUGGCGAACACUAUUUGUCAUUGGAAAUCGUCAAUAUGGUUUCAAAAUUUAAGAUAGCUAGAAUAAGAAUAACAGCAAAGAUGACUAUUUGUACAAGGUCGAAGAAAAUUUUUUUGGGUACAAUCCUGUAUAGCAUAUAAUAGGAUCAUCUGUAUAAUACUACAAGAGCUAGUACCGUUGACAAGCAGUAAUUAGCAACGCUGAGAUGAUGAUAGGAUAAGGAUCCAAUAGUCAAAAGAUAGAAUAUAUACUGAAGUGCGAGUGUCCAUAUGAAAGCAGCAACUAAAAGCAUGUAACAAGUCCCAAACAAGGAAAGUGUUAUAUGAACAAACAAGAAGAUUGAACGGCUCAGUAGGAGACAGGCUGUUACAACAAUUUCUGCCCAAAAGGUUAAAGUGUUGUAUAACCAAAACAUAGUGGAUACGUCUACUAAAUUUAUCAAAUCUUGUUCAUCGGUUGUAGGACUUGGGUCGGGUGCAGUGCUAUUUGAAUCUAAAGAUGUGUGAUACUUGAGUUGGUAAUUCAAGAAUUUUGACAUGCUAUCAGGAUUCUUUGUGUUAGCAGUUGAAUAAUUAGUUGUGAAGCUAGACUGUUAAAGAAGUUAGUUGUUAAAAAGCUGUUAAAGAAGUUACUUUGUUGAACAGCUUGGCAGUUUUAAUAUCCUGUUUAUAAAUAUAGAGUCAUGUGUAAUUGGAAAGAGAAGAUAAAAAAAUAAUUUUUUUUUAUUUUUGUUAGUCUGUAUUAUAAUCAAACAUGGUAUCAGAAGUCAGGUUACUUUGAUGAUCUGCCAUGGCAUUUACCAGCUCCACUGCAACCUCCACAGCUUCCCAACGAUGGUCUCCUCACCUUUUCCUAAUGGUAUGUUUGACAGCCGGUUCUUUUCAACCAAAAAUAUUAAUAUUCUUCUUGAUGAUUCUAAUUACUUGUUAUGGAAACAACAAGUGCUUCUUGCUAUCAAGACUCACAAGCUGCAGCAGUUUCUUGAUGGUCGCACGAUUCCUCCUCUCUCACAUGUUCUUGAUGAUGAUGGAGUUCUUCAUGACAAUCUAGAUUUUGGACAAUAUGAACAGUAAGAUAGUGCUCUUGCUUCUUGGCUUUUAUCGUCUAUUAGUCAGAGUGUUUUACCUCAUCUCAUAGGUAUGGAUUCAAGCUCUCAGAUCUAGAAUACUCUUGCCACCAUAUAUGGCAGCAAAACUACGUCUAGGUUAAUGUUCUAUAGACGUGCUCUUCAUUCUUAGCGAAAGGGAGAGUUAUCGAUGAAAGUUUUUUUGAUGAAAAUAAAGAACUAUUGUGAUAACCUUGCUAGUUGUGGUGAAGUUAUUAGUGAACCUGAACAUGUCACUACUAUUCUAAAUGGCUUUUCUCCUGAGUUUGAGGCUAUUGUCACAGUCAUCACAGCAAGUCAAAUCUCCUAUGGUGUUCAGGCAAUUACAACUAUGCUUCUUGACGCUGAAGCCAAAUUACAAACUACGCUGGUUGAUGUGUCUAGCUCCCCUAAUAUAGUUACUACUCAGUCAAUUAACUCUGUUGCUAGUAUUCAACCACCACUAUAUCGUCCUGCCUAUGCUUCCGGAUGUGGUCGUGGAUGUGGACGCUCAUCUAGCUCAUGUAUUCAAUGUCAACUAUAUGGGAAAAUUGGUCAUCUUGUAGGUCAUUGUUAUCAUCGAUUUGACACUACAUCAAGAGUACAGCUUAUCGACCUCCUCCAUAAGCUAACAUGUGCAUGUUUGGUAAUAGAGUAUCCAUGCCUUGGAUGCCUCCGUAUAGCUCUCCUCUACCAGUUUUUUCUCCAGUGUUGAACUCUCAAGGCAAUUGGGGUUCUUCAUUUCCACCAUCGUAACAUUGGUCACACUUAUCUCCUACAUCCACACAACAAAUACCUGUACUAUUAUCUAACUCACAAGCUUAUGUUGCCACUCCAAACACUAUAGGAGACAAUGCCUGGUAUCCUGAUUCUUGGGCUACUCAUCAUCUUACUCAUUUUGCUACUUCAAUGAGUGACAGCACUCCUUAUAAUGGUUCAGGUAUGGUAUAUAUGGGUAAUGGUGCUACUCUACCUAUUAUUUGCACUAGUCAGUCAUCUUUACUCACUUGUUCUUGUCCACUUUAUCUACGAUCUCUUUUAUUUGUGCCUAACAUCACUAAAAACUUCAUGUCUAUGUCGAAAUUUGCAAGGAACAAUCAGGUUAUGUUUGAGUUCUUUCCUAACAAGUGUCAAGUGCGUGAUUUAAGAACGAGAGAGGUGUUGCUACAAGGAUCAAUUCAUGAUGGUCUUUACAAGCUAAAUCUAUCACAUGCCUCCAAGCCUUUAUUGCUAAACUGGCUCAGUUUUUUACUAUUAAUAAAGUUGUUCCUUUGGAUGUAUGGCACUAUAGAUUAGGCCAUCCCUGUCUAGCUACACUAAAGACAGCUUUGAAUAGUUGUAAUGUGCAAUUUUCUGUUAAUAAAAUUGUUUCGUGUAUGUCUUGUCACCUGGGAAAAGAGCAUAAACAACUUUUUUCUCCUGCUGUUUCUGACUAUACCUCUCCAAAUGGUGGCUGCUGAUGUUUAGGGGCCUGCUCCAAUUUACUUAAAUGGGUUUGCUUACUAUGUAGCAUUCACAAAUGCUUAUACUCGUUAUACAUGGUUGUACUUCUUAAAGAAAAAGUCUAAUGUGGCCACAGUGUUCUAUCAGUUCCUUCAGCAAGCUGAGAGGUGUUUUGGUAACAAACUCAAGGCUCUUUAAACUGAUGGAAGAUGAGAAUUUUAGGCCUUAAGGUGGUUUUUGGCUUAAAAAGGAAUUGUUCACAGGCUCAUCUGUCCUUAUACGUUUGAACAGAAUGGUUUGGUUGAGAGGAAGCACAGACAGAUUGUUGAAAUUGACCUCUCUAUGCUUACCUAUGCUUCACUGCCUCUUUGUUACUGGCAUGAUACAUUCAGCAGUACAGUGUUUUUGAUAAAUAGGUUACCUUCUCAACACCUAGGUAAUAUCACUCCCUAUGAAAAAUUGUUUUAGUUGAAACCAAAUUAUUUGUUUCUUCGAGUGUUUGGAUGUCUCUACUUUCUUAAUAUCAGACCAUACAAUACCAAUAAGUUACAAUUCAAAUCCACACCUUAUACCUUUCUUGGAUAUUCCUCUAACCAUAAAGGCUAUAAGUGUCGCGAUGCUUUAGGAAAAAUUUAUAUAUCCCGACAUGUCACAUGUCAUGAAUAUGAGUUCCCAUUUUGAACAAGUCUAAGUCAUUCCAAAUCAUCCAGUAGUAACCCACAUUAUUCUACAACUAGCUCCAAGUUGAUCAUUGUUCCACAUCCACCACCAAUAAAUUUGACUACCAUACAACCCCAACAACCAGGAUCACAACAACUUUUCUUGAGUGACUCACCAUCACCUGUGUCUGACCCUAUUGAACCUACUGUCCCAUCUGAGUCAAGUCAACCUAGUUCCAUUAUCCCAUCUGAGUUUAGACUGGCCUCACCAAAUAUAGUCAAUACCCAUCCUAUGGUCACCCGUAGCAAAGUAGGUACCUUCAAACCUAAAAUAUACCAUGCCAAGGUACCUAAUUUAUCUGAAACUAUACCUAUUGAUGUUCAUGAGGUAAUGAUGUACCCUCAUUGGCGAGAUGCUAUCCAAAAUGAGCUAAGAGCUCUCACAAAAAAUAAUACUUGGACACUUUGUACUUUUCCUUCUUCUAGGAGAUCCAUUGGCUGCAAGUGGCUCUUCAAGGUUAAAAAGAAGCCUGAUGGGACUGUCGAAAGGUACAAAGCAAGACUCGUUGCUAAAGGGUUUUUGCAACAUGCUGGAUCAGAUUUCAAUGAUACUUUUAGUCCCGUAGUUCGUACUACUAUUGUGAGGGUGGUUCUCUGUAACACCCCUAACCCAUGUCCGUCACCGAAACAGGGUUAUGAAGCAUUACAGAACAUAACACGGUUCAAUACAUACAUUUAUCAAUAAUUAUCACAUUGUAAUUAAUAUCAUAAAAUAAUCUCUAACAUACUUAAAAUGAGCAUACAGUUAUUAAACACUCUAAAACUACAGCUAAAUAAACAUAAUUAAUUUCACACCUCACAAGGCAUUCGGUAAUAAAUCUGCAACAUUUAAACAUCUAUGACCAUGACACAUAUAAUACCAUUUCAAACAUCAAAUUCUGAUACCAUUUAUCUCAUUCAAAUAAGCAACCAAAACUAAUUCAAUAUAUGCUUCAUUCGUAACAUAAUCAUGCAAUCAUUUUUAAAUACAUUUUUAACUAAACAGAACAUACCAAAUUCACAUGUUAAUCUCACCAAAUUAGCAACUACCAAUACUAAACACAAAUGCCAAAUCAAAUCAUACCAAAACCUCAACUAUAUGUUAUACUAACUAUACUAAUUUCAUUCUUCGCAUAAUCAAUCAUAUAAACACUAAGACAUUUCUAAUAAUUUGGCCAAAUGCAUAGGUUAAUAAUAAUCCACACCAAAUAAUCAAAUUCACAUGGCAUAGAAUAGUCAUCACAUAGCAAAUAUGAACACAUACUAAUAUUAACAUCUAACCGAAUAAUUAACCAUAUGACUAUACCAAGUUUGCCGAAUCUCAAGAUAUAUUAUAAACAUCACCUACCAUUUGUCAAUUCACAUAAUAAGCUCAUUUGCAUAGCCAAAGUAACUUCCAACAACUACACCAUUUACAAACCAACUUACAUGGCUAAAACCACAACCCAAAAACCUACCACAUGAUCACUAGCCUAUACAUGCCAUAUACUAAAUUUACAAGCUUCAAAAGUACCAAAAUGAUGAUCGAUAGUGUGACGAUGGUUCUUGACGAUCCCCGAGCUCAAGCUAGCUUCGAUUAUCUAAAAAAAUAGGGAAAAAAUGCACACAAAGUAAGCUUUCAAAAGCUUAGUAAGUCAUAAACAAAUAAAUAGUCAUAAAAACAUAUAUAAUCUAUUUUAGUUAAGCCGAAUAUAACUAGUCUCAAACACAUAUAUAAACACUAUUCUCAUGUAAUUCACUUUGUCUCAUUAAACAACAUCACUUACCUUUUUCUUUCAAAGUUCAUACCAGUUUCACACAUACCUGAAUCGUUUAUCUUUUAUACCAAUUUUGCAUCGUAUCGACUUUACCCGUUAAACCAUUCGAAAUCGUUGAGGAUACUCAAAAACACAUAUAUCUCAUACAAUGGCAUAUCCCAGAUAUGGUCUUACAUGUUAUCACAUAUGGAUGUCACUGUCCCAGACAGAGUCUUAUACGAAAUCAUAUACGAUGCCACUACCCCAGACAUGGUCUUACACGUAAUCUCAUAUCGAUGCCAAUGUCUCAAACAUGGUCUUACACGAAAUCAAACCUCAAGAGUCCUAAUGUCAUGACGUUUGUAUCCUAUACUACUCCUAAGGUUCGUACAGGACUUUCGGACAUCGUAACUCUGUCAAUUCUAGCUCGUUUUCAUCUUUUCAACAUUUGAUACAAUUCAAUGAUAAUCAAACAUAAUUAACAUAAUUUAAACGCAUUUAUUUGUAUAUGAACUUACCUCGAAUACGGAAUGAAUAGAUCGGAUCGACUACUCGAUAACUUUCAAUUUCCCCUGAUCUAAAUCUAAUUUCGUUCUUUCUUAAUCUAUAUAAAUUCAAAUUUAACUUAUUUAAUUAUGUAUUCAUUCAAUUUCAUCUAAAAACACAUAAAUGGGUAUUUUGCACUUUAGCCCUAAAAUUUUACAUUUUUGCAAUUUAGUCCCUAUUUCAAAACUAUACAAAAUUUCAUCACCAAAGCAUAGUCGAAUCUUCCCUAGCUCCUUAACAGCCCAUUAAUUCCAUUUAUUUCACAUUUCAACCCCCCAAUUUACAAAUUUCAUAAUUUAAUCCAUAAUAAGCAUUUUUAUCAAAAAUCAUUUAAUAAAAUAUGAUAAUCUAUCAACAAAUAUUUAUUUUUCAUCAUCAAACAAUAAAAAGCUUCAAUAUUCAUCAAUGGAAUUUCACAAAAUCAUCAUCAAAUUCAAAAAUUAAAGCAUGGGCUAGCUAGAAUACAAAGCAACGAUCUCAAAAACGUAAAAAUCAUCAAAAAUCGGACUCAAAACAAUCUCAAUCAAGACUUCAAAGUACUGAACCUAAAAGCUUCAAAAUUGUUUCUUUUCUUUGUUAUUUUCGGCAAUGGUGGUGAAAAGAUUAACAAAAUAAUGUUUUUGUUUAAUUUAAUAACAUUAUUUACAAAGUUACUAUAAUGCCAUUAAUGAAAACAUUAAAAAAUCAUAUAAUGGAUGACCAUUUAUGUCAUUAUCCACUAACUAUGGUCUAAUCACAUCACAAGGACCUCACAUUUAAUUAAUCAUAGCAAAUAAACUCUUAAAUAAUUUAUAUGCCACUUUUGCAUUUUACGUGAUUUAGUCCUUUUAUCAAAUUAACUAACCAAUCGGUAAAAUUAAAUCACAAAAUUUUCACACAUAUCAAAUAACAUGCUGUAAACACAAAAAAUAAUAUUAAAAUAUUUUUAUAACCUCAAAUUUAUGGUUCCAAAACCACUGUUCUGAUUUAGCUUAAACCAGGUUGUUACAUUCUCUCUAUUGCUGUUAUGAAAGGGUGGUCUCUAAGACAAGUAGAUGCCAAUAAUGCCUUUCUUAAUGGCGCAUUGAUUGAAGAAAUCUAUGUGGAUCAACCCAGGGUUUGAAACUACAAAUGUCACGGGUAAUCAACUUACGUGCAGGUUAAAUAAAGCUCUGUAUGGUCUCAGACAGGCACCCCGAGCAUGGUUUAAUACGUUGAGAGAGUACUUGGUUGACCAGCUUGGUUUUCGUGCCUCUAAAGUUGAUCCUUUAGUAUUCAUACGAAUAAAUGGUGGGUUUUCUCUAUUUCUAAUGGCCUAUGUGGAUGGUAUUAUCAUCACGAGAAGUUCACCUAAGAAGAUUGACAAAGUUGUGCAUUAGCUACAUAGUAGAUUUGCCCUCAAAGACAUGGGAAAUCUUCAUUUUUUUUCUUGGUAUUGAAGUGCAUCAUAUUUCACAUGCAAUGUUUCUUACUCAAAAGAAUUAUGUUCUGGAGUUACUUCAUAAGACAGGUAUGGAGACUGUAUCACCUACCCCGACACCUAUGGUAGGCACACCAAAGUUAACUGCUACAGAUGGCACACCAUUUUCAGAUGGUCAUUUGCAUUACAACAUUAUUGGCACUCUGCAGUAUGUAUGCAUUACACGUUCAAACAUAGCCUUCUGUGUCAACAAACUGAGCCAGUACAUGAAUGCUCCACAAAAUACACACUGGCAUGCAAUGAAACGUGUGGUACGAUAUCUUAAUGGUAUUUUGGAUCAUGGACUAUACUUCAUUAAAGGUUGUUUUGAGUUAACUUUUUUAUUAUGAUGCUGAUUGGGCAUCUACAACUGAAGACAGGUGAUCUACCACUGGUUAUUGCAUUUUUCUUGGUUCUAAUCCAGUUGCUUAGUGCUCCAAUAAAUAAGUUGUUGUUUCUUGUUCUUCCUCAGAAGUAGAGUAUCGUAGUCUUGCAAACUGUGUUUUUGAGUUGCUACGGUUAAAGUAGUUGUUGACUGAAGUUGGCAUCAAUCUCCAGCAUAUACUAGUAGUGUGGUGUGACAACACCCUCACAGUAUUGAUGGUAGCCAAUCUGACUCAUCAUGCCAAGGUUAAGCACAUAAAGGUUGAUAAUCAUUUUGUUCGAGAAAAGGUUCACGAUAGUAUUCUCCAUGUAAAUUUUUGCCCUCAGCAAGUCAAAUUGCAGAUGUCCUCACCAAGCCUAUUACUCCAAAAUAAUUUUCCUUCUUUCGAGAUGCAUUACGUGUACUCCCUCCCAGUAGCAAUCAACCAAACAAUCAACACAAGAAAGAAAUGUAAGAGAAUGUUAGCAGUUGAAUAAUUAGUUGUGAAGCUAGACUGUUAAAGAAGUUAGCUGUUAAAAAGCUAUUAAAGAAGUUAGUUUGUUAAAUAGCUUAGCAGUUUUAUCCUAUCUAUAAAUAUAGACUCAUGUGUAAUUGGAAAGAGAAGAUCAAGAAAUAUGUUUUUCAUUUUUGUUAGUCUGUAUUAUAAUCAAACACUUUGGAGGGUUCAAAAUGGCAGUGUAUGUGGUUGUUAUAAUUAGCACUAUGGCUACUAAAAAUGUGACACGAACAAGGCCUUCAUCAAACCUGAGGAGUCGAAACACUUCUUGAGUUUUUUCAUUUUGCAAAGCCAAUUGCAUGGGGCUAAACCUGGCUGGAUUUAGCUUUCUUGCAAACAAUGGCUUUAAGUUCAUCAUCUCUAUCAUAAAUUCAAUAUGCCCUAUAGAGGUUGCUAUGUGCAAUGGGGUACCAAGAAAAAGAACAUGAUUAAUACACUCUAAAACAUAUUGAUCAUUUUGAAUCAACUCAUAUAAGACGUUAAUAUCUCAUUGUGCAGCAUUUCUCAUCGUCUCAUCCAUGGCAUGGUGUGUGUGUGUUGGGGGCAGGGGAUGAAAUAUGCAGGAACAGAAUACAAUAUAGAAAAGGAAAUAGAACCUUUAUUUUGUAGAAACACAUAAGUCCAACCAUAAUUUUAUACAUGACUUAAAUGAGCUAAUUUGAGAAAGUAAACAUUUUGAAAGGACUCAUGAAAUCUUAGACCAAACAAAAAGCAAGCCUAAAAGAGUGAUGAAAGAACGCUUUAGCAGAACAAAUGAUUAAGGGUUUAUUGAAGUGUUUAAUUUUUUUUCUUCUUCCGUUUUGUAACACAUAAUUAAUUUGGGUUUAUGUUUGAUAUCAAAAUCUCACUUGUUAAAAAAUAUACAAUAAUUUGGUUAAAAAAUUUAAUAAUUAUAUUUAUUUUUAAUAAUUUUUAAGAUAUUAAUUAAAUGAUAACACGUUAUAUGAAAACUCUAAAACUAGAUAUAUUUAAUUGUAAUAUAAAUAUUAUUUCGUUAUCUAGUUCACUAAUGAUAUGCAAAAUUAUAAUCCUCUCUACAUCAAAUGAUUUUUUUUCAAGAUUACUUAUAAAUAUAUUAUUAAGUGUAUCAAUAUGGUUCACUUAAAUACAAACAUUAUUUUUUACAGUUUUCUGGAUUGAAGUGCACAAUUUACCGAUGAGAUUUAUGUUGGAAGGAAUGCCAUGCCAAUUCGGUAAGUUCAUUGGUUAGUUUUUGGAAUAUGAUGCUAGUUCGGUAACAAGAGCUAUUAAGAAGUAUAUGCGUAUUAGAGAAAAAUGGAUGUUCGACAACCUUCGAAAAGAAAGAAGUGAAUAGUUGUGGACUAAAACUGGCCGACUUAUGCAUUGUUUUAGUAGGAAAAAUUUAUUCUAUUUUGUUUCUUAUGUGGGAUGUUAGGGCAUGGGGAAGGGUUUUGCCGAGUCAGAUUGUCCUUAGAAUCGCAGGAGGUGACCUUCGAAUGGGACAUAUCGUUAAAAGCGGCACCAAAGAAGGCAUUGUCAGAAGAUAGCAGAUGGUUGAGGGACGACAGUUUGGGAAGCAAUCCGAUAGGAAUAGAUAUGGAUGACAACAAAGGAGGAAGGAGUUUUGGUGAUAUCCAAAAGUCUUGGCCUUAUCAAAUAAGGGGCGGGAAAGGAGGAGAUUAUCUAGCCGCAAAAUCUAAGGUGAAUUUACAAUCCAACAAAGAAUGCUUCAAUCGUCAAAGUAGUCAAGCCCAAAUACAGGGCUUGAAAGUUAUGGGCAAAUGGAGUUGGGUUUGGACAUGAAGGAUAUUUAAAUUGAGAUUGUGGAUAGUAAGAAAAUAUGAAGAAUGCAUCAAAUGAAUAUUACUAUUUCUAGCAAAAUUCAUUCAAUGAAUUUGAGAGUCCCUUCUAAAAUAUCGGCAACUAUUUUUAAGUAAAUCGACUGAACACAGUGAAAAUCCUCAGCUAGAAUAUCUAUGAGUUGGAGCAACCACGAGACAUGAAACGUGUCAAAAAUAAUAUGAGACUUAUUAAGCCCCAACUUUUGUUUCUAAUAGAUACAGAUCCAUGCAAGACAAAUGGAACGAGUUACAAAGAUCAGUGGUGUGUCAUUGAAAGCACAAAAAAUAACCUAUCCCUAUGAAAUAACGAAAUGAAUAGUAUAUGGGAAGUAGAGUCAAAUCCUCAGAGGCUGGAUCACUACAGCUUCUUGUUUCUCAAAAUCCUGGGCACAAUCGUGCCCAAGAAAAACGUAUAAGCUAGGAAAAAAAUAAAAGAACAGAAUUAAAAAUAUGGACAAGAUGAAAUUGAAUAAAUUGAAAUUGCAAUUGUUAAAAAAAUAGAGUUGAGGGAAGGGGUUUUUCAAUUUGAGGAACUCCAACUUCUGAUUAUUUCGAUCCUCCUUGGAUUCAAUCAUAGGCUUUUAGGUGGUCAUUCUCAUGACCGAAUAAGCUAGUUAUAGUGGAAGAGGACGCCUACGACCACCAGCUCCACUUAGGAUUUUAGCCUUUAGUGGCUCAUAUUUUUUGGGAAAAAACACAAGUUUAAUGGAAUGAAAAUUUACUAGAAAAUAAAAGGAACAAAAGUUAAGAGCUUUAGAGGGAAGGAGCUUUUUACAAAAACGACGAGUGACUAUUCAUGUCACUUCAUCCCCUAUUUAUAGUACAUAAAAAACUUAAUUUGUUCCUAUUUAAACUCUAGAAGAUAAAUAAAGAUAUAAUUUGAAAUUAAAUCUAAACAAUAUCAUAAUAAUCCUAACAAUAAUCCUAAAAAUAAAAUUCAAAUUUAAAUAAAGUAUUAUGUUCAUAAAUCUCUUCUUUGAAUUUUUACCCGAAAUCUUUCACACUUUGUAUUUUCGACACCACUUCUUUCCUAUUUCGCAUGCUGGCCCAUUUUGUCUUUAAAUUCACACUUUUUGUCCCUAAAUUUUCUUUUUCCCUUAAUUUAGUCCCUACAAGUUAAAAAACCAUAAACAACUCAAAUUAAUAGGAUCAUACUCAAAAUAUAUGUAAUUAAUACAUAAAAGUAUGUCAUUUUAGAGUAUUAUCAAUCAGUCCAAUUCGUUUAAUGACAGUGGAGUUUGAAGAACUGUCGCCUCGCCAAACACCACCAGGUGGGCUAAGAGCUUGGUAGGUUGCAGCUAGAAGGAGACUUAAAAUGCCUAGUUAGACAUUACGGUCUUGGUCUGAUAUAUUAUCCAUAUUGUGAAUAAUUACUAGUGAUGCUUUGGUCACAUACUCGAUGAUUUGCUUCUCAACUUAUAAUUAAAGUAUGAAAUUACUGGAAUAAAGCUACCACGUAGAAUAGUAAUGCUUUCUUUGAUAUUAUGCCUUCGUGCAACAUCGAGUGCUAUCAAACUAUGUUGAUUGGUAGCAUGCUUAAUCGCUUUGCAGUUUAAUAGCAGUUUGACCAUCUGUUGCAUUAAGAAUUAGAGAUAUAAAAAAGCUACAAUCAAUUAAUUGUGUCCAUGAAAUAUAAAAGAACUAUGUAAUGUUAAUUAUCAAAGCGGCUGAGUCAAACCUAGGGUUGAUUACUUCUAGGAGCAAUAUGUAGUGCAGUGUUCCAUUUUUACCUUUCCUAUUUACCAAUUCCGAACAAUAGUCUUUCUUCCUAUAUGUUGGAGUUAGGACUUGAAGAACUGUUGGUGUAAGAACAAAUAGCAAUCAAGUUCAGCUAAAAACUUGAGCAACAAGAAUCAAGACUUGCAGCAGAAACAAAGCAGAAAUUCAAACAGAAAACUUAAAAUUAAAGCUAAAAGAUGGAGAUGGAGAAUAUUUGAAUAAAAACUUGAUUGAAUUCAUUCAAAAUGAACAAUGGCAUAAAUCCAAUACAUAAACCAAGCUUUUAGCUUAUCAAAAAUAGUAUGGCCACCUAACCAAUACCUACUACCACUAAUACAUUGAAACUUGAAGUAAUUAACUUGUACACAUAAACAAAGCUGAAUUAAUCAGCUCAAUCACUAUCAAUAUUACAUCAAAUAUCAACCUAACAUGGUUCAAAAUGAACUAGAUUACAUUACAUCAACUAAAAAAUACAAAAUGAAACAAAACAUCCUUAUUUGCACAUGAAAUCAGCAACUUCUGCAUGGCUUGGUCUUCAUGACAUGUGCUUGGCUGCCUUUGGUGCUGCAUGCUGACCAACCUUCAACACUCCUCCUUGGUUAGCAUGUUGCGAAUUCCCAUCUCAGCUCUCAAAUGUUGAAACCUUGAAACAUUAAGGGCCUUUGUUAGAAUGUCAGCUAAUUGCUCUUCAGAACUGCAAUGAACUAGUUUUACUUCAUGAGCUUGCUCCAUUUCCCUAACAGCAUAGAGUUUGAUGUUUAACUAGUUUGUCCUCCCAUGAAAAAUAGGGUUCUUUGCAAUUGCAACAGUAGAUUGAUUGUUACACAUUAUCUCUGGUGCUUCAUUUUGUUCAAGGUUAAGAUCGGCCAAGAUCUUUCUAAGCCAAAUGGCUUGAUUAACAGCUCCAACAGCUGCUACAUAUUCAGCUUCAACUGUAAAUUGAGCUACUACUGUCUGCUUCUUCGAACUCCAACAAAACAUGGCUGAACCAAGAUUAAAAGCAUAACCUGAGGUGCUUUUCAUAUCAUCUAUUGAACCAGCCCAAUCAAUGUUAGUGUAUCCAACUAGUUUCAAAUGUUCAGCCUUGCUAAAUAACAUGCCAUAGCUCAAGGUUCAUUUGAUGUACCUAAGAACUCUCUUGGCAGCCUUGAAAUGACUUUUAUUGCAACAAUGCAUGAAUCUUGAGAGUAAACUCACAGCAUACAUUAUGUCUGGCCUGGUAGCAGUUAAGUAUAACAAACAACCAACUAGACUUCUAUAGGUUGUUUCACAUACUCUCUCAAAAGUACCUUAGUUCGAUAGCUUCUUUCCAACAGCAACUAGUGUGCUGGUUGCUUUACAAUUCCACAUUGAGAACUUGUUUAAGGUCUUCACAGCAAAAACUUUUUGACUUAAAUAAAUUCCUUCCUGUGUUUGUGUUACUUCCAUGCGUAGGAAGUAGGACAUCAACCCCAAGUCUGACAUUUCAGACAUUUGUUGCAUUUUGAUUUUGAAAUCAACCAACAUUGCUUGGUCUCCUUCUGUCACCAAUAGGUCAUCAAUAUAUAGGGACACAAUGAGCUGUGUUUGCACUCCUGUCUUUUUGACAUACAAUGUUGGCUCACUAAUACUCCUUUCAAAUCCCAAACUGACCAGGUAUCCAUCGAUUCUACUGUACCAGGCACUUAGUGCUUGUUUUAAGCCAUACAAGGCUUUGUUUAACUUGCACACCAUUUCUUCCUUACCAGUCACCUUAAAGCCUUGAGGUUGCUCUACAUAAAUUUCUUCUUCAUGAAAUCUAUUGAGAAAAGUUGACUUUACAUCAAGCUGGUGGAUUUUCCACUGCAUUUGUGCUUAAGGCAACCAACAAUCUGAUGGUGUCAAGCCUGGCCACUGGCACAAAGGUCUCCAGGUAGUCUAGUCCAUACUUCUGACUAAACCCUUUGGCAACUAGCCUUGCCUUCAGUCUGUUCAAGCUACUAUCAGUAUUGUGCUUGACUCGAUAAACCCAUUUAACCCCAAUAAUCUUCUUAUUUGCUAGUCUUUCAACCAGUUCCCAAGUUUGAUUCUUCUCGAUCAUACUGAUUUUAUCAGCCAUUGCUUGCUUCCACCCCUGCUGACCUUCAGCCUCUUCAAAACAGCUUAGUUCUGCUAUGGCUACUUGAGCUCUUUCACAAAUAUCAGCCAAUGUUCUAGUGCCCCUGACUGGUUCAUCAUCAACAUCCAUUUCAAGACUAUCUUGAUCAAUUUCAACCUAAUAUGUUGCAAGAUCUUCAGAGACUGCCUCUGGUUCAUUCUUCUCCCAAUUCUAGCUUACGUUUUCAUUAAACACCACAUCUCUGCUUACUAGAACUUUAUUUGUUGAGGGAUCCAAAAUUCUAUAGCCCUUUUUUACUGUGCUAUAGCCUACCAGAAUACAUGCUUGAGCCUUUUUAUCCAGCUUGCUUCUCUUCACAAUUGGAACUUGUGCAUAACAUAUGCAACCAAAGGUCCUAACAUGAGCCAGUGAUGGCUUGAAUCCAAACCAAGCUUCAAAUGGAGUUUUUUGAGCUAGGGCCUUAGUUGGAAGCCUAUUUUGAAGGUAGACAGCAGUGUUUACUGCCUUAUCCCAUAAGGUUUUAGGCAAUUUUUUUUCAAACAUUAGACACAUGGCCAUAUCCAUAAAGCUUCUAUUCUUUCUUUCACUUACACCAUUCUGUUGAGGUGUAUAGAUAUUGGUGAGCUGGUGUUUGAUACCAGCUUCAUCACAAAAAGCUUGUAAUUGAACUGAGGUAUACUCAGUUCCAUUGUCUGACCUUAGUAUCUUGAGCUUGCAGCCUGUUUCAGUUUCUACAGCAUUUUUAAACUUCCAAAAUACUGAAGCCACUUCUGAUUUGUGCUUCGAGAAGUAAAUCCAGCAAAAUCUCGAGUAAUCAUCAAUAAACAGAAUAAAAUACAUGCUCCCAUUCUGACUGAGUCUUCAUGGGGCCACAAACAUCUGUAUGCACAAGCUAAAGUUUUUCUGAGGCUCUCUAGGCCUUGUUUGAAGGGAAUGGUUGUCUGGCCUGCUUUCCUAGCUAGCAUACCUCACAAACCUCAUAUUUCUCAACUGAACCAAUGAAGUUUUCAGCCAAGUCUUCUCUGGAUAGCUGGUCCAUUGAUCUGUAGUUGGCAUGACCAAGCCUUUGAUGCCAAAGCUUGGAUUCAUCAUAUGUGACUAUAUAGGCAGUGUUUGAGCCAUUUUUCCAGUCAACAACAAAGCUCUUAUCAGCCAUAAUGAUUGCCAUGAGCUUGGAUCCACUUGGAUCACUAAUUUGGCACUCCCUACCUUUGAACACUACAGAAUACCCUUUCUCUAGUAGCUGAGUUAUGCUGAGCAGAUUUCUAUCAAUUUCAAGAACCAAUAAGACAUUUGAGAUCAACUUGUUACCUAUGGGAGUGCAUAUCAGCACAUCUCCCUUACCUUCUGCCUUAAUGAAUUUGCCAUUUCCUACAUUCACCUUUGUUUUGAAACUCCUAUCAACUGACUUGAAGAUUGAAGUAUCUAGUGUCAUGUGAUUUGUACAACCACUGUCUAAGAGCCAUCCAUUUGUGACUUUUUUCUUAACAGCUGAGCAUGAAAUUGCAAAAACUUGCUCCUCAUGGUCAUUGUCUUCUUUUGCUACUCGAGCCUCAGUCUUUGGCUGUUGGGAUUGGUUCUACCUUGGUUUGCCCUUGUUUUUACAGACCUUUUCAACAUGCCCCAUCUUUUUGCAAUAUUGGCAUUGCACAUCUGGCCUAAACCAACAACCUGCUUCAGGAUGACCAGGUCUUUUGUAAUGCAUGCAUGGUUGAUCCCUCCUUCUUGUAUUUUCUGGCUUAGACUUGUCCCUCUAAGUCUUUUUGCCUUUAUAGGCAGAGCUGCUCGAGGUUGGCUUAGCUUUGGCUUUAAAGGCACCUUCUUGGUGCUCCUCCAGUCUGCUAGCCCUUCUCUGUUCUUGUGCAUACAAGGCAUUGAUUAACUCAGUUAAGGAGAUAGUUGUCAAAUCCCUUGAGCCUUCGAGAGAUGAAAUUUUUGCCUCAUACCUCUCAGGUAAGGUAAAUAUCACUUUCUCCACUAUUCUAGCUUCACUAAAUUGCUCUCCGAUGAGCGUUAUACUGUUUACCACAGCCAUGAUCCUGUCUGAAUACUGCUUGACAAUUUCUUCCUCUUUCAUCUUCAAAUUGACGAAAUCCCUUCUCAAAUUCAGUAGCUGUUGCUACCUUGUUCUUUCAGUUCCUUGAAACUCCUCUUUUAAUUUUUCCCAAGCCUGCUUUGGUGUCUCACAGGCCAUGAUCCUUGAGAAGAUCACAUCUGACACACAGUUUUGUAUGUAGGAUAUGGCAUUGUGCCUCUUUGUUAUUUCAUCAGCAUGCUGUCUUAUCUGAGCCACUGUUGGAUUGGCUCUAAAAGGUGCUGGCUCAGCAUCUGAGUUGACCACUUCCCAUAGGUCAAAUGCCUACAGGUAGGUCUUCAUUUUGACCACCCAAAUAUGAAAGCCCUCUCCAUUGAAGACUUGUGGUGCAGCUGGUGAAAAGCCUGAUGAAGCCAUGGUUUUAAGUGUUGAACUAUACCAGGUCCACUAAGAUUAUAGUUCUAGAUACCAAUUGUUGGUGUAAGAACAAAUAGCAAUCAAGUUCAGCUAAAAACUUGAACAGCAAGAAUCGAGACUUGCAGCAGAAACAAAGCAGAAAUUCAAACAGAAAACUUAAAAUUAAAGCUAAAAGAUGGAGAGUAUUUGAAUAAAAACUUGAUUGAAUUCAUUCAAAAUGAACAAUGGCAUAAAGCCAAUACAUAAACCAAGCUUUCAGCUUGUUAAAAACAGUAUGGCAACCUAACCAAUACCUACUACCACUAAUACAUUGAAACUUGAAGUAAUUAACUUGUACACAUAAAAAAAGCUCAAUUAAUCAGCUCAAUCACUAUCAAUAUUACAUCAAAUAUCAACCUAACAUAGUUCGAAAUGAACUAGAUUACAUAACAUCAACUAAGGAAUACAAAAUGAAACAAAACAUCCUUGUUUGCACAUGAAAUCAGUAGCUUCUGCAUGGCUUGGUCUUCAUGACAUGUGCUUGGCUGCCUUUGGUGCUGCAUGCUAAACUUUUGGCUUUGGUUGCUGUAUAGUACUUCCACUACACCAAAACAAGCUUUUAGCGGCGUUUUUUUUUUGCCUUUAGCAGCGCUUUUUAGCGCUACUAAAAGUAUUUGCGGCGCUUCUAGUAGCGCCGCAAAAAAUGCCACUAUUGACAGUGUCGCUAACCUUUACGGCGUUUAUUUCUAAAAACGCCGCUAAAGAACAAGACCUUUAGCGGCGCUUUUUCCACAAACGCCGCUAAAGAACAAGACCUUUAGCGGCGCUUUUUUCACAAACGCCGCUAAAGAACAAGACCUUUAACGGUGCUUCUUUCACAAAUGCCACUAAAGAAUAAGACCUUUAGCGGCGCUUUUUCCACAAACGCCGCUAAAGAACAAGACCUUUAGCGGCGCUUUUUUCACAAAUGCCGCUAAAGAACAAGACCUUUAACGGUGCUUCUUUCACAAAUGCCACUAAAGAAUAAGACCUUUAGCGACGCUUUUUCACAAACGCCGCUAAAGAACAAGACCUUUAGCAGCGCUUUUUCCACAAACGCCGCUAAAGAACAACACCUUUUAGCGGCUCUUUUUCCACAAACACCGCUAUAGAACAAGACCUUUUGCGACGCUUUUCCCAAAAACGCCGCUAAAGAACAUGACCUUUAAAAAAAUAUUUUAAUUAGAUAAUAUUUAUUUUUAUGAUAAAUAUUAUAUUAUGUUUUAUUUUUGAAACUUAAACUUUAAACUAUAUACAUUUUAAGGAUAAAAAAUAUUAAUUAAAUUAAAUUUUCUAUUAAAAUUUUAACUUUAAAACUAAAUAUAAAAAUUAAUAAAUUUAAAUUUAAAUUUAAAAUUUAAAUAUUAUGUUUAAAUAAAUGAACAAUCUAUCUCACAAUUCAUCUGAUCUAUAUUAACUCGGCCAAUUAUAAAAGAAGCUACAAAACAAGUAAUAAUUAACAAUCAUAGCUACAAAACCCUAUUUCAAUAGCACUAAAUUCAAGUUCUGACUAAGAUAAAUGACCAUGGAAUGAAACAUCAAAUAAUAUUCCACUUGAAGAAGUGCUAAGCCUUGGCUUUUCCAGCUUGAAGAGAUUGAAUCCUCUACUACACCUUCAAUAUCUAAAGGAUGCAAAACCAAAUGAUCAGAUAAACCAACAAACUUGAUAAACAAGAGAGAUGUUAAAAAUAAAAAAUAUAUAUUAGAUACAUACAUACAUAUAUAUAUCAUUAGACACGUUAAAGAUGUUAAAAAGAUGUGAACAUAUGAUAAAGACUUCUAAACUAGACACAUUACCUAGAUUUAGCAUGGGUAUAUUAGAUACAUACAUAUAUCUAUAUCUAUAUAUAAUACAAGUAUAUUAAAAAAAAUUAAAACUUCUUGUCAUAUGUUUAAAACAUCAUACCUCAUUUCUAAAUAUAUAUAAAAAAAUAGAGUGAAGAUUUAAUAAAUUAGACUAGCAAACAAUAACACCAUUAUAUGUCAUCAGUUCAGAGCAUGUAUAUACACGGUAUUAUCUAACAUAUAUGAUAGAACAUUCAGCUACAAGAUUCCAUCAGCAUGUUAGCUAGAACAAGGUAUCUGGAAAUGAACCCACAAGAUGAAAAGAUAAAUUUGAAACUUCAUCUAAUUGGGGAAAAGACAAGACCAAGUGGAUUUAAUGAAAGGCAUACGAGGAUUUAUUUAUUGGAUAAGAUACUAAUAAUAUUUGCAAUAUCUUUACUCUAGGAUAGUGUUCUUCUUUUCCAACCAAAUUUAUCCCUACUUUGUCUCUCUUUUUUUUUCCUCCCCUAGAUCUCACUGACUGGGAUUUUCUUCAUUUUCCUCCAUAUUACAAUCUGUCCUCAAACUUUAUGCCUUUAGUAGCAAUUAUUUAUUGCUUAUGUCACUUUUGAUAAAAGAACCUUUUGCCUCAAAGUACCCCUCAAACAUGUUCAGAGAAAUGCAAUCCAUUUUAAACAUUUGUUACGGGUGAUCACCCUAGUGCUAUAAUGGGAUUAAACCAGUAGGCUAAAAGAGCUUCAGCUCCCAUGUCAAAUAUUAUGCUACCAAUGAAAGAGAAAGGAGGAUCGUGCAUCAAACAGAAAAUGUGAAAAACUAUAUUAGACAAUAAUCAUACUUUAGGCAUUGUAUACGUCUCUGAUUUCCAGUUUCAUCAUAGUUCUUGAAAGCUUCAAAGAAAUUUGUGGCUGCCUCAGCCCACUGACGCUCAGCCAUAUGCAUCUUGCCACCACAUUCACGAAUUAUUCCUAUGAUCCUAGGAUGUGGUAUUGCAGACUUGACAGCAAGUGCUUUCUGGUAUAAUUGCUGCAUUAAAACCAAUAUCUCAGUCACAGCUAAGCCAUUAUAUAAAGACCAAACCAGGACAUAACUAUAUAACUUUGUAAAACAAUUAUCAGACAGAACCAAGGUUGGUUUUUCAGCUAUAAAAUAAAAUAGAACAAAGUUACAAUUAUCAGUCAGGAAGAGAAGUAGCGACCACAUGCAAUUGAGACUAAACAACAGUGAAAACUUCUCGAUUUCAGUAUUAAGGAUUAACUAAUAGUGCUUCAUGCUAAUGUAAACAAUGUCAUUGACCAGGAUCCAGAUAACCAAUCCAGACUACAAGUGAAUAUACUUUAGUAGUUUAAAUUUGAGAGUUGCUAGAAUUCUAAAAAAUAGCAAAAUCAAGACACAGGUGAACUUUCACGCCUAAAGUUCUACAUAUUUCAUAUUUUAGUUUAACAUUGCUUCACUUGAAUUCCAGAAGGAAGCAUACUUGAUAUCCGCAAAGCAGAAAAUUGGGUACAUAUUCUACCAUGUAUUUUUAUUAAAUGGUAGAUAAAUGGUGACAGCAGAAACAAUAUAAACUAGCUUUCAGUAAUAGACCUUUACAAGAGAAUUACAACUGCUUAUGUGCCCCUCCUGAAUGGCCACUUGUAAGUAAUCAUAUUUGACAUGUAACAGGCUUUUCUUCAGCUGCUCUUCAACGAUAUAAUCAACGAAAACGAAGAUAUUUAAUUAUGAAUCUGCGUUCAAAGAUAUAAUCAACGAAAACGAAGAAAUCUAAGUAAAUCUUCAUUAACUUUGAUUUACGAAGAGCAGCACUGGGGAAGAAGAAAUAGUGCAAAUCCCGACCUAGAGCGUCAACCACACAGGAAAAAAAUAUUAAAAAGCAAAUCCAGUCAACAGCUAUUACCAGACGGCGUUUAUUUCAUGUUCCAACCUUUAAACGACAACAACCAAAAAUAAAAAAUUAAUAAAGUGAUAAUUUUUCCUUUUCUCCCCCCCGGCUUUCAUCUUCUUCACAUUAUUUCCUCUUCAAUUCAUUUCAAGUGGAUUCCAAGUGGGUCAUUGGCUCUCCAACAUAUUUGACAGUCUUCUUGAAAAACGUGCCCUGGUUGAAUACCUUCUCUGCCUAUAAGAUUUACAAUAGAAACGGAAAAAAAAACACACACACACAGCUGAAAAUGCUUAGAAAAUGGAUAAGAAAUAUUAGUUACUUCUGAUUUUAACAUUCCCAGGAGAUUAAGUGAUCCAUGAUACCCAAAGACAAGCAUGGCCAGUUGAAGGAACAUGAUGCAAUAUGCAUCAACUUAAGGCAUCUGAAUCCCAAACCAAGGCAUCAACGAGCAUUUGGAACCCCUCCUCUCCUCCUAGUAUCACAAAGUUCCUGUCAAUUAUCAUUUCCUUUUCCUAUUAGAAAACAAAUCAAAACCCCCCAUACCAUAAUAAAUCAAAACUUUGCUACUCCAUAUAUAUACACAUAUAAUAUCAGAAAAAAAAUAUAGGGAAGAAGAGACCUGUUGUAUGUAAAGAUUAAGAGUCUCAUCAGAAAAAAAUAUAUAUAGGGAAGAAGAAAAAAUAGCAAUGGGCAUUGAGUUAAAAGUUUUAAAGGACGGUGUGUUUGUAAACUUGAGGGUUUUUAAUAAAAAAAGCCGCAAAAAAUUAUUUCAGUUUGAAAAAAUGACGUCGUUUUGCUGUGCUAAAAAUUUUUUAUUUUGUUUUUUUAUAAAUUGAUUUAUUUUUGUGGCGCUUUUAUAAAAAACGCCGCAAAAAAAUUAUUUCGUUUUGAACAAAAUGACGCUGUUUUGAUAUGCUAAUUUUUUUAAAAUAAAUUGAUUUAUUAUCUUUUGCGGCGUUUUUAUGAAAAACGUCGCAAAAAAUUAUUUCAGUUUGAAAAAAUGACGUCGUUUUGCUGUGCUAAAAUUUUUUUAUUGUUUUUUUAUAAAUUGAUUUAUUUUUGCGGCGCUUUUAUAAAAAACGCCGGAAAAAAUUAUUUCGUUUUGAACAAAAUGACGCCGUUUUGCUAAGCUAAAAUUUUUUUAAUAAAUUGAUUUAUUAUCUUUUGCGGCGCUUUUAUAAAAAACGCCGCAAAAAAAUUAUUUCGUUUUGAACAAAAUGACGCCGUUUUGCUAAGUUAAAAUUUUUUUAAUAAAUUGAUUUAUUAUCUUUUGCGGUGCUUUUAUAAAAAACGCCGCAAAAAAAAUUAUUUCGUUUUGAACAAAAUGACGCCAUUUUGCUAUGCUAAAAUUUUUUUUAAUAAAUUGAUUUAUUAUCUUUUGUGGCGUUUUUUAUGACAAACGCCGCAAAAAAUUAUUUCAGUUUGAAAAAAUGACGCCAUUUUGCUGUGCUAAAAAUUUUUUAUUUUUUUUAUAAAUUGAUUUAUUUUUGCUGUGCUUUUAUAAAAAACGCCGCAAAAAAAUUAUUUCAUUUUGAAAAAAAUGACGCCGUUUUGCUAUGCUAAAUUUUUUUUAAUAAAUUGAUUUAUUAUCUUUUGCGGCGUUUUACAUAAAAACGCCACAAAAAAUUAUUUCAUUUCCAACAAAAUGACGCCGUUUUGCUAUGAUAAAAAUUUUUUAUUUUGCUUUUUUUAUAAAUUGAUUUAUUUUUGCGGCGUUUUUUGAACAAAAUGACGCCGUUUUGCUAUGCUAAAUUUUUUUAAUAUAUUGAUUUAUUAUCUUUUGCGGCGUUUUUCAUAAAAACGCCACAAAAAAUUAUUUCAUUUUCAACAAAAUGACGCCGUUUUGCUAUGCUAAAAAUUUUUAUUUUGUUUUUUAUAAAUUGAUUUUUUUAUAAAAUAAAAAAACCAAGUACUCUCAAAAUAAAUAUUGUAUAUUUUAAUAAGAAAACAAUUGAUAAAAUGACUGUAAUUAAUUAUUAAGUUAGAAUUAUCCAAAUUAAAUAAUUACCUAUAUAUCUAUAUCAUUUUUAUUUUUGUUUUUUUUCCUUAUAAUUUGGUCCUCUCCAAAAUAAAUAAUUAUACCUAAAUAUCAAUAUCAAUCUAUUACUUUUUUUAACUUAUUUAUUAAUUCUAUUUAAACUAAUAUAAAAGCAUUAAUUAAUUGUAUAAAAUUUUAUCAUUUAACAAAUCUCAAGUAAACCUUAACCUUAAACCUAAAUUAACCAUUCAAUACAUAUAAAGUCUAUCUAUUAUAUAUCUCUUAAAUAAUUUAAACUAUACUCAUAAAUUCAAUAUAUUUGAUUUAUUAUUAUCUCUUUUACAAUUAUAUAAGAACAUAUUUAAAAUAUAAAUUAAAAAAUAAUUAAUCUAAACUCAAAACCUUAACCCAACCCCUAAAUCAGUAAACCUUAAAUCCCUAACUCUUAACCCUUAACGUCUAAUCCCUAAACCUUAAAUCUAAACCCUUAAUCCAUAAUCCCUAAUUCAUAAAUCCAUACUCCCUAAACCUUAAAAUAUGAACUCCUAAAUCAGCCUUAAAUCUUAAAUUAAUUAUAUACCCUAAACUAAAAAUCCUAAACGAAUUUAUUAUUAUCUCUUUUACAAUUAUAUAAGAACAUAUUUAAAAUAUAAAUUAAAAAAAUAAUUAAUCUAAACCUAAAACCCUAACCCGACCCCCUAAAUCCCUAACUUUUAACCCCUAAACCUCUAACCCUCUAACCCCAAAACCUCUAACCCUCUAACCCUUAAACCUUAAAUCCCAACCCUUAAACAAUUAUCCCUAAUCCAUAAUCUCUAAACCCAUACUCCCUAAACCUUAAAAUAUGAACUCCUAAACCGGCCUUAAAUCUUAAAUAAAUCAUAUACCCUAAACCAAAACCCUAAAUAAAUUUAUUAUCAUCUCUUUUCAAUUAUAUAAGAACAUAUUUAAAAUAUAAAUUAAAAAAAUUAAUCUAAACGCCCAAAAUCCUAACUCGACCCCUGAAUCCCUAAACCCUAAAUCCCUAACUAUUAACCCUUAAUGUCUAACCCCUAAACCCCUAACCCUCUAACCCUUAAACCUUAAAUCUCAACCCUUAAACCCUAAAACCCUAAUCCAUACUCCCUAAAUCCAUACUCCCUAAACCUUAAAAUAUGAACUCCUAAAUCAGCCUUAAAUCUUAAAUUAAUUAUAUACCCUAAACUAAAAAUCCUAAACGAAUUUAUUAUUAUCUCUUUCACAAUUAUAUAAGAACAUAUUUAAAAUAUAAAUUAAAAAAAUAAUUAAUCUAAACCUAAAACCCUAACCCGACCCCUAAAUCCCUAACUUUUAACCCCUAAUACGUCUACCCCUAAACCUCUAACCCUCUAACCCCAAAACCUCUAACCCUCUAACCCUUAAACCUUAAAUCCCAACCCUUAAACAAUAAUCCCUAAUCCAUAAUCCCUAAACCCAUACUCCCUAAACCUUAAAAUAUGAACUCCUAAAUCGGCCUUAAAUCUUAAAUAAAUCAUAUACCCUAAACCAAAACCCUAAAUAAAUUUAUUAUCAUCUCUUUUCAAUUAUAUAAGAACAUAUUUAAAAUAUAAAUUAAAAAAAUUAAUCUAAACGCCCAAAAUCCUAACUCGACCCCUGAAUCCCUAAACCUUAAAUCCCUAACUAUUAACCCUUAAUGUCUAACCCCUAAACCACUAACCCUCUAACCCUUAAACCUUAAAUCUCAACCCUUAAACCUUAAAACCUAAUCCAUACUCCCUAAAACCAUACUCCCUAAACCUUAAAAUAGUAACUCCUAAACAGGCCUUAAAUCUUAAAUAAAUCAUAUACCCCAAACCAAAAACCCUAAACUAUAGUGAAAAUUAAUUCAAUAUUUUAAAAUUAAUACUAUCUCUUUUAUGAUUAUAUAAGAAAAUUUUUAAUAAAUAAAUUAAAAAACAAUCAGUAAUCAUGUACCCAAAAAAACUUUAAAAUUAUUUUAAAUAAUAGUAUUUUAAUUUUUCUAUGUGUUUUAUUUCAAAUUAUUUCUACGUAUCAUUAUUUUUUUCUAAAGAUUUUAAAUAUUCAAUUAGAAAUAAAUUGAAUUUUAUUUAAUAUAAAUAAACCAAUUAAGAUAAAAUAUUUUUAGCGGCGCUUUUCCAAAAACGCCGCUAAAGCCCCAGCAUUAGCGGCGCUUUUCCAAAAAACGCCGCUAAAGCCCUCAGCAUUAGCAGCGCUUUUUCAAAAACGCCGCUAAAGCCCCAAGCAUUAGCAGCGCUUUUUCAAAAAAGCCGCUAAAGCCCCGAAAGGUAACAAAACGACGUCGUUGGGCUUUGGUUUUUUGCGGCAUUUUUUCGAAAAACGCCGCUAUUGCCCAUUUUUACCGGCGUUUUUCAAAAAACGCCACUAAUGCUCGAUCUUUAGUGGCGAUUUCCAUAAAGCGCCGCUAAUGCUCGAUUUUUACCUGCGUUUUUUGUCCAAGCGCCGCUAAAAGUGCCGCUAAAAGUCUGUUUUGUUCAGGUUAAGAAAUUGUUUCUUCUAUUGAUAUUAGUUUUUGUAUUAUCCAAAUUGAAGUGUCCCUCUGAUCACUGAUAUGUUCAUAGUCAAAAGGUUAAACAAAUGGCAGCCAGCUGUGUGAACAGAUGAGAAAAGAUUUAGUACUAUAAAUCAAGCAUUAGAGUGAUGAUUGUAAAAAAGAUGGUUUUGCUUAAGUGGUAAUAUGCAUAUUAUUUACUUAUUAUUUGAAGAAUCAUUUUUGUUCAUUGCAUUGUGUUUUUCUUGUUAAAUUGUAGUAAAUUACUCUCUCCAUAUAUAUGUAUAAAACUAUCAUUCAUUUUAAUUAACUAUUGUUAAACCAAAAGCAGUAGUAAAUAGAUAGCUUUUCAAGUUAAAUUAAAAUUUUUAGCUUUUGAAAGCGAGUUUGGGUAUGAAUUUUCUUCAUUUAUAGUAAUUAUAAAAGAUAAAUAUGAUAUAUAUUAAAUUAAAUUUUACAAAUAAUUUAUAUUAAUUAUUUAAAAAGUAUUUAAAAUUUAUAGUUUACAUAUCACAAUUUUUUUUUUUGAAAUGAGAUAUCUCACAAUAUUAAUAAUGGAUUACUGUAAAUUAUUUUAUUCUAUUUGUCCUAUAAUCUCAAUUGAAUAUUUAUUAAUACAAAAAAAAUUGACAUUGUAAUAAUAAUAAUACGUGAAAAUAAAAAUACGUUACAUUUGAAUUAAUUAUAAAUUUUAUUACAAUUUAAACUUGUGUAUUUCAUGUAUCAUAAUACCAUCAAUGAGUUUAUAUAUUUCAUGUAUUUUAUAUAUCAUAAUUUAAUUAUUUAAUCAAUUAUUUUUAAACAUUGUCAAACUUUUUAAAUGUAAGGACCCGACCUCUCUAAAAUGAAAUUUUUUUCAUUUAACUUCUUUAAAUUUUUUAAAAUGUUAAAUUAAUAAAUGUAAAAUUAUAUUUUGGCCCCCUAAAAUUAAUAAAAUUAUUAUUUAAUACUUUAAAAUUAUAAAAAUAUAGGCUAUUCAAAUUAUGAAAAUGCAUUUUUACUAUCGAAAAAAUUACAAUUUAAUUUCGAUUUCCCUAAAAAGAAUUUUUGACUUUGCCUCUGUUAAUUGGCUCAAUUUAGUCAUGAUCCUAUAAAAAUUAUAAAAUUCUUUUAAUUUCUUUUAUUUAUUUCUUUUCUACAAUUCUUUUUCCCUUUUCUCUUUUGUUCUUCUUGUUUCAUAUUCAUCCAAACCUUCUUACCUGUGAAAUCUUCUUUUAAUUAAUUGAAUGUAAUUUUAUUGGCUAAAAAUAUAACUUUCCUUCUUUGGGUUGUAGGAUGGUUAAAAGAUUCAUUUAGAGAUUUAUUUACUUAUUAGGUUUAUGGUGUGAUUUACUUAAAUCUUGUGUAAGUGAAUUCUUAUGUCUAUAUAACUCAUGUGUUUUGAUGUAUUGAAAACAUUUACUCUCAAUGUCAUUAGGUGAACAAUGAUAUUUUGGAUACAUGACUUAUGUAUGGUAUGACUUCACUCACAAUAGUGAAAUCAUAGUUCAAUAAAAAGAGUAAAUGAUGUUCUCUUACUAUCAUUGUAUGUAUUAUGAAAAAUGAAGCAUAAUCAUGGGUCGUUUUUUGGGGGAGAAAUGGUUUUAUCAGUAUUAGAAUGCGUAAUGAUCAUUUUAAUUGUGGAAGAUAUAAUGGUGAUGAAAUGAAAAUGGAUCGAAUUAGGUUAACGGAUUUAAUAUAAAGGAAACAUUGAUAUCUAUAAGGGUAACAUGUAUGAUAAGGUCAUUGGACAAAAAAAUUAAUUCAGUAGCUUUCGUAAUGGUUUAUUAUGGUGAGUUCACUCAUGGUAUUUUUGGUGGAUUAACUUCAUCACUAAAUAACUCUACAAUUAAUAGACGAAGAGUUGGACUUCCAGACUCUUAAUGUAAUUUAGUUAAUAAUUAAAACUUUUAAAUCGUAUAAUUAAUUUAUAAUAAAUAGUAUCUAAUUUAGUUAAUUAUUUUGUAGGUUAAAAUGUAUGGAAAAUUACCCCUAAUCAAUAAAAUUUUUAUAUUAUUUAAUUAUUUAUAUUUUAAAAAUUAGAUUUAUAUCCUAAAAUUAAAAUACUAUUAUUGCUGCAUAAAAUUCAUUUUUUUAAACUUAAAUAAUGUAUGGCAAGCCUUAGGUGAUUAUAUUUUACUGGACUCACUAGCAUUUUAUAGGCCCAUUAAGGGGUAUACGAGAGACAUAAGUUUAAAAAAUAAACCUUCAACUACUGGUUAAAUUAAGAGAAAUUAUUAUCAUCUCAGCUAACCCCGUGAUUCAUGUGAUUUUUUUUAAUUCCGAACUCUAUUCCUAAUAUAUUAAAGAUACAUAAAGAGAAUAUGGAUAAUAAAUAAGCAUAAUACAAAUAGAUUGGAAUACAAAGUCUGCAAACAUUAAGUGCUACAACGUUGACAACACUGUUUGAAGAAAAAUCUACAUAGACAAAGAAAAAACCAACAUCCCAAGGGGAUAAGAUAGAAUGCCAAUUCCGGCAUCCAAAUGGCAAGUGCUCCUUGAAAGACGACUUCCAUGAUACUGUAUGAGCAAUAUCCCAUAACUAUAAUGGUUCCUCCCCAGAAAUCAUCCUUUACGAAAAGAAAUAACCAGCAUCCGUUAAUUGCUAAUAGUAACAGUAUUGAGUCAGCAUCAGCAGGAAUUACUUGAAACAAUUGUGAAGGAGUUAACCAACAUCCCAAAAUUGGAACACUUAGUUUUGACACCCGAUCACUGUAAAACAUGACCAAUGUUAAAACAAAAAACAAUAGCUAAAAUACUCCCAUAUAACUUUAAAUGCAAAAUCUGUUGGGGCUAUGAAAGAUAUCGAUUGGUCGAAGCAUAUUGCGAAGUAAGCAAGUAGUACUUGAAUUGUUUUCUUCAAACCAUGGGGAAAAGGUUUAAGCAGGGCUAGUAUUAGGAAAAAGGUUACCAUGAACACAACAUAGGUUGGAAUAUAGAAAAGAAGAAAAUCAGUUCGAUCAAGUACUGAUUUCCCUGGUGAUGAGGUAUCGUCACCCUGCAAAACACUACCAGGUGGGCUAAGAGUGGCUUGGUAGGUUCCAGUUAGAAGCAGCCCUAAAACUACUAGUUAGGCAUUGCGGUCAUCGCUUGAUAUAUUAUCCAAAUCGUCAAAAAUUACUGAUGAUGCUUUUGCGGUAUACUUGACGAUUUGUUUCUCCCACUUAGAUUUAAUGUCUGCAACUCCUGGAAUAAAGCAACCAUGCAGAAUUCUGAUGCUCUUUCUGUUAUUAUGUUGCUCUGCAACACCCAGUGCGGUUAAAUCGGAUUGAUUGGUGGCAUGCUUGUCAGCCUUGCUACUUAAUAGUAGUUUAAGCAUCUGUUUAAUUGAUAGUUUAAGAUAAAAAAAAAAAAAAACUACAAUCAGUUAACCAUGGCUAUGGAGUACAAAAGAAUCUAUUUAAUAUUAAUUAUUAAAGCGGAUGAGUCAAACCACGGUUUGAUUAUUUCUAGCAGCUAUGUGUAAUGCAGUGUUGCCAUCUUCGUCCUUUCUAUUUACCUCUUCCUGAUAAUAGUCCUUCUUCUUAAGCAUUCGAAUUAAAAUCUGAAGAACAUCCAACCUUUUUUUUUCCGCUGCAAUAUGCAAAGCACUGCGAUUCUCAGUUGUAACAUCUCGGAUACAAUCAGGACAAGCCUUCAAAAAUGUUUCCAGCAGACUGUCAUGGUUUCCAACUUUAAUAAUGUAGUGCAACGGAGUCUCACCAUUCUUCCCUGUGACACGAACAAGAUCUUUAUCCAUUUGUAGGAAACGAAGCACCAUCUCUUUAUGCCCCUUUUCCAAUGCAAGGUGAAUGGGUUUCAAACCUUGUUGGUUUAGCUUCCUAGCAAAUGACGGCUUCAGCUUCAUCAUCUCCAUUGCGAACCCGAUGCACCCUUCAUUUGCAGCUACAUGUAAAGGAGUCUCGAUAAACUCCACUUCAUCGAAGCUCCUCAAAACAUUUCCAUCACUUUGAAUCAAUUUAUACAAUUCACUGAAAUCUUCCGUACGAGAAAUUGUUCUGAAACUUUGGUCCAUGUUUGAAACAAGGAACAAUUUCACAAUAGGAGGCAAAAAUUGAAAGGGUUAAAGAGCACUUAGAGGAAUUAAUUUAAUUUACUUCCCUUGUGUGAGGAAGAAAGAGGAGGAUGGUUUCCUUUAUAUAAGAAGUGUAUUUUUUUCAGUCCCAUCGAAAGGUGCUUAUCUUCAUGUUGGAGCUACGGUUCACUUUUAGUGUAAAACGUGGGAGAGGCUUCCACUUUCAAAGGUGCUUAUAUAAGAAUUUAUACUUUCAUUUGGUUCUUAUGACUUCUUCUUUUUCUUUUCUUUUUUUUUCUCAGUUGACGAAGGAAUUUAAUUUGUUUUGGCAUUCUAAUAAAAAAUUCAUCUAAUCCUACGGAGUAACACACGAUAUGUUAUUAUAGAGGUUAUGAGAUGCUGUAGCCUUUUUUCCGUUGUUAGUGCUUAAUUAACUCAAAUUAAUUUCUACCAAAAAAGAGAAAUUGGAAAAAGAAAAGAAAAAUGAAAAGCAUAUCUAACUUUGACAGAUCAUAUAUUUUUAAUUGCUUUUCUAACUUUAUAUGUUAUUAUAGAAUUUAAUUUAGAACCCAUUAAAACUUUGAGGGAUGCUAUCUACCCAUACUUAGUUUAAGUAUUUUAUUGAUUUAAUACCACAGACCAGACCAACACUAAUUCAUAAAUAAAUUUAUUAAAAUGUCUCUUUUUUUUUUGGUGAAAAUUAAAAUGUCUUUUUAUAUAAAAAAUAUAUUUUAUGAGGAUAUCUUUUUAUCUUUCUAUAUGAUAAAAAAAUUGAUAAUAAUAAUAGUGCACAAUAAAUAAUUAAUUUUACUAUUAUAAUCAAAACAUCAAUUUACUUUUAUAUGAAUUUUUAAUAAGUUUACUUGUUACAUAAUAUUUUUCACUCAUGGUGUUUCAUAAAAUUUUAAAGUAAAUAUUAAUAUGAUAUUUGUUGACACCAUUUUUUUUGUAUAAAAACGGGUCGACUUGGGUUUUGAAAAAAGAAACGGGAGUCGCCACCAAUCCUUUUUAAUGAGGUGUGAUUGGAUCACCUCGAAAAGUGGUUGUUUUUAAUAAACGGUUUGAUUUUAUUAAAACAACAAUUUUGGUCCGCGAAAUUUAGAAAAAUAGGUUCAGGAGUCGGUUACGCUCGAGGAAGGAUUAGCACCCUCAUAACGCCCAAAAUUGGUACCUAGUUGAUUAAUUAGUGUCUUAGUGUCGAAGAUUGAAAACUUUGAAGAGAUUUAAAAUACGAUCCUUUGUUUUAAAACUUAUAUAAAUCAAAUUACUCGUUAAGACUCUCUCAUUUCAGAAAGAGAAAAGGUCACACCCAAUGAGUAGGGUACGAUAUUUUACCUAUUCCGAAAUGAGUUUGUCUAAAACAAACUCGCACAAUAAAAUUUAAAAGGAUAUUCAAUCGUUUAAGUCAGAUGAAAAUAUUGCAACCCAAUACAUUAGGGCACAAUUUCUCAAAAUAUUAAACAUUGAAUAUUGCAUAUUUUUAGCAAAAACCCUCGUCUCGAGAAAACAAUGUGUCAUAUCCAAUGCGUUAGGCCACAACGUAUCGAAUCCUCAAUAACAAGCUUUUAUUAUUAUUAUUAUUAUUAUUAUUAUUAUUAUUUAAAGAGUAAUCUCGAUUAUUUUAGAUUCAACGAAGAAAAUCGAAACCCAAUACGUUAGGGCUCGAUUCUCUCGAAGAUUCCAAAUACCGAGCAUUGCUUAAAAUUUCCUUUUUUGAAUCUAGGUAAAAAUCAAUGUAAUGGAGUAACAAUCACAAUAAUGUAAAUAUAAAUAGCAUGAGCAAGAACAAAAAUGAUGAAGAGAUGAAUAAAAAUAAAUCAAUAAUGUAUACACAAUAUCAACUGAGUAAACAAAUAAAAUUGAAGCAUUUAAAGAAUAUAAUAAAGGUAAUAAUGGACAUGUGAAUAUAUAAAUGAACAUCAAGUAAAACAAUACUAAUAACAAAGAAAAUUAAUAAAAAACUAUAAAAUAUAAAAAUAUGUAUAUGUACAUAUAAGAAAAAAAUAUAUGUGAAUUAAAAAAAUAAAAAGUAAAUAUAAAAUAUAUGUAUUUUAAUAUGUAAAAUAUACACAUAUAAGUAUGUACAUAUAAAUAUAUACUUAUAAAAAUUUAGAAAAUAUGUAUGUAGAUAUAAAUAUAUGUAUACACAAAUUAUAAAAUAUAUAUAAAAAUAUAUGAGUAUGUAUGUAUAUAUAAGCUAAAAAAAGGUUUAUAAAGAGAUAAGUAUAUAUAUACAUAUAUGUGUAUAUAAUAAGAUAUAUAUAUAUAUAAUAAGAUAUAAAGAUAUAUAAUAAUUAUAAUAAUAAUAACAAUAAGACAAAUAUAAUCAAAAUUUAAAUAAGAAAAUAUAAAAUAAAAAUAUAACAAUAAUAUUAAACUAAUGGUAUAAUAAUAGUAAUAUAAAUAUAUAUAUAAAAGUAUAAAUAUCAUAUCAUAACGAGAAAAUAAUAAUAAUAACGAAAUGGACCAAAUUGGGAUAAAAAUAAAAUUUAAGGGCUCGAGCAGUAAUAAAAUGCGUAAAUAAGGACCAAAAUGGAAAGGUGCGAAAGGGUGAAGGACCUAAUGGGAAAUAAACCCACACUACACCAAAACAGGCUUUUUGCGGCGUUUUUAGUGGCGUUUGGAUAAAAAACGCCGCUAAAAAUCAAGCAUUAGCGGUGCUUUAGAAAAAACGCCACUAAAGAUCUAGUAUUAGCGGCGUUUUCCAAAAAACGCCGUUAAAAAUGAGCAUUAGCGGCGUUUUCCAAAAAGCGCCGCAAAAAACCUAAGCACAACAAUGUCUUUUUUUAGUUUUCGGGGCUUUAGCGGCGUUUUUGAAGAAGCGCCGCUAAUGCUUGGGGCUUUAGCGGCAUUUUUUAAAAAGCGCCGCAAAAAAUAUUUUUAAGUUUUUUGGGUACAUUAUUUAAAAUACUAUUAUUUAAAAUAACUUUUAAGUUUUUUGGGUACAUUACUGAGUGUUUUUUAAUUUACAUAUUAAAUAAUUUUUUAUAUAAUUGUAAAAUAGAUUUGUCACUAUAGUUUAAGGUUUUUGGUUUAGGGUAUAUGGAUUAGAGUUUAAGGUAUAGGGGUUACUAUUUUAAGGUUUUUGCAGAUUUUUGUUAGUGGUUUGGAUCCAAGUGUUUCUGGAUAUUUUGUUGUUGGUGGUUAGAGAUUUUUGUUGCUUGAUAGAAAUGUGUUUAACUCUGGACAUUUUGUUUGUUGAAAAACGCCGUAAAAAAAUUUAUCUAUUUUAACUAGUUUAUUUAUGUUAAUUAAAAUACAAUUUAAUUUUAAUUGAAUAUUUAAAUUCUUCAAAAAAAAUAAUGACACGUAGAAAAAAAUUAAAAGUAAAAACAUAGAAAAACAUUUGUUAAAAAUGAAAAAAUUUAAAAUAAUUUUAAAGUUUUUUGAGUACAUGAGUACUGAUUAUUUUUUAAUUUAUAUAUUAAAUAAUUUCUUAUAUAAUCAUAAAAGAGAUAGUAUUAAUUUUAAAAUAUUGAAUUAAUUAUCAUUAUAGUUUAGGGUUUAAGAUUUAGGAGUUACUAUUCUAAGGUAAUUUUUGGGAUUAUGUGUUUAGGGAUUAUGGAUUAUGGAUUAUGUGGUUUAAGGGUUGGGGUUUAAGAUUUAAGGAGUUACUAUUUCUUAUAUUAAUGAAUACAAUAAUUGGAAAGAAAAUACAUUUUGUAAUAUUUAUUUGCAUUAGAUCUUAUAAGCAAGGUUGAGAAGUGUCCUGUAGGAGUAUAGUAAAAUAUUUAAUAAAAAAAUACAUGUCCAUUUUUUAAUGUUACUUGUGGAAUAAAAAAGAUAAUCUAUUAGUGUACCAAACACUCACUUAUUUUUUAAUUUUUAAAAACAAAAAAUAAUAUUUCUAAGAAUGUCAUUAGGUUAAAUUUAAGGUCAAAACAAGAGCGAUGAUACAAGGUCUUCAAAUAGUAUGGGAGAACGAAUAUAGAAAGCUUACGUGCUUCUAGUAGAAUCCAUUUUAACCGAUUAAACGACCAAUAGCAAAUUGGGCGAGUUAUGCUUAAUACUUAGUUUGCUCAAGCGAGGCUGAAAAGUAAGAUUUCAUCACGUUUCGAGAUCUCAAAAUAAGAUUGUCGAUCGUAUGGCCAAAAUAGCUUCAAGUGGAUUGGGUAACAUACAACUAUUUUGAGAGCCUCCAGAUUCAGUAUGAAAUAUACUGAUAGUUGAGCGUAAUAUUGUUUCUUUACGUUGCUAGUAAUUUAAAAAUGUAAUCAAUUUGUACGGUAGUAAUUGCAUUAAAUGAUUUUAAGGUUUAGGGAUUAUGUGUUUAGGGAUUAGGGAUUAGGGAUUAUGGUUUAUAGUUUAAGGGUUGGGGUUAUAAGGGGUUAGGGGUUAUAAGGGGUUAGGGGUUAUGGGGUUUAAGGUUUGUAAAGCUAGAAAGGUAUUAUAUGGAGUUCAAUAAUCGCGCUCAGUGUCGAAUUGGCUGUUGAAAUGUUAAUAUUGUAAGUUAAACGCUUUAAAGUCACAUUAUGUGUGUGUGCCAUGAUCUAUAUCUGACAGAUUGGGAAGGGAAGCUAAGUGAGUCAAAUUUAAAUAUUAGAUUUAAAAAAAUUGAUAAAUAAAUAAAUUAAUGUAUCAGAUUGAUAUGGAUAGGAAUUGAAUAAUAUAAAAUCAUGAUUAACGUCUCAAUCUUUAAUAGAAAUUUGAUAUGUGAGAGAUUAAUUGCUUACAUUGAAUAAUUCUAACUUAAUAAUUAAUUACAGCCAUUUAAUCAUUUUUUCUUAUUAAAAUAUACGAUAUUUAUUUUGAGAGUACUUGAAUUUUUUUAAAAAAAUUCAAUUUAUAAAAAAAUAAUAAAUGUUUUAUAAAAUCACUUAAUUAAUAAUUUUUAACAGAUUUAAAAUAAAAUUAUUUUUUGCGACGUUUUUAUGAAAAACGCCGCAAAAGGUAAGCAAUAGCAGCGUUUUUAUAAAAAAUGCCACAAAAAAUAAUUUUACUUUAAAAUAAUUUUUAGCAGACAAAAUAAAAAAAUUUUAGCAUAACAAAAUAGCGUCGUUUUUGUACAAAAUGAAAUGAUUUUUUGCGGCCACAAAAGAUAUUCAAAUUCCCGCUCACCCCCAAAAAAAGAUUUUUGGUUACCCGCUCCUUACUCCCUCUUCUUCUCAUGUACUUAAUUCUUUUUCCCUUUUAAUCUCAAAAUUCCAUGAGUCCCUUUGCCCCCAACAUCUCGUAAUACUGUUCAAAUCCCUAAAAUGAUUCAUUGAUUUAGGGUUUUGUUUCUCUCUGAAUCAGGACAAAAGGGUUUUCCGAUCUAUACCAAAAGACCACAGGGAUUGAUCUAUGGAAUUCCUUUUUCAGCAGUGUAUUUUCUUUUUCCUUUUUCAGUUUUGUUCGAUUUUUUUUACUUAUUUUCUUUCUCUCUCCAUUGUUUCGAAGCCAGCUUCUCUUUUUUCGAAGCCAUCGGAGCUCGGUAAUUGUUCUCAGCUUCAAGUGAUUCAGCUUCGUUUGAAUCGAUUGAUCGGCAAUGUAACGGCGGAUUUCUCUCGGUUGUCUCGUUUAAAAGAGCUUGGUUUGGGUUCUAACAAGUUAAAUGGUGAAAUCCCAGAAGAAAUCGCCUUUUAGAUGGAAAUCGCCUUACAGGUAACAUACCAAAUUCAUUUUCAAACAUGUCUAAUUUGAAGUACUUGAAUUUUUCUAGAAAUAAUCUUGAAGGUGAGAAUCCAAGUGGAUUAGGUUCUUUAUUCAAUGAUAGUUCUGUAUUUUCAAUGAAUGAAAAUUUAUGUGGUAAGCCAUUGAAUAAUGACUGUAAAAAUGUAAGAAAAAAGAAACAGAGGAAGCUGAUUUUGUUGAUUGCUAUGGUCGUUGGUGGUAUUGGGCUAUUUGUCGUGUUUUGUUGCGGUUACAUUUACAGUCUUCUACAGUGGUGGAAGAGGUGGAUGACCGGAGAGAAGAAGCAGAGUACGGGUAGUGCUAGUUCGGGAGCAGAUCAAAGUCGUGGAAGUUCAACUUCUUUUCGUUGAAGUUCAACUUCGCUGAUUCAGGUACGAUUUUAGCUUUACUUUUUGUUCAAAUUUUCGUUUUACAAUUUUUUAAUAUUUUCUAAUGUUAAGGUAUGCUGAUAUAUUGCAGUAAACUUUGAGAAUAUUAGACCUCCUGUAAUGGAAGGCUUAGAUACAUUAAUCAUGGUAUGUGGCUUCUUACUUUUACCUUCUUAAACUCUAUGUUCCAUAUGCUUAGCGUCUGGAAUUUCUUAUCAUUUUGCUUGAUUUAUUCAUAGAAAGAAACAAUCUUCAAAGUCAAGUAGCCUUGAAAGCAAUGGUAUGACUUUCUUGUUGUAACCUUUGAUGAGGUUUACUCCGAUUUCACUAUCAUAUGUUAUUUUUACAAGUUGGGGCUUGCAGGUAGUUCUUCAAAUUAAACAUCACCUGCAUCUCAAUGGUUUUCUUCAAAAUCAUCAAAGAAGGUUUGUUUUGUCAUUUUAUAGUUGAUCUUCCUUUGCUGCUGAUGCUCUUGUUACUACCAUUUUAAUCAAACAACCUUCACUAAACAUUUGCUUAAGACUAGUUAUCUAGGCAAGUGAUCCUCUCUCUCUCACUCUCACUUUCACUCAGACAAGUCACUAUCAUUCAUAUAUUUUUGUUAUCAUUUUCAGGAGCUCACAUUGGACCUGAACCAAUGACCAAUAGAUUUGUUGUUGUUAUGGUAAUUCAGAAAUAUUGCUAUUCUGCAGAUCUAGCUUGGAGAGUUUCCAUUACUUGGUGGUUUUAAAAUCAAUUAUGGAAAUUGAAUCUUAAUUUUCUGUAUACUGUCUAUACUACUUUGUUUGUUGUAAUUGUGAAAUUUUGUUUUGAUCUCGUGUGUUAUGCACAUACUCUCUUUCCCUUUAUGCAGUCGGGAACUGAUGAAAGAAGUGUUCCAGGGAACACUAUUGCUGUCCAAGCAGACAUGCCAUUCAGUGGCCUCACUACUUUCGGAACUGCAUUUUUGUCGAAGUUUGAGUGUUCUCAAAUGCCACAUCUAGUUAGUUAAUUGUUCAAUUCUAGUUUGCUGCGAUAGUUAAUUUUUCUGCUUAUAUAGAAUUUAAUACCUUCUUUUCCUUUGAAUUUCCGAUCGCUUCAGAAUUUUGAAAAAUAUUCAGGUACCUCGGUAUUUUUCAAUUUCGCAUUUUAUUUCCUCCAAUCUUUGAAUUUAGUUCCAAUUAUCGUCAUUUAUUUGCUGAAUUAACUUGUAAAAUAAUUGUUAGCACCUAGGGGUUUUUUUUAUGUAAGGUUGUUUUUAAUUUUAGUUGGAGAAUAUAUUGUGGUUUGAUUGUUUGUUAGGUUUUGAUAGUCAUAGGGUUUUUAAUUCGAAUUUCUAGCUUAAGUAAGGACCUCAUUUCUUCUGCCUCAAAUUAAUUAAAUUUAAUGGUUAGUAUUUGUAAAAUUUAAUGUAAUGUAAAAUUUUUGGCAUGUUAUUAAUUGUAAAAUAUUUGGUAUUUGGGGGGUUUUUCAUUGUUACUGCAAUUAUAUAAUUGGUUUUGAUGCAGAACAUAUAUGUUUCAGCAAGUAAGUAUUAAUUUAGGGAUGGGAUACUUGUAUUUUAAGCCUGAAAAGUCAUUAAUAGGUUGAAUAAAUACUGCUUAUAAUUUUUGUUCAAUUUUUUCUUGAAUUUUGGUGAACUCCUUUAGUAAUUAUUUGGGGCUUGUUAUGUUACGAAUUGGUAUUGAGUAGAUAUGGAUAUUCUCUGAGAAUUUUUUUUACUUGCAUCAUAGCCUUUUUUAUGAUGUUUGCCUUGUGUUUACAAAGAUUUUGUAUUUUGUUUUCUACCUAGUUUUUUUUUCAUCCUGCCUAAUUUGUCGAACUUCUAGCAUUAGUGAAGUUUUUAUUCAAAUUACUUGUGUGCUACCAUAGGUGCUAUUGGCUGGGGUUUACAAGGAGCUACGUCAGGCAUGGAGGAUGCCAAAGAGCAAAUUGUACAGGUGUCCAAAAAUUCCACGCUACCAUCUCAAGAUGAGGUUGUGUUCUUAUCUUGGUUCAUUGUGGAAUAUUUGAUUGGUUAAAGAUCUUAGCUACGUACAAGAUUAAAAUUUUAUUCUCUGGAGUUCUAUAGUUACUUUUGAUUGAUUGGACUGAUUGGAAUUUUAGGUGUUCAUUUGUAAAAUUUUCAUAACUUGUUUGUUCUGUUGUUUCAGAAACUGAAUAUGACCCAUGGUUUUGCUUGGCACUUUUACGUUUUAAAUUAUCUUAACACCUUACAGUUUUCUUCUUCCUAUGGAUACCAUUACAGCUUGCAGUUGAAUGUUUCUUUUAGGUAUAUCUUGUGACAUUUUUUCUUUCUUUGUUCACCUCACUUUAUAGCCUAUUUUUUUCCCUCCUGCGUUGGAUCUUUUUUUUUUUAAAUCACAUGAUCUCAAAUUUCAAUUUCUUUUAACAUUUAUUGGAAGAAUAAUAUGGUCUCAUUUGAUUGUUUCUCCUACCUGGUUCUUGCUUCUACUCGUAUUUCUUUUUGGAUGAAUAAAUUUAUUUGUUUAAUCCUCAUCAUCCUGUACAAUAUCAUGCUUGCAAGUUUUUGCUUUCCUCCUUAUUGCAGAUUUACUAUCCUGGUAUCCCUCUGUUGUUCUUGAUGUGGAUAUUUCUUGUGAAGAAGUACUUACAUUUUGCUGUUUAUUCAUGCUUACAGGAUAGGAGCAAAUGGUUUGGAGAACUCGUAAGCACUCCUCUGUCACUCCUAAACCAGUUGUUUAAAUUAUUUUCAUAGCCUACUUUGAUUGCUGUUAUUUGUGGGAAAAUUAGUCUACAUUCUUUAAGCUGAUCUUAAACUGCUUCCUACAUUGUUUCAGCCUUGGGAAGAAAGUUUGCGGGAUGCACACGAGUUUGGAAAACUUGUUCUGUUUUAGAACUUGGAUCCAGCUUACUCUUCAGCAGAAGUGGAGGUAAUAUUUAUUAUGAAUCACAAUUAGGUUGUGUUUGAAGCAUUUUGUAUUUACACACAUAAAUUUCUGUGUUCUUUCACUUUUCCUCUCCCUACAUGUGUGGUUUGUACCUUUUAUCUUUCUUAUGAAUAAUGCAUGUUUAUAUUGCAGGAUAUAGUUUGGAAUGCCUUCAAUGAAACUUGCAGAGCAAAGAUGGUGCAGCAGACUGCGUUGUAUUUUUUAUUACUUUGCAAUGUGUAUAGUCAUAGGCAAGUUCAACUAGUCAGUAUGUUUUUCAUAUGUAUUAUUUAUUUUAGUUUUGAUUCUAAAUUUUUAUUUUUAUUUUAAUAUUUACGACAACUUCAGUUAUAACUUUUGGAUUUUAAUUGUGUUAUUAAUUUAUUAUUUUAAAUUCUAAAACUAAAUUCAUUAAUUUUUAUAUUUAGUUUUAAAGUUAAAAUUUUCAUAGAAAAUUUAAUUUAAAUAAUAUUUUUUAUUUAUUCUUAAAAAGUAUAUUUAAAGCUCAAAUUUAAAAAACAAGACGUAAUAUAAUAUUUACCAUAAAAAUAAAUAUUAUUUGAUUAAAAUAUUUUUUUAAAUAUUAUGUUUUUAGCGACAUUUUUGCUAGAAGCGUCGCUAAAGGUUUGGGUUUAUAGCGGCAUUUGUGAUAAAAGCGCCGCUAAAGGUUUCGGUCUUUAGCGGCAUUUAUGGAAAAAGCAUCGCUAAAGGUCUUGGGCUUUAGCGGCGUUUGUGGGAAAAGUGCUGCUAAAGGUCUUGGAGAAGCGCCGCUAAAGGUCUUGGUCUUUAGCGGCAUUUUUUCCGGCGCUUCUCAAAGCGCUGCAAAAACUUUUAGUGGUGCUAGAAAGCGCCGCUAAAGGUCUAAAAAAGUGCCGCUAAAAGCCUGUUUUGGUGUAGUGCCAGUUUCAGGCCACGCGUCCCCUCCCAUGGGUCCAACGAAAUGAGGACCAAAUUAAAAAUAGAGACAAAUUUGCGAUCCAAAUUAAAAAAUGAAGAAAAGUCGUAAAAGGACUAAAUCGAAUCAAACUAAAAGUGCGAAAGGGCAUAAAGUGAAAAUAACCCACCUGCACAAAAACACGUGGACCCUGGGUUGCGGGUCGGGUCGACGCGCGAGUAGGAGGCCUUAAGAACCCAAACGGUGCCGUUUUAGGGCUAUUGGAUUAGCCCUAAACGGCAUCGUAUCGCCCAGCUUAUAAAGGCUAAAUUUUUUUGUGAAAUCAGUCAUUUUCCUUUUACUUAAAAAAACUGAGUUCUCUCUCUCCCUCUUUUCUCCCUCAGUCUCAGCCCUUAAGUUCAGGCCUCCACCGCCGCCUCCAUGGCCAAUGGCCGGAGUUACGCGAAACAGGCUUCUCAGCCCUCCCUUCACGGCGUCCCAGAAGGCUAAGCCUUCUCAACCGUGGGAGCGAGAGAAAAAAGGAAGAGACUCCCUUCCCCGCUCGACUCUGGUGAUGGCGAAGGUGGGUUCCGGCCGGCCUUUGAAGCAAAUAGGUAUAUUUCUUUCCCUUUUUCGUUUCAUUUUUGUUAAAAAGAGUAGUAAAACAAACAAAAAUAAAAUAAAAUAAAAUAAAAAUAAAAAUAAAAAUAAAGAAAAUACAAAGAACGCAAGAAUAGAAAAAGAACCGGAAUCAACCUUUUUUAAUUUUUUUGAUCUGCUUUUUAUUCAUUGGUGUUGUAAAAAAAAGAAAAGAAGAAAAAAAAAAUGUUGGUAUUCGGCUAUUUUUUUGCUUUCUGCCUUUGCGUGUUCUCUUUUUGUUUUUGCAGGUGGAGCAGGUGGCUGAGUUAGUGGCGGUAGCAGGUGGUGCGGCAGUGGCAGAGGGUAGGUGGUACGGCGCCAGAGAUUAGGAGGCUAGGGUUUCUUUUUUGUAUUUAAGUAUUUUGGGCCGUUUGGGCCAUUAGGGUUUAGUUUUAGUUAGGCUUAAAUUUUGGGGUUUGGGUUAGUUUAGGUGGGUAUUGGGUUGGUAUUGGUUUUGGGUUUUGGGCCAUUGUAAGGGUUAUUUGGGCCCUGGGCAAAUUUGGGCUUGUACAAUAUUCAUCUCUAAUGGUAAUCUAAUAUUUAUCCUAAUAUUGUCAUCAGCACCAAGAAGAAGAAAACUGAAACUCUAUCUUAUUACCUAAUCGAAUUUUGAAAAAAUAAAUCUAAAAGAUUAUUUAAAAUUCUAAUUAGGUAUUAAUUUAUUGUUAUGUUAAAAUCACGCUAGAAAUGUGGAUUCAAUUAUUUAAGAGAUUAUUGAAAGUCACUUAAGUUGUUAAUAAUUAAAAUGAAAUGAUUUUUCUUUUAUUAAAAUGAAAUUUCAUGAUUUAUUUGAAAGUUGAGUUUAAGUUCAAUGGUUUAUAAUGUAAAUUAUCUAAUAUCCAUUGUAUUUAUUGUCACUAAAUGAGCAUUACAAGUUAAAAUAAGUUAAAAUCUCUAGUAGUAAUUAUUAAUAUUAAGUUUUGGUUUUUUUUCUACCUUUAAUUUAUCGGCACAUAUGGGAAAAAUAUAAUUUUUAAAUUCUUCUAAUUUUUUAAAACUUUUUAAUAAUUAAAGAAAAAAUAAAAAGAAUAGGGGUCAAAUUGACAAAUGUUGUAAAGGUUAAGGGGCUAAAUUUAUUAUUUUAUCUAGUUUUUUAACAGAGUUAAAGGAAAAAUCAACAGAGAUUGAAAAAUAGAAAGAUCAAAUUUGAGCAAAUAAAAGUAGAGUAACUAAAUCCACAUAAACUGAGAAUCCAGGGACUAUCCUUACAAUUUAACCUAAAAUGUAAAAACUUAAAUACAUAAAUAUUAUUUUAGUAAUUUCUAAACAAAGUUAGCACUUUAAUGUAAGGGUGUUCAAAUUUCGGUUAAAAUCAAAUUAAUCGAUCGAACCGAUCUAAUUCGGUUAAUCGGUCGGUUAAUUGAUCUAAUUCAGUCGAAGGUUGAUUAAUUAUUUUUUUGAAAGUUCGGUUAUCAAUUAAUUCGAUUUGAAAUCUGGUAAUUAACCGAACUUAAUAAUUAAUAAUACAAAUAAUAUUUAGUUUUAAUUCAGUUAAUUCAGAUAAUUCAAUCAAAUGAACUUUAUUACUUUUUUAAAUAUAUUUAAUACUUGUUUUAACUAAAAUAAAAAAAUAAAAAUAUAUAAAUUUCGAUUAACAUUUUUUUAAAAAAAUUUCCCUUAUUUUUUCCUACAAUCAGCCUAUGCACGUAUUUUUUUUCAUUUAUUGGUAAAUUAAUCGUUAAUAUAUCCUUUCCUUUCUCUAAUCUUCCUCUAUUUUCUUUUCAUUUUCUUUCCUUUAAUUAUAUUUAUCCAAAUAUAGGGUUAAUGUAGAAUUUUUUAUUUUAUUUUAAUUUUUACCAUUAUCCUUUAUAUUUUAUCUUUAAAAUUAAAAAUUACAUUUAAUAAAUAGUAUAGUUAUAUUUCGAAAUUAAUUUUAAAUGAUAUAUAAAUAUAUUUUAAAUAUCAAUUUAAAUUUAAAUCUCUAAAACUUAACUUUUUAAUACUUAUUAUUUCUAUUUUAUCGAACAACCUUUAAGUAUUGCACUCACACUCGCAAAUAAAUAAAUAAAUAAAUAAUGGCCUUGUGUAAUUAAGAAAGUUGAGAAUGGGUUACUCCUCACCUGGUGGAAUUGGCUACAAUAAUGGAGGAAAGAGAAAAACACUAAGGAAUACCCAAUGAUUGGGAGGCAACGGCAUACCCUACACAUACUAUUUACUGUCGGUGGUAAUGAAUCAAUUGCCUACUUUACACAUAUUUUGUUUUCUUCACUUUUUCUUGUCCUGCACUAUUUGGAUUUAUGAGUGAUGGGUGUCGAGUCUACCAAUAUAAACCUAUGCCUAAUUUGCAAUUAAAGCAGUAUAAAGAGUAGGGUCGAUCCCUCAGAGACUGGAUUUACUGAAAAUUAUUUUUCUCUCGACCAGAUUCGUGUCUGGCCAGUUGUCGUGCCCAAGAAAUUUGAGGGAGGAUAAAAAUUGAAAACCUUAAAUAAACAGAAAAAAUGCGUGGAAAGUAAAAGCUGAAAAUAAAAUAAUAAAAUCAAUUAAAUAAAUCUGAAGAAAAAUUAAUUAAAAUUAGCUCAACUUUAGGCACGGGUUUUUCCUCGUCUUUGAACCGAUCCUCGAAAUUAGAUGAACUCCUCUUUCCAAUAAGCUAGUUAUAGCUACCAAGGACGUCUCGGACACCAACUCUUCCUUGUGUAAAUUAGUUAUGGAACGUCCUAUAACUAACCCUUACCGAUCGAACAACUAACGAAACGUUUGUGAUUUAGAACUCCGGCAGCUUUGCGUUCUAGAAGAGCCUAGCUCGAACCAAUGCCCUCAACCGCGUGGGACAUUUAAAUCUGGUUACUACUUCCCUUGAAGGAACCAAAGAACAAUCCCCACUUGGCACGCCAAUGUGUUCACAAAAAACUAAUUAGACAAUCGACCCUUUUGGAAUUCCAACUGUACGUCUAACCACACUAACUCAAACAAAAUCUUUUUUUGACUUAGUGUUGAUUUGACUUUGUGAGUUGACAAAGUCAUACUCUUAACCCAGAGAAAUAAUAAGUACUGAAAAUUAAGAAUUAAAUUGCUCGGGUUUGUAACUCACGGGUCUUGACGAAGUUAACACCGACCUAAAGUUGAAAUGGGUUUAGUUGACCAAGGUUUGGGCCAUGUUGGUAUUGGGCAUAAUUGGAGAAGGUUGAAUAAAUGAAAAAGAAAUGAAAGUAAGUGGGUGAGGGUGAUGCAAGGUUUGGGUGCCAAAGCUAGAAACUAAUAGAUGAAAAAAAAUAUAAGAAAUCAAUGUCAGCCACUAAAUUUGCAAAAAAAGGAAAGAAAAGAUUGAAUUCAAAGGAUAAAAACUUGAUUGAAAACUUGAUGAAUGAAUGAACAUAGUAGCCCCUAUUUAUACUAGUAGCCUUGAACAAAUUUGCCUAAUUAAAGGCCACUAACCAUAGAAAAUUAAGGAAAAAUAUUCCCAUGAUAUAAAAAAUCCCUACAUAAUCUCCCACUAAGUCAAAACAAAAUUUCAGCUAAUUACAUCUUGGGAAAAAUUCCGUUUUGGCCCGCCUUCUUUGCUAUUUUCUUCAAUCUAGCCCAAUUGUUUCCUUUUUCUUCUAUUUAGCCACAAAUUGCACCCCUGCACAAAAUUCAAUAUAAACAUGGAAAAAUCAGUGGUGCACUCUCAUAAAUUAACCAAUUUAAUUACAUAAAAUAUGUAAUUUUAGCAUUUAAUCAAUGAGUAAAAUCGAUACUACUUAUUUUGUGCUAUAUUUUUUAGUUUUCAUAUGACGAUCAUCAAAUUCAUGCUUAUCCAAAGCUGGUGUAUGCAAAACGAUAAAGUUAAUCUUUAUUGCUAGUCUUUCUUCUUUUUACUUUUGAAUACUCUUCUCUUGUUGCUGUCGUUGAAAUAUUGUUGGAUUGUUGAUAUCUUGCUACUUUUUAAUACCAUUUAAAUUUUUUUAAUAUAAAUAUUAAAAUUAUAAUGAUUUUAGUUAUUUAAUUUAAUCGAGUUGUAUAACUUGUCAAUACUUGGAUUUUGAAAAUGAAAAUAAAAAUGAGAGUCGCCACCAAUCUUUUUUGAUGAGGUGUGAUCGGGCCACCUCAAAAAGUGGUUGUUUUUAAUAAACAAUUUGAUUUUAUUAAAAACAACGAUCUUGGUCCACAAAAUUCAGAAAAAUGGGUUCGGGAGUCGGUUACAUACGAGGAAGGAUUAGCACCCUCGUAACGCCCAAAAUUGGUACCUAGUUGAUUAUUUAGUGUCUUAGUAUCGAGAAUUAGAACACGAUCCUUUAUUGAAAUGUUAAAAUUUUUUGAGAAAAGGGCAUAUUUCACGUUAAUCGAGAAAGAGAAUUAUAUCCAGUAAGAUAGGACACAAUGUCUUUGAAUUCCUAAUGUGCGAAUGAAUGCCAAAAAUUUACUUAUUGGAAAGAUAUUUAGCUAUCUCGGAUUUGAAAAAGGGAUCAUGUCCAGUAAGUUAGGACACAAUCUUUUGGGAUCAUGCCCAGUAAGUUAGGACACGAUCUUUUCUUAAUUCCCGAGAUCGUUUAAAACUUGAGAAAAAAAGGGAUCAUGUCCAAUAAGUUAGGACAUGAUUUCUUCUUAAUUCCCGAGAUAAUGAAAACUUGUUUGAAAAUACUUGUAUUCAGAUUUAUCGAGAAAAUCGAAACCCCGUAAGUUAGGGUGUGACUUUUUCAAUUCUUAAAAUACGAAGUUUAACUUAUUUUAAAGUCGUGAUUUAUACCUUAAAUAAAGAAAUAAAACACAAUUCAAUAUGAGUAGCAAAACAAUAAUAAAUACUACGAUGUAAACAUAACGCAAGCAACCACAAAAAAAUAAUAAAUAAAUAAAUAAAAGAUGACAAAACAAUUAUGUAUGAAAUAAUAACAGCUAGGGCUAAAAUAUUUCAUAAAAAUAAUGAUUAACACAUAAAUAAAUAAAUAUAAGAUAAAACAAUAAUAACAAUACGAAAAUAAAUUAAAUUAUAAAAGUAAAAAUUUAUGUAUGUUUAUUUAUAUAUAACAAAGUUUAAAAUGAAAGAAAAGAUAUAAAUAAGUAAAUAAUAAUAUUAAUAAUAACAAAUAAUCUAAAGUUUUAAAGAGAAAAGAUAUAUAAUUAUAUAAUAAUAAUAUAUAAUAAGAUAAAUAUAUUUAAAAUUUAAAUAAGUAAAUAUAAAUAAAAUAUAGUAAUAGUAAUACUUUGAAGGUAUAAAAGGACAUAAUAAAUAAUAAAUAAUAAAAUGAUAUAAUAAGAUAAUUACAUACGCAAAGAAAAAUGCAUAUAUAUAAAAUAAAAAAUAAAGCUAAAAAUAAUACAAAACUAAUUAAUAUAUUAAUACAAUAGUAACGAAUAAAUAAAAGGAAAAUAAAACUAAUAAUAAUAAAUAAUAUUAUUAUCAAAUUAUUAGUUUUAAUAAUAAAAUAACCAAAAUACAAACAGAGGGCUAAAUUGAAUUUAAAAAAUAAAAUUUAGGGUCAAAUCACAAAUAAAUUAAAGGAGAAGGACCACGUUGAAUGCGCAAAUAACAAGAAGGGGCCAAAUGGGCAAUAAUCCCGUCCCUCCAAAACGCACAGCUUCAUUGAGGACCAAAUCGAGAGAAAGAUGAAAUUUUGUGGCAAAAUUAAAAAAUAAAAACAAGAUAGGACCCAAUUGUAAAAAGCCUCAAAAGUGAAAGGACUAGGAGCGCAAAUAACCCCUUUUAUCCAGAAACAUACGGAUCCUAGGCAGUUCGGGUCGGGUCGAUCCGAUCCAGGUCAAAACGACGCCAUUUUAGCUCCCUAUAUAAGUUAAAAAGUUUCAAAAAUAAUCAUUUUACUCUUCCUUCUAAAAAAAAUCAAAAAAAUCCUUUCUUUCCUCCCCACUCUCCAAAAAAUCCAGCCAUGGGUCCGGUGAGGGCUCCGGCCGUAGCCACUAUGCUGGACUCCAGUCGCCGGCGUCAGCGCCUCCGCGCAUGGUGGCCGGUGAAGGCAAAAAGUUGUAUUUUCUAGAUCUCGACCCCCUAAGCUCAAAUUCGUCCUCAAAAUACCCGAAAAACCAAAGAAAAAGGACCACUAGCCUUCUCAAGAACCGAUUCUGUCACCAGAGAAGAAGCCUCCGACGACAAGUACACGAAACGACACUGGUGAGAUCCUCUUCACCUUCUUUUUGUUUUAUUUUUGUAUAUAAAUAAAACCAAAAAAAAUAAAUAAAAUGAAUAAAUAAAAGUCAGUGAACGAAUAUUAAAAAGACUUUGUAAAUUCAUUUUUCUUGAUUCCUUUUUUUAUGUUCGUACAAAAAAAGAAGAAGCCCCCUAAACUUUUAUAACAUAUUUGACUUUAUAGCCAAGAGAAAGAGAAGAAAACAUGAAAGCAAAUCCCCUCUUUUUGCUACUGUUUUUGUGGUCUAUUUCUGCUUUUCUUGGUUGCGUGUUUGCAGGUGACUGUGGCGAGUUGCAGAGGGUAGGUGGGCAGAGGCAUGCGGCGGUGGCAGAAGGCCCUAGGUUCGGCGUACCUAGGGUUUGGCAUUUUCUUUCUUUUUUUUAUUUGGUGUUGGGCUAGGGUUUAUUUUAGGCUAAAUUGGGUUUGGGUCAUAUUAGGCUUGUUUGGUCAACAUUGUAAUUGGGCUUCUAUUUUUUUUUCUGGUAUUGGCCCAGGCAAAAUCUGGGUCUUACACCUUUUAUAGUUAAAAGAAAGUAAAAUAAUAAAAUUUAGUUCAAAAUUGUUGAAGUUAUAAAAUAAAAAAUCAAUUCAAAAAUAAAAAUAUCUUUUGUUCAAUUCUAAUUGAAUUGGUGUCACAAGUUAAUUAACUAUUAAAAUAAGUAAUAUUAUUCAAAGGUAUUUUUUAAAAUUUUUAUGCAAAAUUAUCAAUAAAAUAUGAAUAUAACGGGAUUUGAAGUAAGACUCGUCUACAAAUGAAUUCAAAAUUUUUACUCGAUUCGAUCAAAUAUUCACCCCUAAAUAUUACAUUUUUUGAAUCUUCAUCUUGGUGAACAUAAAAAGGAGAAGUUAUCCUUUGUGUGUAUGUGUGCUUUAGUGUUUCCUUUAAUUGUGUGGCUAAUUAAGUGCUCCUUAUUUCCUUUGAAAACAAAUUUUGAUAGAAAUGAAAAUAAAGAAUAUUGAUAUUUAAAAUGUAAAAAAUAAAAUAAAAUAUUGUUUGAACAUGUAUAAAUUAAUAUUGUACGCAUAAAAUUGAAUAAUAUUUAAUACCAAGAAAAGUAGAAAAAAAAUAUGUUAAAAUAAUAUUUUGGUGAAUCAAAUUUAAUAAUUAAUUUAUAGUUGAUAGUUAUAUACAAUAUGGAUGAUAUAAUAUCCUCUGAAAUCUUCCCUUGGUUGACCAUAAAGGGGAAGUCAUUGUUUUAUGUUUUUUGGUAUUUAUUUGUGAGCCAUACAAAUUAUACAUAAUAAUAGACCUUUUGAAGUCAUCCUCUUCCGUGUUUUGUUCCCGUUAAUUCUGUGGCUAAUUAAGUGCUCUUUAUUUCCUUUUAAAACAAAGUUUUCUUUUCCUUUUUUUUGGUAGAAAUUAAAAUAAAGAUUAUUUAUUUGAACUUUCAAAGUAUAUUUAGAAAAACCCUAAAAUUUUAAAAAUAAUAAUUAAGUCUCUUUUUUUUCAUUUAAUUAAGUACUUGAACUAUCAAAAUACAUCAAUAAGACCCUCAAACUUUUUCAGAAAAAGCAAUUAAGCCCCUACAUUUUUUUUGCACAUUCAAUUGUCAAAAUGCAUCAAAAAGGCAAUUUGACCGUUAAAGCUUACCGCCCCUAAAAUUUUCAAUUAAAGCCACAAUGUGUCACAACCACGUAGUGUGUGGCAAAAAAAUGAUAACAAAAAUUAAAAUCAAUAGAAGUUAUAAAAAUUAUUAAAUUUUAAUAAAAAUAUAAAAAUAGAAAACAUAUAAAAUAUAUAGAAAUAUAAAAAAAUUAUAAAAUUUUAUAAAGUUGUAAGAAAAUUAUAAAUAAAUAUAAAAUUCGUAAAAAAAUUAUAAAAAUUAUUAUACCAAAAGAAGCAUUUUAUAAAUUUUCUAUAAUUUUUGUUGAUUUUUAUUUUUUAUCAUUUUUCGGCACAUGUCACAUUAUGUUGCAACACGUGAGCCUUGUUCAUGCAUUUUAUAAUUUUUUUAUGAUUUUUAUAUUUAUUCUAAUUUUAAUAAAUUUUAAAUACUUUUAAAUUUUAAUAAUAUUUAUAACUUUUAUUGAUUUUUAUCUUUUAUAUACUUUUUACCACAUGUCACUCCGUGAUUAUGACACAGGAUGGCUUUAAUUGAAAAAAAUUAGGGGCAAUUAACUUUAUGAUCAUCUGUUAAAGUUUACGAUCAAAGGGCCUUUUUGAUGUAUUUUAACGGUUUGGGUGUGUAAAAAGCUCUCAAACUUUUCAAAAAAAAGCAAUUAAACCCAUCCUCUCUCUGUUUUUUUUUUGCACUCAAUUGAGCACCUGAACUAUCAAAAUGUAUCGAAAAGACCCUCAAAAUUUUUCAAAAAAGCAAUUAAGCCCCUACUCUUAUAAAAAAUUAGAAAAAAAAUUAUAAAAAAUCAUAAAAAAUAAAAAAUUGUAAAAUUUUAUAAUAAUCAUUAAAAAAUUAUAAAAUGCAUUGCUUGAUUGCUUUUUGUGAAAAAGUUUGAGGGUCUUUUUUUUAUGCAUUUUGGCAAUUCAAGUACCCAAUUGAGUGCAAAAAAAAAGAGUAGGGGCUUAAUUGCUUUUUUGGAAAAAAAAUUGAGGGCCUUUUUGAUGCAUUUUGAAAGUUCAAAUACUUAGUUAAGUGCAAAAAAAAGAAAAAAGUAGGAGCUUAAUUGUUUUUCCUUUUGAAAAAAAUUGAGGGCUUUUUACACUCUUAAACAUUUUAUAAAUGAAUUUUGAUUUUUUGUAGUUUUAUAUAUGAAAUUUUGAUUUGUUUAAAUUCUCAUAAAUUAUUAACAUAACAUCAUUUUAUAUUUAUAUAUUACAUACAUAAAUAAUUAAAUAUUCUCAUGGGCUUAUAAUGGAAAGUACAAUGAAUAUGUACCAACAGAAUGUUUGUGGUCACCACAAAUAUUCUCAUGACAUCAGCCUCCUGCUUCAACACAUACAAUGAGGAUUCCAUAUCUAAAAGUAAAAAGAAUCAUGAAAAAAAUACAAUGCAUAGUAAAUCAAUUGUACAUGUUGUGUAUUAACAUAAUAAUCUUAACCAUAUCGCUCGUUGACUUUCAUGAGACCACAUACAUUAUUGUCCACAACUUCUAAAAUUUGAAUUAUCGUACAUUUUGCAUUAAAAAAUCUCAUGGUAAUCUUAUUUUCAAGUAAGAUACACAUUAUAGGAGAUCAACUCCCCUAAAUGCAUUUUAGGUGUUAUCUUUCAUAAGCUAGUGAUUUUUUCUUGAUUAAUAUAAUCAUGCCUCAAAUCUUAAAGGUACACUUCAUUAGAGUGAGAAGUUCUAAGUUCCUUGUCGAAAUCGUUUUUUGAAAACAAAAAAUUUAGUUGUCGACUUUUAAAAAUAAAACUGGAGUCGUCACCGAUCCUUUUAUUAAGGUGUGAUCGGCCUACCUUAAAAAAAUAUUUUGGCCUACGAAUUUUGAGAAAACGAGUCCGGGAGUCAGUUACGCACGAGGAAGGGUUAGCACCCUCGUAACGCCCAAAAUCGGUACCAAAUUGAUUAUUUGAUGUCUUAGUGUCGAAAGUUAAAAAAGAUUUUAAAAUAAGCUUGAAUGAUUAAAUUUGCAAAAGGAUAACCAAUUGUUCAAGUCCUGUAAAGAAAUCGAGUCCCAAUACGUUAGGGUACGAUUCCUCAUAAUCCCCGAACUUUGAAUAUCACUUUUAUUUUAUGCGAAAAUCUUCAUUUCGAGAAAGUAACAGGCCACACCCAAUACGUUAGGGCACAACAAGUUAAGUUCCCAAAAAUGAUUUUUAUGCUCAUGCAUUUUGAAUAAAGAAUAUUCUCGGUCAUUUAAGAUUAACAAAGAAAAUCAGAACCCAAUACGUUAGGGCUCAAUUUCCCUCGAAAAUCCCAAACCUCAAAUAAUGCUUUUAUUCAAAACAAACCUUUAAAUCAAGAAAAAAAAUGAUUUUGGUAUAUCGAAAAAAACCAAGAUUUAUUUUCCAAAGGGUAUGUUAAAAAUUAAUGUACAAUAUGAAAUAAAUAUUUUAAUUUAAAAUAUAUAUAUAUACAUGUACUUACAAAAUAUGUAAACACAAGCACAAUAUACAAGUAAAUUUGAAAAAAUGUGUAUGCAUAUAUUUAACAUACAUAUACAACACAACUUAUAAUAAUCUCCAACAAUAUGCAUGUAGAUUUCAAAGAAAGUAAGUAUAUGUACAAAAAUAAGGAAAAUACAUAUGUAUUGUAAAAUAUAAGUGUACAUACAUAUAUACUUAUUUAUAAAGGCUAUGAAAACAAAAAAAAGGGAAUAUAUAUAUAUAUAUAAAUUAUGCAUGUAUUAAAAUAUGUAUAUGUAUAUAUGUACAUAUAUGAAUGCAAAAACUAUAGGAAUAAAAUAAUGUAAAAAACAAAUAUGAAAGUAUGAGGAUAUGUAUAUAUUUACAGAAUAAAACAAAUGUAUAAAUAUAUUUAUAUAAUAUAAAAUAUAUAAAAGUUAAAAGAGAUAAAAUAAAAAAAAAUAUAAAACGUAUGUAAAAUGCAUGUAUUUAUAUAAGUUUUAAGAAUAUAUAUUAUAAAGAAAUAUGUAUAUAUACUAUAUAUUAAAAAUGCGUGCAUACAUAGAGAAAUAAUAAUAAAUGAUAAUAAAUUAUAUAGUGAUAAUUUUAAAAAUUCAAAAAUUAAAAAAAAUUGCAAAAAACAAAAAAAAAUGAAAUUAAAAUUGAACGAGGACCAAUUUGAAACGCACGCAUUAUAUGAGGGGGCCCAAAUGGAAAUAAUCCCUUCCCCGAAGCGGUGCGCAGCAAUAAGGACCAAUUUGAACCAAAAAUAAAAUAUGCGGCCCAAUUUACAAAAAGAGCAAAACAGGUUUAAUCGAAGCGCGCUGCAAAAAGGAGGGACCAAUUGCGCAAAUUUCCCACCUGACGUCAGAGCGCGCGGAUCCUCCCCUUCGAGUCUGGUCACCGCGCGGGUCAGGCCUGGGAAAACGGCGCCGUUUUGAUCUGUUAUUAAAAGAGAUUUAAAAAAAAACAUUUCAGCAGAUUGAAAAGAAAAAAAAACAAGGUUCCCCCCUUUUGCUCUGCUAGGGUUUCGCACCCAAACCCCGUCGCGCCGCCAUUCGCCUGGCCAACGCUCCGAUCAUGACGGAGCCGACCACCAGGUAAGUGCUCCCCUUUUCUUUUUUAUGCUAUUUCCUUUUCUUUUUUAAUAAAAAACAUAAAAAUAGAAACAAAAAGAACAAAAAAUAGCGAGGAAAAAAACAAAGAAUCCCGAUUUCACCUUGAAAAACAAAAGAUCUGUACUUUUAAUGUUCUUUUUCUAUUUUCCCCUCUAUUUUUUUUGGUUUUUUACACUGAAUCCCCCCUUUAUAGAUUUGAUAACGACCCUUUUUAUAGCUGAAAGAAAAUAAUAAUAAAUAAAUAUAAAAAUAUUUUCCCAACGAUAUUUGUUGCUUUUGUUGCUAUUGCUGCGCUGUAUACCUCCUUUUUCGCAGGUUUGGAGGCUAAUGGGGAGUGCGCGCAUGCUGGGGAGGGUCGUGGUGCGAGAUUCGUGGCGGCGUGUGAGGGUGAGCGGCGGCGGUGCUGAACCAAAUAGGCUCUUAGGGUUUCUGUUAUUUUGUUUUUGUGUGGGCUAGGUUUUGGGUUAAUGUUUGGCCUAGGUUAAUUUGGGUUUUGGGCCUGUUUAUUGGUUUGGGCCCGGGCAUAUUUGUUUGCUUGGGCCCGGGCAUUAUUGGGCUUGUACAGCUGCCCCUCUUUGCUCAUUAUCGUGUAACGGGAAUAGAGCAAAGACUAAAAGCCCAAUUGUGCCCGGUCUUACUGAGCCUCACCUUCUUUAGUGCUUUUCUUCUUCAAGUAGCAUCAUUCCAACCUACUGCAUCUUCAGAGGUAUAGGAACUAGUGCUUUGAUCCACUCCUACUGCAUCGUCAGAGAAAUAUGAUUUGUACCUUGUAGCUUCUCAAAAGAACAAAAUUUGCUAUCUUUAGUCUGCUCUACUGUAACUUUAGGGAGAUAAGGCUUGUAGCUUCAACUUAUUCUACUGCAACUUUAAGGAUAAGUCUGAUGCGAUCUGCUCUACUACAACUUCAGAGAGAUAAGAUCCAUCAUUUUAAUCCAACCCACUGCAAUAUUAGGGAAAUAGGGUAACUGGCUUCAAUGUACUCCACUGUAAACACAGGGAGGUAAAAUCCACUAUCUUUAAUCUGCUCCACCACUGCUUAGAGAGACAAGAUCUGAAAUCUUCAACCUAUUCCACUGCUGCCCAGGGAGAUAGAAUUACUGGCUUCAAUGUACUCCACUGUAACCACAGGGAGGUAAAACCCGCCAUCUUUGAUCUGCUCCACUACUGCUUAGGGAGACAAGAUCUGAAAUCUUCAAUCUAUUCCACUGCUGUCCAGGGAAGUAGAAUUAUUGGCUUCAAUGUACUCCACUGCAACCUCAGGGAGGUAAAAUUCACCAUCUUUGAUCUGCUCCACUACUGCUUAGGGAGAAAAGAUCUGAAAUCUUCAAUCUAUUCCACUGCUGCCCAGGGAAGUAGAAUUACUGGCUUCAAUGUACUCCACUGCAACCUCAGGGAGGUAAAAUCUGCCAUCUUUGAUCUGCUCCACUACUGCUUAGGGAGACAAGAUCCAAAAUCUUCAAUCUAUUCCACUGCUGCCCAGGGAAGUAGAAUUACUGGCUUCAAUGUACUCCACUGCAACCUCAGUGAGGUAAAAUUCACCAUCUUUGAUCUGCUCCACUAUUGCUUAGGGAGACAAGAUCUGAAAUCUUCAAUCUAUUCCGCUGCUGCCCAGGGAAGUAGAAUUACUGGCUUCAAUGUUCUCCACUGUAACCACAGGGAGGUAAAAUUCGCCAUCUUUGAUCUGCUCCACUACUGCUUAGGGAGACAAGAUCCAAAAUCUUCAAUCUAUUCCACUGCUGUCCAGGGAAGUAGAAUUAUUGGCUUCAAUGUACUCCACUGCAGCCUCAGGGAGGUAAAAUCUGGCAUCUUUGAUCUGCUCCACUACUGCUUAGGGAGACAAGAUCCAAAAUCUUCAAUCUAUUCCACUGCUGCCCAGGAAAGUAGAAUUAUUGGCUUCAAUGUACUCUACUGUAACCACAGGGAGGUAAAAUCUGUCAUUUUUGAUCUGCUCCACUACUGCGUAGGGAGGAAAUAUCUGAAAUCUUCAAUCUAUUCCACUGCUGCCUAGGGAAGUAGAAUUACUGGCUUCAAUGUACUCCACUGCAACCUCAGGGAGGUAAAAUCUGCCAUCUUUGAUCUGCUCCACUACUGCUUAGGGAGAAAAGAUCCAAAAUCUUCAAUCUAUUCCACUGCUGCCUAGGGAAGUAGAAUUAUUGGCUUCAAUGUAAUCCAUUGCAACCUCAGGAAGGUAAAAUCUGCCAUCUUUGAUCUGCUCCACUACUGCUUAGGGAGACAAGAUCCAAAAUCUUCAAUCUAUUCCACUGCUGCCCAGGGAAGUAAAAUUAUUGGCUUCAAUGUACUCCACUGUAACCACAGGGAGGUAAAAUCUGCCAUAUUUGAUCUGCUCCACUACUGCUUAGGGAGGCAAGAUCUGAAAUCUUCAAUCCAUUCCGCUGCUGCCCAGGGAAGUAGAAUUACUGGCUUCAAUGUUCUCCACUGUAACCACAGGGAGGUAAAAUUCACCAUCUUUGAUCUGCUCUGCUGUCUAUACAGGAAGACAAGAUCUGCUAUAUUCAAUCUGCUUCACUGUCUCUGAGGGAGGCGAGGUUGGUGUCUUCGAUCUGCUUCACUGUCGAUGCAGGAAGGCAAAAUCUGUUAUCAUCACUGAUCUGUUCUCUGGGGAACAUGACCUGUAUAAUGAACCUAAUUAUGUCUAAUGAUUAGGAUGGCAUGAUCAAAAUGAAUCAAAUGCUCCUAACUAGGCAUGUAUGAAUGACAUUUGAAUGAAUGCAGAAUGUCAUUAAAAUGAUAUUUUAACACUUAAGUUAUCAUUACUCCAAGUUUAUUAAGGUCUUAUCGCUUAAUGUACUAUAGCGCCUUUAUACUCGACUGGUGAACCCAAUAAGCACUUGACCAGAUUGCCCCCCACUGUAAACCUCCAAGUUUGAUUCGUUGGGAUGCAAAAUUUGUACCAUCUUUUCCCGUUGUAACCCAAGAGUAAAAGAUUUGGCAUUUUCUCAAUCCUCUGCUAUCGCAAUUCAAGGAUACAAGAUGUGAAACUUUUUGGUCUCCUACACCAUUCCCAGGGUGUUGUACCAAAUGCUCAUGCACAAAUGAAGAAAUCUUCUCCAAGAACAACUUCUUCUUAUUACUCGGUGAUCAUUGCUUGUUUGUUCAUUGAAGCUUUGUCACCAACACGACAUCUUGCCAUUUUGUUCAAUUAAUACUUUAGACAAGAAAAUUCAAAGGGAUAAUCUUAAUUUAGACUCUUCUUUAUCAGAUUUCCAACCUGGUGCGUUCUAAACAAUAGUCCUGUUUGAGGUUUCUAUAUUAUUCAGAAACUUCUAGAGUAAUAUGCAAAACUUCCCUUGCGAAAGUUUUAUUAGUCCAUUAAUCAUUAUUCUAAUGCAACAUGCUUGCAGAAAGAUCAUGGAUAAGAAUAGAGUUGGCUCUGAGUAUAGCUCGGAAUGAAUAAAUUGUCAAGGACAAUAAAGAUGGAUAACAAAGAAACUGAUUUAGGAAUGCGUAUCUUGGAAAUGAAUGAAGUGUUCCAAGAAUAACAAAAAUAGUAGAAGGAUUAGGUGCCCCAGAUAUCACAGCUUGAACUUUGCUGUACAGACUUUCUGAAGACCAUUCUGAGUUUAACAUGUUCUUGGAGAUCUACAGUACUUUGUCAAUGCCCCAAGAUGUCGCCUACCAUUUCCUGCUGAUUCAGGUGUAGCAAGACCACUGUAUGCCCCAUUCUGAUCAGUAUUUGAGCUGCUCUGAUAAUUUCAAACGCCAUUUUGAUCAAUCAUUUGAGCCGCCCUUUUCGGGUUUUCAACUCAAAUUUCUUUUGGUCUAAGGCGCACUUUGCGGGUUUUCACCUUAGCCUCUCCAUUUUACUUUUUCAUUUUUCAGUUUUCAUUUUCACUUUUUCAUUUUUCAUCUCAUCAUUUUUCGACUCAAAGUACCUUUGCGGGCUUUUACCUUGGUCAUCCCCUUCUUUAAGCGGAGUAUUUCCUGACUGAAUUUGAGUUUACAGGACUUUGCAGGUUUAUCAUCCAUCUCGCUCAAGAUCAAAACUCCUUUGGAAAAGACCUUCUCUAUAACAUAAUGUUCUUCCCAACUUGGCAUCUGUUCCCCUCCAAAACAUUUCUUUGUAGAAGGAAGAUCUUCAACAUUUGGUCACCCUCGUGGAAUUCUCUGGGAUGAACCUUUUGUUAUAGGCUUGCAUAAUUCAUUUCUAGUACAUCUGACCGUGAUGAAUAACUUUUAGCCUUCUUCAUUCUAUCAAGUUCAAUUGAUCACAUUGCGAUUGGAUCUGUUCUGCUUCAUCCAACUUGCUCAGCCAAUACCCGGAGAGAAAUAAUUUCAACUUCAAUAGAAAAAAAAAUCAUGAUGAACUAAAGAGAGAGGCACUACUCCGAUAGAGUUUUCACCGCAUCAUUCAUGAUAUUGAACAUACUGCAAAUUUCUGAUAUCGUGCUGUUGUUCAGAUUGCAAUGACAGCGCUUAAACCAGGCACAUCCUGGUAUGACCAUGCGAAGACAUCUUUAAAUACUUGAAGUAACCCAACCACGUCUAGAUUUGUUUUUUCGGUCAUGCAUGUUACCUCAAGGUCACAGUCUCUAUUGUCUCAUUUGUUUCUCUUAUUGCUUUACCAUUCUCAACAAGUCAGGAGAUAAGCUACAAUUUAUGACAUCUUCAAAGUCAUGAGAUCCCUCUAAGUACAUGUCUCACCCAAAAGGUAAUUUUGAGUCUGUAGCAGCAUCACUCAUGUCAUUGAUAUUUGGGGACCCAUAGUGGGUACCAAAGAAAAUACAAAAGAAUGUAUGAAUAUGAAUGAACGAAUGAAUGGUUUGACAGAAAAAAUCCAAAAGAAUGAAGAAAAUGUAAAGACUGAAAGAACAUUUGCUUAAAGAUGAUUGCAAUAACGUAUUCAUUAAAAUAAUAAUAUUCAGACGUGAGCCUAUUUCACAAAGAAGUUCUUAUUGCUUCUAGGCUAAAAGCAACAAGUGUGUUCUGAACAUUACUCUAACAAACUCUAAAUACUACAGGGUUUCCUCUGCAGUCCAACUAUUUAGAACAUUCCCAGGUUUAUAAAGGGCAAACAUCUAAUAAGAUCUCUUCUCCAGUUGUUUCUUCGUGUUCGGCACUGAUGUGAACAUUUCCCAACAUUUCUUCAUUCAUCGCAGUCCCUUCAUUAUCCAUAUGAUUGAGUAGCGGGUUUUCUGUACUGAAUGAAUCCUCAAAUUUGACAAUGCCCAUAUUGAUAAACAUUUCGACCAGCUUUCUAAAGGCAGUGCAAUUUUCUAUAGAAUGCCCCGUAAUUCCUGCAUGAUAGUCACAUUGCGCAUUUGUGUCAUACCAUUUGGGGUACGGAGGUUGUAAAGGCUUCAAGUAGAAAGGGGAGACAACAUGUGCAUCAAAUAAACUUUGAUACAACUCCUGGUAUGACAUUGGGAUUGGUGCAAACUGAGACUUCUUAAUGUUUUGCUUUGUGCCAAACUCUUGCCUUGGGGGGAUCUGAUGGCCAGUAGUAACCGUCUUUGGUUGGUUUGCGGUAAUCGGCUUUGAAUAACUCUCGUUAUACCUACCCACACUAUUCACCUCCUUUUUCCUCUUCCUCGAGACUUUUGAAGUAUUGUUUUGGGAGUUCCACUCUUGCCCAUUCUGUUUGUAACGAUCUUCAAAUUGUUUUGAAAACUCUACUUUCGCCUAUUUUGUUUCCACUAGAUCAUCGAGGACAACAGGAUUAGUUAGAUUGCCCCUAAGAUUAGAACCUGAGCCUGUCGCGAAAUUCACCGGUGUCGAGGUAUUGGUCUGGUACUGUGGUCGAAUGUUAACAGUUACCCUUUGUGGAUAUGUGUUUGGUUGUGCUUGAAUGUUUGUUAGGGUAAAGCCUGGAAGAUAUGCAGGGCCUUCAUUAUCAUUCCCAAAGUGGACCACUGGGUUUUUUCCUUUUUCUAACCUCAUAUCCAGUAACUGGGUUAACUGGCUCAUCAAAUUUCUUUGGAUUUCUAGCAUCUGAUCCUUCAUAUCUUGUUAAAAUUUGGCCAAUUGCUCUAGCAUCUGUAUUUGCAUCAGCUCUAAUCUCUCCAUCCUUUGGUCCAUUCCUUUAGUUUCUAUUCGGGUACCGCAGGAAUGUUGGUUUUUUAGCUGAAAUAAUUUUACUCAAUUAGGGUCUUUUAAUGGUCUUUAAUGCACGUGAUGUUGUGUAAUGCAAAUGCAUGAAGUGAAUGCAAAAAGAGACGUUGAUUCUUGGUUCAAUUCUAUUGGAAAAACUUUACUAGAAAAAAAAUCUCUUUAUAUAAAGUAGAUAUAUAUACGAUUUUGCCCUUAUAGGCUGAGUCAUUCGAUCCUCUUCUUCAUUCAAGCAUUAAGAUAAAUAUCACGAACUCUUCAAAAGUGAUGUCUCUUCUAUCUCCUUUUUACUUGAUCCGGGCCGUGACUCAUUGCUCCUUUAUCGUUGUGAUGCUCGUUGGCUUCCCUUUAAAAAAAAGUUCAGCGGCUCUCGAUUAAUCUUCGUCAGCUUGAGUCUUCGGGCAACGGAACAAUAGUUGUGUAGUCCUCCAUUAAACUAUUAUCUUUCCCUUGUUGUGUUUUCUCAGAACAUAUUCGGGCAACCAUAUUAUUUUCCACUUUAUCAAGAAACCCAUUUCCUUAUGACAAGCUUUCUAAUCUAGUAAUCGAACUCAAAUCAACAUCUCUUUUCUAAGAUGCAAAUGCAAUGCAAUCAUGAUGUCAUGCAAUCAAAACAAAAUAAACACAAGUCAGUAUCACACCAAAAAGAUAUAAUCCAAUACAUACAUGAAAUAGCAAGAACAUUUAUUCAGGAAUCCACUAGGAUUUGGUAUAGCUCUACCUAGGGCAAGUUCCUAAAGCUCACUAUAUGAGGCUUAGUUUCUAGAGUAAGGGUACCCAAACCAACAGAUUCCUCGAUCCUCACCCAUUAUAGACUCAUGUGGAUCGAGUUCAGUUCAGGGGGAUACAUUUCCCUAUGGCUGCACGGAGAUGAAAAUCUCAUGAAGACAUAAGUACGGAUGUAUCCCGGAAGCGGUCCACUACCCUGCACGGAGGUGAAAACCUCACGAAGGACUAGUUUCUCGCUCCCACUUAAGAGGGUAAAACUGACCAUGUAAUGUAAAAUGCAAAUGCAAAGUUGCCAAAAUACCAUGAUAAAACAUCAAUGAGCGUGAAGGGAACUCAUGAAUUUUUUAAAAAACUUUUGAUUUUCGACACAAAGACAAAUAUAAUCAGUUUAUGGCUCGACUCUCUAAAGUCCCCAGCGGAGUCGCCAAGCUGUCGAAACCGUUUUUUGAAAACAAAAAAUUUAGUUGUCGACUUUUAAAAAUAAAACUGGAGUCGCCACCGAUCCUUUUAUUAAGGUGUGAUUCGGCCCACCUUAAAAAAAUAUUUUGGCCUACGAAUUUUGAGAAAACGAGUCCGGGAGUCAGUUACGCACGAGGAAGGGUUAGCACCCUCGUAACGCCCAAAAUCGGUACCAAAUUGAUUAUUUGAUGUCUUAGUGUCGAAAGUUAAAAAAGAUUUUAAAAUAAGCUUGAAUGAUGAAAUUUGCAAAAGGAUAACCAAUUGUUCAAGUCCUGUAAAGAAAUCGAGUCCCAAUACGUUAGGGUACGAUUCCUCAUAAUCCCCGAACUUUGAAUAUCACUUUUAUUUUAUGCGAAAAUCUUCAUUUCGAGAAAGUAACAGGCCACACCCAAUACGUUAGGGCACAACAAGUUAAGUUCCCAAAAAUGAUUUUUAUGCUCAUGCAUUUUGAAUAAAGAAUAUUCUCGGUCAUUUAAGAUUAACAAAGAAAAUCAGAACCCAAUACGUUAGGGCUCAAUUUCCCUCGAAAAUCCCAAACCUCAAAUAAUGCUUUUAUUCAAAACAAACCUUUAAAUCAAGAAAAAAAAUGAUUUUGGUAUAUCGAAAAAAACCAAGAUUUAUUUUCCAAAGGGUAUGUUAAAAAUUAAUGUACAAUAUGAAAUAAAUAUUUUAAUUUAAAAUAUAUAUAUACAUGUACUUACAAAAUAUGUAAACACAAGCACAAUAUACAAGUAAAUUUGAAAAAAUGUGUAUGCAUAUAUUUAACAUACAUAUACAACACAACUUAUAAUAAUCUCCAACAAUAUGCAUGUAGAUUUCAAAGAAAGUAAGUAUAUGUACAAAAAUAAGGAAAAUACAUAUGUAUUGUAAAAUAUAAGUGUACAUACAUAUAUACUUAUUUAUAAAGGCUAUGAAAACAAAAAAAGGGAAUAUAUAUAUAUAAUAAUUAUGCAUGUAUUAAAAUAUGUAUAUGUAUAUAUGUACAUAUAUGAAUGCAAAAACUAUAGGAAUAAAAUAAUGUAAAAAACAAAUAUGAAAGUAUGAGGAUAUGUAUAUAUUUACAGAAUAAAACAAAUGUAUAAAUAUAUAUAUAUAAUAUAAAAUAUAUAAAAGUUAAAAGAGAUAAAAAAAAUAUAAAACGUAUGUAAAAUGCAUGUAUUUAUAUAAGUUUUAAGAAUAUAUAUAUUAUAAAGAAAUAUGUAUAUAUACUAUAUAUUAAAAAUGCGUGCAUACAUAGAGAAAUAAUAAUAAAUGAUAAUAAAUUAUAUAGUGAUAAUUUUAAAAAUUCAAAAAUUAAAAAAAAUUGCAAAAAACAAAAAAAAAUGAAAUUAAAAUUGAACGAGGACCAAUUUGAAACGCACGCAUUAUAUGAGGGGGCCUAAAUGGAAAUAAUCCCUUCCCCGAAGCGGUGCGCAGCAUUAAGGACCAAUUUGAACCAAAAAUAAAAUAUGCGGCCCAAUUUACAAAAAGAUCAAAACAGGUUUAAUCGAAGCGCGCUGCAAAAAGGAGGGACCAAUUGCGCAAAUUUCCCACCUGACGUCAGAGCGCGCGGAUCCUCCCCUUCGGGUCGGGUCACCGCGCGGGUCAGGCCUGGGAAAACGACGCCGUUUUGAUCUGUUAUUAAAAGAGAUUUAAAAAAAAACAUUUCAGCAGAUUGAAAAGAAAAAAAAAACAAGGUUCCCCCCCUUUCGCUUUGCUAGGGUUUCGCACCCAAACCCCGUCGCGCCGCCAUUCGCCUGGCCAACGCUCCGUCACGACGGAGCCGGCCACCAGGUAAGCACUCCCCUUUUCUUUUUUAUGCUAUUUCCUUUUCUUUUUUAAUAAAAAAUAUAAAAAUAGAAACAAAAAGAACAGAAAAUAGCGAGGAAAAAAACAAAGAAUCCCGAUUUCACCUUGAAAAACAAAAGAUCUGUACUUUUAAUGUUCUUUUUCUAUUUUCCCCUCUAUUUUUUUGGUUUUUACACUGAAUCCCCCCUUUACAGAUUUGAUAACGACCCUUUUUAUAGCCGAAAGAAAAUAAUAAUAAAUAAAUAUAAAAAUAUUUUCCCAACGAUAUUUGUUGCUUUUGUUGCUAUUGCUGCGCUGUAUACCUCCUUUUUCGCAGGUUUGGAGGCUAAUGGGGAGUGCGCGCAUGCUGGGGAGGGUCGUGGUGCGAGAUUCGUGGCGGCGUGUGAGGGUGAGCGGCGGCGGUGUUGAAGCAAAUAGGCUCCUAGGGUUUCUGUUAUUUUGUUUUUGUGUGGGCUAGGUUUUGGGUUAAUGUUUGGGCUAGGUUAAUUUGGGUUUUGGGCCUGUUUAUUGGUUUGGGCCCAGGCAUAUUUGUUUGGUUGGGCCCGGGCAUUAUUGGGCUUGUACAUUCCUUAUUUGCAAUUUUGGUUUCUAUCAUUGUGUGCACCUUUGAUUUGAUAAAAUAUAUAUUGUUUUAUAUCCAUUCUUUACAGAUGUGUGAAUAAUUUCUAAAACUUGCAAUACUGUUACAAGUAGAGUUUUAUUUCAUUUAUAUUUCUUAUAUCUAUAAAUAUAAUUUUUUAUAAGUAUUGAUAAUAUCCCUAUUAAUCAAUAAAAUAUGUACUUCUCUCUUGCUAUUUUAUUUGUAAUUCUUUUUCUCUCCUUAUUAUUUAUUUCAUAACAGUAUUAAUAUAUUUUAAUUUUACGGUUUAUUUUUACUAAUAAUUAUUAAAAAAAAUCAAAUUGACCUUUUAAGGAAAAAUUAUAUUUUCAUCAAUAGAUGAUAUUUUUUUAGAAUAAUGAAAAUGUUAUUUGUUGACACCAUUUUUUGAUAAAAACUGGGUCGACUUGGAUUUUGAAAACAAAAACGAAAAUGGGAGUCGCCACCAAUCCUUUUUGAUAAGGUGUAAUCGGAUCACCUUGAAAAGUGGUUGUUUUUAAUAAAUGAUUUAAUUUAUUAAAACAACAAUUUUGGUCCACAAAAUUCAGAAAGACGGGUUCAGGAGUCGGUUACGUACAAGGAAGGUUAGCACCCUCGUAACACCCAAAAUUGGUACCUAGUUGAUUAGUUAAUGUCUUAGUGUCGAAGAUUGAAAACUUUAAAGAGAUUUAAAAUACGAUCCUUUAUUGAAAUGUUGCAAAUUUUUGGGAAAGAGGGCAUAUUUCACGUUAAUCGAGGAAAAUAAUCAUAUCCAGUAAGUUAGGAUACAAUAUCUUGAAUUCCCGAUGUGCGAAUGGAUGCCAAAAAUUUACUUAUUUAAAAGGUAUUUAGUUAUCUCGGAUUUAAAAAAGGGGAAUCAUGCCCAGUAAGUUAGGACACGACCCCUUCUUAAUUAUCGUUAAUUUAAAAUUACUCGCAUAAAACAAAAAUGGAAAACGCCUCCUUAUCUCGAAGUUACAAGAUGUCACAUCCAAUAAGUUAGGGCCCGACAUCUCGUAGUUUGAGAAUAAGUUUGCCUUUCAUUUUUUAUUUAAAUCUCAUUUGUUUUAAUUUUAAAAGGAUAUUCGGUUAUUUAGGACCAACGCGAGAAAAAUCGAAGCUCAGUAAGUUAGGGCACAAUUUCUCGAAUUUUCUAAAUAUGGAAUAUUGCCUUUAUUUUCAAGAUUUUACCCUUUUGAAUUUUGAGUACGAAUUAAUGGAAUAUUUAAAAACCAAAUGCGUGCAAUUUUGAUUAUAUUUGAAAAGAAAUCGUUUAAAACGAAAAGGAUGUCGUACACGAUCUGUAACAAAAUAUACAACAUACAUUUAAAAUCCAUAACAUAAUAUGCAUCAUAAAAUAUACACAUAGCAUUGAGACUAAUAAAUCCUAAUGAUAACAUGCAUGAAUAAUAAUAAUAAUAAUAAUAAUAAUAAUAAUAAUAAUAAUAAUAAUAAUAAUAAUAAUAAUAAUAAUAAUAAUGCAAAUGACAAUAUAAUAGCAACAAUAAUAACAACCACAAUAAACAUAAUACUAAUGAAUCUAAAGUUUGAAAAGUAUUUAAAGAUAUCAAAUAAAUAAAUGAUGGAAUAAAAUUGUAAUAAUAAUGACAAAAAUAGAAUAAACAAACCAAAUUCUAAAAAAAAUAAUUAAACCAAAAUAAAAUUAUUAAAACUUUGACCAAAAAAUGGAAAUAAGUAAAUAAAUAACCUUAACGGAAAUAUUAAAUAAAACUGAUUUUUUUAAAAGAAUAUAAAAUAAAAAAUAAAAUAAAAUUCGUGGUUUAAUAGGCCGAGGAUCAAAUUGCAAUCAGACUCAAAUUUCGAGGGCAAAAUCACAAAAUAAGAAAGAUAGGAUUGCGAGGGACCGAACUGAAACACGCUUGAAACGUGAGGGACUUAUAGGGAAAUAUUCCCCAGCCCUAAAAAGCGGCGUUUAACCGAGGGAGCUGCGCAUGGUCUAAGGACCGAAUUGAAUAGGGAGCAAAAUUUGCGGCCCAAUUCCAAAAUAACUAAAAGGAUUAGAUUGUGCUAUGUUGUAAAGUCGAAGGGACCGCAUGCGCAAAUAUCCCCUCAUAUCAGAAAACGUGCGGAUCCCAUGAAUGCGGGUCGGGCUUAGGCCAAACGGCGUCAUUUUGGCCACUGAUGCUAAAGUCCAAAAUGGCAUUGUAUUGACCCCAUAUAAAGACAAAAAAAAUAAAUUUAAAAAAAAUUGAAAUUUUAUUUAAAAAAACAAAAAACAGAUACCCUCUUAGUCUUCCUUGGUCUCUCUCAGCCUUUCCCUGGCCGGCCAUGGUCGCCACCGUAGCGCCGCCAUGGCCGGUGGCUGGUGCUGCGCGAGAGGGGGCUUUUAACCGCACCUUAGAUCCCACUCGAAGGCCAAGCCUUCUUGACCCAAAAGGCUGAAGGAAAAGGGAGUUUCACACCCCUUUUGGUUCGAUUUCGGUGACCCAAAAUGGCCUCCGGCGAUGGCUCGUGGGACUGUUUCGAGUAAGUUCCCCCCCUUUUCCUCCCUUUUUUAUUUCUUUGUUAAUCAUUUUUGCAUGAUUUUGUAAAAAGAAUUAGUAAAUAAUAAUAAAAUAAAAAGAAAAACAAAGAGAGAACAACAACCUUUUAGACUUCUAUUAUGCUUUUUGAUUUCUGAUGUGUGUGGAAAAAAAAAUACAGAGGUGAAAUUUGGGCUCUUAUAGCCGGAUCUAAAUAGCUCUUAAUCAUUAUUCUUUGUCGUUUUCCUAUUUGUUUGUUGUUUUUUUGUUUCUGCUGUUGCGUGUGGUGUAACAGCUCGGUUUAGACCCUAGUCGGAACAGUGGUUUUGGGACCACAAAUCCAAGUUAAAAAAAAUUUAAUAUUAAAUUUGGCAUUUGCAGUAUGUGAAUUAAUAUGUGUGAAAAUUUCGUAUGAAAAUUUAAUUGUUUGAGUGCUCAAUUUGAUAAAAGAACUUAAUCGCGUAAAAUGAAAAAGUGACUUACUAUUUGUGAAAGUGCUAUAUUGCUAUGUUCGUUUAAUGUGGAGGCCUUAAAAUGAAAUUAGGCCAUUAAAUGAUAGAAUGGACGGUAGUGGACAACUAUUUUUAUGUUUUUAUAUUAUUUCAUUUAGGUUAAAAAGGUAAAAUGACAUAUUAAUAAGAAAUAAAAUAAAACAAAAUAUAAAAUGGCCAUUAUAUUCAUCUUUAUCACCGAAUGCAUGAAAGAAAAUAAGCCAUUUUCUUAGUUUGAGGGUUCGGCAACUUGAAUAUCAAAUUCGGGUAUGUUCUUUGUUCGGUUUUUGAUAAUUUUUAUAUUUUUGUGAUCGUUGCUUCGAGUGCUAGCAAACCCAUGUUUUAAUUUUUGAAAUUGAUGAUGAAUUUGGUAUUUUCCAUUGAUGUUAGCUUGAUGUUUUUGUGGUUUGAUGAUGAAAUAUAAACUUUUGUUGAUAGAUUAUUAUGUUUAAUUAAGUGAUUUUUGAUAAAAAUGUGUAUUAAGGAUUAAAUUGAGAAAAGUGUAAAAUUCAAGGUUAAAUGUGUGAAUAAACUAAAAAUGUGGGCUGCUAGUAGUAUGGGUAGAAUUCGGCCUAACAAGGAUUUAGUGAAAUUUUGUGUAUUUUAUGUUAUUUUGAAAUAAGAACUAAAUUGAGAAAAAUGCGAAAUGUUAGGGGCUAAAAUGAAAAUUUCCAUUUAUAUGUUCUUGAAUGGAAAUUGAAUGAAAUGUUGAAUAAUUAAGUUAAUUUUGAUAUUAAUUAGAUUGGAAAAAAGUAGAAAUAGGAUUUGGAUCGGGAAAAUCAGAAGUUAUCGAUUAGUCAUUCCGGUCCGUUCACGUCCGUACGAGGUAAGUUCAUAAGUAAAUAAAUGCUAAUAAAUUUGAAUGUAUAUAUGUUAUAUGUGUUGAAUUGAUCUUUAAUAAAUAUAUGUGUAUAUGCCGAAUUGAAUUUAGAGUUGGAGAACUAGUUACGAGCUUGAAUCGAUAGAAUUACGACGUCCGAAAAGCCCCCUACGAACCAUAGGAAUAGUUAGGAUACAUAUGACAUAACAUAGGAUUCCGAUAUGUGUUAUCGUGUAAGACUAAGUCUUGGACGUUGGCAUCGGUUUGAAAUUUAUGUGUAAGACUAUGUUUGGGACAUCGGCAUCAUAUUUGAUUUUGUGUAAGACCCUGUCUGAGAUAGUGACAUCGAUAUUAAUUACAUGUAAGACCACGUCUGGGACGUUGGCAUUGUACGAGUUUUUUUUAGCUAUCCAAGUAUCCUAUUUGAUUCCGAACGGUUCAACGGGCAUUCUGAGAAAUAAAUGAGUAUAUGAAUGUGCAUCUGAAUCAGGUAUGUUGUGAUGAAUAUGAAUUUGAGCAAUGAACGUGAGUAUGAUUAUGAUCAUUCGUUAUAUAAUUUAUGUGAAAAUGAGAUGUGAAUAUUAGCAAGGGAACUAUGAACAAAUUAAUCAUAUAAGAAAUGUAGAAUUGUAAUUGUGUUUUUGCCAUAUAUGAUUUAGGUACAAAUGAUUUGUAUAUGAAAUUUUGAUAUGAAAUGUGAGUAUGAUUAAAAUGAUGAUAUAUAUGAAAUAUAUGAUAAUGAAUGAUGUGUUAUAUAUGCUCGUGGAAAGGGAGGCAUUUGAAAGGAUUCUUUUUUUUUUUUUUUUAAGAGAAGAGUGAAAAAUGAAAAAUUUUAACAAAUUUUUGGCUUUUAUAGCCUAAAUGAAACGGCGCCGUUUUAGCCCCCAUGACCCGCGCGCGAUCCGACCCGCUCCAGGGGUGAUCCGCGUGUUUUCAUGAAAUGGGUUAUUUGUGUGCGCAAUCCUUCCUCUUUGCGGUGCAUUGCAAUUCGGCCCUUUUUCAUUAUUUUCUUUUAUUUUUAAUUUAUCCCCAUAAUUUUGUUUUCGUUUUAAUUUGGUCCAUUUCAGCUCAGCAUUUUGGGGGCUUUGGUUUAUUUACCCUGUUAGCCCUUGCCUUGUCAGCGCGCGUUGCAAUUUGGUCCUUCCCGAUUUUUUUACUCUGAUUUUGCCUAAUAUUUUCGUUUUUAUUUCGAUUUAGUCCAUAUUUUAGCAAUUUUAUUAUUUAGUUGUUAUUAUUGUUAUUAUUAUUAUUAGUAUUAUUAGUAUUUCUAUUAUUAUUUAUAUUAUUGUUACUUAUUAUAUUAUUAUCAUAUGAUAGUUUAAAUAUACGUACAUGUAUAAUAUUAUUAUUAUUAUUAUUAUUUCCUUUUUAGACUUAUUUAAUAUAUAUAUAUAAAUACCUUUUUAUAUGUAUAUAUAUAUAAGUUUUUUUUCCUUUCUGUUUCUCACGAAUAUAUAUGUAUAUUUAUAUAUAUAUAUUAUAUGGUUUCUUUUAUAUCUAUUUAUAUAUAUAUAUUUAUUUAUCUUAUUUUAUUUUUUAUAUAUCUCACAUAUACAUUUUUUAUAUAUAUUUUUUAUGUAUAUAUUUUUUUAAUAUUUAUAUGAAUUUACGCAUCUUAUUUAUAUGUUACGGCUUAUUAUUCCGCAUGUUAUCAAUUUGUUCUUUUUAUUUAUUUUAGUUAUCAUUGCCCGUAUUAUUUUUAUACUUUCGUAUUCGUUAUGAUAUUGCCAUGUAUAUCAACAAUGUAAUUUGCUUUCACAUUUUUACUACGAUUUUCAUGUUUUAUUUUACUCGAUAUAACAAAAUUUGUUUUGAAUAAAUAAUAUUUCGUGUUUAGAUUCGAGAGGAUCGUACCCUAACUUAUUGGGUUUCGAUUUUCACGAUAAAUCUAAAUGCACAAAUCUUUUCAAACUCAAAUUUUAAACGAUCUCGGGAUUUUAAAAAGAAUCGCGUCCUAACUUACUGGUCGUGAUCUCAUUUUUAAAUCCGAGAUGGCUAAAAUAUCUUUUAAAUAAGUAAAUUUUAGUAUUUUUCAUUCGCGUAUCGAGAAUUCGAGACAUUGUGUCCUAACUUACUGGAUAUGGUACUCUUUCUCGAAUAACGUGAAAUAUGUUUCUUUUCCCAAAAAUUUUCAUUUUAAUACAAUGAUCGUAUUUUUAAUUUUUCCAAGUUCUCAAUUUUCGACAUCAAGACAUUAGUUAAUCAACUAGGUACCAAUUUUUGGGCGUUACGAGGGUGCUAAUCCUUCCUCGUAUGUAACCGACUCCCGAACCCGUUUUCUAAAUUUCGUGGACCAAAACCGUUGUUUUAAUAAAAUCAAUUUGUUUAUUAAAAACAACCACUUUUCACGGUGAUCCGAUCACACCUCAAAAAGGAUUGGUGGUGACUCCCGUUUUUGUUUUCAAAAUCCAAGUCGACCCCGUUUUCAAUCAAAAAAAUGGUGUCAACACCAAAGAUAUUUGGCACAAACGAUAUGGACAUCUGAGUUACAAACAUUUGGCAUUAUUGCAUAGCAAAAAAUUGAGGGCUUUUUACACCCUUAAACCUUUUAUAAAUGAUUUUUGAUUUUUUGUAAUUUUAUAUAUAAAAUUUUGAUUUGCUCAAAUUCUCAUAAAUUAUUAACAUAACAUCAUUUUAUAUUUAUAUAUUACAUGCAUAAAUAAUUAAAUUUAUUCAAUAGAAAAAUAAAUUACUGUAUUUAUUUUUUAAAAUUUAUAUAAUUAAAUAAAAAUAUAUAGAUACCUCCUUUACUAUACACAAAUUUUCAAUUAGAAGAAAAAGGCUUAGAGUUUUGGAAAUUUUAAUCAGAAAUUUUCUGAUUGGAAAAACAUAAAGGGAGAGGGUGACGGAAAUAAUUAUAGGAAUUCUCAUUUAUUCCUUUCCAACCCGGCCCCUUUAUUUAACACAUCCAUCCACACAAGAAAACCUCCUAAAAGUUCUGCAAAAAUACACAAACAAAGCUACAAAAAACUCAUACACAAGAUCAAAACCCAAACCAAUUUGCAGAAAGGUAUUAGUUUUAAAUAAAAGUCAUGUCACUUUUUAAUGUCUAAAAUUCAAGCAUAUUCAAAUAUUCAUCAUUUUAUUUUCCAAAACUCGAAGCAUAAUGGAGGAGCCUUGAAUAAAGGGUGUAUCAUCGGGCAUGUAAGCACAAUUCUUUUCUUUUUGAAAAGAUGCAAUCUCUCAUGCCUAAAAUUUAACCGGGAAAAUAUUGGAAUGAAAAAGGAAAAAAAGAAUGACAUGAACAAAUAUUAAUAAUAACAUCUUUAAAAAUCAUUAAAAAUGACUUCCAAAAUGAUCUUAAAUAAACUGGCAUCCAAAUUAAUUUAUAUCUAAAUAAUUAUUUGUCCAGAUUCAUUUGGGAUAUAAUUUAAAAUAUUAUAAAAUAUUAUUAAAAAUAUAAGUAAACUUUAUAAUAACUAUUAAUGCUUAUUUAAAAAAAAAAUUCAAACAAGAAAUACAACAAUAUUCAUAUUUGGUUAAAGUAACAUAUAUAGAGAAUCUUUGUACCUCAGGUUAGAUCGCGUUUAUACCUCAGGUUAGAUUAAGUUGUUAUAAAAUUAAAGAAAAAAAUAUAGAUAUCCUACUUGUUAGUAAAUUAAGUUGUUCAUGUUAAUUUUCUUCUACGUGACACAAGUUGUGUCACAAUUUUUGUGAAUUAAUUUGAUGGUCAGGAUACAAAUUCUCUCAGGUGUGGCCUGAGUUCGAAUUAAGUUAAUCGUGUUGUUAACUUGUAAUUCAAAAAAAAAUCUAGAAGAAAAUAAAAGAGUUGUUACAUUGACAUAUUACAAAGGGGCGUUACAAAAUUGAGAGCACCGCAUUAUGCAUAAUCGACCUAGACUAAGGAAUAGCCAACAUCCUAUUAAUGCAACAAAGUAGCUUAAGUCAAUACUAGUGAAGAAGCCAUUACUAGUAUAAACAAAACUUGCAAAUAAACAAAAGCAUACAAUAAAAAUAGUUCCUUUCCAAAAUUCAUCAUAUAAAGUAAAGAAUAUCGCCAAUCCUUGACCUACGCCCAUACCUAGUGCUGUUAUAGAAAUAAUAUUAUGAAAAUAAUUGUUAUAGAAAGAAAGGAAUAUCCAACAUCCCACUAUUAAAACACUAACUUUUGACACCCGAUUUACGAAACACAUGGACACCAUUAAAAUGAAAAGAAUUCCUGAAAAUAUAUUAAGAGUUCUAAUUGUUAUAUCGGUGGGGGCUAUGCAAGAUAUUGAUUUAUCGAAGGACACUGCAAAAAACGCUAAUAGUACUUGAAGUGCAGUCCUAAAAUUACGGGGAAAAGUUUUGAGUAGAGCUAAUGUUAGGAAUAAUGUUACGAGGAACACAAGGUAGGUUGGAAUACAGAAGAAAAAAAAUUCCGAUUGACCCAUGACUGAUGACCCUAGUACCCGUGCAUCAUAUGAUCCUUUCGACUUUGAGGUAUUUUCACCUUGCCAAACACCACCAGGUGGGCUUAGAGUGGCUUGGUAGGUUGCAGUUAGAAGCAGUCCUAAAAUGACUAGCAAGGCAUUGCGGUCAUCGGCUGAUAUAUUGUCCAUAUUUUGAAAUAUUAGCAGUGAUGCUUUUGUCACAUACUUGACAACAUGUUUCUCCAACUUAUGUUUAAGGUUUGAAAUUACUGGAAUAAAGAACCCUUGCAGAAUAGCAAUGUUUUCUCUGAUAUUAUGUUGUUGUGCAACAGCCAGUGCGGUCAACCCAACGUGAUUGGUAGCAUGCUUAUCAGCCUUGCAAUUUAAUAGUACUUUAAGCAUCUGUUCAAUUGAUAGUUUAGGAUAUAAAAAGGAUAGAAUCAAUUAAUCAUGUCUAUGAAGUAAAAACGAAAAAAGAAUCUAUGUAAUAUGAAUUACUAUAGAAGCAGUUGAGUCGAACCUUGGGUUGAUUAUGGAUAGCGGCUAUGUGAAGUGCAGUGUUUCCAUCUUUGUCUUUCCGGUUCAGCACUUCCCGAGAAUAGUCUUUCCUCUUAAGCGUUGGAAUUAGGAGUUGGAGAACGUCCAGUCUAUUGUUUUGGAUUGCAAUAUGCAAAGCAGUGCGAUUCUCAAUUGUAACAUCUUGGAUACAAUCAGGAGAAGCUUCCAGAAACGUAUCCAACAGACCAAGCUGGUUUCCAACUUUACAUAAGUAGUGCAAUGGAGUCUUACCUUUCUUUCCUCUGACGCGAAUAAGUUGUUUAUCAAUCUCCAAGAAGCGGAGUGCCAUCUCUUUAUGCCCUUUUCUAACCGCAAUGUGAAGUGGGCUCAAACCUUGGUGGUUCAGCUUUCGAGAAAAUGAUGGCUUUAAGUUCAUCAUCUCCAUUGCAAACUCGAUGCACCCUUCUUCUGCAGCUAUAUGUAAUGGAGUGUCAAUAAACUCCACCUCAUCAACACGCCUCAAAACAUUUCCAUUUCUUUGAAUUACUCUAUACAAUUCGUUAACCUUUCCAGUACGAGCGGCCUUUCUUAAAUUUUCAUCCAUGUGAGGAAGACUAAAAAUUGAAAGGUUGAAAGGGUUUAAGGUCACUUAAAACAAUUUAUUCAAAGAGAAAGAGGGUUUUUUUUUUUAAUAGAAAGAGAAUUAAAGGCAGACAAAUGCGUGUAUAUUUAUGGUCUUGAUUUUUGGGGUUUCGCCUUUAGUAGAGGAUUGUUGUAAAUAUUUUUGUUAUGACUUUCUAUUUUAAAGUUAAGAAAUGCUUUCUUCCAUUGACUUCACUUCCAAAUUUAUUUUUUGCUUUGUUUAUAUAUUCAUACUCAAGAUUCCAAUUGCUACUUUAAAUGGCAGCCACUCAUGAGAACAAGAUAACAUUAAUUUCAUGAAAAAUGCAUCAAAGAAAAUUAUUCGUAUUCUUACCAAAUGAGAAUUGAUUGUAUGAAAAAUUCCAUUUAGUUCCCUUAGAAUUUUAAUCCUUUAAAAAUUAAAAGAUAUAUGCUGUUAAAAUGAUAAAAUUACAUUUUUACUAUCGUAAAAAUAUACAAUUUAAUUUCGACUCCCAUAAAAAAAAUUUAGUUUCACCCUUGAGUCCAAUGCGCAAUGUGUUAUAAAUGGAAAUAUGACAUAAUUGUUAAUAACUCAAAAUUUGUCAUGUUAAAUCACCGAGAAUAAAUUAAUAAUAAAACAAAAAGUAGAAGCGUACAUGAAUCCAUUAAAAUCUUGAAAUUUUAUUGUUUUGAUCUUUCAAAUUAACACACAAAUAUUUUAGAAAAGGUGACUCUUCUUUCUGAAUAAAUCAAUCUUUUUAUUUCUUUAAACGUGAAGAAUUGGAUCAAAAUUAAAGUUUCGUGUAUGCCUUUAAACUACAAUCAAAGUUUCAUGUAUAUAAUGUAUAAAAUUAAAGUUUUUGUAUCAAUUUGCAUAUCUAAUCAAUGUUCAUGUACAGUUUUGAAAUUUAUCACUUUUAAUAAUUUUGAAUGUGUAUUUAAUAAUUUUGAUUUUUUAAUUCUAAAAAUAUGGUUUAAGUAAGUUUAGAAUUAAAAAAAAGAAGAAGAAGAAGAAAUUUUUGGGUAUCUUUAGGAAUUUUAGAGACCAUAAUGUGUUUUAUUUAUAUUUUUUAAAUUCUUUUAAAAAUAUUAGUUAACUAUACUUUUCAACCUCUUAAUCUCAAAUGUGGAGUUAAAAAAAUUCUAUUAUCUAUAUAUCAAAUAAUUAUCUUUAGAAUAAAAUGUAUUUAUAUGAAAUUUUUUAGAGACCAUAAUGUAUUUUAGGGUCUUUUAGAUAAUUUUAGAAUUUUAUGAAAAAACUUAACAACUUUUUGGUAUUUUAGGGUCUCAAAUGAAUAUUUGAAUGUCUAACUUUGACAGAUCAUUUAUUUUUAAUAAACUUGAGCUUUUUCCAUUUCUUUUUCUAACUUUAUAUGUUAUUAUAGAGUUUAAUUUAGAACCCAUUAAAACUUUGGGGAUGAUAUCUACCCAUACUUAUUUUAAGUAAUUUAUUGAUUUAAUACCCGAACACUAAAUAAUAAAUAAAUUUAUUAAAAUGUCCUCUUAUAUACAAAAAAAAAAAUUAUAUUUAAUGGGGAUAUCUUUAUCUUUUUAUAUGAUAAAUAAAAAAAUUGAUAAUAAUAAUGGUACAUAAUAAACAUUUAAUUUUACUACAUCAAUUUACUUUUAUAUGAAUUUUUAAUAAGUAUGUUUGUUAUAUAAUAUUUUUCACUCAUAGUGUAUCAUAAAAUUUUAAAGUAACUCAUAAUAUGAUAUUAAUCUCUAAUGUUAAUCUAAUAUUUAUCCUAAUAUUGUCAUCAGCACCAAGAAGAAGAAGAAGAAGAAAACAGAAACUCUAUCUUAUUACCUAAUCGAAUUUUGAAAAAAUAAAUCUAAAAUAUCAUUUAAAACUCUAAUUAUGUAUUAAGUUAUUGGUAUGUUAAAAUCACGAUAGAAAUGUGAAUUCUGGUUAAAAUAAGUCAACAGUAUUAUUGUAAGUGACUUAAGUUGUUAAUAAUUAAAAUGAAAUGAUGUUUUUUUAUUAAAAUGAAAGUUUAUGAUUUAUUUGAAAGUUGAGUUUAAGUUCAAUGGUUAAUAAUGUAAAUUAUUUAAUAUCCAUUGUAUUUAUUGUCCCUAAAUAAGCAUUACAAACUAAGUUAGUAAUUAUUAAUAUUAAGUUUUGGUUUUUUUUUUCUAUCUUUAAUUUAAUGGCACAUAUGGGAAAAAUAUAAUUUUUAACUUCUUCUAAUUUUUUAAAAAAUUUUAAUAAUUAAAGCAAUAAUAAUAAUAAGAAUAGGGGUCAAAUUGACAAAUAUUUUAAAUAUUGAUGGGUUAAAUUUGUUAUUAUAUCUAGCUUUUUUAAUAGAGUUAAGGGAAAAAUCAAUAGAGGGAUUAAAAAAUGAGCAAAUCAAAAAAUAGAAAGAUCAAUUUUGAGCAAAUAAAGGUAGAGUAACUAAAUCCAUACAAACUGAGAAUCCAGGGACUAUCCUUAAAAUUUAACCUAAAAAUAAAAAGAAUUAAAUACAUAAAUAUUAUUUUAGUAAUUUCUAAACAAAGUUAGCACUUUAAUGUAGUGGUGUUCAAAUUUCGGUUAAAAACGAAUUAAUUGAUCGAACCGAUCUAAUUCGGUUAGUCAGUCGGUUAACUGAUCUAAUUCGGUUGGAGGUCGAUUAAUAAUUUUUUAAAAGUUCGGUUAUUAGUUAAUUCGGGUUGAAAUCGAGUAAUUAACUGAACUUAAUAAUUAAUAAUACAAAUUAUAUGUAGUUUUAAUUUAGUUAAUUCAGUCAAAUAAACAUUAUCAAUCUGUGCCUUUUAUAUAUUUAAUACUUGUUUUAACCAAAAAAUAUAUAUAAUUUUCAAUUAAUUUUUUUAAAAAAAUUUCCCGUAAUUUUUCCUACAAUCAGUAUGCAUAUAAUUUUUUUUUUUAUUUUUUGGAUUUAUUGGUAAAUUAAUCGUUAAUAUAUCCUUUCCUUUCUUUAAUCUUCUCCUAUUUUCUUUUCAUUUUCUUUCCAUUAAUUAUAUUUAUCCAAAUAUAUCCAAAUAUAGGGUUAAUGUAGAAUUUUUUUUAUUUUAAUUUUUACCAUUAUCCAUUAUCGUAAAUAAGGGCCUUCUGUAAUUAAGAAAGUUGAGAAUGGGUUACUCCGCACCUGGUGGAACUGGCUACAAUAAUGAAGGAAAGAGAAAAACAUCAAGGAAUAUCCAAUAGUUGGGAGGCAAUGGCAUGCCCUACACAUACUAUUUACUGUCAGUGGUAAUGGAUCAAUUGCCCACUUUACACGUAUUUUGUUUUCUUCACUUUUUCUUGUCCUGCAUUAUUUGGAUUUGUGAGUAAAACCGAUACACUUACUUGGAGAGAAGUGUAUGAAGUAUCAUCUCUUGAGAGAGCUCAUAAACUCUUCACAAGCAUCACGUAAGGGAAAAUGUAGAAUUUUAGAUUACAUAAUUUUUUUUAUCUUAUCCAUUAUAAAAUUUGGAGUUUGGAGAUUAAGAAAUGUGAAAAAUAAAAUUCUAAUAAUUUCUCUAUUAAAGGUGAGCACAAGUUAUAUAAAAAAGGUAUUGAUUACACAUCCAACAAAAGAGUUAAUAAAAGAUUUUGAAAAUUAAAAAUUAUUAAAAAAAAUUGUGAGCUAUAUUUUUCAGUUUUUAGAUGACGAUCAUCAAAUUCAUGCUUAUCCAUAGGUGGUGUAUGCAGAACGAUAAAGCUAAUCUUGACUGCUAGUCUUUCUUCUUUUUUACUUUUGAAUACUCUUCCCUUGUUGCUUUCAUUGAAAUAAUGUCGGAUUGUACUCUUGAAUACCAUUUAAAUUUUUUUAGUAUAAAUAUUAAAAUUAUAACGAUUUUAGUUAUUUAAUUUGAUCGAGUUAUAUAACUUGUCAAUAUCUUUUAUAGUCAAAAGAAAGUAAAAUAAUAAAGUUUAGUUCAAAAUGAGUGAAGUUAUAAAAUAAAAAAAUCAAUUCAGAAAUAAAAAUUUCUAAUUGAAUUGAUGUCACAAGUCAAUUAGGUAUUAAAAUAAGUAAUAUUAUUUAAAGGUACUUUUUAAACUUUUUAUACAAAAUUAUCAAUAAAAAUAUGAAUAUAAUGAGAUUUGAAGUAAAACUCGUCUACAAAUGAAUUCAAAAUUUUUACUCAAUUCGAUUGAAUAUUCACGCUUAAAUAUUAGGUCUUUUGAAUUUUCAUGUUGGUGAACAUAAAAAGGAGAAGUUAUCCUUUGUGUGUAUGUGUGCUUUAGUGUUUCCUGUAAUUAUGUGGCUAAUUAAGUGCUCUUUAUUUCCUUUGAAAACAAAGUUUGUUUUUAUUUUGAUAGAAAUGAAAAUAAAGAAUAUUGAUAUUUAGAAUGCAAAAAAAUAAAAUAAAAUAUUGUUUGAACAUGUAUAAAUUAAUAUGUACGCAUAUAUAAAAUUUAUAUUGAAUAAUAUUUAAUACCAAGAAAAGUAGAAAAAAAUAUGUUAAAAUAUUAUUUUGGUGAAUCAAAUUUAAUAAUUAAUUUAUAGUUCAUAGUUAUAUACAAUAUGGAUGAUAUAAUAUCUUCUGAAGCCUUCCCUUGGUUGACCAUAAAAGGAGAAGUCAUUGUUUUAUGUUUUUUGGUAUUUAUUUGUGAGCCUUACAAAUUAUAUAUAAUAAUAGACCUUUUGAAGUCAUCCUCUUCUGUGCUUUGUUCCCUUUAAUUCUGUGGCUAAUUAAGUGCUCCUUAUUUCCUUUCAAAACAAAGUUUUCUUUUCCCUUUUAUUUUUUGGUAGAAAUUAAAAUAAAGAUUAUUGUAAUUUAAAAUCCAAUUAAAAUUACUAUUUAUUACGUGUAACAUUUACAUCGAAUAAGUUUUACUACCAAUAAAAAAAUAAAGAUAAUUGCUAAUUUGAAUCUUAACUUAAUCGGUAUUAAUAUGUAGGAAGACAUGGGUUGAAAUAUGUUAAAUAUGAUUAAUAAAGAUAAUUAUUAAAAUUACUAUUUGUUCCCUUCUAUAAUUAAUAAAGUUGUGGUAAAAAUUGGCUACAACAAUGAAGGAGAAAAACACUAAGGAAUAUCCAAUAAUUGGGAGGCAAUGUUAUUUACUGUCAGUGGUGAUGGAUCAAUUGCCUGCAGGUAUUUUGUUUUCUUGGCUUUUUCUUGUUCUGUAUUAUUUGGAUUUGUAAGUAAAAGGAAUACUACUUAUUGAUCCCACUCACUCAAUAAUUUGUUAUAUAUUAUUAAUAAUUCAUAUACUCAAUUAUGUAGUUUAAAUCAAUAAAAGUACGUUCCAUUUUUUUUAAGAAGAAGAAAAUAGCACUAAGCAAUUACAUCAAACCAAUCAAACAUGUGUAAAGACAUUACUUUCGAAUUGAAAAAUUUCUUGUACUAAAUUUGGGAUCUACAAAUAACAACGCAAUUCAUCUAUUAUUCUUAACUGUAUAGUUAAAAUGAAUAAAAACUCUAUUAUUUUAAAAAAUUAUUUACUUAAUGUCAUUUUAGUAAUUAAAUGAAUAUCUAAAGGGUAUUUUAGUCGAUUCAAUUUUUUUUCCUAACCCCGUGCUUUUACAUAUAUUAUAAAUUUUUAAAUUUCAUAAGAUAUAUUUAAAAAAAUAAUGAAAUAUGUAAUAUUUUUUUAAUAAGACUUGCUAAAUUAAAAAAUAUAUAGUCAAUACAACAAAGACAAAUCAACACAACAAUGGCUUUAGGCCCGACAGUAAUAGAAUAUUAUGAUACAUUGACAAUUGAUAUUGUCACAACUCAAGCACGACAUAUCUGGAGUGAUUGCAAACAUUUAAUAUGAUAUGAAAAUUAGCCCUGGAUGGUCCAAAGCGGGGAGAAAAAAUCGACAAAAGAAUAUUAGGGGUAUCGAAAAUGAGAUUAUAUAGAUUUGUUCAUGUCAUGGUAUAAUAUAAAAAAUAUUUGGUAUUGAUAGAUUGUAUAAAAUAAUUGUUUAGAUCAAGAAUCAGAUCAAAGUGGAGUUAAUCGAGAAAAAGUUAAAAUUGUUGAUUAGUCCCUAAAGAAUCAACUUGUUUGGUGUUUUGAUUAGGUAAGUUCAUAUGAUAUUUAUUUACUUAGGUUGUUAUGUUUUUUUUUAAUUUUUAUAUGCAUGUUUGACUGUGAAUUAAUUAGUUGUGAAUUGUUAUGAAAGACUAGAAUUGAAUUGAAUUGAAAUGUGACCUUUUUAUGUGUAAAAGAUGUCUGUGUUAACUUAGUAAAUGUUAGGAUAUGAUUGACAUGGCAAUAGGAUCUUGUGCAUGCUUCUACGAGAUUUAUUCAAAUGUUAUUGAUGUUCUCGAGGCUAUGGUGACAGCUUUGAAGGAAGAUAUCGAUGAGCUUAAGGGGGAGCUCAAGACUUUCAAGGCUGCCUUGAGUAAUGAAAUGUUGGCUUUAAAGUCGAAGCAACAAGCAAUGGAUGUGACCAAACCGAAAGCGUUUAAGGGGGCAAGGUCCACAAGUGAAGUGAACAACUUUCUUUGGGCCAUAGAGUAAUACUUCCGUGUGAUGAGCAUCGAGGACAAUGCCAUAAAGGUAAAUACUGUUGCUAUGUAUUUUACUGACGUUGCUUUGUUAUAAUGGUGACGUAGGUCCACAGAUGUGAGAUGCGGUGGGAUUGAGAUUGGGACUUGGGAGGAGUUCUAAAAUGAGUUCAAAGCACAAUUUUAUCCAGAGUAUGCCGAGGAUGAGGCUUGGGCAAAGUUGUGUCGGCUUACGCAACGAGGAACAGUUAGGGAGUAUGUGUGGGAGUUUAGUAAACCCAUACUACCCAUACUCCAGAUUUCUGAUUUAAGUGAGAAGGAAGCAUUUUCUCCUUCACGGAUAGGUUGAAAUUAUGGCCAAAGCAAGAGUUACAACGUCGAGGAGUUCAAGAACUUACCAACGCCAUGAUGGCAGCGGAGUCCUUAGUGGAACAUGUUCCGAGAAGAGACAGGUUUGAAUCUUUCAAGCCCAAUGGGAGAGGCAAUGGUAGGAACCAUGAGGUAGAUGAAAAGAGAUAUAGUGAUGAUGGCAAUAGUAGUAGUAAAAACGGUGGUAAUAGAAAAUCACGAAAUAGGAAGUGGAAACCUAAUAGCCCAAAUAAAAAGAGGAGAAAGUUGAGAUGCUAACUUUGUAAAUGACCACAUAUGAAUAAGGACUACCUAAAGGUAUCUUCGUUUUUGGCUAUCAAGAAGAAUGAUGAGCCGGAGGUAGCAAAAUCUAUUAAGAAAAAAACAUCGAAGGUCAAUUCGAUGGUGCUCAUUCCUAAGAAAAGGGAUGGUAGAGAAGGGUUGAUGUUCGUAGACAUCAACAUUGCAGGUCAGAAGAGGACUCCUCUUAUUGAUACGGAAGCAUUGGACUUGUUCAUAUCGAAAAAGGCUGUGAAGAAACUUGGUCUCUCGAUUAGAAAAUCGAAUAAAAAGACCAAGAUGGUAAAUUCCAAGGAUGCCUCAACUAUGGGAGUAGUUUGUAAUGUGGAGCUACAAAUCGACGAAUGGAAAGGUAAUGAAGAAUUUGAGGCAAUUGAUUAUUAUGCCGGUGCAUCGUGAUAUGAAAGUUGGGAAAAAGGUAUUGUCGUCAAUCCAACUAGUUGAGGAUGUUUUGUAUGGAAGGAACAUUGACUUGAUAAAACAAAAUUUUACAAAAGCCACUUUGGAAGUGUUAGUGGCGCAAGAGAUCGAUAUGAAGCCUGUAGUGUCAAUUGUGGAGCUGACACCUUUAGGAAAGAUGGGUUGUGCAUCGGGCUUCGAGGAAAAAUGAAUGAUACAGAAACAGAAAGGAUGAGUAAAUGCUGUGAGUAAGGUACAUUGCGAACACUUUGAUAGUGUUUUGAAUUCUGACUUGUUGGCUUACCAAAAUUGUAAGAGCCCAUUAAAAGUUCAUAAGCAAAGAGGCCGUUGGAUUGUAGGCGAUACGAAGCUAAGAUGUGAGAAUAAAAAAGAUUCAAAAGGGAGCAAAUUAAAAUUGGGGCAAAUAAAAGCGGAAACUUCUUGCCAACGAGAUGUACCAAUGAGUGCAACGGUUCAAGUUAAGAGGUGACGGAAGAAGCCAAGACACAACGAGGGUGUUGUGAGAAUGGGUAGGGGAGAAUGUCACGGGCCAAAGUGUGAAACCUAUGACCAUGGCACAAGAUGUACCCCAUGGAGGUCUAUUGAUAAGAUGUGGAUCAUUUAACCCACAAGAACUGGCCAGAUUUAAAGAACUAUUGGAGAAGCUUAUUAGAUUGAAGCCUGGUUGGCCUAAUAAAGAAGAUAUGGCAAUAUAGGCUAUAUUUAGUAAAUAUGGGAAUCAUAUAUUGUAGAUCUGAUUUGAUAUGAUGUAAUCUUGUAAAUCCCUAAAAUCAAGGGAUAGACUAAUCUCGUCUGUCGAUGUAAUUUGGUCUUGAUUGUAAAUUUUGGGGGAGCUUAACAAUAAAUAGAGAAUUUCCCCCUCACUUGUAAAUCAUCCAUUGUUUCACUAUUCUUAAGAGUAAUAGAAUAUUGAAAGCAUUUACUCAAACACCUCUCGUGCAUUUUUUUUGUGGCUUUCUGUCGUUCUUUGCGACUUUUUGGCAUAAAUUGUUUCAGCUAUACAAAUUGGUGCCUUGGAGGAAUUUUAAAGGAAUCCUCACUUGUGUUUAGGCUAACUUAGGCGAGUUUGGACAAAUGGAUUGCCUAAAGCUGCACGAAUUGUGAGACGAAAGAUCUAGCCCAGUGACACUUGGACAUAGUAUUAAAUUAGUAGUCAAUUUAGGACAUUGGAGUCCAAUCUGCCUUUCAAGGUCAAGUCCAACUCUGUCUCAUUUGUGUUUUUACAAAUGAUCUAGUUGUUUUUUGACAUGCAGAUAUUGAACAGGCUAGGAUAAUUGUGUCAAUAUUGGAGUGGUUCUGAAUUAUUCAAGCCAUAAAAUCAAUAAGAGGAAGUCAAAUGUUUUUUUUUCUUUAGAGGGUUGAAGAUGAGAUAAAAGAUCGAAUUUGUGAGGUACAUGGGUUUUAAAGAGUAUCAGACUUUGGAACUUAUUUGGGUGUGCCCUUAUUUCAUUGAAGAGUAACUAACAGCUCCUUGAGACUUGUGGUGGAUAAGGUUCAAGCUAAGCUGCAAUGCUGGGAUGUAACACCCCUUACCCGUGUUCCUUACCGAAACAGAGUAUGAGGUAUUAUUAGAACUCAAACACUUAUAUUUUUUUUAUAAAAAUUUCAGCAACAUUUCUGCUUAUUUUUACAUAAAACCCCCUGCAAAUUUCCAAAGAUAAUUUCAAACAACUUCAAUAUUUCCAACCAAUUACAGUUAUACGUUCAGGCAUAAUUUAUUCAUUAAUAAACACCAACAUAUUAAAUCGAACAAUACUAUAUAUAUACAUAUUUAUACCACAUUACAUAAAGUCAUCUAUACUUGCCAUAUUUCAAAAGUGUUAAUGCCAAAAUACCAAAAAGUUGAUGAUAGUAUGGAUGAUUUCCUGACUUCGUCCAAGUUCUGAGCUGGCUGAUGUCACUAUAAUCAGGGAAAAUAAACACGAGUAAGCAUAUAGCUUAGUAAGUAAACAUAUGAAAAAUAAAUAAAUUCCUCACAUGAUUACAAAGUAACAUAAUUUUAACCACACAUAAAUUUCAUUGUUUGCUCAACUUCCAGCAAGCUAUUUUUCUGCGUCACCAUCACCAAUUUAUUUUUAUCUAGAGCUAAAGGGAUCAAAAUUAAGUUAUGUAAAUUUUUACAAAAACUAGACUCACAUACCUUUUUACCAUAAAAUUUUUAGAAUUUUUUAUUUAGCCAAUUAGUACAGUUUAUUCUUUAAACCUUCCCCUGUUUCAUUGCCCGACAGUUCUGACCUCUCCUUACUUAAAUUUACUUAUCUCUCUGUAAAAAAUUUAAAAAAUGUUCUUGUUUCUUUAUCUUAAAAAUAUACUCAUUAAGGAAUUCAAGCAUGUAAAUUUCAAGCCAUAAUUAUUUUUGUACAAUUUUUGGUGAUUUUCCAAAGAUGGAAUAGGGGAUUUCGAAAUCAAUCUAACUCUAUCUCAAUAAAAUUUAAAUAUCCCCAAAUAUACAAUCCUUUGAUUGCUCUAUUUCUUUCAUAUGAAAAUAGACUCAUUCAGCUUCAAUUUCAUAUAUUACUCAGCCUCUAAUUCAUUUUCCACCAUUUACGGUGAUUUUUCAAAAUUUCCCAACUGUUGUUAUACAAAACUGUUUUACAUUUAAAUUUGCUCUUUUGAAGUUUUGGUAUUUCCUUUCACCUUACACAUGGGAUGAUUAAAUAUUGAACCCAAUAUUCCUCACAUAACCUUGUCCACCAUAUAUAAAUAUUCACCUUUCCAAUUUUCCCGUUGAACACUCGGAAUAUUAUCCGUUAUCGGUGGAUUCAGCACUUAGAAACCACCAGUGAUUCGGGAAAUCAGCACUUAGCAACCCCUUUCACAUUCAAAAAUACGGUGGAAUCAGCACUUAGCAACCCCUUUCACAUUUACGAUACGGUGGGAUCAGCACUUAGCAACCACCAAUAAUUCAGGGAAUCAGCACUUAGCAACCCCCUUCACAUUUAAAAUACGGUGGAAUCAGCACUUAGCAACCACCAAUGAUUCGGGGAAUCAGUACUUAGCAACCCCCUUUAUAUUCAAUGUACUCCGGCCUCUUCCGAGUGUUCAACUGAAAACCGUGUUUUUCAACACUUUACCACCUUUCCCAACUUAACCACAUUUUUAGGAUCUUUGUCAAGUAAUUAUUUUAUAUUCAAUUAAAUCUCAACAAAUAUUAUCUAAUAUCAAAAUAAUGCAUUAAUUCACAUGUUUACUUACCUCGGUGCAAAAUAUCGUAAUUUUGUAAUUUACUCCACUACCUUCUCUUUUCCCCGUUUGAGGUAGUCUUCUCGUCUUUCUUGAUUAUGAGCUUGAGAAAGUGAAGAAACCCUAGCUAUGAUGUCUUCCAAGUUUUGGCAACAACUUAAUGAAGAUGUACACCAUUUUUCCAUCUUUUUCCCAUUUUAAUUCUAUUUAUUUACUAAUGACUAAAAUGCCCCCAUUUAAAAAAAUCUAUUUCACCCAUUUCUUAUGUCUAUUUUUGUCCAUCAAUUAACUAAUGGUCUAAUUAACACAUAAGGACCCCCAAUUUAUAAUUUCAUAACAAUUAGACACUUCUAACAUGUAGAACUCAACUUUUGCACUUUUUACAAUUUAGUCCUUUUGACUAAAUUAAGUGCCCAAACGUCGAAAUUUUCACGAAAUAUUUUCGUGAAAUUGUAUACCAUAAAAAUAUAAUAAUAAUUAUAUUUUCCCUCGUCGGAUUUGUGGUCCCGAAACCACUGUUUCGAUUAAGCCUAAAAUCGGGCUGUUAUAUGGGAAGCUAGACAAUUAAUCUUUAGCAAGAAGAGUUACUCUAGCUCAAUUGGUUCUACUUUAAAUUCCCAGCUAUUUCUUACAGUCCAUGAUGAUUUUGCAAAAGAUUUGUGAAGAGAUUGAACGCAUGGUUCAAAGCUUUAUUUGGGGUUCCUCUAGCGAAGAGAAGAAGUUGGCCCUAGUAAUUUGGAAAUCUAUUUAUCAACCUCACUCUUGUGGUGGCAUUGGGUUAACAUAAAUGAGGGAUCAAAACACUUCAUUUAUGUUUAAAUUGUGCUUUAACUUAGCUUCUAAUUCCUCUGCCUUUUAGGUAUGUGUACUUUGAUCUAAGAAUGGGAUGAAUAAGGACUUGCCAGAUGAUAUUUAUAAGGAUAGAUGUUCUUUCUUAUGGAAGGGGAUAUCUAAAGUUUGGCCUCUAUUACAAGAAAGUCUUUUCUAGUCAAUAAGGCAAUGGGAAUAAGAUUAUGUGCUGGUGCGAUCAUUGGAUUCUAGGUGUUUGACCUCUGAUUAAUCAAAUUCCUUCUCAUUUUAAUCUGGAUUUGGAGUGCACUCUAAAGGAGUUGGUAGUAGAGGAUAGGUCGUGGAACCUUGAUAUUUUUAGAUUGUAGAUUCCAAUGAAAAGUAUUAAAUUCAUAGUUAGUAUUCCUCCUCCACAUGAUUCAGCGAGACUUGACAAGAUUGCUUGGAUGGGCACCCCCAAUAGGUUCUUUUACUCUAAAAAACGCUUAAAGGAAAUUAAGCAAUAGAUCAUGGGAUCCUUAUAAUGGUUAUUGGAAUAUUUCAUGGAAAUUCAAGGGAUCUCAAAGAGUUAGAUUCUUUAUCUGGCUUGUUUUCAAGCAGAGGUUACUCACUAACAUGGAAUGAGUGAGACAUGGUAUUGGGUCGACUGGCUCGUGUGCCUUAUGUGGACAUAACUCAAAAUAUAUAUUACAUGCCAUCAAAGAGUGUGCGCUUGCAAAGAAGGUGUAGAGAUAGAUAAUAUAACCGGAUAAGAGAUGAGUUUUUCUCAAGCAACUUGAAUGAGUGGCUUGAAACAAAUUUGCAAAAUCAUCACAGUUGAGGGGUGGGUGAUGUGGAAUGGAGAAGUCAAUUUGAUCUCAUUGUAUGGUGCAUUUGGAAAAAUAGAAAUAUUGUUGUCUUCCAGGGAAAGUAAUACAGUGCAUGCAAAACUGCAAAAAUCUCAUAUAGUUGGGCUAAGCAAUUUGUCUCUUUUCAUAAUGGUGGAUAGGCCAAGAGGCAAAAAGCCAGUUCAGUAAUCCCUUGGAAGGAUAGUUGGGUUCAGUUAAAUGUUGAUGGUGUUGUAAAUGUGGAAUCCGGUUCUGCUGCAUCUAGCGAAAUCUUAAAUGAUCAAGAAGGUAAGUGGAUUUUAGGCUAUAAGAGGUACUUGGGAAACUAUUCAGUUCUUGAGGCUGAACUUUGGAGAAUUUUAGAUGGUCUGAAUGCUUUGCUAAGUAGAAAGUUUGAUAAAUUCCUGAUUCAAACUGAUAGUAUAGAAGCUGUGAAGGCUCCUCAAAUAUUCACCAAGACAUCUUUGAACUCUGCAUUGAUCAGGCGGAUUCAACAACUUUUGUUGAAGGUUGGGAAUUGGCUUCUAUGAUAUGUGCUAGAGAAAGCAACAAGGACACGGAUUGCAUAGCUAAAAUGGCUUUUGAUAGAGUAGAUGGCUUGUUUUUUAUGGAAGAACCUCCAAGGGGAAUAUCCAAUACCUUAAGUUAAUGUAGUUUGCUUAUUUUUAUUCACAAAAAAAAAAAAGAUAGCAACAAAACGACUAGAAUAAAAUAAAAAAUAUUUUACAUUGAAAUAUUACAAACGGGUGUUACAAAAUUGAGUGCACUGCAUUAUGCAUAAUCGACCUAGACUAAGAAAUUGCCAGCAUCCCAUUAAUGCAACAAGGUAUUUGAAGUCAAUACUAGUACCAAAGAAAACACAAACACUUACAAAUAAACAAUAGCAUACAAUUAAAAUGGUUCCUUUACAGAAUUCAUCAUAUAAAAUAAGGAAUAACAACAAUCCUUGACCUACACCCAUACCUAUUUCACUUCUUCCUAGACAUAAAUAUAAAAUUGAAGGGAGUAUCCAACAUCCCACUAUUGAAACACUAAUUUUUGACACCCGACAUACGAUACACAUGGACACCAUUAAAAGGAAAAGAAUUCCUGAAAAUAUAUUAAGAAUUACAUAUGUUAAAUUGGUGGGAGCUAUGUCAGAUAUUGAUUCAUCGAAGGACACUGCAAGAAACGCUAAUAGUACUUGAAGUGCAGUCCUAAAACCAUGGGGAAAAGUUUUGAGUAGAGCUAGUGUUAGGAAUAAUGUUACGAGGAACACAAGGUAGGUUAGAAUAUAGAAGAGAAGAAAAUCCAUUUGACCCAUGACUGAUUUACCUAGUACCAUUUCAUCAUAUGAUCCUUUGGACUUUGAGGUAUUUUCACCUUGCCAAACACCACCAGGUGGGCUUAGAGUGGCUUGGUAGGUUGCAGUUAGAAGCAGUCCUAAAAUGACUAGCAAGGCAUUGCGGUCAUCGGCUGAUAUGUUGUCCAUAUUUUGAAAAAUUAGUAGUGAUGCCUUUGUCACGUACUUGACAACUUGUUCCUCCAACUUACGUUUAAAGUUUGAAACUACUGGAAUAAAGCAGCCUUUCAGAAUAGCAAUGUUUUCUCUGUAAUUAUGUUGUUGUGCAAUUCCCAGUGCGGUCAAACCAACUUGAUUGGUAGCAUGCUUAUCAGCCUUGCAAUUUAAUAGUAGUUUAAGCAUCUGUUCAAUUGAUAGUUUAGGAUAUAAAAAGGCUACAAUCAAUUAAUCAUGUCUUUGAAGUAAAAAAAGAAAAAGAAAAAGAAUCUAUGUAAUAUGAAUUACUAUCGAAGCAGUUGAGUCGAACCUUGGGUUGAUUAUGGAUAGCGGCUAUGUGAAGUGCAGUGUUUCCAUCUUUGUCUUUCCGGUUCACCACUUCCCAAUAAUAGUCUUUCCUCUUAAGCGUUGGAAUUAGGAGUUGGAGAACGUCCAGUCUAUUGUUUUGGAUUGCAAUAUGCAAAGCAGUGCGAUUCUCAAUUGUAACAUCUUGGAGACAAUCAGGAGAAGCUUCCAGAAAUGGAUCCAACAGACCAAGCUGGUUUCCAACUUUACAUAAGUAGUGCAAUGGAGUCUUACCUUUCUUUCCUCUGACACGAACAAGAUGUUUAUCAAUCUCCAAGAAGCGGAGUGCCAUCUCUUUAUGCCCUUUUCUAACUGCAAUGUGAAGUGGGCUCAAACCUUGGUGGUUAAGCUUUCGAGCAAAUGAUGGCUUUAAGUUCAUCAUCUCCAUUGCAAACUCAAUGCACCCUUCUUCUGCAGCUAUAUGUAAUGGAGUCUCGAUAAACUCCACCUCAUCAAAAUGCCUCAAAACAUUUCCAUUUCUUUGAAUUACUGUAUACAAUUCAUUAACCUUUCCUGUACGAGCAGCCUGUCUUAAACUUUCAUCCAUGUGAGGAAGACUAAAAAUUGAAUGGUUGAAAGGGUUUAAGGUCACUUAGAGCAACUUAUUCAAAGAGAGAGUUUUUAUUUUUUUUAAAAAAAGAGUGAGGCAGACAAAUGGUGUAUAUUUAUGGUCUUGAUUUUGAGGUUUCGCCUUUAGUAGAGGAUUAUUGUAAAUAAUUUUGUUAUCAAUGGCUUUUUAUUUCAAGGUUAAGAAAUGCUUUCUUCCAUUGACUUCACUUCCAGAUUGAUCUUUUACUGUGUAUAGGUUCAUAGUCAAAGGUGCAAUUCCUACUAUAAAUUUCCUGAAAAACACGUCGAAGAAAAUUAUUCCUAUUCUUCUCGUUUAUAACUUAAAAUAUAUAUUUAUUCAACUCUUUGAGUUUGAGUUAUUAAUCGUGUUAUUGUUAAGGUUUUUAUUCUAAUCUUAUAAUUCAUCAAAAAAUAUAUAUAUUUAUUCAUAUAUAUUUAUCUAUAUGAAGUUUUUAUUUAAAUUAGUGUCACAAAUUAAUUAGACAUCAACUUAAUUAGGUAAUUAUAAAAGUAUAAGUUCAUUACAAAAUAAUUUGCUAUUUUGAGAGUGUUUUAAUUUUUUAUAAAAAAAACAUAUAUAAUAAAAUUUAAACUUAAAACGCUAUAAAUAUUUCUAUUUUACUAUUUUAAUUAAAAUUUCAUUUCAUUUUUAUAUAAUCUUUUAUAAAUAUAUUUAUUCUAUAUUCUGUUAGUCAAUUUCAUUAGGAUAUCCCAUAAUUUAAUACAUUGUUGCAUAUGAAUGGAUGAAAUAAAUACACGUAAACCUGACGUAAACCUGUGAUCAUGAAAUGAAUACACGAAAACUUUCCAAUUAAGUCACUAAUUCGUUAGUAGAUAUUAAACAUGAUGUAAUUGAUUUUGCCGACAGCAAUCAAAUUUCCUAGUAAAGUCGUUGUGGUUGGUGAAGAACAGCCAUCGGACCAUUCAUUUCAUAAACUUUGAAAAUUCCAAUUAAGUAAAUAAAUUAUUAAAAUAAUAAAAAAUAUUGAUUCACAUUCAAUUGAUUUUUAAUUCUGUUUCUAUUGAUUCUCCAACCAAUUAGUCUUAUAUCUCUCUUUGUAUUGGUACCUUAAUGGCACAAUUCUACUUAAGUAAUUAUAUCUCUAUGUUGAAAAGCGUUAAUUUAUUAAUUGAAGUUUAAACUUGAUAAUUAUUUUCACAUUAAGUGUAAAAGAUAUUUUUUUAGGUAGAGAUGAAGCAAUGCAAAAAAAUUGAAUAAGAUAUUUUGGAGGAAGACAGAGAAAAAGACUAAAACAUCAUUGACUGUCGUACAAUUAAAAAACCUAUAAAGUAACCUUUAAAGAUGGAAAUAAUUUUAAAACACAAAAUUAUAACUUAACCUAAUAACAUCUGUCCCUAAUUCUUUUCAUAAACUUGGAAAUUGUUUUCUUCAUUUUAUAAGAUGUUAAGGUUUUUUAUGGGAGUUUUUUAAAAUUGGAUCAAUGUUGGUACCAAUCAAGUCAUUAAUUUAUGAGUUGAAUUAGUUUGAUUAAAUAAAUUAUUAAAAUAAUAAAAGGAAUUUGAUUCAAUUGACUUUUAAUAUGAUCUAUAUUAAUUUCUGAGUCAAUUAGUUUGUUAUUUCUCUUUGAAUCAGUACCCCAUCCAACUCGGUUUUGUUCAAGUAACCACGUCUCUAUGUUGAAAAGCAUUAAUGCACUAAUCGAAAUCUGAACUUAAUAACUGUUCUCACAUUAAGGUAUAGAAGGUUCUCUCGGUGAAGAGAUGAAACAUUGCAAAAAAUUGAAUAAGAUAUUUUGAAAGAAAGCGAAGAGAAAGACUGAAACAUAUUCAGUAACAUUAAGCAUUGUACAAGUAAAAAAAUAAAGUAAAUAAUUUUAAAACACAAAAUUAUAACUUUAAAAGAAAUUAAAACUCACAAUAAAAUAACAAGAUUAUAAAGUAAACUUUAAAAUGUACUAAUUAAUUAAAUUAAAUUACUUAUUAUAAAAAAUUUAAAGUAAAUUACUAGUGGUAAUUUUUUAAUGUUAGACAUGUUGCAUAUGAUUUUAUAUUUUUAAUUUAUUAAAUAAUAUAUUUUAUAAUUUUAAAUAUAUAUUUAUGCUAAUAAACGAGGAUUAGUUUAAUUUAUACUAAAGAUAAAUUAGUUUGAAAAAAUUAAAAGAAUAAAAUAGCAUUUUAAAAUUAAUGAAAAAAAUGAACUAAUACAUAUACAACUAGUAAAAUAAUAUAUAAAUUUAAAACUAUAUAGGAAAAUAAAUGAAAAACAUAUUUACACUGAAUUAUAGAUUACAUUUAACAAUAACAACUAAAAAAUAUUAUGUAAAUUUAAUUUUUUUUUCAAAAGAAUACACAAAACAUUGUUCAUCUGCACAAAAUAAAUAAUGGAUAAAUAAAAGAAUAAAUUUAAAAUUACUUGCUUCACAUAAUACAGUUACUUUAUAUAAAUUAGUAUUAUUUAAUAUAUGUGCUUUAUUUAAAUUUAUAUAGAGAUCUCACCUUUGUAACUAAAAAAUAAAACACUCACCUCUAAAUUUCCUCUUGAGAAUUUAGGUUGUAAACACAACUUGUUUACUCUCAAUUGCACUCAUACAAUUAGUUCCUCAAUUAAUAAAUAAAGUGCUCUCAAUAUAGUCUCUUUUAAAACCUAUACAAACCUCAACAUAUAUAGAAGUGUUUUGGUUUACUAACAUACUCGAUAUUGAUUACAAUAUAACCCCUUAAAAUCAACAUCUACAAAAUAGAAAAAAAGUAAUAUAUUAAUAAAGUCCAAUAAAGUGUGAUCUGAUGGAGAUGUAGUCUUCAAUGUAAACAACAACUCAAUCCGAAAGAUUCUCUAAACAAAGGGUUGUAAUUGUUCAAUUCAAUCUAAUCUUCACAAUGCAAAGAAUUAGUUCUCAUAAUUAGGCUUCUAUAUCUUCAAAGUAUCAACAUAGUUAAUAGUCUAAAGAUUUUAUGCCAUAGGAUUGUCAACUCCAAAUAUAGCAAGUACAAUUGUAUUAUUGCAAGGAUGGAUGACAAUAGGCACUACCAAGUGCUUCUCAUAAUGCUUCUUUACAAUUUGUCUCAACAAUUUCCCCAUUUGAAAAUUUUUUGAACAAAAUUCAAUUCAAACCAAGAAGUUAACUAGAAUUUCAUGUGAUGAUCUGAUGGUCAAGGGUGUUUACCGUUCCAAGUAUGACUUGGGUUUGAGUCGUGUUAGUCGCGUUUGUUGUCCGCGCUUUCCCUGUUAUUAUAAUUUACUGAAAAAAAAUUUACCAUUUUUUUACAAGCAUAAAUUAUGUUAAUAUUAUGGUUGAACUCACUGCAUAUUAAUUCGAUCUAACCUAAAAACAUUUGUCCAUAAUUUAAUUUUAUUUAUAUAAUACUUAAAACUAUCAUAAUUCCUUCUCUUCUUAAAAAAAGAAAAGGAUAAAUGCGUUUUAAUGUACUAUUGACCAUGCCAGAAAUGGUGUCGUUCCUAAUCCAAGCACGAGCUUUCUCUGGAUCUUCUUCCUCCUCUGGUCCAUAAUCACAGCCGUCCUCCUCUGAAUUGGAGCUUUUUUUUUGGGGGGGGGGGGUGUUACUCGUAAAGCACGUUUAGUUAAGAUUCGUGUGUUACUGUUGAAGUUGUUAAGAAAUGUGUUUUUGUUUUGAAUAUGAUAUAUAUAUGUACAUAUCAGAAAAAAAAAAUUUAGCAUACCCGAGGUCUGUUUCUGAUAGCUGCAACGUGUAAAACAGUGUUGCCUUCGAUGUCUUCCCAACUCAUUGGUUCUUUCUCCCAACGUUGGGCAGCUUCAUGGCGGCUCCUUAUAAGCCACCCCACCAAGACUUGGAAAGCUUCAAACAUGUCUUUUACUGAAAUAUGGAAAACAGUCACGUCUUCAAUAGCCUCGGGAGAAACGUCAAGAAACUUGAACAAAAGAUCAGCAUCUCCGGUCCGAACGCCAUGAUACAGGGGAGUGAGGCCCCACUUCCCUUUGACACGAAUAAGGCCUUCAUCAAACUUGAGGAAUCGAAGCACCGCUUGAAUUCUAUUAUUCUGCAGAGCCAAGUGCAUGGGGGUAAACCCAGCUUGGUAUAGUUUUCUUGCAAACGAUGGCUUUAAGUUGAUCAUCUCCAUCAUAAAAUCAAUAUGCCCUGCAGAGGCUGCCACAUGUAAUGGAGAAUGAAAAAAGGCACAUCAUCAAUACGCUGUAAAACAAAUGGAUAACUCGCAAUAUCUCCGGUUCGUGCAGCCUCUAUCAUCGUCGAAUUCAUAGCUUGGAUAUCUAUUAUUUUAAGUAUUUUAAUUAAAUAAAUUUUAUAUGGUUAAAAUAUCUAUAAGUGUUUGUAUUAUUCGAAAAUUUAAAAUAUAUAUAUUUUUUAAAAAUUUAGUUCUUUUAUUUUAAAUAUUUCAAAAUUUGAGUCAAAUUAUUAUCAUUGUUAAUUUUUAUUUGUUAAAUUUGUUGGUGUUUGAAAAAAAAUCAUUUCUUAUCCAUUAAAACUGCAAGUCAAUUAUUAUGCAUCGGUAAAUCCAUUAAAACUGUUCAGCUCAACAGAUAAGAAAAAACUCCUACAUCCCCAAAUCACUACAUCACACCACAACAUGAUUUAUGCCUAAGGGGAAGUGUUAAAGGCAAUUCUAGUUUCCAUCUACAGCGGCAGUUGCAACUUGAGCCAUUGCAGUAAUUUGUGCUUGUGAUGAAGUUGGUUCAGCAUGCAGCAAACUCAACAGCAUGCAGGCCAUGAAGACCAAGUCAUGCAGGAGCUGCUGGAACGAGCUGAACUAUUCCUAUUUUGUUCAUCUUGUAAUCUUAAGUUAAUGUAAUGUACUUUAGUUCAUUUAGAACUAUGUUAGGUUUAUGAUUGAUGUAAUUUUGAUGACAAUUGAGCUGUUAAGUUAGCUUUGUUUAAGUGUGCAAGCUUAGUUUUUUAAGUUUCAAUGUAUUAGUGGUAGUAGGUGAUGAUUAGGUAUCAUUAUGUAGAUUUUGACAAGCAAAUUGCUUGGUUUAUGUAUUGGCAUUAUGCCAUUGUUCAACCUAUGAAUGAAGUUUUAGUUUGUUCAUCAAUUUCUCCCUUCAUUCUUCUUAGCUUUUCUUCCUUUCUCUUGCUCGAAUUCUUUUGUUUGCUCAACAAGUCUCGAGACUUGCUUAACAAGUCUACACUGAAUCUGUUAGUUUCAGUUACAGCACCAACAAUUGGUAUCUAGAGCCUAUUUCUUAAGGGAUCUGUUACACAAAUCCAUGGCUUCAUCAAGCUUUUCACCAGCUGCACCUCAAGUCUUCAAUGGAGAAGGCUAUCACAUAUGGGUGGUCAAAAUGAAGACCUACCUGCAGGCUUUCGAUCUGUGGGAGGUGGUCAACACUGAUGUUGAACCAGAGCCACUUAGAGCUAAUCCAACAGUGGCUCAGAUCAGGCAGCAUGCUGAUGAAAGGACCAAGAGGCACAAGGCUAUGUCUUGCAUCCAAAACUCAGUGUCUGAUGUGAUUUUCACAAGGAUUAUGGCCUAUGAAUCACCAAAACAGGCCUGGGACAAGUUGCAGGAAGAGUUUCAAGGGACAGAGAGGACAAGGCAGCAACAGUUGUUAAACUUGAGGAGAGAUUUCGAGAAUUUGAAGAUGAAGGAAGAAGAAACUGUCAAGCAAUAUUCUGACAGGAUUAUGGCUGUGGUUAACAGCAUCAGGCUCCUUGGAGAGCAGUUCAAUGAAGCUAGGAUAGUGGAGAAGGUUAUAGCAACUCUGCCUGAGAGGUAUGAGGCAAAAAUCUCAUCUCUCGAGGACUCAAGGGACCUGUCCACCAUCUCCCUGACAGAGUUGAUCAAUGCUCUAUAUGCUCAAGAGCAGAGGAGAGCAAGCAGACUGGAGGAGCACCAAGAAGGUGCCUUUCAGGUAAGAACAAAUACUGCCUACAAAGGCAAGAAGGCCUGGAGAGACAAGCCAAAGGAUGAUGCUGCAAGGAGAGAAGGUCAGACUUGCAAGCACUGCAGAAAGGCUGGUCAUUCAGAAGAAAAAUGCUGGUUUAAUCCAGAUGCUGUGUGUCAGCAUUGUAAGAAAAAAGGUCAUGUUGAGAGAGUCUGUAAGACCAAGGCCAAGUCAAGGCGCAAUCAGUCUCAACAGAUGAAAGCUGAGGCUCGAGUAGCUAAGGAGGACAGUGACCAAGAGGAGCAAGUCUUUACUGUGUCAUGCUCAGCUGCUCAGGAAAGGUCCUCAUCUGGUUGGCUCCUAGACAGUGGAUGCACCAACCACAUGACACCUGAUGCUGCAAUCUUCAAGUCUUUAGACAGAAGCUUUAGAACUAAAGUCAAGAUAGGAAAUGGUCAUUUUAUUCAAGCUGAAGGCAAGGGUGAUGUUCUGAUAUGCACCCUUACAGGUACCAAAGUGAUUUCAAAUGUGCUGUUGGUGCCUGAAAUUGACAGAAACCUGCUCAGCAUAGCUCAGUUGCUGGAAAAAGGUUACUCAGUUGUGUUUAAAGACCACCAAUGCCAAAUCAGUGAUCCAAGUGGAUCCAAACUGAUGGCAGUCCCUAUGGCUGAUAAGAGCUUUGUGGUUGACUGGACAAAAAAGUCAGACAUUGCCUACACAGCCACUUCAGAUGAAUCCAAGCUGUGGCAUCAAAGACUGGGACAUGCCAACUUCAGAUCGAUGGCCCGAAUGAUCAGAGAAGACCUGGCUGAAAAUUUCAUCAACUCAGUGGACCAUGAUGAUGUAUGUGAAGUAUGUCAGCUAGGAAAGCAGGCCAGACUCCCAUUUCCCUCGAAUCAAGCCUGGAGAGCCUCUGAAAAACUCCAACUGGUGCAUACUGAUGUGUGUGGCCCUAUGAAGACUGAGUCAUUAAGUGGAAACAGGUAUUUCAUACUGUUCAUUGAUGAUUUCUCGAGAUAUUAUUGGAUUUACUUCUUAAAACAGAAAUCAGAGGUGGCCACUGUGUUUUGGAAGUUCAAAACUGCUGCUGAGACUGAAACAGGCUGCAAGGUGAAGACCAUAAGGUCUGAUAAUGGGACUGAGUACACCUCAGCUCAGUUCCAAGCCUUUUGUGAUAAGGCAGGCAUCAAACAUCAACUUACCAACACAUAUACACCUCAGCAGAAUGGGGUAAGUGAAAGGAAGAAUAGGAGUUUGAUGGAUAUGGCCAGGUGCUUGAUGAUUCAGAAGAAUCUGCCUAAAGCACUAUGGGCAGAAGCAGUUAACACUGCAACAUACAUUCAAAAUAGACUUCCAACCAAGGCUUUGGAUCAAAAGACCCCAUUCGAGGCCUGGUUUAGCUUCAAGCCAUCACUGACUCAUCUGAAGGUCUUUGGAUGCAUCUGUUAUACACAUAUACCUGCUGUUAAAAGGGACAAAUUGUCUGAAAGGGCUCGACCUGGUGUUUUGGUGGGGUAUAGCACUGUUAAGAAGGGCUAUAGGAUUUUAGAUCCUUCAACAAACAAAGUGUCAGUAAGCAGGGAUGUGGUAUUUGAUGAGAGGUCAUGUUGGAACUGGGAAAGACAUGAACCUGAAGAAGUUUCUGAAGAACUUGCAGCAGACCAAGCUGAGCCAGACCAAAAUGUCCCUGAAAUGGAUAUUGAUGAUGAACCAGUCAGAGGAACAAGGUCAUUGGCUGAGAUUUAUGAAAGGGCUCAUGUAGCCAUAGCUGAACCAAGCAACUUUGAAGAGGCUGAGGCUCAGCAAGGGUGGAAGCAGGCAAUGGCUGAGGAAAUCAGCAUUGAUUGAGAAGAACCAGACCUGGGAAUUGGUUGAAAGGCCAGUCAAAAGGAAGGUGAUUGGGGUGAAAUGGGUGUACAAAGCCAAGCAGAAUGCUGAUGGUACCUUGAACAAGCUGAAAGCAAGGCUAGUUGUCAAGGGGUUCAGUCAGAGGUAUGGCUUGGACUACCUGGAGACCUUUGCACCAGUGGCCAGGCUCGACACCAUCAGACUGCUGAUUGCCUUAGCAGCACAGCUCGAAUGGAAGAUCCAUCAACUUGAUGUGAAAUCAGCCUUUCUGAAUGGUUUCUUAGAUGAAGACAUCUAUGUUGAACAACCACAAGGGUUUGAAAUAGCUGGCAGAGAGCAUAUGAUCUACAAACUGAAGAAGGCCCUAUAUGGAUUAAAACAGGCUCCAAGGGCUUGGUAUAGCAGAAUCGAUGGCUACUUGACUGAUCUGGGAUUCGAUCGAAGCAAGAGUGAGCCAACACUAUAUGUCAAGAAACAAGGGACACAAAUACAGCUCAUUGUGUCCCUGUAUGUUGAUGAUCUUCUGGUGACAGGAGGAGAUCGAGUAGUGCUGGUCGAUUUCAAGACCAAGAUACAGGAAGUGUUUGAAAUGUCUGAUCUUGGGGAGAUGUCCUAUUUUCUUGGAAUAGAGGUGUCUCAAGUACAGAAUGAGAUAUUUUUAAGCCAGAGAAGCUUUGCCACAAAGAUUCUGACCAGGUUCUCCAUGCAAAACAGCAAGGCAACUAAAACACCUGUUGCUGUUGGAGAAAAACUAUCGAGCCAAGGUGAUUUUGAGAAAGUUUGUGAAACAACCUACAGGAGUCUAGUUGGUUGCUUGCUAUACUUGACUGCCACUAGACCAGACAUCAUGUAUGCUGUAGGAUUGCUCUCAAGGUUCUUGCAUUGCUGCAAUGAGAAGCAUUUCCAAGCUGCAAAGAGAGUGCUGAGAUAUAUCAAAGGCACUUUAAACUAUGGUUUGAAGUACAGCAAAGAAGAAAAUCUGAAGCUGGUUGGCUACACUGAUAGUGACUGGGCUGGCUCGAUAAAUGACAUGAAAAGCACCUCAGGGUAUGCUUUUAACCUUGGUUCAGCCAUGUUUUGUUGGAGCUCAAAGAAGCAAAGUCUUGUAGCUCAAUCUACUGCUGAAGCAGAGUAUGUGGCAACAGCAAGUGCUGUCAACCAAGCCAUAUGGCUAAGGAAAAUAUUGGCUGACUUGAAUGUGCAUCAAAAGAAAGCUACUGAGAUCUUUUGUGACAACCAAUCUGCAGUAGCAAUUGCUAAAAAUCCAGUGUUCCAUGGAAGAACAAAACAUUUCAGCAUCAAGUUGCAUAUUGUUCGAGAAAUGGAGCAAGCUCAGGAAGUAAAGCUGAUCCACUGUAAUUCAGAGGAUCAACUUGCUGACAUUUUAACCAAAUCUCUUAGUGCCACAAGGUUCGAAUAUCUAAGAAAGAAGCUAGGUGUUUGCUCCAUGCAAACCAAGGAGGAGUGAUGAAGUUGGUUCAGCAUGCAGCAAACUCAACAGCAUGCAGGCCAUGAAGACCAAGUCAUGCAGGAGCUGCUGGAACGAGCUGAACUAUUCCUAUUUUAUUCAUCUUGUAAUCUUAAGUUAAUGUAAUGUACUUUAGUUCAUUUAGAACUAUGUUAGGUUUAUGAUUGAUGUAAUUUUGAUGACAAUUGAGCUGUUAAGUCAGCUUUGUUUAAGUGUGCAAGCUUAGUUUUUCAAGUUUCAAUGUAUUAGUGGUAGUAGGUGAUGAUUAGGUAUCAUUAUGCAGAUUUUGACAAGCAAAUUGCUUGGUUUAUGUAUUGGCAUUAUGCCAUUGUUCAACCUAUGAAUGAAGUUUUAGUUUGUUCAUCAAUUUCUCCCUUCAUUCUUCUUAGCUUUUCUUCCUUUCUCUUGCUCGAAUUCUUUUGUUUGCUCAACAAGUCUGGAGACUUGCUUAACAAGUCUGCACUGAAUCUGUUAGUUUCAGUUACAGCACCAACAGCUUGCAUAUUUUUGAGAUGUAACAUGUUAGACUUUUGACUGUGAUCUCUGUGUCAGAUGUGCAAGAUCAAGUCAACAAGAACCAAAUCGGAAUCCUUAAAUACAAUCCAAGUUCCCUAGUUUUAAGGAGAUCAUAUCAUAUCAUGUGUAAGCUUGUGUUAAUAGAAAAGCAAGAUGUUUACUGCUUAUUUUAGGCGUUGUUUUUCUGACUGCUCAUUGUUCUGCUGUAUUUUGCUGUAAUAGAAAUACAUUCCCACUUAUAAUUAUUAUUACAAUGAACAAUACAAUUAUACAAUAACAGCAACGCCAAUUAUGGUCCUCAUUGAACUACAACUUGGCUACAUACGAAACAAACAGAUAUUCAUACUUUUAUAUCAUAAAUGCUGAUGGUGUUGUAAAUGUGAAAUCCGGUUCUAUUGCAUCUAACGAAAUCUUAAAUGAUCAAGGAGGUAAGUGGAUUUUAGGCUAUAAGAGGUACUUGGAAAAUAUUCAGUUCUUGAGGCUGAACUUUGGAGAAUUUUAAAUUAUCUGAAUGCUUUGCUAAGUAGAAAGUUUGAUAAAGUCCUGAUUCAGACUAAUAGUAUAAAAGCUGUGAAGGUUACUCAAAUAUUCACCAAGACAUUUUUGAACUCUUUAUUGAUCAGGCAGAUUCAACAACUUUUGUUGAAUGUUGAGAAUUGACUUCUACGAUAUGUGCUAGAGAAAGCAACAAGGACACGAAUUGCAUAGCUAAAAUGGCUUUUAAUAGAGAAGAUGGCUUGUUUUUUAUGAAAAACCUCCAAGGGGAAUAUCCAAUACCUUAAGUUAAUGUAAUUUGCUUAUUUUUAUUCACAGAAAAAAAAAGAAUAGCAACAAAAAGACUAGAAUAAAAUAAAAAAUAUGUUACAUUGACAUAUUACAAACGGGUAUUACAAAAUUGAGUGCACUGCAUUAUGCAUAAUCGACCUAGACUAAGAAAUUGCCAGCAUACUAUUAACGCAACAACGUAUUUGAAGUCAAUACUAGUACUAAAGACAACACAAACACUUACAAAUAAACAAUAGCAUACAAUUAAAAUGGUUCCUUUACAGAAUUCAUCAUAUAAAAUAAGGAAUAACAACAAUCCUUGACCUACACCCAUACCUAUUUCACUUCUUCCUAGACAUAAAUAUAAAAUUGAAGGGAGUAUCCAACAUCCCACUAUUGAAACACUAAUUUUUGACACCCGACAUACGAUACACAUGGACACCAUUAAAAGGAAAAGAAUUCCUGAAAAUAUAUUCAAAAUUACAUAUGUUAAAUUGGUGGGAGCUAUGUCAGAUAUUGAUUCAUCGAAGGACACUGCAAGAAACGCUAAUAGUACUUGAAGUGCAGUCCUAAAACCACGGGGAAAAGUUUUGAGUAGAGCUAGUGUUAGGAAUAAUGUUACGAGGAACACAAGGUAGGUUGGAAUAUAGAAGAGAAGAAAAUCCAUUUGACCCAUGACUGAUUUCCCUAGUACCAUUGCAUCAUAUGAUCCUUUGGACUUUGAGGUAUUUUCACCUUGCCAAACACCACCAGGUGGGCUUAGAGUGGCUUGAUAGGUUGCAGUUAGAAGCAGUCCUAAAAUGAUUAGCAAGGCAUUGCGGUCAUCGGCUGAUAUGUUGUCCAUAUUUUGAAAAGUUAGUAGUGAUGCCUUUGUCACAUACUUGACAACUUGUUCCUCCAACUUACGUUUAAAGUUUGAAACUACUGGAAUAAAGCAGCCCUUCAGAAUAGCAAUGUUUUCUCUGUUAUUAUGUUGUUGUGCAAUACUCAGUGCGGUCAAACCAACUUGAUUGGUAGCAUGCUUAUCAGCCUUGCAAUUUAAUAGUAGUUUAAGCAUCUGUUCAAUUGAUAGUUUAGGAUAUAAAAAGGCUACAAUCAAUUAAUCAUGUCUUUGAAGUAAAAAAAGAAAAAGAAUCUAUGUAAUAUAAAUUACUAUCGAAGCAGUUGAGUCGAACCUUGGGUUGAUUAUGGAUAGCGGCUAUGUGAAGUGCAGUAUUUCCAUCUUUGUCUUUCCGGUUCACCACUUCCCAAUAAUAGUCUUUCCUCUUAAGCGUUGGAAUUAGGAGUUGGAGAACGUCCAGUCUAUUGUUUUGGAUAGCAAUAUGCAAAGCAGUGCGAUUCUCUAUUGUAACAUCUUGGAGACAAUCAGGAGAAGCUUCCAGAAAUGGAUCCAACAGACCAAGCUGGUUUCCAACUUUACAUAAGUAGUGCAAUGGAGUCUUACCUUUCUUUCCUCUGACACGAACAAGAUGUGUAUCAAUCUCCAAGAAGCGGAGUGCCAUCUCUUUAUGCCCUUUUCUAACUGCAAUGUGAAGUGGGCUCAAACCUUGGUGGUUAAGCUUUCGAGCAAAUGAUGGCUUUAAGUUCAUCAUCUCCAUUGCAAACUCAAUGCACCCUUCUUCUGCAGCUAUAUGUAAUGGAGUCUCGAUAAACUCCACCUCAUCAAAAUGCCUCAAAACAUUUCCAUUUCUUUGAAUUACUGUAUACAAUCCAUUAAGCUUUCCUGUACGAGCAGCCUGUCUUAAACUUUCAUCCAUGUGAGGAAGACUAAAAAUUGAAUGGUUGAAAGGGUUUAAGGUCACUUAGAGCAACUUAUUCAAAGAGAGUUUUUUUUUUUUAAAUAGAGUGAGGCAGACAAAUGGUGUAUAUUUAUGGUCUUGAUUUUGAGGUUUCGCCUUUAGUAGAGGAUUAUUGUAAAUAAUUUUGUUUUCAAUGGCUUUUUAUUUCAAGGUUAAGAAAUAAUGCUUUCGUCCAUUGACUUCACUUCCAAAUUGAUUUUUUUUCUUUGUGUAUAUGUUCAUAGUCAAAAGUCCAAUUCCUACUUUAAAACGUGAUGAUAUUAAUUUCCCGAAAAAUAAGUCAAAGAAAAUUAUUCGUAUUCUUCUCAUUUAUAAUUAAAAAUAUAUAAUUAUUCAAAUCCUGUGUUCGCAUUAACUUUGAAUCGCAUUAAUCGCGUUAUUAUUAAUAUUUUACUCUCUUCUUGCAAUUCAUAAAAAAUAUAUAUAUUUAUUCAUAUAUUUUUAUCAAAUAUAUAUCUAUAUACGAAUCUUCUAUCUAAAUUUGUAUUCUAAAUUAAUUGGACAUCAACUUAAUUAUGUGAUUAUAAAAAUAUCAAUUCAUUACAAAAUAACAUGCUAUUUUAAGAUUGUUUUAAUCUCUCUUUUUUUAAACCAUAUAAUAAAAUUUAAACUUAAAACGCUAUAAAUAUUUCUAUUUUACUAUUUUAAUUAAAAUUUCUUUUAAUUUUUAUAUAAUCUUUUAUAAAUAUAUUUAUUCUAUAAUUCUGUUAUUCAAUUUCAUUAGGGAUAUACCAUAAUUUAAUAUAUAUUAUAAAUAAAUUAUUAAAAAAAUAAAAAUAUUGGUUCAGAUUCAAUUGAUUUUUAAUCUUGUUUGUAUUGAUUCUUGAACUAAUUAGGUUUUUUUUUUAUCUCUCUUUAUAUUGGUACUCGACUCUACUCAUGUAAUUAUACCUCUAUGUUGAAAAGUGUUAAUGCAUUAAUUAAAGUUUGAUCUUGAUAAUUAUUUUUACAUUAGGAUAUAAAGGUUUUUUUUUUUGUUGAAUAAGAUAUUUUGGAAGAAGACAGAGAAAAAGACUACAGCAUCAUUGAAGGUCAUACAAUUAAAAAAACUAUAAAGUAAGCUUCAAAGACGGAAAUAAUUUUAAAACAAAAUUAUAAAAGAACAUCUGUCCAUAAUACUUUUCAUAAACUUGGAAAUUAUUUUCUUCAUUUUAUAAGAUGUUAAGGUUUUUUCUUUUUUGGGAGUUUUUAAAAAUUGGAUCAAUGUUGGUACCAAUGAAGUCACUAGUUUAUGAGUUGAAGUAGUUUGAUUAAAUAAAUUAUUAAAAUAAUAAAAAGAAUUUGGUUCAAUUGACUUUUAAUUUAAUCUAUAUUGAUUUCUGAGUCAAUUAGUUUGUUAUUUUUCUUUGAAUCAAUACCCCAACCAACUCGAUUUUGUUCAGGUAACCAUGUCUUUAUGUUAAAAAGCAUUAAUGCACUAAUCAGAGUCUGAAUUUAGUAACUAUUCUCACAUUCAGGUAUAGAAGGUUCUUUUAGCGAAGAGAUGAAACAUUGCAAAAAAUUGAAUAAGAUAUUUUGAAAGAAACCAGAGAGGAAGACUGAAACAUAUUCAAUAAAAUUGAGCAUUGAGCAUUGUACAAGUAAAAGAACUUUAAAACACAAAAUUAUAACUUUAAAAAAUAUUAAAACUCACAAUAAAAUAACAAGAUUAUAAAGUAAACUUUAAAAUGCACUAAUUAAUUAAAUUAAGUUACAUAUUAUAGAAAACGGUGUCGUUCCUAACCCAAACACGAGCUUUCUCUGGAUCUUCUUCCUCCUCUGAUCCAUAAUCACAGCCGUGCUCCACUGAAUUGGAGCUUUUUUUUUUUUUUUUGGCGUGUUACUCGUAAAGCACUUUUAGUUAAGAUUCGUGUGUUACUGUUGAAGUUGUUAAGAAAUGUGUUUUUGUUUUGAAUAUGAUAUAUACGUACAUAUCAGAAAAAAAAAAAUUAGCAUACCCGAGGUCUGUUUCUGAUAGCCGCAACGUGUAAAACAGUUUUCCCUUCCAUGUCUGCCCAACUUAUUGGUUCUUUCUCCCAACGUUGGGCAGCUUCAUGGCGGCUCCUUAUAAGCCACCUCACCAAGACUUGGAAAGCUUCAAACUUGUCUUUUACUGAAAUAUGGAAAACAGGCACGUCUUCAAUACCCUUGGGACAAACCUCAAGAAACUUGAACAAAAGAUCAGCAUCUCCGGUCCGAACGACAUGAUGCAGAGGAGUGAGGCCCCCCUUCCCUUUGACACGAAUGAAAUAAAUACACGUACACAUGUCUAAUACGCGUAAACAUGAUUUAAAUGGUUUUGCCGACAGCAAUCAAAUUUCCUAGUAAAGUCUUUGUGGUUGGUGAAGAACAGCCAUCGGACCAUACUUUUCAUAAACUUGAAAAUUCCAAUUAAGUCACUAAUUCAUUAGUUGAAUUAGUUUCAUAAAUAAAUUAUUAAAAUAAUAAAAAAUAUUGGUUCAUAUUCAAUUAAUUAGUUUUAUAUCUCUCUUUGUAUUGGUACCCCAAUCGGCGUAAUUCUACUUAAGUAAUCAUAUCUCUAUGUUGAAAAGUGUUAAUGCACUAACUGAAGUUUAAACUUGGUACGUAAUUGUUUUCACAUUAGGGUGUAAAAGUUUUUUUUUUUUUUUAGGUAGAGACAAAGCAUUGCAAAAAAAUUGAAUAAAAUAUUUUGAAAGAAGGCAAAGAAAAAGACUAAAGCAUCAUUGACGGUCGUACAAUUAAAAAAACUAUAAAGUAACCUUUAAAGAUGGAAAUAAUUUUAAAAAACAAAAUUAUAACUUAACCUAGGAACACCUGUCCAUAAUUCUUUUCAUAAACUUGGAAAUUAUUUAUAAGAUGUUAGGUUUUUUAUGGGAGUUUUUUAAAAUUAGAUCAAUGUUGGUACCAAUCAAGUCAUUAAUUCAUGAAUUGAAUUAGUCUGAUUAAAUAAAUUAUUAAAAUUAUAAAAGGAAUUUGGUUCAAUUGACUUUUAGUCUGAUCUAUAUUAAUUUCUGAGUCAAUUAAUUUGUUAUUUCUCUUUGAAUCAGUACCCCAACCAACUCGAUUUUGUUCAAGUAACCAUGUCUCUAUGUUGAAAAGCAUUAAUGCACUAAUCAAAAUCUAAACAUAACAACUAUUCUCACAUUGAGGUAUAGAAGGUUAUUUCGGUAAAGAGAUGAAAUAUUGCAAAAAUUUGAAUAAGAUAUUUUGAAAGAAAGCGAAGAGAAAGACCGAAACAUAUUUAACAUUAAGCUUUGCACAAGUAAAAAAUAAAUAAACUAAAUAAUUUUAAAACACAAAAUUAUAACUUUAAAAAAAUUAAAAUUCACAAUAAAAUAACAAGAUUAUAAAGUAAACUUUAAAAUGCACUAAUUAAUUAAAUUAAGUUACUUUUUAUAAAAAAAAUUCAAAGUAAAUUACUCGUAGUAAUUUUUUAAUGUUAGGUAUGUUGCAUAUGAUUUUAUAUUUUUAAUUUAUUAAAUAUUAUAUUUUUACAAAUUCAAAUAUGUAUUUAUGCUAAUUAAACGAGGUUUAAUUUAAUUUAUACUAAAGAUAAAUUAGUUUGAAAAAAUAUUAAGAGAAUAAAAUAGCAUUUUAAAAUUAAUGAAAAAAAUGAACUAAUACAUAUACAACUAUUAAAAUAAUAUACAAAUUUAAAACUAUAUAAAAAAAUAAAUGGAAAACAUAUUUACACUUAAUUAAAGAUCACAUUUAAUAAUAACAACUAAAAAAUAUUAUUUAAAUUUUGUUUUUCAAAAGAAUACACGAAACAUUUUUCAUCUGCACCAAACGAAUAAUGGACAAAUAAAAAAAUGAAUUUAAAAUUACUUGCUUCGCAUAAUACGGUUACUUUAUUUAAAUUUGUAUUGUUUAAUAUAGGUGAUUUAUUUAAAUUUCUAUAGAGAUUUCACCUUCGUACUUAAAAAAAUAAAACACUCACCCCUAAAUUUCCUCUUGACAAUUUAGGUUGUAAACACAACUUGUUUACUCUCAAUUGCACUCACACAAUUAGUUCCUCAAUUAAUGAAUAAAGUGCUCUCAAUAUAGUCUCUUUUAAAACCUAUACAAACCUCAACUUAUAUAGAAGUGUUUUGGUUUACUAACAUACUCGAUAUUGAUUACAAUAUAACCCCUUAAAAUCAACACCUACAAAAUAGAAAAAAAGAAAUAUAUUAUAAAGUCCAAUAAAGUCUGAUCUAUGGAUAUAUAGUCUUCAAUGUAAACAACAACUCAAUCCGAAAGAUUCUCUAUAAACAGAGGAUUGUAAUUGUUCAAACCAAUCCAAUCUUCACAAUGCAAAUAAUUAGUUCUCAUAAUUAGGCUUCUAUAUCUUCAAAAUAUCAACAUAGUUAAUAGCCCAAAGAUUUUAAGCCGAGGAUUGUCAACUCCAAAUAUAGCAAGUACAAUUGUACUAUUGCAAGGAUGGAUGACAAUGGGAUCUACCAAGUGCUGCUCAUAAUGCUUCUUUACAAUUUGUCUCAACAAUUUCCCCAUUUGAAUUUUUUUUUGAACAAAAUCCAAUUCAAACCAAGAAGUUAACUAGAAUUUUAUGUGAUGAUAUGAUGGUUAAGGGUGUUUACCGUUCCAGAUAUGGCUUGAGUUUGAGUCUUGUUAGUUGCGUUUUUUGUCCAGGCUUUCCCUGUUAUUAUAAUUCACUAAAAAAAUUUUACUGAUUUUUGACAAGUAUAAAUUAUGUUAAUAUCAUGGUUGAACUCAUUGCAUAUUUGAUUCUAAACAUCUCUCCGGUCCGAACGACAUGAUGCAGAGGAGUGAGGCCCCCCUUCCCUUUGACACGAAUAAGGCCUUCAUCAAACUUGAGGAGUCGAAGCACCGCUUGAGUUCUGUUAUUCUGCAGAGCCAAGUGCAUGGGGGUCAACCCAGCUUGGUAUAGUUUUCUUGCAAACGAUGGCUUUAAGUUGAUCAUCUCCAUCAGAAAAUCAAUAUGCCCUGCAGAGGCUGCCACAUGUAAUGGAGAAUGAAAAAAGGCACAUCAUCAAUACGCUGUAAAACAAAUGGAUGACUCGCAAUAUCUCCUGUUCGUGCAGCCUCUAUCAUCGUCGAAUUCAUAGCUUGGAAGAAGGGGGGCAGUCAAUUGUGAGACAAAUGGAAACUGAUAAAAAUUUUCAAGAAACACAGAAAAAAGAAGCAGAAGACAAUAUAGAAAAGGAAAUAUGGAAUGUCAAAAUUUGGAUCUAAAACGAAAAUCCGACUUAAGUAUAGCGUCUCAUAUUUGAUAAAAGAAAUCUUCAUUUCUUAAGUCUUAUUCGACUUAAAGCUUGUGUCACAUUCUUUAAACUUUGAUAUCUAUUAUUUCAAGUAUUUUAAUUAAAUAAAUUAAUAAAUUUAAGUGUUUGUGUAAUAGGCCCAAUUUGCUUGGGCCCAGACGAAAACCAAACAAAAAUAAAAAAUAACAAUUCCAGUCCAUUUACAGUAAAUUUAAACUCAAAAUAACAAUGGCCCGAACAGCCCAAUAAGAAUGAAAACCCACUAUGAAAUUGGAUGUAUAUUCUAAGUUUAAAGAAAUGAAAGGCAGUAGUGCGAACAAAAAGCCACAAGCGAUGCUGUUCUGUUUCUUUUAUGAGAAUUAUCGGGAAGCAUUUUUCUUUCUGAAAAGCUUGGGGGUUCCACCAUGUCAAAAGAAUUUUAUCAUUUAGAGUUGGGAAGCUUUUUUUGUGUUUCUUUUUGAAGAAUUCAUUGGAAAGCUUUUUUCCUUUUGAAGGAUUAUAAAUUUAGUAGUGAAAAAAUAUUACAAAACUCCUAAAUAAUUUUAGAUACACAUAUUUUAUCACUAAGCUUUAAAUAAAGUUUGUCUUUCUCACCCAUGUUAUUGUUAAAGAAAUAUAAAGUGACCCGGAACAGCGAAGAUUCCUUAAUUUAAUUGAAAUUUAUAUAACUUAUGUGAAAUAUGAUUUGAAUUAUGUAUGAAAAUUACAAGUAAUUUAAAGGAUAACUAAGAAAAAGAGAGAGCAAAGAUUAUACAUUAAUGCUUCUAUACUUAAAAGAUACAUAGAAAAUAAGAAACAAUUUGUGUAAAACGUGGGAUAGGUUUCACUCGAAAUUAUAGGAGACGUUUCUUUCACAUACUACAAAUGGAUAGAAGAAAUAGAUGUAUAAUGACUUAUUUGAUAUUCUAAUUUUAUAAAUUAAAAAGUCAUUUUAAUCAUUUGUCUAAUUUUUGUUUUUUUUUUUAGUUCUUUAACUUGUAUUAUUUGUCAAAUCACCUCAAAAUAGAUAUAAAAAUUUACAAAUAUGACAUAAACAUAGAUUGUCACAUAGAUGCUACAUUAGUAAUUAAUUAUUUUUUAAAUAUACAAAAUAUAAAAGCUAUAAAAAGUAUUAAAAAGUAUAAUUUUUAAUAAAUUAAUUAAUUGCUAAAUGCGUUCUGUCAAAAAAGUUAAAAGAUAUUAAUUUCUCUAUCUAUUUUGAAGUGAUUUGACAAAUAAUACAAGUUUAAUGAUCAAAAGAGACGAAAAAUUAAAUAGAUGACUAAAAUAAUUUUUUUUUUUGUAAAAUUGAAAGAUCAAAUAAACCAUUAUAUCUAAAAUAAACAAAAUCAACAACUAAAAUCACAUUGCCAUUUAGAUAAUUUAGGAUGUUACAACAUUGAUGCAUAAUCUACAAUUUAGAGCUAAGAUUAUACAUUACUUGUAUACUUAAAUUCACUUUUAGUUCAUCUAAUCAAAUUAUAAGUGAAAUAAACCUAUUCAAAGAAUAAUUCGCAAAAAUAUUUAGAAGAUAACGUCACAUUGACAUACUAGAAAUAAAUGUUACAACAUUGAGUGCACUGUAUUAUGUAUAAUCGACAUAAACUAAGUUAUAGCCAACAUUCUAUCUAUCUAAUUGGGUAUCUCAAGGUAUUACCAUCACUAAUGAAAGCAUUAAUACCUAUAAAUAAACUAUAGCAUACUACUAAAUUGGUUCAUUUCAAGAAUUCAUCAUAUAAAAAAAAGGAAUAACAGCAAUUUUUGAGCUGCGCCUAUACUUAAUUUUUUGCCUAAACAUAAAUAUAAAAUUGAAAGGAAUAUUCAACAUCCCACUAUUGAAACAUUAAGUUUGACACUUGAUAUUCGACACACAUGAAUACCAUUAAAACGAAAUGAAUUCUUGAAAAUAUAUUUUACGUGUGUUGAAUGGGUGGAGCCCAUAACAGAUAUUGAUUCAUCGAAGCACACUGCAAGCAACACAAGUAGUAUUUGAAAUAUAACAAUGAAGGCAUAGGUGCUAGUCAAAUGAAGUAGGUCUUUCAUGUUGGAAAUUAUAGAUUGUAAAUUUAAUUAUUGAUGAGCAUUUAUUCAAAUUUAGAAAGUGAUAUAUUUUUAUGAGAAAUAUUUUUUUUAAAUAUGUCUAACGGUUAUGAUUCUAUAAAAUAGUAUUUCUUAAAUGCAUAUAAAUAGAAAUCGCAAUUACAAUCAAUCUUAUUUUCAAAAAUUAAAGUAAGAAUAUUCCUCUAUUUUACAAUGGAUUUGUCAUGUUCAUGAAAUACAAAAGAAUCUAUGUAAUAUUAAUUAUAAAAGCGGAUGAGUCAAACCUCGGGUUGAUUAUUUCUAGCAUGCAGCAAUGUGUAGUGCAGUGUUGACAUUUUUGUCUUUCCUGUUUACCACUUCCCAGCAACAGUCUUUCUUCCCAAGUUUUGGAGUUAGGACUUGAAGAACGUCUAAUUGAUUGUUCUUCGUUGCAAUCUGCGAAGCGGUGCAAUUCGCUGUUGUAACAUCUCGGAUACUAUUAGGACAAGUCUUCAGAAAUGUAUCUAACAGGCCAUCGUGGCUUCCAGCUUUACAAAUGUAAUGCAAAGGAGUCACACCAUUUUCCCCUCUAACACGAACAAGAUCGUUAUCGGUUUCUAUGAGACGCAACGCCAUCUCUUGAUGCCCUUUCUCGACAGCAAGGUGAGUAGGGCUCAAGCCUUGGUGGUUUAGCUUCCUGGCAAAGGAUGGCUUUAAACUCAUAAUCUCCAUUGCAAACUCAAUGCACCCUUCGUCUACAGCAAUGUGUAAUGGAGUAUUGACAAACUCCACCUCAUCAGAGCGCUUCAAAACAUUUCCAUCUCUCUCGAUUAAUGUAUACAACUAACAUUUCCUGCUCGAGCAGCUCUUUCCAAUAUGUUAUCCAUAACAGGAGGAAGGAUCAACUGAAAGGCUAAUGUGAUAUGUUCAGAGUCAAAGGUUUAAAUAAAUGGGAGGCAGUAGGUGAACGAGGAAGGCUAAUGUAUACAAUUAGCUUACUGUACGAAAAGAAGUCAUUCGUUCUUUUCGUUUUAUAUGAAAAGCCUACUGUAUCAAAUACAAUUAGCUUACGAAAAUAGUGGAAAGUUACAUAUGAAAAUCAAGUAUACUUGAGUGAUAUUUCAUUUUCUCGGAAAAAAAAUUGUUAGGCAAUUCUAAUGGCUUUGGUUCAGACUUUCAAUUGGUUGCUUUACUUUCAAUGGCUUUGGUUGACACUUUCAAUUGGUUGCUUUACAUUUAAGUCAAACUGAAGCUUUGGUUAAGCAUGAAAUUGGACACUACCUAAAACAUAGCAAAUUGCAUGCUCCCAACCUCAACCUGGUUUUUCUAAACAUAAUUUAUUUAAUAUAUAUGUUAAAAUAGUUAAAUAUAGUAUUUAAAUUUGAAAUUAUAAGGAUGAGUAAAUAUUUUUGUAAAAUAAAUAAUACCUCUUUCAAAUAAGUAAUAAAUAAUACUUGUGAAACCCAUGUAAUUAGCCAAUUGUAAUUAGUUUAUUGCAAACCAAUGAACUAAAAACAUGUGAAAAAAUAAUACUUCUACACUACACCAAAACAGGCUUUUAGCGGCAUUUUCAGCAGCGUUUAGACAAAAAACGCCGCUAAAAAUCGAUCAUUAGCGGCGCAUUACGUAAAACGCCGCUAAAGAUUGAGCAUUAGCGGCACUUUCAGGAAAGCGCCGCUAAAAAUGAGCAUUAGCGGCGUUUUUUUGUAAAACGCCGCAAAAAACCUAAGCCCAACAGCAUUGUUUUCAACCUUUCGGGGCUUUAGCGGCGUUUUUAAAAAAAGCGCUGCUAAUGCUCAGAUCUUUAGCGGCGUUUUUGACAAAGCGCCGCUAAUGCUUAGAUCUUUAGCGGCGUUUUUCAAAAAGCGCCGCUAAUUCUCAGAUCUUUAGCGUCGUUUUUGAAAAAGCGUCGCUAUCAAAUCUUUAGCAGUGUUUUUGGAAAAGCGCCGUUAAUACUCAGAUCUUUAGCGGCGUUUUUGGAAAAGCGCCGCUAAUGCUCGGGGCUUUAGCGGCGUUUUUUAAAAAGUGCCGCAAAAACAUUUUAACUGUCUAUUUACUAUUUAAUUUGUUUAUUUAUAUUAAUUAAAAUUCAAUUUAUUUUUAAUUGAAUAUUUGUUAAAAAUGGAUAAAUUUGAAAUAAUAACACGUAGAAAUAAUUUGAAAUAAAAAAAUAUAGAAAAAUAUUUGUUAAAAAUGGAGAAAUUAAAAUACUAUUAUUUAAAAUAAUUUUAAAUUUUUUUGGGUACAUAAUUGAUUGAUUUUUAAUUUAUAUAUUAAAUAAUUUCAAAUAUAAUUGUAAAAGAUACGAUAGUAUUAAUUUUAAAAUAUUUAAUUUAAUUAUCAUUAUAGUUUAGGGUUUAAUAUAUAUGGUUUAGAGUGUAUAUAUAUGUUUAAUUUAGGAUUUAGGGCCGGUUUAAGAGUUACAAUUUUAAGGUUUAUAGAUUAUGGAAUUAGAGAUUAUGGAUUAGGGAUUUUGAUUUAAGGGUUGUGAUUUAAGGUUUAUGGGUUAGAGGUUAGGGGUUAGAGGUUAAGAGUUAUGAUUUAGGGUUUAUGGAUUCAAUGUCAGGUUAGGGUUUAGGGUAUAGAUUAAUUAAUGUGUUUUAAUUUAUAUAUUAAUAAUGUUUAGGGUUAGGGUUAGGGAUUCGGGGUCAGGUUAGGGUUUAAUGUUUAGAUUAAUUAGUGUUUUUUAAUUUAUAUAUCAAAUAAGGUUUAGGGGUUAGUGUCUAAGGGUUUGGGGUUAGUGUUUAAAGGUUUAGGAUUAAGAGUUAGUGAUUUAGGGUUUAGAGAUUCGAGGUCAAGUUAGGGUUUAAGGUUUAGAUUAAUUAGUAUUUUUAAUUUAUAUAUUAAAUAAGUUCUUAUAUAAUUGUAAAAGAGACAAUAAUAAAUUGUAAAGAUUAUUAAUCUAACCAUUUGAUAUAUUUGAAUAUUAGAUUUAAAAAAAUUAAUAAAAAAAUGUAACAAAUUGAUACAGAUAGGUAACUAUCUAUUUUGGAUAUAUAGGACCAAAUUAUAACAAAUAAAAAUAAAAGACAAAAACUAAAAUCAUUCCACAUCGAGCAUCUAGCAAAAGAAUUACAUUUUAGUUAGGAAGAAAUAUCUCUAAUAAAAAGCGUCGCUAAAAGUCAAUAUUAUAGCGCCGUUUGUAAUAGAAGCGCCGCUAAAGGUCUUGGUCUUUAGCGGCGUUUGUGGGAAAAGUGCCGCUAAAGGUCUUGGUCUUUAGCGGCGUUUUUGGGAGAAGUGUCGCUAAAGGUAUUGGUCUUUAGUGGCGUUUGUGGGAGAAGCGCUGCUAAAGGUCUUAGUCUUUAGCGGCGCUUGUGGGAGAAGCGCCGCUAAAGGUCUUGGUCUUUAGCGGCGUUUGUGGGAGACGCACCGCUAAAGGUCUUGGUCUUUAGCGGCGUUUUUUUCUAUAAACGCCGCUAAAGUUAGCGACGCCAUCUUUAGCGGCGUUUUUUUGGCGCUUCUCAAAGCGUCGCAAAUACUUUUAGCGGCACUAAAAAGCACCGCUAAAGGCCUAAAAAAGCGCCGCUAAAAGCCUGUUUUGGUGUAGUGCUAUUAAAUGUAUUAUUAAUGUUAUUAAUUAAAGGGUUUUUUUUUUGCCAUUAAGUCUUUGGCUAUGCUAGUAAGGUUAAAACAUGGGAUUUUGAAUGUUCAAGAUCGAAAUUCACUCUUUGUAAACCAUGUAUGAGUUUUAUUAGAGGAUUAAUUGUUCGGGCUACAUUAUGGGUCGAAUUUAAGCAGUAUGUUAACAUAUUUUAUGUUUAUCCAAGUUCAGGCUAACUCUAAAUAUAAGCUUAAAAUUUUGUCCAAGUUUACACAUACUUGUAAAUAACUAACCGAAGCCCAUUUGCGGCCACCCAUAUUAUUAUUUUUUAAAUUUGUUUGAAAUAUUUAUAUUAUUUUUAGUUUAAUAUUUAAUAAUUUUAUAUAGUUUUUCAUUUAUUAAAAUUUUAUAUGCAUCCAACUAACAAUUUUUAAUGCUUACAAUUAAUAUGAUAUAUUACUAUAGAUUGAAUUUUAAUGUGUUACAAAUUACAUAUUAUAUAAAAAUAACAUAAUAUAAUAUAUUAAAAACUAUAGAAAAUGAAUCGGACUAGUCGGGAUUAGAAGGUCAGGCCUUGAAUGUUUGAGCUCAACCCCGACACAUUUUAAACAUGUUUAUUUUUUGAUUUGUUUGUUCAAACCUUUUUUUUUACUGUUCAAAAUUUUGAGUGAGUCUUUUAGCUUGAACAUGUAAUUCAAUCCUUGAACAAGUUUGUGUUUUAUCUAAACUUAUUUUUACUUAAAUAUGGUUACGUGUGAAUUAUGUCUAGAAUUAUUCAAAUCGAGAUUAUUUUUCAUCUGCAAUUUUUGAUUUGAAUGUAUUGUAUAUUCUUUUUAAUUAUCAGUGAGAAUGAUCGUAUUUGCACCAUUUCUAAAUUUUUUUAGAGCUCUAACCAUUUUAAUUAUCACUUAACUAAUAAUACAAUUAUAUAUCAAUCAAAAUUUAAAUUUAACUUUAUAAAUAGCAUCCAAUAGUUAAACAUAUCAGUCAGAUAGCAAAUAAAAUAGAGUACUAAGAAACAAUUGAGCAUUAAAGCAAUGAUUCUUCAAACAAUACAAUAGAAUUAUAAUGAUUUUAUAAAGAAAAAACUUAUUUUAAUCUAAUUUUAGUUCAUUAUUUCAAAUUAUUAAAUGGGUUUUAAUAUUAAUUAAUUUCUUUUGUUUAUUAUUAAAAAAGCUAUAUGCUAGGGGUAGAAGAGAGUUAAUAAUAAGAGAAAUAUUAUUUUAAUAUAAUUAAUUAUUUAGAACGACUUUCACAAAAUAAAUUUAACGAAAAAUGAAAAUUUGUAGAAAUUAUUUUAAAAAAAGAAUAUAUGUCAAUUUUCUUUCACCUGAAAAUCUAAUCGAAUUAUAAACGAAAUAAACCCAUUCAAAAAAUAACAACAAAAAUGUUAUAUUGACAUAUUACAAAAGGGUAUUACAAAAUUGGGUGCACCGUAUUAUACAUAAUAGACCUAGAUUAAGGAAUAACCAGCAUCCUAUUAAUGCAACAAAGUAUGGGAAAGUCAAUAUCAUUACCUAAUAAAGCAUCAACACUUACAAAUAAACAAUAGCAUACAACAAAAAAGGUUCCUUUCCAGAAUUCAUCGUAUAAAAUAAAGAAUAACAACAAUCCUUGACCUACACUCAUAUCUAUUCCACUUUCCACAAAAAAGUAUAAAAUUGAAGGGAAUAUCCAAUAUCCUACUAUUGAAACACUAAUUUUUGACACUCGACAUACGAUACACAUGGACACCAUUAAAAGGAAAAGAAUUCCUGAAAAUAUAUUAAUAAUUGCAUAUGUUAAAUAGGUGGGGGCUAACUCAGAUAUUGAUUCAUCGCAGGACACUGCAAGAAACGCUAAUAAUACUUGAAGUGCACUCCUAAAAUCAUGUGGAAAAGUUUUGAGUAAAGCUAGUGUUAGGAAUAAUGUUACGAGGAACACAAGGUAGGUUGGAAUAUAGAAGAGAAGAAAAUGCGUUUGACCCAUGACUGAUUUCCCUAGUACCAUUGGAUCAUAUGAUCCUUUGGACUUUGAGGUAUUUUCACCUUGCCAAACAACACCAGGUGGGCUUAGAGUGGCUUGGUAGGUUGCGGUUAGAAGCAGUCCUAAAAUGACUAGCAAGGCAUUGCGGUCAUCGGCUGAUAUAUUGUCCAUAUUUUUAAAAAUUAGUAGUGAUGCUUUUGUCACAUACUUGACAACUUGUUUCUCCAACUUACGUUGUAAGUUUGAAACUACUGGAAUAAAGCAGCCUUUCAGUAUAGCAAUGUUUUCUCUGUUGUUAUGUUGUUGUGCAAUACCCAGUGCGGUCAAACCAACUUGAUUGGUAGCAUGCUUAUCAGCCUUGCAAUUUAAUAGUAUUUUAAGCAUCUGUUCAAUUGAUAGUUUAGGAUAUAAAAAGGCUAGAAUCAAUUAAUCAUGUCUAUGAAGUAAAAAAAGAAUCUAUGUAAUAUGAAUUACUAUCGAAGGAGUUGAGUCGAACCGUGGGUUGGUUAUGGAUAGCGGCUAUGUGUAGUGCAGUGUUGCCAUCUUUGUCUUUCCGGUUCACCACUUCCCAGUAAUAGUCUUUCCUCUUAAGCGUUGGAAUUAGGAGUUGGAGAACGUCCAGUCUAUUGUUUUCGAUUGCAAUAUGCAAAGCAGUGCGAUUCUCAAUUGUAACAUCUUGGAUACAAUCAGGAGAAGCUUCCAGAAACGUAUCCAACAGACCAAGCUGGUUUCCAACUUUACAUUAGUAGUGCAAUGGAGUCUUACCUUUCUUUCCUCUGACACGAACAAGAUGUUUAUCAAUCUCCAAGAAGCGGAGCGCCAUCUCUUAUGCCCUUUUCUAACAGCAGUGUGAAGUGGGCUCAAACCUUGGUGGUUUAGCUUCCGAGCAAAUGAUGGCCUUAAGUUCAUCAUCUCCAUUGCAAACUCGAUGCACCCUUCUUCUGCAGCUAUAUGUAAUGGAGUGUCGAUAAACUCCACCUCAUCAACACGCCUCAAAACAUUUCCAUUUCUUUGAAUUACUCUAUGCAAUUCGUUAACCUUUCCAGUACGAGCAGCCUUUCUUAAAUUUUCAUCCAUGUGAGGAAGACUAAAAAUUGGAAGGUUGAAAGGGUUUAAGAUCACUUAGAGCAAUUUAUUCAAAGAGAAAGAGAGAGUUAAAGGCAGACAAAUGUGUGUAUAUUUCUGGUCUUGAUUUUUGAGGUUUCGCCUUUAGUAGAGGAACACUUUUGGUCAUGUUAUAGUUUAUUGAAAGAGCUUAAGCCCACUUACGGUGUUUAUAACUAGAAUGAGUGAAGACUUAGGUGCUCUGUCAAAUGAAGUAGGUCAAGACUUCGCUGCAGCUUUGUUUAUAAAGAAAGCAUAAAAAGGAAGCCUUACAUUUGGCCAAAUUUUAAUUGAUAUGCUUGCCAUUUCAUGUUGUCUUAAUCCAGAAAAGCUACCUCUCAGAUUAUUAUUUAUGUUAUAAAACCUGUUAACACAGAUCAGUACUCAACAAUUUUGUUCAUAUUAUAGUUUUAUUUCUUUAGGCUCAAUCUCACACUUUCAAAACAAAUUACCUAUUUCCUCUUUUUUAUCAGAUUGAAUUUUUAAAUCGAAAAAUGCAUCGAAUAUACUUUUUAACUCAUAAAUAUAGGGUGGUUAAAGGUUGAUGAGUCAACCCAUUUUGUACAUAUAUCAUAUGGCCACUCUUCUCACACUAUUUUAUUUUAUAUAUCAUAUUAUCACUAGACGAAUUUUAGAAAAAAAAAUCAUGAAAUAUCAAUUUUUUCUAAAAAAGUUCAAUUAAAAAAUGAGAGUACACGUUAAUUUUUUUUUGAAUUACGAAUUAAUUAAAAAAUUAUUAUAUCACAUUUAAAAAAAUUUUAAAAUAUUUUUAAAUUAUAAUUUAUAGAGUUUAUAUUGAUGAAUUUCUCCUUUUCACCUAUGAUUUUUUUUCCCAAAAGGACUUUUCACAUAAAAUUUGUUUGUUAUUAUUUUUCUUGUUAUUGUUUUAAAAUUAUUCCUAUUGCUUUUAUGGACGUCUAUAUUUUUGGCGAUGUCAUGAUUUAAACCAACAAAGGAACAAUAGAAAAGACAGAAAUUGAAGGGUAUAAGAAAAUAGAAAAAAGGCUGCUUUUUAAAUUUGUUUUGGAUAUUUGGAGGAGUUUAAGGAUUUCAAAUUUUAAAAAAUAAAUUUAUUCGAAUAAAAAUAUUGAAUAAUUUCCAAAUUUAUGAAGAAUUUUAAGAGAGGAUUUCGCUUGGCUCAAAUUCUUCUUUUUGUUUAAAUCUAAUAUAUUUUCGAUAUUUUAUUUCAUUAAACAUAUUUAUAGAUUUACAAAUCCAAUGAUUUACAUACUAAAUAUUCUUGUAUUAUUUUAUUUUUAAUAUAUAUAAUUAUUCCUUUUAAUAAUUAGUUUUUAAUUCAAACAAUUAGGAUUGCUAACAUUUUAAAUUAAUAAAUUAAAUUUUUUUAAAAUUUUAAAAUUAUUCAAUCAAACACGCGUUGAAAUAUUUAGUAUUAAUGUAUUAAAAAUAUACUUAAAUAAAUGAAAAAUGAUUGUAUAAAACUAUGAUACAAACUAUUCUUUAUCUUUUUCUAAUAAAAAAUAACAAUUACCGAAAUUAUUAUUUGCUAAUAAAUGGUGGGAUAAGACUUGAAAUUAAUGUUGAAGUUGAAGAUAUUGAAAUCAAAUGGAGCUUUAUUUUGGGUUAAUUGUAGGUUGGACAAGUUAGAGAGUUACAACAUUUAUUAAACUGUUUUAUGCAUAUAUAAUCGACAAAAAUGAAGUAAAAACCAGCAUCCUAGUAAUAUAAUAGGGUAUCUGGAGCUAAUACCAUCAACACCAUUAUCAAUACCAAUCAAAGAAUCUAUUCUAAAGAAUAAACCAUAACCUACAACUAAAAUAAUUCCUUUUAAGUACUCAUCGUAUAGAAAAAAGGACAACAAAAAUUCUUAAAUUACACCUCCAACUAUUUCUCCACCUAAAAUGGAAAAAAAAGAAAAAAAAAUCAAACAUCCCACUAUUAAAACACUGAAUUUUGACACCUGAUAUGUGAUGCACAUAAACACCAUUAAAAUGAAAAUAAUUGUUGAAAAUAUACAAAGAAUUCCCGAUGUUAGAAAGGUAGGGUCUAUGAAAGAUAUUGAUUGAUCGAAGCACAUUGCAAGAAAGGCAAGUAGUACUUGAAGUGCUGUCCUGAAACCAUGGGGAAAUGGUUUAAGCAGGGCUAGUAUUAGGAAAAAGGUUACUAUGAAGACAAUAUAAGUUGGAAUAUAGAAAUGAAGAAAACUAGAUUGAUCCAUGACUGAUUUCCCUGGUACUGUUGAAUCAUAUGAUCCUUUGGACGUUGAGGUAUUUUCACCUUACCAAACACCACCAGGGGGGCUUAGACUGGCUUGGUAAGUUGCAGCUAGAAGUACUCCUAAAAUUACUAGUAAGGCAUUGCGGUCCUCCCCUGAUAUAUUAUCCAUAUUGUGAAAAAUUAGUGAUGAUGCCUUUGUCACAUGCUUGACGAUUUGUUUCUCCAAUUUACAUUUAAAGUUUGAAACUUCUGGAAUAAAGCAACCACGCAGAAUAGUAAUGCUUUCCCUAUUAUGUUGUUGUUGUGCUACAUCCAUUACCGUCCAACCAGCCUGGUUGUUGGCAUGCUUAUCGGCUUUGCAGUUUAAUAGUAGUUUAAGCUCUGUUCAAAAAGGCUACGUUUAGUUAAUCCUACGUAUGAAAUACAAAAGAACCUAAUCAAUACGGACUGCUAUUGAAGUAGAUGAGUCAAACCUCGGGUUGAUUAUGGAAAGCAGCUAACUGCAGUGCAGUGUUUCCAUCUUCAUCUAUUUGGUUCACCACUUCCCGAUAAUAGUCUGUCUUCCAAAGUGUUCGAAUUAGGACUUGGAGAACAUCCAGUCUGUUGUUUUCUACAGCAAUAUGCAAAGCAUUGCGAUUCUCAAUUGGAACAUAUUGUAUACAUUGAGGACAAAUCUCUAAAAUUCUAUCCAACAUGCCAUCAUGAUUUCCAGCUUCACUUAAGAAGUGCAAGGGAGUCUUACCGUUCUUUCCUUUGACACGAACAAGAUCAUUAUCCAUUUCCAAGAAACGUAGAGCCAUCUCUUUAUGCCCUUGUUUAACUGCAAUGUGAAGUGGGCUCAGGCCCUGUUGGUUUAGCUUCCUAGCAAAUGCUGGCUUUAAGUUCAUCAUUUCCAUUGCAAACCUAAUGCAUCCUUCUUCUGCAGCAAUGUGUAAAGGAGUGUCGACAAACUCCACCUCAUCAAAGUGCCUCAAAACAUUUCCAUCUCUUUGAAUUAAAUUGUACAAAUCAGUAACAUUUCCUGUACGAGCUGCUGUUCUCAACCUUUCAUCCAUGUGAGGUGGAAGGACCAAUUGACAGAAGAAAAUUUGAAAGAGCUUAAGCCCACUUACAAGGUUUACUAGAAUGAGUAAAGACUAAGGUGCUCUGUGAAAUGAAGUAGGUCUUUCACAUGUUCAUACUCGAAAGUUUAAAAUAGGAAACAUUUAUCAAGAAUUUUCUGCAGCUUUGUUUAUAAAGAAAGCAGAAAAAGGAAUCUUUCAAGUCCGCCUGCUUAUUAUUUUAAAGAAAGUUACAUUUGUCCAAAUUUUAAUUGAUCUUCUUGCCAUUGGCUAAGCAGCCUCUCAUAUUAUUAUUUAUGUAUUUAGGUUAGUUUAAAAUUUUUAAAAUUUUAUAUUACUGAAGGUAAAAUUGUAUUACCUUCUUAAAAAUAAUAAUAAUUUAAUUUAAUCUUUUAAAAUUUAUAAAGAUAUAAACAAUUAAAAUGAUGAAAUUAAAUUUUUACUAUCGUAAAAAUUAUAAUUUAAUUUCGAUUUCUCUUAAAAAAAUUAUACCAAAUAAGUUUUUUAAUUCAUAAAAUAUGAUCGUUAAAGGUUGGCGAGUGAACCAUUUUGUACAUAUAUCAUAUCACAUGGCCACUCUCGUGAUACUAUUUUAUUUUAUAUAUCAUAUUAUAAUGGUGUUUUUGGAUCACUAGAGGAAUGUUAGAAAAAAAAUCAUAAAAAUAUCAAUUUAAAAAAAAAACAAAUCUAUUAAAAAAUGAGAGUACACAUUAAUCUUUUUAAUUACGCAUUGAUUAAACAAUUAUUAAAUGACAUUUUAUAAAAAAAUUUAAAAUACAUUUAAAUUAACUAUAAUUUAUUUACACACACAAAAAAAAAAAAAAACUAUAAUUCAUAGAGUCUACAUUAAAGAGUGAGUUAGUAUAGGAAAGGUUAUAGCAAUGGAUGUUUAAUCUUUUUGGUGCUGUGAUCUAAGCCAACAAAGGAACAAUAGAAAAGACAGAAAUUGAGCGAUAAAGUAUAUACAUAUUUAUUAUGUUUUUGAAGGUUUCAUUAACCUGGAGUUAUUAUAUUAUAAAACUUUGCAUACUUUAAGGUUAAAAACUUGUGUUCAUCCAUGUGAUCUAGUUUUAUCCAAUGAUAAAACUAUGCCUUUUGUAUGCCCAUACUCCAAAUGUAAACAAAUAGCAUCUACAAUAAACUUCAUACUUCACUAGCAUUGUAUAUCCCCUCCACCGCCACCCCUGUGGCUAUCAAUAAGUUCAGAAUUAAGUAGCUGUGGUUUUCUCUUGUAAGGAUGAGAACACAAGUUUCAAUCUAAAAAAUAUUAUUUGUUGUGUUAAGAUAUAAUAAAUCUGUUAAAGAAGUAGUUACAGAUUAGCUGAGUUGUCAGCUAUAUUGUUAAGAGAAGCAGUUAGUUAGAGAGUCUAUAAAUGUUCACGAUUGGCAUUGUAUUGAAUCAAGUUAGAAGUCUAAAUUCAGAAUUGAAAACAUUGUUCAUUAAGAAUUCUUUAGUUUCUUAGAACUUACCUAUAUUUCUUCAUGGUAUCAAUCGCCUGGUGAUCCUCUGCCAUGGCUACCACGAAUUCUGCUACUUCUGAUUCUGUAGAACCGCAAGUGUCUGCGUUUGUUGCUGAUCGAGUUGUAAAUUCAUUUCCUCGUCAUGAGGUUGUGAAGCUAGAUGAAGGCACCUUUGUUCAGUGGAAACAACAGGUGCGUUUUAUUGUUAAUGGUUACAAUUUGUUUGGAUUUCUUGAUGAAUCGGUUUCUCCUCAGCUGCGAUUCAUGCAAGCACCGGAUGGUGCCCUUGUGGUGAAUUCGACAGCCUCUGUUUAUCACCAACAGGGUAAUUUGAUUACAUCCUGGCUUCUAUCAACAAUCAAUUCUUCGAUCUUGUCUUCUUUUACAAAUGUGCAAACCGCUUCGGAUGUGUGGACGACGGCGUUGGCCUUGUUUGCAGCGGACACAGAUCUGAAACAGUCCCGCCUGAGACAUGAUCUUCAUUCCAUCAAGAAGGGAAAUCUGUCCAUCCGAGAUUAUGUUGGAUGUGUGCUCUUUUGGAGGCCUCUGAUUCUUCGAUCUCGGUGGCGGAACGAACGACGGUGUUUCUUCCCGGUCUUCCCUCGGAGUUUGACGCCGUGGUGUCGUCUGCUACACUGUCUUCGACCUCUCUUCCUUUCCAGCGUCUUGUCGAUGCGCUGAUCGAGUAUGAAAAUCGUCAGGUGCAAGCGGCUAAAGAAGUUGUUUAUGCCGCGAAUUUAGUGGAAGACUCGUCACCGGUUGUGGAUGUUUCAUCACGUGGGGGACGUUCGGUGGUGCGUGGCCGUGGUCGGAGCUUUCGGCCUCGGCUUCAGUGUCAGAUCUACUCAAGGUUCAGUCACGUUGCUCAACGGUGCUAUUACCGGUACCAUCAUGAAGACGCAUCUCCGGUGCAAUUUCCGUCGUCGACUCCUCCUGCUACUGGGUUUUGUGACUAGCCUUCACAGCAAAAUACAAGGCCUAGAAUUUCUAAUGUUGGUCAAAAUGGUUAUGGGUCUGGUCAACAUGGUGAUAAUGGUCAAAAUUGGUUUGUUGAUGGACCAUUUAAUACACAGCAGUGGGGGCCGCAUGAACUUCAAAAUGUUGGGCUCAAUAAUGGUUGGCCUAGGCAAAAUAUUGAUGAGGGCCGUAUGUUUAGGCCUCCAUAUUAUGGGCCGAAUGUUCUUGGGCCUAAUCAUGGGCCGAAUGAAGGAUUAGACAGGAGAUUUGGGCCUACUCAUGAUAAUGGGCCGAAUGAUGUUGGGCCGAAUGCUUCUUUAUUAGCACCUAACCCUGUUUCGAAUAAUGUGCAGCUUGACCCGGCUAAGCCAUCCGGUAAUGUUGGUGUUCCGUGGCGUACUAAACCACGAGCCUGUGUGUUUUCAGUGUCCAAUAUUUGUUUUGGGCUUCCUAGAUUGGGAGAUCUUCAUGCGUCUGACUAUUCUGAUUUGUCUAUCUCCGGUUCGCAUAUAAACUCCACACAACAUGGGAUUAGUAGAGAUGGCUCUGACUCUCCGGUUCCUGGGCCAGCUAGCACUACAUCCUGGUAUCCUGAUUCGGGUGCUAGUAAUCACGUGUGUCAAGAUCCUUCUGCACUGCGUGAUGCUGUUCCAUAUUCAGGUACGUCCUCUCUUUUAAUAGGUGAUGGUACGCCUGCUAUGAUAUCGUUUGUUGGUCAGGGUGUUUUGUCUACACAGUCUAGGUUACUUCGGUUAUUUAAUGUUUUGUGUGUUUCAGCUAUUCGAAAAAAUUUAUUGUCAGUAUCACAAUUUGCAACUGAUAAUGGUGUUUUAUUUGAGUUUCACUCCAUUUAUUAUGUGAUUAAGGACAACAUGACACAGGAGAUUUUGCUGACGGGCUGUAUACAUAAUGGGCUAUAUCAGUUUUCUAUAUCAGAUGCUUCUAUUCCUGUUACAUUUCAUCUGUCUACUGCUCAGGUUGAAAUUCCAACUCGGACUGCCGACAAUGAGUUUUGUUUACUAUGGCAUAAGCGUCUUGGCCAUCCAUCAUCGAAUGUUGUUAAGAAUGUUCUUGAUAAAUGUCAUUUCAAUUUGAAUAAAGUUGCGAUAAGCGAUGUUUGUACUGCUUGUAAAAAAGGAAAGUUUCAUAAGUUGUCGUUUCUUGUUUCUAGUACUGAAUAUACUGAUCCCUUCUCUUUGGUUAUUUCGGAUUUGUGGGGACCUGCCUCAAUUGCUUCUGGUAACAAUUGGUAUUAUGUGUCGUUUAUCGAUAUGAGUUUUCGGUUUACUUGGGUGUAUUUGAUUAGGCAAAAAUCUCAGGCUGUGACUUACUUUAUUCGGUUUCAGAAACUUAUUCAGAAUCAGUUUGGCAAGACCAUCAAACAGUUCCAAAGUGACUAGGGCGGGGAGUAUCGAGCAUUUGCUUCAGUUCUGGCCUCUCAAGGUAUCAUCCAUUGCAUUUCAUGUCCUCAUGCCUCUGAACAAAAUGGUGUUGCUGAGCAUAAACAUAGACAUAUUAUGGAAAUGAGACUCACUCUUUUAGCUCAAGCUGGUCUUUCAAUAGAGUUCUAGGCGUAUGCCUUUACAUGUGCUGUUCAUUUAAUAAAUCGUCUUCCCACACCAGUUCUGAAUUGUAGGACUCCGUAUAGAGCUCUGUAUGGGACUGAACCUAUCUAUGAUCAUCUACGUAUUUUUGGAUGUUGCUGCUAUCCGUAUUUACGCCAUUUUCAGCGGCACAAGUUAGAGUUUAGGUCUCAACCGUGCACGUUCUUGGGUUACAGCUCUUGUCACAAAGGGUAUCAAUGCCUUUUGCCUGAUGGUCGAAUUAUUAUCUCGCGUCAUGUAGAGUUUGAUGAAUCAAGGUUUCCCUCUCCAACGUCUCUAUCACGGUCUACUCGGGAGGUGAGUACUAUACCUACAUGUUUUCCUGUACUUAAGACUAAACCAUUGUGUCAAAGGAACUCAGUAACUAGUCCUAUUUGUCCGAGUACGGUGCAUGGGUCUUCGAUUCCUCAGAAUGGAGUAGAUAAUAGUCCGGAAAAUACUAAUGGUUCUAAUACUCCCUCUUUAACUAGGUCUUCGAUUCCUCAGAAUGGAGUAGAUAAUUCUCAAAAUAAUUUUUCUUCCUCUGGUGAUUUGUCUCCUACACCUGUGGUUCCAGUUCCAUUUGUUCCUACAGGACCAGAGGUUUCUGUUCCUAACAUGAAUGUUCAUUCCAUGACCACUCGGUCAAAGGCUGGUAUUUUUAAACCUAAAGUUCUUGCUGUUGAAGUUGUAGAACCAUCAACGAUUGAGAAAGCUUUUACUAGCCCUGAAUGGCAGACUACUGCUCAAUCUAAGUAUGAUGCCUUAAUCCGUAAUGGUACCUAGGAACUUGUCCCUGUGCCAUCAGGUAGGAAAGUCAUUGGCUGCAAAUGGCUAUUUAAGGUCAAGAAAAACCCGGAUGGUACGGUUGAAAGGUACAAAGCAUGUUUGGUUGCGAAAGGUUGUUCUCAAGUUCCGGGUUGUGAUUUUCAAGAGACGUUUAGUCCAGUGGUAAAACUUGCCACUAUUCGAGUUAUCCUAUCGGUCACGGUCACUAAAGGAUGGUCGCUUCGACAGGUUGAUGUCGAUAAUGCCUUUUUAAAUGGUGAUGUUGAUAAUGAAGUGUUUAUGCAACAACCCCCAGGAUAUGUUCACCUUGGCUUUGAUGGGAGACCCUUGGUCUGUCGAUUAAAAAAGGCUUUAUAUGGAUUGCGUCAGGCUCCACAAGCAUGGUUUGAGAAGUUGAGAUCGUUUCUUCUAACCGUUGGGUUUAUUGGUUCAAAGUCAGAUGCGUCGCUAAUUGUUCAUAUCUGUUCUGACUCUACUCUCUAUGUUCUUGUGUAUGUUGAUGACAUAAUCAUAACUGGUAAUCUGUCGUCAUCUAUUGACUGGUUUGUGAAGCUGCUGAAUGAUGAGUUCUCGUUAAAAGGCAUGGGUGAUCUUCAUUAUUUUCUGGGUAUUGAGGUUACUAGGUCCUCCUCUGGGUGUCUUCAUCUUUGUCAAAAGAAGUACAUCCGAGAUAUGUUGGAGCGUAGUGGUUUAUCUAAUGCUAAAAGUGUCCACACGCCCAUGAUUAGCUCGUCACAUUUGUCUAAAAAUGAUGGUGAUCCUCUUUCCGAUCCAAUUGCGUAUAGGAGCCUGGCUGGUGCAUUACAAUAUGUUGUUAUUACUAGGCUUGAUAUUGCAUAUGCGGUAAACAGGAUUUGUCAGUUUAUGCAUAGUCCUACCAUAGUUCAUAUGGUUGCUCUUAAGAGGAUAUUGAGGUACUUGUCUGGUACUCUUGAAUUUGGGAUUGUUUUUAGUCGUUUUGAUUCACUAUCUCUAGUUGGUUUUUCGGAUGCCAACUGGGGGUUGGAUUUCGAUUAUCGGCGUUCUACUUCAGGAUAUUGUGUGUUUUUUGGGUUCAACCCUGUCUCGUGGUCCUCUAAAAAACAGCAAGUGGUGUCUCGGUCUACGGCUGAGGCUGAAUACCGAAGUCUUGCUGCAAUCACCAGUGAUGUUUUGUGGUUACUCUCGUUGCUUCAGGAGCUACAUAUUAGGUCUGUUAAUCCGCCUAAUAUCUGGUGUAACAGUUCCAGUGCCGUAGUAGUUGCUACCAAUCUUAUGUUACACUCCAAAUUUAAACACGUGGAGUUAAAUCUGUUCUUUGUUCGUGAAAAGGUUGCUGCUGGUUCUGUUCUGGUCAGGGAAGUUCCUGCGUCCGAUCAAGUUGCUGAUGUCUUAACUAAACCACUCUCAGUUUCGUAUUUCACUCGAUUUAGGAAUUUUCUUCGGGUCGUUUCGGUGGGGAAGAUGGAUGCAUGUUAAGAUAUAAUAAAUCUAUUAAAGAAGUAGUUACAGAUUAGCUGAGUUGUCAGCUAUACUGUUAAGAGAAGCAGUUAGUUAGAGAGUCUAUAAAUGUUCAAGAUUGGCAUUGUAUUGAAUCAAGUUAGAAGUCUAAAUUCAGAAUUGAAAACAUUGUUCAUUAAGAAUUCUUUAGUUUCUUAGAACUUACCUAUAUUUCUUCAUGUUGGAAUGAUUUUAUAGCUACCAAGUUUCAAUUAAUGAGAUCUGUUGAAAUUUUUUUUUUGGUUAUGAAAAUAAAAAUACACAUGUAUAAUAUGUUUAGUGAACACAUUUAAAAUUAAUUUGUAAAAAUUAUUUAGACAUCUGUUGAAACAGAUACAAAAUAUACUAAAGGUGCGACUGAAACAGAAUGAAACUUUAGACUUGUCUUAAUUUUCGAUUAGAAAAUUGAAGUGUUACAACGGUUAGUACACCACUUUAUGCAUAAUCUACAUGAAUUACGGAAUAACCAGCAUCCUCAAGCUAAGAUCAUUGAAACCAUUUUUAUCAACCAUAGCAAUCACAACCAACAAACUAUAACCUACACUUAAAACGGUUCCUUUCAGAAACUCAUCAUAUAAGAAACGAAAUAACAACAAUUCUUGAAUUAUACCUAAAUUUAUUUGUAAAUUAUCUAAAGCCAAAAUAGAAGUCCAAGGAAAUAAUCAACUUUCUACUAUUGAAACACUGAAUUCUGACAACCGGUAUGCAGUACACGAACGCAAUUAUUGAAAUUAUAUGGAUAAGUUUAGAUGCUAAAGGGGGAGUAGGUAUAUAUAAAAGAUAUUGAUUGAUUGAUUGAAGCAUAAGUAGUACUUGAAGCCUCACAUUGUGCUUCCCAUCUGUUGAGACAGUUACGUAAACAAUAAUUCGUGUAAUGAUGUAAUUAGUGUUCAUUGCCCUUGGGGCUGCACAAGUCACAUAAUUUGCUAUAUUUGGGUUUAAUUAUGGAGACAAGCCAGUAACUAAAUUUUGGUUCCAAAGUUCACGGGUAUUGAAACAUGGGCCCUCAAGCAGUCGAUUGUUGGGAUUGUGAGGUUGGGGAUGGUUGAAAAUAGAAAUCUUGGGAUUUUUCAGUGCCGUCCAAAGGUGUUUAUCUUCAUGUUGGAGCUACGGUUCACUUUUAGUGUAAAACAUGGGAGAGGUUUCCACUUUCAAAGGUGCUUAUAUAAGAAUUUAUACUUUCAUUCGGUUCUUAUGACUUCUUUUUUAAAGUAAAUCCUAAUAUGAUAUUAAUCUCUAAUGUUAAUCUAAUAUUUAUCCUAAUAUUGUCGUCAACACCAAGAAGAAGAAGAAGAAAAAGAAAACAGAAACUCUAUCUUAUUACCUAAUGGAAUUUUGAAAAAAAAUAAAUCUAAAAAAUUAUUUAAAAUUCUAAUUAGGUAUUAAUUUAUUGGUAUGUUAAAAUAAUUUAACAGUGUUAUUGUAACUGACUUAAGUUGUUAAUAAUUAAAAUGAAAUGAUUUUUUUUUAUUAAAAUGAAAGUUUAUAAUGUAAAUUAUCUAAUAUCCAUUGUAUUUAUUUUCACUAAAUGAGAAUUACAAGUUAAAAUAAGUUAAAAUCUUUAAUAGUAAUUAUUAAUAUUAAGUAUUUUUUUUAUCUUUAAUUUAUUGGCACAUAUGGGAAAGAUAUAAUUUUUAUAUUCUUUUAAUUUUUUAAAAACUUUUUAUAAUUAAAGCAAAAAAAUAAAAAGAAUAGGGGUCAAAUUGAUAAAUGUUGUAAAGGUUAAGGGGCUAAAUUUGUUAUUGUAUCUAAUUUUUUAACAGAGUUAAUAGAAAAAUGAACAAAGGGAUUGAAAAUGAGCAAAUUGAAAAGUAGAAAGAUCAAUUUUGAGCAAAUAAAAGUAGAGAAACCAAAUCUACACAAACUGAGAAUCCAGGGCUAUCCUUACAAUCUAACCUAAAAUAUAAAAAAUUAAAUACAUAAAUAUUAUUUUAGUAAUUUCUAAACAAAGUUAGCACUUUAAUGUAGGGGUGUUCAAAUUUCAGUUAAAAUCGAAUUAAUCGAUUGAACCAAUCUAAUUCGGUUAAUCAGUCGGUCAAUUAAUCUAAUUCGGUCGGAGGCCAAUUAAUGAUUUUUUGAAAAUUCGAUUGUCGGUUAAUUCGAUUUGAAAUUAGGUAAUUAACUGAAUUUAAUAAUUAAUAACACAAUUAUAUGUAUUUUUAAUUCAAUUAAUUCGGAUAAUUCAAUCAAAUGAACCUUAUCAAAUUAUUUUUUAUUUAUUUAAUAUUUAUUUUAACUAAAAAAAAAUACAAAUUUCGAUUAACUGUUUUUAAAAAAAAUUCCCGUAAUGUUUCCUAGCGUAUGCAGGUAAAUUUUUUUUUAUUUUUUUUCAUUUAUUGGUAAAUUAAUGGUUAAUAAAUCCUUUCAUUCUUUAAUCUUCCCCCAUUUUCUUUCCUUUAAUUAUAUUUAUCCAAAUAUAGGGUUAAUGUAGAAUUUUUAUUUUAUUUUAAUUUUUACCAUUAUCCUUUAUAUUUUAUCUUUAAAAUUAAAAAUUACAUUUAAUAAAUAGUAUAAUUAUAUUUCGAAAUAAAUUUUAAAUGAUAUAUAAAUAUAUUUUAAAUUUAAUUCUCAAAAACUUAACUUUUUAAUAUUUAAUUUUUCUAUUUAUCCAACAACGUUUAAGUAUUGCACUCACACUCGUAAAUAAAUAAAUAAAUAAAUAAAUGAAGGCCUUUUGUAAUUAAGAAAGUUGAGAAUGGGUUGCUCCUCAUAUGGUGGAAUUGGCUACAAUAAUGAAGGAAGGAAUAUCCAAUAAUUGGGAGGCAAUGGCAUGCCCUACACAUACUUUUUACUGUCUGUGGUAAUGGAUCAAUUGCACCUAUUUUGUUUUCUUCACUUGUUCUUGUCCUGCAUUAUUUGGAUUUGUGAGUAAAUUAACCGAGACAACUUAUUCAUCAGACUUACUUGGAGAGAAGUGUACGAAGUAUCAUCUCUCGAGAGAGCACACAAACUCUUCAUAUAUAGGUAUCACUUAAGGAGAAAUGUAAAAUUUUAGAUUACAUUAUCUUUUUUAUCGAUCUUACCCAUUAUAUAUAAAAUUUGGGAUUUAGAGAUUAAGAAAAAUGAAAAAUAAAAUUUUAAUAAUUUCUUUAUUCGCACGAGUUAUAUUAAAAAAAAUUAUUUAUUACACAUCCAGUAAAAGAGUGAAUAAAAGAUUUUGAAAAUUAAAAAUUAUUAAAAGAAUUGUGAGCUUUAUUUUUCAGUUUCCACAUGACGAUGGUCAAAUUCAUGCUUAUCCAAACCUGCAGGUGUAUGCAGAACGAUAAAGCUAAUCUUGACUGCUAGUCUUUCUUCUUUUUUACUUUUGAAUACUCUUCUCUUGUUGCUUUCAUUGAAAUAAUGUUGGACUGUAAUCUUGAAUACCAUUUAAAAUUUUUUUAUUAUAAAUAUUAAAAUUAUAACAUUUUAGUUAUUUAAUUUAAUCAAAUAUUAUAACUUGUUGAAAUCAUAAAAUAAAAAAUCAAUUCAAAAACAAAAAUCUCUUUUGUUCAAUUCUAAUUGAAUUGGUGUCUCUAAUCAAUUGGACAUCAAUUCGAUUAGGGAAUUACGAAAAUAUCUUUUCAUAUUUAAAAUAAUUAAUAUUAUUCGAAAGUAUUUUAAUCUUUUUAUGCAAACUUAUCAAUAAAAACAUGAAUCUAAUGGGAUUUGACGUAAGACUCAUCUAUAGAUGAAUUCAAAAUUUUUACUCGAUUCAAUCGAACAAUCACCUCUAAAUAUUACACAUUUUGAAUCUUCAUGUUGGUAAAGAUAAAGUGGAGAAGUUAUCUUUUGUGUGUAUGUGUGUUUUAGUAUUUCCUUUAAUUGUGUGGCUAAUUAAGUGCCUUUAAUGACACUUUUAAGCAAUCAUAUCCAUUUUAUUUAUGAAGGAACUUUGUGGUCAUGAUCGGGAGAUCCGAAUUUAGCAUAUUUACAGAGAAAGAAAUCUUGUUUCAGAUUUCUUGGCCCAUACGGGAUCUGGCUCCGGCUUUGAUCGAAGUUUACUACGAGAGCCACCUGGAAAUGCUCUCUCAACUUCAACUACACUAUGUGAUUAUAUUGCUGGUUCUUUGCCCUAGCGCCUCUGUUCGUUUGUGGGUAAUUAGUUGUUGUUAAGGCUUUUGCCUCUUUCUAAUUUUAUUAAAAAAAAAAAGGAAAAAACUUGGCACGAUGGAUCCAUCUUAGCUAAUAAAAAACUUCAAUCACCGAAUUGUACGAAAUUCUAACUUAAAUUUAAAUGUAACAACCAGAAUCAUUCAUCAAUCCACAAUAUCAACCAAUCUCAAUUCAAACACAAAAAUAACGAGUGAAAAAAAUAGUUCAACCCAUAAACAUUGACCACAAAGGGAAAUUUGAAACACUUACCACCAUCCCCUAUCAGAAAGUCUUUCCCCCAUUCAACAACUAGAAAUCAGAGCUCACCAAAAUGUCUAUUCUUUUCAAUCUGAACCGACUCUACAAUCACAUAUUGCUCAUGGUCAUCAGCCUAUAAAGCCAGGAGCAUUAUUAACUUCUAAAUCCAAAACACUAAUAUCAGCAACCAACCCUACAAUGAUAGUCUAAUUGACUCAUUUAAACAAGUUUCGUUUGUCAAUCUACAUUCCGUAUUUGGUAAUCUCCAAUAUUGUCUCGGAAUUUAGGAUAGCUGGAACAAGAAUACCAGCAAAGAUGCAAAGGGAAACGACUUGUAGGAGGAGGAAGAACCUUCUUUUGGGUACAAACCUGUAUAGCAUAUAAUAGGAUGUCCUGUAUAACGUCACGAGAGCCAGUACCGUUGCCAAGCAGUAAUUAGCAAUGCUGAGACGAGGAUAGGAAACGGAUCCAGGAGUCGAAAGAGAGAACAAAUACUCAAGUGCGAGUGUCCGUAUGGAAACAGCAACUAAAAGCAUGUAACAGGUCCCAAACAAGGAAAGUGUUAUGAGAAUAAACAAGCAGAUUGAACGGCUGGGUAGGAGAUAGGCUGUUAAAACAGUUGCUGCCCAAAAAGUUAAAGUGUUGUAUAACCAAAACAUUGUGGACACGUCUAGUAUAUUUUUAAAUUUUUCUUCUUCAGCGGGUGGAGGAGUUGGUGCGGGUCCAGUGCUGGUUGAACCUACAGAUGCGUCAUACCUGAGAUGGAAAUUCCGGGAAUUUGAAAUGGUAUCAGGCUGCUUUGGAGGGUUCAAAGUGGCAGUGUAUGUGGCUGUUAUAAUUAGCACUGUGACCACUAAAAAUGUGUUACGCAUCUCAUGUGGGAUUCCCUUCUUUCCACGACUUGCCAUUGUUGCAAAUUUUUGAAGAACUGACACCUUUCCUUUUAAAGAUUCGAUGUGGACUGAGGUUUUGGGAAGCGAGGAACCACUCAAACCUCCUGCUUUGCUUAUCAUGUCUUUAAUGGACUCCUUAUAGUCCACUUUCCCUUCAACCAAUGGGUAUUGUGAUGGGAUAUCAAGUGCAGUCAAUCCCUCCGCAUUUUUGGCAUUGAUAUGGUCACCACACAAGCGUUCCAGCAGUACUUUUACCACCUGUUAAUUAGAAUAUUCAUACAAGAGUAACCUUUGAGUAUAUAUAUAUACAUAAAUAAUUUCACUAGCAAAAUUAUCAUACCUGAGGUCUGUUUCUGAUAGCAGCGACAUGUAAAACAGUGUUGCCAUCAAUGUCUGCCCAACUCAGUAGUUCUUUCUCCCAACGGUUGGCAGCUUUAUGGCGGCUCCUUAUAAGCCACCCCACCAAGACUUGGAAAGCUUCAAACCUGUCAUUUUUUACGGCAAGAUGGAAAACCGUCUCAUCUCGAACAGUCACAUCUUCAAUAGCCUCGGGGCAAACCUCAAGGAACUUGAUCAAAAAAUCAACAUUUCCAUUUUGAACCACAUGAUGCAAAGGAGUGAAGCCCUCCCGCCCUUUGACACGAACAAGGCCUUCAUCAAACCUGAGAAGUCGAAGCACUGCUUGAGUGUGUUGAUUUUGCAGAGCCAAGUGCAUGGGGCUAAACCCAGCUUGGUUUAGCUUUCUUGCAAACGAUGGCUUUAAGUUGAUCAUCUCCAUCAUAAAAUCAAUAUGCCCUGCAGAGGCUGCUACAUGCAAAGGAGUAUGGAAAAAAGGUACAUCAUCGAUACGCUGAAAAACAUAUGGAUCAUUCAGAAUUAACUCAUACAAGAUGUUUAUGUCUCCUGUUUGUGCAGCACCUAUCAUCCUCUCAUCCAUAGCAAGGUGCGGAAAUUUGCAGAAUAUAGAAAUGGAGUGAAGAAAAAACGCUUUAGCAGACGAUGUGAUUAUGUUAAGGAUAUACUGAAGUGUUUUAUUAUUUUUUCCAGAUGGAGUGUGUGAUAUUUUAUAGCACUUAAUUAUUUUGGAUUUAUAUGUGAUGUCAGCCACUACACGUAUACAUGUGAAUGUCACCUAUUAGAAAGAAAUAGUAAUUAUAUUUAGUAAUUAAAUUCAUAUUUAAUAUAUAUUUUUAAUCUAAUUUUUUAACUCAAUUUAAUUUUAGUUAAAACGUUUAAAAACAUUUAUUUAAUUUAAUUUCUUUAAUAUAUUAAAUAAAUUGAAUUAGAGAAUAUAUUAAAUAUGGAUGAAUACUAUAUCAUACUAAUUUUAUGUCUCUAAAAAUUAAUAAGGUGUCAUUAUUUUAUUGGUGCUUAAAAAAUUAAAAUAUUUAGAAUCAUCCUAAUAUAAGUUAUUCUAUUAAUAAUAAUAUUUGGUACUUCCACGAGUAAGUUCAAUAGUUUGACAAAUGUCUUAUAAAAGUAUAGUAAAAUAUUAAAAAAAAUUAUUUAGUGACUUAAUUUUUUAAGAACAUUUGAUAAUUUAUAAAGAAAAUAAAUAAUAAUUUUUUUCAAUAAAAAAGUGUGAAAAAAUGAUAAGUAGAUAAUAACUAUUAUCACUUACAACAUGUUUGGAUUAAAAAGAUAGAAAAAAGGAGGGAAAAUUAAGUAAAAUGAGGGAAAGAAAAUUCGGUUUCUUUGUUUAAGUUAAGUAAAUAUCGUAUCAUUAGAUUUUAUAUUUUAGGGUCUGUUUGAUUGAAGGAAUUGAUUUUCCGAAAAAUCAUUUUUAACUUUUCCAGCGUUUGAUUGGCGGAAAAUAUUUUCCAUUUGGAAAAUGAACUCCAAAACAUGGAAAAAUGGGUUACAUUUUAGGGAAAAUGUCUUACCCUUUCAAUUUCCGUAAGACAUUUUCCGUGCUCUCCUCUCUAUCUCCUCCUUCAUUCCUUCCUUCAUUUCCGGUAAAAAAUUGUUACUGUUUAUCGAUUUUCUAGUAACUUGUUUUUUUAAUUAUUCAAUACUUAUUUUUUUAACACAAUUACAAAUAAUUUAUUUGAUACUAAUUUUUUUCAAUUUAUAAUGAUUAAUAUUGUAGCUUAAUAAUUGAGUAUUAUUAUAAAUAAAUCAUUGCAAUAUAUGUAAAAAUAAUUUAAAAUAUAAAAAUUUAUUAAUAUAUAUCAAUAUAUGUAAAAACAAUUUUUUCAAAAAAUAUUUACCAGAAAUCUGCCAAACAGCCGAAAAUAUUUUACACAGAUUCAAUCAAACACCAGAAAAUAUUUUCCAGUAAAUCAUUUUACAGAAAAGUAAAAUAUUUUCCCGAAAUCAAUUUACGGAAAAUAUUUUACUGGCAAUCAAACAGACCCUUAGAUUAUUAUCUCUUCUUCUUCUUCUUUUAACUUGUAACCAUCUUAUUUUUAUUUUCUAUUUGUUUAGGUUACUAGAAAUAUUUAAUUUUAAAUUUGUUUGAUAUAUAUUUUUAAAAAUUUUAACAAUAUUUUUUAUUAACUAUUUUGUUAAAUUAUUAGGAAUCCUUCAUUUGUAAUUUGGUUAAGAUAUAUUUUUUAGUUUGAUCAAAUAAGCUUAUUUAAAAAAAAAAGAGAGAAUAUACCAAUAUAUUAUUGGUUAACAUUUUAAUUAUUAUUUUAUAUAGACUAUUGAUAUUGUUCUAUAAUUUUAAUUUGCUGUGAUUUAAUUUUGUUAUUAUAUAUUAUUUAUGAACUGUUAAAAUUAAAAAAUAAAAGUAAAAUAAUUCAUUUUCUUUCCUUUUCACAGUUUAGCAAAACAAGUCCACAAGGUCGCCCCAUUCAACAAAAAUUAAAUUGUUUAAAUAUAUAUAUGUAUAUAGGGACUAGUUUUAACAAAUAAAAAAUAUAGAAAAACUACAUUAAAAAAAUAGAGAAUGGAGGAAAACAGAGGGAGAAGCAGAAGACAAUAAAAAAUAAAGGAAAGUUAAAAGAACAUAAAAAAAUUAAAUUGAAUUGCUCAAAACGAAAAAAAUAUGGGGAUCAGUUGUAUAAAUCACCCUAAAUUUUUUGUUUGAAAGAUGAUUUAACAUGUCACAUCAGCUUAUCGUUAUAUGGUUAACGGAAAUUAACAGCUCAGUGACUAAAAUGUUACAACGCGAUAACGUAAGUGACUAAAAUGUAACAUUUCAAACAUAAAUGACUAAAAUGUAAGCAAAAGUGACUAUUUUAAUAAUUUACCCUUACAUUUAUCCAAACAUACGCUUAAUGUAAACAUUUUUCAAUUAUUUUUAUUUUAUUUUAUUUUUAACCAUUAUCCUUUAUCCUUACUUUAAAAAGUAUAAUUAAUAAAUAGUAUAAUUAUUUUUCAAAAUUAAUUUUAAGUAAUACACCAAAUAGAUUUUAUAACUUAAAUUUAAUAUUUAAGUUUAUAAUAUUUUUUUAUCAAACAACAUUUACUCCUAAGUAAAUAAAUAAAUAAAGGCCUUGUGUAAUUAAGAAAGUUGAGAAAGGGUUAAUCCUCACAUGGAAAAAAUUGGCUACAAUAAUGAAGGAAAGAGAAAAACACUAAGGAAUAUCCAAUAAUUGGGAGGCAAUAUGUCAAUUAUGAGCAUACCCCAUACUGUCAAUGGUGAUGGAUGAAUUGUCUACUAUACAUGGAUUUUGUUUUCCUUUUUUUUUUCCUUUUUUUGUUCUUGUCCUGUAUUAUUUGGAUUUGAGAUCCCAAGCUAUGUAUGUCAUCACAUUUUAAAUAUAUAUAUAUUUAUUAUGUAUUGAGUAUCAGUUUUAUUGGUAUAAAUAUUAUUGUUAAUGUAUGAGAAUAUAGAUUCAAGUGUGCACUACACCAAAACAGGCUUUUAACGGCACUUUUAGCGGCGUUUUGAGCGAAGACGCUGCUAAAAAUCGAAAAAUAGCAGCGUUUUAGGAAAAGCGCCGCUAAAGAGUGAGCAUUAGCGGCGUUUAUAAAAAAUGCCGCAAAUAAUACACCCAAACAGUGCCGUUUUAUGUCCUUUCGGGGGAAUUAGUGGCGUUUUUUGUAAAGCGCCGCUAAGGCUAAGACUUUUAGUGGUGUUUUUUGAAAAUCGUCGCUAAUCUAGGUGUUUUAGCGGCGUUUUUUGUUUAUGCGCCGCAAAAAUAAUUUAUCUUAAUUGAACUAUUAUUUAUAUUGUUUAAAUCAAAUUAAACAUAUUUCUAAUAGAAUAUUUAAAAUCUUCAAUAAAAAAUAACAAGUAUAAAUAAUUCGAAAUAAAACACAUGGAAAAAUUAAAAUAGUAUUAUUUAAAAUAAUUUUAAAGUUUGUUGGGUACAUUACUGAUUGUUUUUUAAUUUAUAUAUUAAAAAUUUGAAAUUAUUAUCGUAAUUAAAAGAGAUAGUAUUAAUUUAAAUUUAAAAUAUUGAAUUAAGCGUAUCACUAUAGUUAAUAUAGGGUUUUAGGUUUUAGGGGUAUAUAUAUAUGAUAUUAUUAAUUUAAGAUUUUAAGUCGGUUUAGGGGUUACUAUUUUAAGGUUAUUAUUAUAAUUGAUCAGGAGUAUAUAUAUAAUAUUUGAUUUAAGGAUAUGGUUUAAGGGCUGAGAUAUAAUGUUUAGGGGUUAGGGUUGGGGUUAGCACUUAAGGGUUAUUAAUUAGGAGUUAAUUAAGGAUUUAGGGUUUAGCUAGGGGUUGGGUUAGGGAACGUAGGGUUUUAGAUUAAUUAGUAUUGCCAAAUUAUAUAUUAAAUAUGUUCUUAUAUAUAUAAUUGUAAAAGAGGUAAUAAUAAAUUUGUUUAGGAUUUUUCGGUUCGGUAUAUGAUUUGGUUUCGGUAUAUUAUUAAUUUAAAUACGAAUUUGAAUAGUAAUGCUCAAAUAUAUAAUUCAUGAAUAACACUUAAAUACUUAAAUAAAUUUGUGAAUUUGAAUUGAAAUCAUCCAAAAAUAUGCAUAUACCUGAGUCGGUAUCUUUCCUAUUUUGAUCACUUCAAUAAAAAAAAUCCCAUAUAUAUAUAUAUUUAGUACUCCUUAAUUAUUUGUUUUCAUUAAUUUAUCUAUUUGAUGAAGGUCAAUAUAAUAAAUUAGUUAAUUAGACAAAUUUAUUCAUUUAUCAAUAAAAUAAAAUAUUAUAAAUUUCAAAUUUUAUACAAAAAUAAAUAAAUAUUAUAAAGAUAAUAUUGUUUAUUGCUACUUUAUACAAAAAGUUUUUAGUAUUAAUUAUUCUUUAAUCAAUUAUAACUAUUUUAUGAUAUUUAUUAAAGAUUUAGGGAUUAUUUUGGAUGGCCGUGCUAUUUUAAAGAUUAGGGGUACAGAUUUAGGGUUUGGGAUAUAAGAGUUAUCUAGGGGUUUAGGGGUUACAAGUUACAAUUUAGGGGUUAAAGAUUUAGGGUUUAGGGGUUUAGGGGUCGGAUAAGGAUUUUAGGUUAGUUUAGAUUAAUUUCUUUAAAUAAUAUUUUAAAAAAUCAAUCUAAAGUAUCAAUUGAUAUAUUUAAAUAUUAUUUUAAAUAGAAUUCAUAAAUAAGUUAAAAAUAUAUAUUGAUAUAUAUUAUAUGGAUAUGGUUAUAUAUUUAGGUAUAAUUAUUUAUUUUGGAAAUAUAUAUAUAUAGGACCAAAUACAUAAGAAAUGAAGUAAAAAAAACAAAAAAUUUCAAAACGGCGCCAUUUUUGAAUGAAUAGUUAAACUUUUAGUGGCGUUUUAACUGUUAAACGCCGCAAAUAUGGGAAAGCAGUCAUGGCGUUUGUACAAGAAACGCCGCAAAAGUGUCUUUAAAAUUGAGUAAACGACACCGUUUGUCUACACGAUUUUUAACUUAUAAAAAGUUUAGAAUUAUUUACUUGAAACGUCACCAUUUGGCUUGUUGUACGUUAAGUAUUAGUGGCGUUUUUACAAAAACGCCACAAAAUGUACAAUUUGAGAACAAAAAAACAGCGUCGUUUCUGCAUACAGGUUUAAAUUUUUAUGGCGUUUUCGCAAAAACGCAGGAAAUUUAGGAAGCAAUAGCGGCGUUUUUCAGUAAACGCCGAAAAGGGUAUUAAAAUAAUGUCUAAACGGCGCCGUUUCUGUACAUGAUUUGUAACUUAGAAAAAUUUUAGAAUUAUUUAUUCAAAACAUCAAUUAAGUAUUCGUGGCAUUUUUACACAAAACGCAACUAAUAAUACAAUUUGAGACUAGCAAAACGGCGCCAUUUCUGUUUAAAACUUGAACUUUUAGUGGCGAUUUUAUAUCAAACGCCGCAAAUGGGUUUUAAAAAAAUGGGUAAACGACGUCGUUUCUAUACAGUAUAUUUUACUUUGACAAAUUUUAGUGGCAUUUGUGCUUAAAACGCCAGAAAUAAUGCAAUUCCAGACCACGAAAACGGUGUCGUUUCUGUUCACAGCUGUAAUACGUAGUGGCGUUUUUAGGAAAACGCCGGAAAUGUGGAAGAAGUUGCGGCGUUUGUACCUAAAACGCCGCAAAACGGUGUUAAUAUAAUGGCUAAACGACAUCGUUUCCGUAACCGAUUUUUAACUUAUAAAAAUCUUAGAAUAAUAUAUUUAAAACGUCACCGUUUGGCUUAAAAUAGAUUAAGCAUACAGGUUUAAAUUUUUAUGGCAUUUUCGUAAAAACACAGGAAAUUUAGGAAGCAAUAGCGGCGUUUUUCAGUAAACGCCGCAAAAGGGUAUUAAAAUAAUGUCUAAACGGCGCCGUUUCUGUACAUGAUUUGUAACUUAGAAAAAUUUUAGAAUUAUUUAUUCAAAACAUCAAUUAAGUAUUCAUGGCGUUUUUACACAAAACGUAACUAAUAAUACAAUUUGAGACUAGCAAAACGGCGCCAUUUCUGUUUAAAACUUGAACUUUUAGUGGCGAUUUUAUAUCAAACGCCGCAAAUGGGUUUUAAAAAAAUGGGUAAACGGCGUCGUUUCUGUACAGUAUAUUUUACUUUGACAAAUUUUAGUGGCAUUUGUGCUUAAAACGCCAGAAAUAAUGCAAUUCCAGACCACGAAAACGGUGUCGUUUCUAUUCACAGCUGUAAUAUGAAGUGGCGUUUUUAGGAAAACGCCGGAAAUAUGGAAGAAGUUGCGGCGUUUGUACCUAAAACGCCGCAAAACGAUGUUAAUAUAAUGGCUAAACGACAUCAUUUCCGUAACCGAUUUUUAACUUAUAAAAAUCUUAGAAUAAUAUAUUUAAAACGUCACCGUUUGGCUUAAAAUAGAUUAAGUAUAAGUGGCGGUUUUUAUUAAAUGCCACAAAAAAUGAAAUUUCAGAGUAACAGAACGGCGCCGUUUCUGUUAAAAGGUUUACUUUUUUGUGGCGUUUGGUCUAUAAACACCAGAAAUUUGGAAUAAGUAGUGGCAUUUUUUCAAGAAACGCCGCAAAGGUGUUUUAAUAUUUUUUCUCAACGAUGUCGUUUCCGCAGAUGUUCUUUAACUUAGCAUUUACACUCGACAAAGCACAGAAAGCAAAAGCCAAGUGCAGAGGCCGAUUGGGAAGGGGAAAAAACCUAAGAAAAAAAUCUAAGGAAGAGAGGGGAGGAGAAAUCAGAAAUCAUCAAAGAGGAAGCAACGAUUGCGUCAUUCUUGACAGUAGUUGCAGAAUUUCUGGUUAAAAGGUAUGCGUUUAAUCCUUCUGAAGAACAUCGUCUUGAUUUAGGGUAAUUUUAGGUGCAUUGUGUUUUGCGAAUUUGGGGUUUAGGAAAAAAAUUUAGAUUUUGAGGUUUGCGGUUUAGGUUAAAACACCAUUCUUGUUUGGGAAUUUGGGGAACUUGUAAAUUAUUUAUUUAGCAAUUUAAAUAGAAGGGUUUAUUUAGGAAAAUUUUGUGUAUUUAGGGGUUGCCUGAAUACAAAUAUGGGUCCUCAACACAGCCUGUUGUUUCUCCAUUACAGCGAUUUUUGGAGAAGCAUAAAAGGGUAAGGACAGCCCUUCUGGUUGUGGUAGUAUUUGGUGCUUCUAUGGUCAUCUUUAUGGCUGUGGAUUCUAGAGUUUAAUCUCGGUUCCUCUUAAACAUAUGUGGCAACUAGGACAAUAAACAAAACUAUUAAUCAUGACAGUAUAUAUGAUUGUGGAUGGUGCUGGUGAGCUUGAAAAUACAUUCCCUUUAAUAGCUCUACUAAUAUUUUGCAUAUGGACUAGACAAGAGAUACCAAUAAAUAACUCGUCUGGUCUUACACCUGAAAGACUCAAAUUAACACAGAUUUAAACCCAAGCUAGCUGGUGAAGGUUAAACAAACCAUUUUCCUAAAAUUUUCUUGGCUGAGCCAUUAUUCGGACCAUGCAAUCAUUGUUGCAAUAGUGCAUAAUUAUGUUUGAUUCGUUUAGUGUGCUUAUUUCUCAGCUGGACAUAGUUGAUCUCCCAUGACAGAGUUAUGGAUAAUGAUAUCAGAAGUUCUUUAAUGAACAUAGUGGUGUCAUCGUAACUUCCACAUUACUUUGAUAACUUUAAUUGGUUGCAUUAUUCCUCCUAUCUAUAGUAUAUUGUUUGUGGUGGAUGGUUUGACAUGUCUCAGUGCUGAUAUUUCAUUAUUCAAAUAAGAUUUUUAAUUUUGGAUUUUGUUAUAUUUAAGCUUUAUACUAAUUUUUUCCUAGUACUAACUUACUUAUGUUUUCCUUUUUAUUUUUAUUUUUUGCAGUAGUUUGCUUCGAAGUCCAGGAAAUUGAGGUAUUUAUUCCUAUGUUUCCCACCUUGGUUUUCUUAAAAAAACACCUCCAAAUGUUUAAAUUUUGGAUUUUGUUAUAUUUUAUCUAUGUACUUUAAUUAUUAUUUUUGAGUUUUAAAAGGGAGUUUUAAUUAAGAAUUUUUUUUUAAGUUGUGGGUAUCGGUUUUAAUUAUCAUUUUUGAUUUAUAUGUUGCUAGCUCAAUUUGCAUGUUACUUUGCCAAAUUUUUCCAUAACUGCAAGGUAUAAAUUAUGAUUGUAAAUCUUGUACGUAUUUUUUACCCAAGCAAAAACAAUUACGCAAAUUAUUAAAAUUCUUAAAUCACUUUAUAUAUUGGAGUAAGUGAAUAAAUUAUGGGCGAAUAGUGGAUUUGUUUUAAAGUGAACAAAUUAUCGAUUUUCAAUUUUAUGCCAAUUAAUAAAUUAUCGACGUUAGUUCUCAUUUAUGCGAUUGAAUGUUAAUGUUUAAUAAUAUAUGAUUAUUCAAUAAAUUGAUCGAUUAAUUGAUUGAAUGUCAAUGAAUUAUCAAUUUUUGUAAGUUAAUUUGGUUAAAUUUAUUACUUAAAUACAUUACUUACUAAAAUACAUUACUUACUAAAAUUUGUUUAAAUUUAUUACUUAAAUAUGUUACUUAAAUACAUUACUUACUAAAAUUUAAGUAUAUAUUACAUUACUUACAUAACUUGUUAAAAUAUAUUAUAAUUUUAAAAAUAAUUAUAAUUAAGAUACAUAAAAGUGCUAUACUUACAUCAUACAUUAUUUACACAACCAAAAAUUGAAAUUUACAAGAACUUACAUAACUUGUUAAUAUUUAUAUAAACUUACAUAACUAUCACAUAAACUUACAUAAUAUAUAACUUACAUGUUACCUUACAUAAUACAUAACUUAUAUAAAAUUUUUAUAUAAACUUACAUAAUACAUUAUUUACAUAUUAACUUACAUAAGUUAUCUACAAGCUUGUGGUUAAACUUGCAUAACUUACAUAAUAACAUAACAACUUACAUAAUAUAUAACUUACAUGUUACCUUACAUAAUACAUAACUUAUAUAAAAUUUUUAUAUAAACUUACAUAAUACAUUAUUUACAUAUUAACUUACAUAAGUUAUCUACAAGCUUGUGGUUAAACUGGCAUAACUUACAUAAUAACAUAACAACUUACAUAAUACAUAGCAUAGAUAACUUACAUAACUUACAUAAUACAAAACUUACAUAACUUAAAUAUCUUACACAACUUACAUAACGUACAUAAUACAUAACUUACAUAAUACAUAAUAACUUAUAACUUACAUAACAUACAUUACUUUGAUAACUUACAUAACUUACAUAAUACACAACUUGUUAAGCUUACUUAAUACAUAACUUACAUAAUACAUAAUAACUUAUAACUUACAUAACAUACAUUACUUUGAUAACUUACAUAACUUACAUAAUACACAACUUGUUAAGCUUACUUAAUACAUAACUUACAUAACUUAUACACGUACAUAACUUACAUAAUUUACUUAAUACAUAAAUAUAUAUCAUAUGAUAUACUUACAUAACUCAUUUAUACUUACCACUCAACAACUUACCCUUGUAAUUUCUGGUGAAAAUCAGACGUCAAGAAAUAAGAAAUGGACCGGUCUUGGAUGAAUUUAUCAAGGGUAAGCGACGAUUAUCGAAAUGGAGUACAGACUUUUCUAAAUUUUGCAUUUCAAUAUGCAAGCCAGGAGAACAUGAUUCUUUGCCCGUGUAAGAAGUGUGUCAACAUAAACUGGCAUUAUCGUGAAGUUGUAUACGAGCAUCUAAUUGUUGAUGGGUUUGUUCAGGGUUAUAAACAAUGGUUUUUUCAUGGAGAAUGCCCGCCUAGUACUUCCUCAUCAAGGAUGGAUGUAUCUUAUGACAGUACUACUUACCAUCAGUCUGUUAGAGGGGAUGACAUAGAAGGGAUGUUGCGGGAAGCAUUUAAUAUUCACAACCAUGGUUUACAGUCGUUCCCAGCCGACUUUGUGGCACCUGAUGAUUGUAAUAUCGAUGGAAAUGCUUUUACCGAACCCGGAAAAAGUGUACAUCAUGAAGAGCCGAAUGGAGAAGUGGCGAAGUUCUACGCGCUACUUAAUGACAUGAAUGAAGAACUGUUUGAGGGAUCAAAAUUCUCGAAAUUGUCUUUCUGUAUUCGUCUUUUUCAGUUAAAGUGUUUGGGAGGGUGGACCGGGAACUCUUUAACAAUGUUGUUAGAGUUUCUGAGAGAGAUGUUUCCGUUUGCAAAAAUCCCUCAAUCAUGCAAAGAUAUGAAGAAAAUGAUAAAAAAUUUAGGUCUUGGGUACAACAAAAUCCAUAGUUGCCCGAAUGACUGCAUGUUGUAUUGGGGCGAUCGAAGAAACCAGCAAUGCUGUCACAUAUGCGGCCAAUCACGUUGGAUAAAUAGAAACAUAGAAGAUGGGAACGAUGAUGAAUAUGAUGCACUGGUAAGAAAGAAGCCGGUCAAGAUUUUGCGGUAUUUUCCGCUCAUACCAAGGCUUCAAAGGCUUUUCAUGUCAUCGAAGACAGCGGAGUCUAUGACAUGGCACCAUGAUGGACGAACCGAUGAUGGGAAUAUGAGGCAUUCGGCAGAUUCUUUAGCUUGGAAAUCAUUUGACAAUAAAUUUCCAAGCUUUGCAAGUGAUCCUAGGAGUGUAAGGCUUGGCUUAGCAUCUGAUGGAUUUAAUCCGUACAAGAUCAUGAGUAUUGUGUACAGUACUUGGCCAGUAGUGCUUGUUCCUUACAAUCUGCCUCCGUGGAUUUGCAUGAAGCAAUCUUCCCUUAUCUUAUCUAUGAUUAUCCCUGGAGAGAAAGGGCCCGGGAAUGAUAUCGACAUUUAUUUACAGCCACUUAUUGAAGAGUUAAAACAAUUGUGGGCUGGUGUCGAGACAUACGAUGUGCUGAGAAAUGAGAACUUUAAUCUACGUGCAGCUUUGAUGUGGACCAUUAAUGACUUUCCCCCUUAUGCCAAUUUAUUCGGUUGGAGUACAAAGGGUCGUUAUGCGUGUCCUUGUUGUGCUGCACAAACAUGUUCGCAAUGGUUGUACAAUGGGAAGAAGUUCUCUUAUAUGGGGCAUCGUCGGUGGUUACCGAAAAAUCAUAGAUUUAGAUUUCAGAGUUCUGUAUUUAACGGUACUGAAGAGUUCAGAGAAGCUCCUUCGCAGACCAGUGGCUCUGAAAUCUUGUUCAUGUUGGAAGAUAUGAAUUUCAUUUAUGGAAAGAUGAACCAACCGCCAAACACGCAAAGAAAUAGAAGAUCAAACGAUGAAGCUGAUGAUGACUCUGAUGAAGAGGACGAUCCUAAUGAGGCGGACUUGUGGAAAAAAAGAAGUAUUUUUUUUGAGUUGCCUUAUUGGGAGCAUCACCUUUUACGACAUAAUCUUGAUGUUAUGCAGAUUGAGAAAAAUGUCUGCGAGAACAUUGUGGGUACAAUUUUGAAUGUCGACGGAAAAUCAAAAGACAAUCUUCAGAGUCGACUUGAUUUAGUACAAAUAGGAAUCCGACCUGAUCUUCAUCCCAAUCCACUUCCGAAUGGAAAAUAUCGGUUGCCGCCAUCUAUUUUUUCAAUGUCGAAGACGGAAAAAGAAGUGUUCUGCACAGUGUUGAAGGAUAUAAAGGUUCCAGAUGCGUAUGCAUCAAAUAUAUCUCGAUGUGUUAGUGUUAAAGAUCGAAGAUUAUAUUCGCUAAAAUCACAUGACUAUCACAUCUUGAUGCAAGAUUUACUGCCAGUGGCUCUACGAUGUUGUAUGUCCAAGAAGGUGACGUCUUGUAUAAUUGAACUAUCCAACAUAAUGAAAGCCAUUUGUGGCAAAGUUUUGGAUGUUCAAGAACUUCAGAAGGUACAGGAUCGAGCCGCUUUGACUUUAUGCAACAUGGAGAAAAUAUUCCCACCUUCCUUCUUCACCAUUAUGGUUCACUUGAUAAUCCAUCUCCCGCACAAAGCAAUUCUUGGCGGACCCGUUUUCUAUCGAUGGAUGUAUCCCAUAGAAAGGUGUUAAUUAAAAUUUUUAAAAUUUUCCUUCAUUCACCUCUAUGCCUUUAGUUUCAAUAAUUAAGAAAUGUUAUAUAUUGUGUUUAGGUUUCUAUCCAAAUUAAAGUCUUACUGCCGCAACAAGCGAUAUCCAAAAGGAUCAAUUGCAGAAGGCUACUUGGCAGAAGAAUGUAUGACCUUCUGCUCAAGAUAUUUGGAAGAUGUUGAAACAAGGUUAAACAGACCAAAUAGGAAUGCUGGACUCACGGACCAUAACUUAGCCGAUACUUAUUUGUUCCAAAGUUUUGGAAAACCAAUCGGUAAAGUUGAAAUUGCAGAAUUAGAUCAUUUAUCGUGGGUACAAGCACAUCGAUAUGUUCUGUUUCACCACGAAUCAUUGGAACCUUUACGGAAGUAAGUUCUACAAAUUUGAUAAAUAUUUAUCAAACUAAUAACUGUUUAUCUUCUAACAAAGUGAACAUUUUUUUAACAUAGUGAGUACAAACAAAUAUUGAGAUCUCGUUCGCGCUCCCGAAGAACACAACAUCGAGAUAUCAAUAAGUUAUUUAUAGAAUCUUUUUAUGAAUGGUUAAGCCAAACGGUAUGCAGUUCGAGCUUCCGUUUACAAAUAAUAAAAUCCGUUUUCUUAUAACAUUUUUAAUUACUCAGUUUACUUUCCAUUCAAUAGGUUUGGAGUGGGAAGAACGUAAAGACGAAGUUAAAUGGCUCUCCCAAGGUCCAAAUCGAGUGGUUAAAAGAUAUAGUGCGUUCCUCAUCAACGGAUUCAGAUUUCAUACAAAAUAUCGCGAGAGGUUGAGGAGAACGCAAAAUUGUGGAAUAGUUGUCAAUUCUGCAAUUACAAGUUAUGCUAGUGCAAGAGACAAUAAUCCUGUCGCGGGAAAUGUGGAAUAUUUCAGACAUCUUACUGACAUAAUUGAGUUGGAUUACUACGGCAAAUGGAAAGUUGUCUUAUUUCGUGGUGAUUGGGCCGAUGUUAAUACAGCUCGUGGAAUUAAGCAAGAUCAAUUUGGUUUUACAAUGGUGAACUUUGACCGAUUGAUUCACACAGGACAACAACUGAUAGAUGAGCCGUAUGUAUUCUCAUCUCAAGUCAAACAAGUUUUUUACUCAAAAGAUCCAACUGAUGAGAGUUGGUACGUUGUACUCCGUAACAUCCCAAGAGACUUGUUUGACAUGGGCAGUGGAAGUAGAGAUAACAUCGACGACAGAUCAGAAACUUUGCCCUUUCCAGAACAAAACUUAAACGAUAAUAUCCCUAGUACUAGUGCACAAUUUCAAUGUGUUCGUCAGGAUACCGAUGAAGAUAUUUACGAAUAAUGAUGUAGUAAGAUUUUACGAUUGUUUAAUUAUAAGUUUUUUUUCAUAAUUUAAAUAUUGGUCUUAUUAUAUAUUUCAACUGUUUUAUAUGUGAUGUUAUUGUUGUAAUUAGUUAUUAAGUUGUCAACUAUUUUAUGUGUAUUGUAGAUAAAAUGCCUAGAAGAAAAAUUCUAAGGGGAAGCAUUGUUCAAAAUGAUCCAAACACGAUAGAAACAAAUAGUACUGAACAACAGACAGCAAUUGGAUCUUCGAAUGUUCCGAUUACAGCUGAUGAUCCUACAGAAGUUCAAAGUAAUUUUACAUUUAAUUUACAUGCGUGUUGACUUAUAGUUGCUUUUUUUCAAAUUCUUAUAUUAUAAUAUACCAUUUGUAGCUGAAAAUGGUGGGACGCGCAGAGGUCGAGGACGUACGCUACUUAGAGAGUUAUACGAGUUAGAUCCAGUCGAGCGUGUCAAAGUUGGACGAAACAGUUUUGGUCAGCCUGUUAGAUCAGAAGCUCGACUUUUAGCAGGAUACAUGGGCAUUUUAGCACGAAAUCCGAAUAUGUUACCUAUCAACUACGACUCAUGGCAUCAAAUGCCCGGUAGCAAAAAAAACCAAGCCGUCGAUAAUAUUAAGGUAACAAAAUGUUAAUGUCAUCUGUAAUGCUUGGGAAAUAGUUUCAUUUAUAUUUACUUUAUUAACUUGUGUUUUUUGUUUUUUGUAGACGAGGUUUGCUUUAGAGGUCUCGGAUGCUUAUGUAAAGAAGGCAUUGGGAAAAAGAUGGAGAGACAAUAAAAGUACUUUGAAGAGAAAUUAUUAUAAGACAAAAACAACCCUCGAUGAGAAAUUGCAAAAUGUCCCGCCGGGUAUGUUGAGGUACCAAUGGGAAGAUACGGUUAGAUUUUGGCAUUCGAAGAAAGGCGAGGUAUGACGUACUUCCAAACUAUUGUAAUUAUUUUGGUAAAUAGUAUUUUCUAUUUACGUACUAAAAAGUUCAUAACGUAGGAUCGUGAACAAGUUGGAAAAAGUAGCAGGCAGAAACAAAAAUUCACCCACACAGCCGGGUCGAGAAGUUUUACAUGUGUAGCUGAGGCGGAGGUAUUUUUAAUUUUUUAAUAUUGUCGAAUAUGUAUAACUUUCUAUUAAAUAAUAUUUUUACUACUAUAUUGUAAGAACUGUCGUUCGGUCAAAAAGUUGGACGCCUUCAACUUUUUGAAAUUACACAUAGGAAGAAAGAUGGAUCUCCCAUGACUCCUGAAGCUGGUGAAAUAAUGAUACGUUUACUUAAUACGAUUUGACUUGUUUUAGUUAUUUAUAGUGUUUAUUUUCUAAUGGUUUAAUUCAUUGCUUGUAAUGCGACUAUUGUUAUGUUGCAUAUGUUUUUUAAUAUAUAAUAUUGCGUUCCUAACUAUGUGAUUUAUUUAUUAGGAAAAACUAAAGGAUAAAAAGGUUGAGUACGAAGCGAUUGCUUCUAGUGAUAGUUCUGUUCAUCUUGAAAACAUUGAUAAUCGGAUUAUUACUGAAGUUUUGGGUCCUAAAAGGUAUGGUCAGGUUCGAUUUCAAGGAUCUUUUGUUAGCCCAACCCAAUAUUUUGGAUCCAGCUCCCACCAAUACAUGGCUUUAGGGAGUCAGGCUCAAGCUGAAGUUCAGAGGUUAAAAGACCAGAUCGCUCAGAUGCAAGCGACCACAGUUGAGGUUCAAAGGAAAUAUGAAGAACUCCAGCUACAACUUAAAGCAGAGGCGGCAGCGAGGGAAGCAGCGGCUGCAGCGAGGGAAGCAGAGGCUGCAGCGAGAGAAGCAGAGCAGACCAAAAAGUACGACGAACUCCAGCAACAGCUUCAGAUUAUGAUGAAGAUGUUUCAGUCGCAACUUCCGCCUUCAUAGUGUAUGGCAUAAAUAUUUUUAUCAUUUUAACAUUUAACAUUUUUGCAAAAUAAUAUGAAUUCACUUUUAUUUAUUGAUAUUAAUAUUAUUUUAUUCGUUUAAUUUGAAAUAUUAUAUAAAUUUAUUGCUUUUGGCUGUUUUAGAUCUGGUUGCUUUUGAUUUGUUGUUACAGGAGGGCUGAAAAAAUGAAAAAUUUAAUAAAAAAAUCCCAAAAAUAGUGGCGUUUUUGUAUAAAAACGCCGCUAAAGAACAUGGUCUUUAGUGGCGUUUUUACCAAAGCGCCCCUAAAGAACAUGGUCUUUAGUGGCGUUUUUUACUAAGCGCCGCUAAAGAACAUGGUCUUUAGCGGCGUUUUUUUGUAAACGCUGCAAAUGUUUGCGAUGUUUUCCUUAGUGGCAUUUUUUGCGGCGCUUGUGGAAGCGCCGCAAAUACCUUUAGUGGCGUUAAAAAGCGCCGCUAAAGGCCUAAAAAAAUGCCGCUAAAGACUUGUUUUGGUGUAGUGGUGUUAAAACGCAUUAUCCUCUUAUUUAUGAAUUAGGAAGUAGUUAUUGGUAGUUCUAGACAUUGCGUAGAAAAUAAUAGAUAUGAUGAGAAUCUAUAUUGAAACUUUUCGAAAAAAUAUAUUUAUUACACAUGAACUAAAAGAAAUUUCUUUAUGGGUAGUUCAAGAAUAUUGUUGAAGCUAUAAAAUAAAAAUUCAAUUGGAUAAUAGAAAUCUCUUUUGUUUAACAAAAUAUUAAUCAUUGAUUGAGUUAAUAUUAUGAGUCAAUCGGACACCAAUUUAAUUAAGAAAUUACGAAAAUAUCAUUCCAUAAUUAAAAUAAAUUAUAUUAUUUGAGGAUAUUUUAAUAUUUUUAUGUCAAAAAAAUCAAUAAAAAUAUAUAUUUAUUUUUCACAAAUAUAUUAUUCUAUCAAUUUUCAUCAACCAAAAAAAAAGUAAUUAAAGUAAAAUUUACCUUUGAUAUACCAGAUGAUUUCAAAGAGAAUGAUUAUAUCAAUGAGUUUAACAAUUAAAAAAUAUAUUUUUUUCAAAGAUUUUAUAAUAUAAAAAAUUUUAAAAAUUUUAUAUAAAAAUUAAAUAAAUAUUUUAAAUGAUAUUUGGACCAAUUUUAAUAAUUAGUUUAUAAUUUAGAGUUGUAGAUAAUAUGGCUGAUAUAUAUAAUGUCUUGGUCAAGUCAUGGUUUUAUAUAUGUUUAUUUGUGAGCCCUACACUCGCAUCAAAUUUAGAUAUCACAAACAUGAUUUAAAACAUUACUAGCUGUGAGCAAUUUAAAGAAAUUUAAUUUCUUUUUUACAAUUUUAAGUUAAUCAAUUAUUUGAUUUUUUUAGGGGCGAAUUCAGAAAAGUUUUUUAGAGGCCGAAAUGAAUUUUUAAUUUUUAAUAGUCUAUAUCUUUAUAUUUUUAAAGGAUUAAAUUAAAAUUUUAUAAUUUUAAGGGGGGCAAAAUGUAAUUUUAUCUCUACUAAUUUAAAACUUUAAGAUUUUUUAAAGGACCUAAAUAAUAAUUUUUCAUUUUAAGGGGGCCGGGGCCCCUACCAACCCUUUAGAUUUGCCUCUGAUAUAUAUAUAUUAUUUAUGUUUUGUAACUCAAAAUUUAGUCAUAUUAUCAAUAAUAUUUUAAUAUGAAAAAUUUACUUUUUAAAAAAAACUUAUUUAACUUGUCUCAAUUAAAUUAAAAAAAUUAAAAUCAAAUUAGAAUAAUAAAAUAAUACCUAUUUACGCGAUUGAAUCUAAUACUCACCUCUCAAUAUUACACCUUUUGAAUCUUCCUAGAUCAUAAAAGGAGAAGUUAUCCUUGGCGUGUGUGUUUUAGUGCUCCUUAUUUCCUUUAAAAACAAAGUUUAUUUAUUCCUUUUUUAUAGAAAUGAAUUGAUAUUUAAACUGCAAAAGAAGAACCACUAUUUGAACAUGUAUAAAUUAAUAUUGUACGCAAAUAUAAACUUUAAUACCAAUUAGAGAAGUAAAAUAAGAUAUUGGUGAAUCAAAUUUAUUAAAUAAUUUAUAUACAGAAUGGAUGAUAUAAUAUUUCUGAAGUCUUCCCUUGGUUGACCAUAAAAGGAGAAGUCAUUGUUUUGUUUUUUGGUAUUUAUUUGUGACCCCUACACACACAUCAAAAUCACAUAUCAUAAACAUUGAUUUAGAAUUAAACUAUAUAAUAUUAGACCUUUUGUAAUCUUCCUAUUGUUGACCAUAAAAGGAGAAGUCAUCCUCUUCUGUCUUUUCUCCCCUUUAACUCUGUGGCUAAUUAUGUCAAAACAAGGUUUUUUUUUCCCUUCUUUGGUAGGAAUUAAAUUAAUAAAGAUUAUUGUAAUUUAAAAUCCAAUUAAAGUUACUAUUUGAACUGGUAUGAAUUAAUAUUGUUAUGUCUAACAUUUAUAUCCAAUAAUUUUUACUAUAGAGAAAAGAAGUAAGAAAAUAAUAUAUGAUGUAAAAUUGUUAAUUUGAGUCUUAACACAGUCGGUAUUUGUAUGUUGUUUAUGUAAUUUUUCUUUCUAGUUAAAGGUUGGAGAGGAGUUAGGGUGAAGCUAGAAAUUUCUUUUUUGGGAGACGAAAUUAAGCUGUAUAUUUUUACGAGAGUUAAAAUACAAUUUUACCAUUUCAAUAGCUUAUAUCUUUACAAUUUUUAAUGGACUAAAGCAAUAUUUUAUCAUUUUUAGGGCUAAAGUACAAUUUUACUAUUUAUUAACUUAAAAUUUUAUAAACUUAAUUUAAAGGGUUAAAUUUUAAAUUUCACAUUUUAAGGGAAGGGAUAAAAACCCUGCUAGGCUCCCCUCUUGCCGCCCCUGAGAGGAUAUAAAGUAAAGCCAUAAGGGUCUAAAAUAUAUGAAUUAUGAGUACUUAUUACACUUGACCAAUUGCUUUUCUUCAAACAAAACAAAAACUAAUGCACAUGAAAAUGCAAAUUCACAUGCAACCUAGAUAUGCAUUCUAUAUACAAUGCAAUGCAAUAAAUAAAUAAACAAAUAUUAUUUAACUAUGGAGUUGCCUCUCCGUAAGCACCUUUGUUUAACAUUUUUGGCUAGAUGUUUUUAAAUGUUAUUUCACCACAGAAUGAUUCGGAUAACAUCUUGACUUAAUAAAAUUGAACAUUAGGAACAACUUAAAAGUCGAGGGAACUUGAGAGUUUUGAUCCCCUUUUGGUUCUUUAACCAACCAUUCUCACCCCUAAUUAUAAUUCCAAUACAGUAAAAGUACGUGAUUGAGUUGAAUGGAUGGUGGUUGUUUGACAUAACAUGUAGAAAGUGAAAAAAUAGUUAAAAAUAAAUCAAGUAUUAAAACUAAAAGUUUAUGAAAGAAAUAAUUUUUUUUCGUUUCCAGGCUUUUACAAAAUCGUGUAGAUUAUUCAUUUUCUUUCUUUUGCUUUUCUUUUCUGACGAAUAAAAUUUAACAAAUGAUAAAAUUGAUCUAAUGUUAUAUAUUUGGUUUAAAAUUUAUGUAACAUAUUAGUAUUUUAAUUAUUUUUCAAAUGUUAUAUAUUUGUUUUAUAAUGGAAACUAAAGUUCGCAUUUAUUUUUUUUUAGGUUUUUUAGGGUGAGUUUAGAUAGGCGGUGCAUUUAUCUACGGUUAGUAUAAAAAUAAAAAUAACGGUAAUAUUAUAUAUUAUAGAGAUAUUAUGGUGUGAGACAAAAAAUAAAUUAAAUACACCGCACCCUACUAUCUAUCCAAACUUAAUUUUAUUAUUUAAAAAUAUAAAUAUUUAAGAUAAAUAGAUAAGUGGGAAAUAUUGAAUGGAAUAAAGUAAUUGAAGCAAUCAAUUGCUAUAUCAUUUCACACACUUUCCCAAAGCCACAUAAGGGGAGAGAAGGGGCCACGCAGCCCUCCUAAAUAGUUGAAAAUAAAUCAAGUAUUAAAACUAAAAGUUUAUGAAAGAAAUUCUAGUAUUAUCAAUUUUUCGUGAGGCUCAAAGCUAUUUGGAACAAAAAUAAAAUCAAUAUGUAUAGGCUUAACAAAAUAGCUAUUAUCUUGCAUUGUUAUUUCAUCCUAACCUCUUCCCUCAUAACUUCAUCUUCUAUUUUCUGUUCGACUUUAUCAAAAGUCUCAAGAAUUUCCUCCCCGUCCUUUUUAACUUCAACGAAACUUUCUAGGGAAGGAAGCUCUAUCGUGAAUGACUUCGGUUCUAGUCAAAGUAAAAUAUAGUUUUUUUAGGUUUUUCGACUAUUUAUGCAUCAAACUUUUAGGACAUUUUGGACAUCUUCCUAAUGUUUUUGGGCUUUAAUCUGUGAAAUAAAUUUAGAUAAAUCUUUCAAGUCACAUCAACAUUUUAUUAAUGAUUUAAUAAAUUAUUAAUAAAAAGAUUUAGGAUUAAUGUACAAAUUUGUCACUAUACUUCAAUUUGAUUGAUAUUUGAUAUUGAAUUUUAUUGCUUUACUUUAAUUUAAUUGAAUUUUGCCACUAAGAUUUUUUUAUUGAAUUUUCUAUUCAAUUUAAUUUUAAAAUAACUUGAAGGCUAAAUUGAAUAAAAAUAGUUUUAUAUUUCGCUUUUAUAUUUAAUAAUUAUCCUCUCAUCCAUGGCAAGGUGCGGAAAUUUGCAGAAUAUAGAAAUGGAGUGAAGAAAAACCGCUUUAGCAGAGGAUAUGAUUAUGUUAAGGAUAUACUGAAGUGUUUGAUUAUUUUUUCCAGAUGAAGUGUUUGACAUUUUAUAUCACUUAAUUAUUUUGGAUUUAUAUGUGAUGUCAGCCUCUACACGUAUACACGUGAAUGUCACCUAUUAGAAAGAAAUAGUAAUUAAAUUCAUAUUUAAUAUAUAUUUUUGAUCUAAUUUUUUUUAAUUCAAUUUAAUUUUAGUUAAAACGUUUAAAAACAUUUAUUUAAUCUAAUUUCUUUAAUAUAUUAAAUAAAUUGGAUUAGAAAAUAUAUUAAAUAUGAAUGAAUACUAUAUCUCUAAAAAUUAAUAUAUUAUUAUUUUAUUGGUGCUUAAAAAAAUUAAAAUAUUUAGAAUCAUUUUAAUAUAAGUUAUUCCCUUGAUAAUAAUAUUUGGUAUUUACACGAGUAAGUUCAAUAGUUGACAAAUAUUUUAUAUAAGUAUAAUAAAAUAUUUAAAAAAAUUAUUUAGUGACUUAAUUUUUUAAGAAUAUUUGAUAAUUCAUAAAGAAAAUAAAUAAUAUUUUAAAAAAAGAGUGAAAAAUGAUAAGUAGAUAAUAUCUAUUAUCACUUACAACAUGUUUGGAUUAAAAAGAAGAAAAAGGGAGGGAAAAUUAAGUAAAUUGAGGGAAAGAAAAUUCGGUUUCUUUGUUUAAGUUAAGUAAAGUUGUUAAUUUUUUAUUAGAUUUUAUAUUUUAGAUUAUUAUCUCUUCUUCUUCUUUUUUUAGCUUGUAACAGCCUUAUUUUUAUUUUCUAUUUGUUUAGGUUACUAGAAAUAUUUAAUUUUAAAUUUGUUUGAUAUAUAUUUUUAAAAAUUUUAACAAUAUUUUUUAUUAACUAUUUUGUUAAAUUAUUAGGAAUCCUUCAUUUGUAAUUUGGUUAAGAUAUUUUUUUUUUUAGUUUGAUAAAAUAAGCUUAUUAAAAAAAAAGAGAAUAUACCAAUAUAUUAUUGGUUAACAUUUUAAUUAUUAUUUUAUAUAGAAUAUUGAUAUUUUUCUAUAAUUUUAAUUUGCUGUGAUUUAAUUUUGUUAUUAUAUAUUAUUUAUGAACUGUUAAAAUUAAAAAAAAUAAAAGUAAAAUAAUUCAUUUUCUUUCCUUUUCAUAGUUUAGCAAAACAAGUCCACAAGCUCGCCUCAUUUGAAAAAAAAAUUAAAUUGUUUAAAUAUAUUUAUCUAUAUAUAUAUAGGGACUAGUUUUAACAAAUGAAAAACAUAAAAACUACAUUAGAAGAAAUGGGGAAGGGAAGAAAACAAAAGGAGAAGCAGAAGAGAAUGAAAUAUAAAGGAAAGUUAAAAGAACAUAAAAAAAUUAAAUUAAAUUGCUCAAAACGAAAAAAAUAUGGGGAUUAGUUGCAUAAAUCAUCCUAAAAUUUUUGUUUGAAAGAUGAUUUAACAUGUCACAUCAGCUUAUUGUUACACGGUUAACAAAAAUUAAUAGCUCAGUGACUAAAAUGUUAUAACGUGAUAACGUAAGUGACUAAAAUGUAACAUUUCAAACAUAAAUAACUAAAAUGUAAGCAAAAGUGGCUAUUUUAAUAGUUUACCCUAACAUUUAUCCAAACAUAAGCUUAAUGUAAACAUUUUUUCAAUUCUUUUUAUUUUAUUUUAUUUUUUACCAUUAUCCUUUAUCCUUAUUUUAGAAAAAAGUAGAAUUAUUUUUCAAAAUUAAUUUUAAGCAAUACAUCAAAUAGAUUUUAUAACUUAAAUGUAAUAUUUAAUUUUAUAAUAUUUUUUUAUCAAACAACAUUUACUCCUAAGUAAAUAAAUAAAUAAAGGCCUUGUGUAAUUAAGAAAGUUGAGAAAGGGCUAAUCCUCACAUGGUAAAAAUUGGCUACAAUAAUGAAGGAAAGAGAAAAACACUUAGGAAUGUGAAUGAGCAUACCCCACACACAUACUAUUUACUGUCAACGGUGAUGGAUGAAUUGUCUACUAUACAUGGAUUUUUUUUUUUUUUUGGUUCUUGUCCUGUAUUAUUUGGGUUUGUGAUCCCAUGUAAAAUUCCAGUCACUAUUUCAUAGCAUUUAAAAAAAAUUAUUUAUUAUCAAUUGAGUAUUAGCUUGAUUGGUAUAAGUAUUAUUGUCAAUGUAUGAGAACAUAGGUUCGAGUGUAUUAAAGCUUAUUAUCUUUUUAUUUAUGGAUUAGAAAGUGAUUAUUGGUAGUUCUAAACAUUGUGUUGAAAAGAAUAGACAUAAUCAGAAUUUAUGUUGAAAUUUUUCAAAAACAAUUAUUUAUUACACAUUAAUUAAAAGAAAUCUCUUUAUGGGCAGUUCAAGAUUGUGAAGUUAUAAAAUAAAAAAUUCGAUACGAAAACAAAAAUCUCUUUUGUUUAACAAAAUAUUAAUCAUUGAUUGAGUUAAUAUUAUGAGUCAAUCAAACAUCAAUUUAAUCAAGAAAUUACGAAAAUAUUAUUUUAUAAUUAAAAUAAAUUAUAUUAUUUGAGGAUAUUUUAAUAUUUUAUGUCAAAAAAAUCAAUAAAAAUAUGAAUAUGAUGGGAUUUGAAAUAAAAUCUUGAAUUUACCACUCAACCAAAACUUUAUUUUAUCAUAUUUUAUACAUUUUUAUUUUAAUACGCACAAUUUAUUAACUUCAUCAGUUGUAUAUAUAUUAAUAAAUUUAUUGAUUGAGUUAAUAUCACAAGUCAACUCGACACUAACUGACAAUUGACGACAACACUUUGAUAGACAGUUGUAUUGCGUUUAAUUAGUAUUUUUAAUUUGAUGUAUUUAUAUGUUUAAAUUUUAUUUUUGCUCCCAAAUUAAUUUAAUUUUUUAUUUUAAUGCCAUACAUAUUUUAUAUAUUCUUAUAAUUAAUUAUCUUGAAACCAUAUGUUUCAUUAUUUACUUCUUUCUUUUAAGCAUGCAUCUGUGUUUCAAAUCUAAACAUGGUUGAUUAUGUUAAUUAAUGUUACAAAUUGAGAAAUUUAUUAAAAGUAUUGAAAUCUUCACAUCUAACCUACUUUUAUCAUGUUUGGAAGAUGCUAUUGAUCUUCUUCAAGUGGUUUUUCACAAAUAUAUUAUUCUAUCAAUUUUCAUCAACCAAAAAAAAAAGUAAUUGAAGUAAAAUUUACCUUUGAUAUACCAGAUGAUUUCAAAGAGAAUGAUUAUAUCAAUGAGUUUAACAAUUAAAAAAUAUAUUUUUUCAAAGAUUUUAUAAUAUCAAAUAUUUUAAAAAUUUUAUAUAAACUUAAAUAAAUAUUUUAAAUGAUACAAUUCGACCAAUUUUAGUAAUUAGUUUAUAAUUUAGAGUUGUAGAUAAUAUGGCUGAUAUAUAUAAUGUCUUGGUCAAGUCAUGGUUUUAUAUAUGUUUAUUUGUGAGCCCUACACUCGCAUCAAAUUUAGAUAUCACAAACAUGAUUUAAAACAUUACUAGCUGUGAGCAAUUUAAAGAAAUUUAAUUUCUUUUUUACAAUUUUAAGUUAAUCAAUUAUUUGAUUUUUUUUAGGGGGCCGAAAUGAAUUUUUAAUUUUUAAUGGUCUAUAUCUUUAUAUUUUUUAAAGGAUUAAAUUAAAAUUUUUAUAAUUUUAGGGGGGUCAAAGUGUAAUUUUACCUCUACUAAUUUAAAACUUUAAAAUUUUUUAAAAGACCUAAAUAGUAAUUUUUCAUUUUAAGGGGGCCGGAGCCUUACCAACCCUUUAGAUUUGCCUCUGAUAUAUAUAUUAUGUAUGUUCUUUAAAUCAAAAUUCAGUCAUAUUAUCAAUAAUAUUUUAAUAUGGAAAAUUUACUUUUUAAAAAAUUUAUCUUGAACAAACUUAUUUAGCUUAACUCAAUUAAAUUAAAAAAAUUUAAAUCAAAUUAAAAUAAUAAAAUAAUACUCAUUUACUCGAUUCGAUCUAGUACUCACCUCUCAAUAUUACACCUUUUGAAUCUUCCAUGACAGAAGUUAUCCUUAGUGCUCCUUAUUUCCUUUAAAAACAAAGUUUAUUUUUUCCUUUUUUAUAGAAAUGAAUUGAGAUUUAAACUGCAAAAGAAGAACCACUAUUUGAACAUGUAUAAAUAAUUUAUAGUUGAUAGUUAUAUACAGAAUGGAUGAUAUAAUAUUUCUGAAGUUUUCCCUUGGGAGAAGUCAUUGUUUUAUGUUUUUUGGUAUUUAUUUGUGACUCCUACAAAUUAUAUAUAAGAAAUUCUAGUAUUAUCAAUUUUUUGGAGGCUCAAAGCUAUUUGGAUCAAAAAUAAAAUCAAUGUGUAUAGGCUUAACAAAAUAGCUAUCAUCUCAUCCUAACCUCUUCCCUCAUAACUCCAUCUUCUAUUUUCUGUUAGACUUUGAGAGUUCAAUUACGAAAAGGGAAGUGUUUUUUUCGGCUCUUAAUGUAAUUGAUAGUAGGCUAGGAAAUAAAGAUUAUUCGUUUGUUUGUUUAAGCCUGAUUUUGACUUGUUUACUAUAAUUAAAUUAUCACUUCAAUAUAUUUUUAUCAGUUUGAUUUAUGUACUUUCAUUCUAUGUACUUCGUUAUCUUAUUUAUAUUUUUUAGAAAAAAAAUUUUCUAUCUAAUUAAAUGCUGUCACCUAUGAAAAAAUUUAAAAUUCCACUGAAGUAUAUAAAAAUUCAUAAAAAUCGUAAAAAAAGCAUAGAACUCUAAAGAAAUUAAUAAAAUUUUAUAAGCACAAAUUUCCAAAAUUAAAAUUAAAAUAUUUUAUUAAAAUUUUUAAAUUUUUUAAAGUUUCAUAUAUUUAUUGUUUAAAAAUUAUAUCAUUUUCAAAAAAAGAUUAUGAAUUUUUUUAGGUAUUUUAAAAAUAUUUUUCUAAGUCUUAAGAUUUUAUUUUUUGCAUUUUAUGAUUUCUUUUUUGGAUUUUUAAUGGUUUUUAAAAUUUUAUAAUAUUUUCUAAAAUGUUUUAACUAUUUUGGUCGUCCAGGUUUUGUGAAUGAAGCGAAGGGUAUCUUUAUUGUGGUGAACUUUUAAUUUACUCAAAACGAAGUGAUUUAUUACGUUGUGUGAUUUGCAGAUAAGUGUUAAAUAUGAAAUGUGUAAGGCCCAAUAUUUGCCCGGCCCGUAAUAAAUAAACCAAAUCAAAAUUUAAAAAGUCCAAAGUCCAAAAUUACAAAAAUCUAUCAGACCCAAAAUAUAAAUCGAGCCCAUUUAUAAAUGGCCCAGUACAAACCCAAAUUACAGCUAGCCCAAUAGCCAAAAUCAGCCCAGAUUUUUUCAUUUUGCAGAAACCCUAAACAGUUUCAGAGGUACCAGGCGCCGCAGCCAAGCCCUCGCACAUGCCCCACGAACCACGCUUCCAGCGCCUCUCCCCACAUACACCUAGCCACGUCCCUGACACCGUACGGCCGUACCUGCAGCAAACGCAAACGAAAAACGCAGCAGAGAAAGAAAUUGUAUUUUUCAUUUUUAUUAUUUUAAAACGAAGGGAUAUAAAACAGGAGAAACCUUUUGUAUUUGAGGGGGGAUUGAUACGCAAUAUCAACACACGCAUAUUGUAUCAGAAAAACGAAAUCAAUACAGAAGAAAGGUUUUCUUUUUCUCUUUUCUCGAUUGGGUUCCUUUUUCUUUGGCUUUUCUUUUUUCUGUUUUGCUGUUAGCCCUAUACAUAAGCAUAUACAUAUAAUAAAAGGGAAAGGAAGUACUUACCUCGGUGACCCUGUCGUCGUUCUCAUCGGUUUCGUGGAUACCAAAGAGGCUAGGUAUGGUUUUAGCCUGAGAACGGCGCAAGGGGAGAGGGGAAAGGCAAAGUUUUUUUUCUGCUAUUUUUUUAGUGGCCGAAUAACCUUGUUUAGGGUUUUAAAAUUGGUUUUUUUUGGGUGUUGAAACGGUGUCGUUUGGGGCCUGAAUCAGUGGCCACCAAAACGACGUCGUAUUUGUAUACCCGCACGUCCAACCCGACCCGGACCAGCUAGAUUCGCGCGUUUUGGCCUCUGGUGGUAUAUUUUCGCACUUAGUCCCUUGCCUUUAAAGCGCAUCCAAAUCAAUCUUUUUAUUUUUUUAGAUUUUGCCUGAUAUGUCACUGUUGUUUCAUUUUGGUCCCUUCUGCCAAUAUGCGUUUUGAAGGGCAGGGAAUAUUUCCCAUUUAAUCCCUCAUGUAAUGCGCAGGCUUCAUUUUGCCUUUUAAUUUCCUUUUAAUUUAUUUUCUUUUUUCGAUUAAGCAUUAAAUCCAUUUUAAUCUCUAUUUUAGUUUGUUCAUAUUAAUUAAUUUAAAUAUUUUGGUUCUGUUUUCUUUAAUAUAUUUCAGUUUAAUCUAAUGUUAUUUUAAUAAUUCAACUUAUUAGUAUAAAUUCAUUAUUGGUAUUAUUUAAAUCUAUUGAACCAUUAUUCUAAAAGUUUUCUUUCGUGUGUUAUUUUAAGUUUUCAUAUAUUAUUAUUAAAAUUUAAUACUUAUUAUUUUUAUGAUAACUAAAUAUAAUUUGUACAAUUCUAUAGUUUUAUAAUAUUUAUUUUUAAAUUUAUUGGGAUACUAUUAUUUUAUGAAGUAUUUGUUUUUAACUAUAUUUUUCAUUUAUUUCAAACUUUCAUGUGUAUAUAUAUUAUUUUAAACUUAUUUUAAUAUAUAAUUUCCCUUCUUUUAUGUUACUUUUUUUGUUUUUGUUAUUUAAAAAAAAACUUGUUACAUUUUAUUUAAUUCGCUUGUUACCCUUUUUUAAUAUUAACUUUUUAAUUCAUUUUGCUUGCUAAUAUGGAUGUUAGUAUUUGCAUAAUGUAGGAUAUAAAAUUGUUGCUCUUUUGUAUAUGAUAUUGUUUAUUCAUAUAUUAAAUUUUUGUUAUUCAUUAGUGUAUGCUUUAGUUUACGAAUAAUCAAUUCGCAUAGUACAUUAUUAUACGAUCGUUUUUAUUUAUUCAAAAGAUUACAAAUUACAAAGUUAUUCUAUUCAAAAACUUUCAAAAAUACUCGAAGUUUGAAAUCCUCGAGAGAAUUGAGCCCUAACGUAUUGGGUUCCAAUUUUUUUCGUCGAGUCUAAAUAAUUGAACAUUUUUUAACAUACAAAUUUCAAAUAACCCAUUCUCGGGAAUUCAACACGUUGUGUCCUAACGUAUUGGAUAUGACAUGUUAUUUUCUCGAGACGAGGAUUUUAAAAAAAUAAUAAAUAAAGGCAAUGUUCGGUAUUUGGAAAUUUGGUGAAAUCGAACCCUAACUUACUGGGUUUUGAUCUUCUCUUUUGGCCCAAAUAAUUAGAUAUCCUUCUCAAAAUGCAUAGUUUUAAAAAUCAAAUUUAACUUCAAAAUAAAAGGAUUGUAUUUUAAAUUUUUUUUCAAAAUCUCGACAUUAAGACAUUGAACAAUCAAUUUGGUACCAAUUUUGGGCGUAUCGAGGGUGCUAAUCCUUCCUCGUGCGUAACCGACUCCCGAACCUAUUUUUUUGAAUUUCGUAGACCAAAACCGUUGUUUUAAUAAAAUCAAAUCGUUUAUUAAAAACAACCACUUUUUAAGGUGAUCCGAUCACACCUUAUCAAAAAAAGAUUGGUGGCGACUCCCUUUUUCCGUUUCCGUUUUCAAAAUCCAAGUCGACCCCGUUUUCAACAAAGAAAUGGUGUCUACAAAAUGAAUUGUUGAAUUUGAAAACAAUGGUUUAAUAUUGCAGGGAUUUCCAGCAUUAUCAUAAAUUUUAGUGAAUUUAGAGACGAAAUCAGAGUUCCACUGAGUUUUGUUCAAAUCUGGGGAUUUCAUCGUCAUAUAGGGUCGAUUUGGAUAUCUAGGAUACAAAGCUUCAUAUCAUUGAUGUUCGGUGGCCAUGGGUAUAUGUUGAUUUUGAGUUUAUCGUUGCCCCAUAAGUUGGUUGCACUAAAAAAAAAGGGUAUUACCAAUGCUAAAAAUUGUUACUAAAAUUUUAUUGUAGCAAUAAAAGUUGUUGCGGGAUUGUUGUGUAUAUUUUCGUUGUUUAAAGUAUACGCAACUCUACUCAAUUAUGUAAUAUCUACUCUUAAAUAUGGUCUAUUUAACUACAUAUUUAAGCACAUCAAACACAAAUUAAUAAUUUAGAAAUAUCAAACCAAGAAUUAAUCACACAUAAUUGGGAACAAUAAACUAAGUAUUUAUUGCAUAAAAUAAAAAAAAUGAUAGAAUCCAUCAUAGGGUUCAUUUCCCUAGGUAUUUAGAAAAUUAGUUCAAGCUUGAAAAUAAAAACAUCCAAGAUAUAGUAUAACCGAAAGAAAUAAAAAAAUUCAUGAUAAUCUCCUAGGAAAUCAACUGAGAAUCUUCAAUCUUGACGUAAAUUUGUUUUCAAGAUGGCUUCAAUGGCAUUUUUCGAGUUGCUUUCUUGAAUAUUUUAUGACGGCUCUCUCAUAUACUUUCUUAAUUUUUCACAUAUACGUUUCAUAAUGCCCCAAAAAUCUAAAAAUCUUGAUUUUACAUUGUUUGUGUGGCAAUUCCAUGAAAUUGACAUAGCCUACCACACACUCGUGUGGGUCACAUGACUAUGUGGUUUGCUCAUGUGAAAUUUAGAAAAUGUAAAAGAUUCCCUAUGCACCAUCUAUUAUGAGUCUACUAUAUGCUCAAAUAUGUAUGCAUCCGUAUAUUGCAUAUAUUGUUGGGAUGUUAGGCAAACAUUUAAGCAACUCUAGUAUAGGCCAUUAGAUAACAACCAAGAGGGUUAUGAGGUAUCUUUAGAAAACAAAAUAUUACAUGCUCACAUAUUGGAUGUUUGAUAAGUUAGAGAACAUCAAGUAUACAAACUCCAAUUUUGAUGAAAUAUUGAUGCAAAAUUUUGUCACUAGAGUGCAAAUUGUAACAAUAGUUAGUAGUCUUUUAUUCCAAUUGUACAAGCCCAAAUUUGCCCGAGGCCCAAAAACCCAAUACACCCAAACCUCAGCCUAAUUACAAAUUUAACUCAGCAGACCCAACCCAACACCGAUGACCAAACCUCAAUCCAAUAGCACCUAGCCCAACAAGAUUAAACCCAAACCCGAGGCCCAAUAUCCAACCCAAAAAAAAUGAAGGCCCAGUAGCCCAAAAUGUUUGAGACUUUUUCAGAAAAAAUGAAACCCUAGCCUACUGCCUAACCCUAGCCGCCUCUGCCUCCUCUGACAUCUUCUAGUCUGGCUGCCGCUCGUAGCCUCUGCCACCGCCACCUCUGACGCCGAGCCGCCCAUCAAUCACCUACUCCAUCAACGUCAACACCUGCAAACAAGAGAAAAAGCAAUAGCAAAUAAUAGCAAAAAUAUUGUAAAAAAAUGGCUAUAAAGCCAUAACCACCACUGUAAACGGGGUUCUUCCCCCCCCGAUUUUUGUAUAAAAAAAUAUUAGCAGGGAAAUAAAGGAAAAAAGAUUGAAGGUGAUUUUUUCUUUUCUUUUCUUUUCGGUUUUGUAGACCUGUUUUUCUGUUCUCUUUUCUUUUUUCGUUUACACGUAUGUAAAUAAAGGUAGUAAAUAAAAGGAUAGAAUGAAGACUUACCCAUUUCGCCUUUCGGUUACGCCGCCGUCGGGGUCUGCUCAUAAUUGAAAUCGGCCCGAAAGAUCGAGUUAGGGGGUCCUUUGUCUUAAUUUUUGGGCCAAACGAAUCUAGCCUUCGAUUGGGUCUUAAAACGGGGACUAGAAUGCCCAUUUUGCGCAACGCCGGCCACCGUCCACGGUGGCGCUAUGGCGGUGCUAAGAAGACCCAAAGGCCGAACGUUUGAGAGGGAUGAGGAAAGGUUUUUUUUUGUUUUUUUUUUAAAUUAGUGGCCGAAAUGUUUUUUUUGAAGAAAAUAUGGCUUAAAUACCAUUUUCGAAAUAACAUCGUUUCAAUUUGGCCCUCCAGAUGCCAAAACGGCGUCGUUUUGAAAGGGGCCGGUUCUACUCGACCCGUUUGGCCAGGAUCCGCGUGUUUUAGCCUUGAGGGGUUAUUUAUGCGGGGAGUCCCUCCGCUUUUGCAGCGUAGCCGAUAUGAUCCUUUUUGGUCUUUUUGUUAUUUGGCCCGCGAAUUUUACCUCUAUUUCGAUUUGGUCCUUAGACCAUGUGCUGCCCCUAGUCGAAACGCAGCAUUUUAGGACUGGGAAAUAUUUCCCCACAAGUCCCUCACGCUUUAAGCGCGUUUUACUUCAGUCCUGCACUAUUCCUUUUGUUUGUUUGCAUAUUUAAACCCCGAAGUUCGUUUCAAGUUUUAAUUUAGUCCUUUUGUAUUUUGUUUAUUUUCUUAUUAAGUAAUAAAUUUGAUGUUAUACUGUUAUUAUUAAUUAUAAUAAAUAUUAUUUGCUCAUUUUUACCUUUAGAAUUUCAAAAUUUAUCAUAUAUAUUUGUAUAUACUUAUUUUGAUAUUUUGAUAUUUUAUAAUUUAUAUCUAUAUAUCUAUAUACAUAUUUAUACAUAUAUACACAUACCUAUAUGUUUUAUAUUUUCAUAUAGUUUUUAUAUACAUAUAUAUUCUUAUAUGCACAUGCUUAUGUUUUUUUAUACUUUAUAUAUAUACACCUAAACAUGCAUAUUUUUUUAUAUGUACAUACAUUCAUAUAUUUUAUAAUUUAAGUACAUAUACAUAUAUAUGUACAUAAACUUUAUUAUUAUUAUUUUUUUUGUAAUUUAUAUUGUUAUUAAUUGUUUUAUUUGAUAUUUAUUUAUUUGCUCAUCUUUAUUUUUAUGAAAUGCUUUAGUUCUUUUUACAUUAUUUUUAUGAAAUGCUUUAGUUCUUUUUACUUACUCAUUAUUUCAUGUAUAAUUGUUUUUUUUAUAUAUGUGUCCUUUUUAUUGUUGCUCGUAUUAUUUUACUUACAUUAUCAUAAUUGUCAUUCCAUUACGUCAAUUUUCACCCAAAUUCAAAAAAAGAAAUUUUAAAAAUAUAAAUAAUACUCGGUAUUUGGGAUCUUCGAGAGAAUCGAGCCCUAACGUAUUGGGUUCCGAUUUUCUUCGUUGAAUCUAAAUAAUCGAGACUACUCUUUUUUAUAUAUAAAAAAACAUAAAUAAAAGCUCAUUAUCGGGAAUUCAAUACGUUGUGUCCUAACGCAUUGGAUAUGAUACAUUGUUUUCUCGAGAUGAGGAUUUUUCUAAAAAAAUAAAAAUAAGGCAAUGUUUUGAGUUUGGGAAAUUCAAGAAAACGUGCCCUAAUGUGCUGGGUUUCGAUUUCUCGUUUAGCCAAAUAUUCUCUUAAAUCUUAAUCUAUGUCAUUUAAGUUUUUUUAGGAUCGUAUUUUAAAUCUCUUUAAAAUUUUCAGUUUUUCGACACUAAGAUAUUAAGUGAUCAACUAGGUACCAAUUUUGGGCGUAUUGAGGGUGCUAAUCCUUCCUCGUGCAUAACCGACUCCCGAACCCAUUUUUCUGAAUUUCGUGGACCAAACUUGUUGUUUUAAUAAAAUCAAAUCAUUUAUUAAAACAACCACUUUUUGAGGUGAUCCGAUCACACCUUAUCAAAAAAGAUUGGUGGCGACUCCCACUUUCGUUUUCAUUUUUCAAAACCCAAGUCGACCCCGUUUUAUCAAAAAAAUGGUGCCAACAGCUUGGCGACUCCACUGGGGACCCAAGAACGAGAGUCAAGCCACGAGUUGAUUAUUUUUUUAUUUUUUUGUCGAAAAUCAAAAAAUUAGUUUAAACAUACGAUCCUUUCGUUGCAUUUCAUUCGUCUUUAUUAUGAUCUUCAUCAUUAUAGUUUAUAAUUGUUGUGUUAGUUUAAGUUUUGGUAUCAAUUUGUACAUUGCAUUGCAUAACCGUUGGUCACACCCUUCUUAGUGGGAGUGAGAAACUACGCUUUCGUGAGGUUUUCACCUCUGCAUAGGAUAGUGAAUCGCUUCUGGUAUAUAUCCGUACCUAUGUUUUCGUGAGAUUUUCAUCUCCGCAUGGCCAUAGGGAAAUGUAUUCCCCUGAACUGAACUCAGUCUGCAUGAGCCUAUAAUGGGUCAGGACCGAGGAAUCUGCUGGUUCAAGUACCCCUUACUUUAGAGCCGAACCGCAUGUAAUGAGCCCUAGGAGCCUACCCUAGGUAGAACCACACCAAAUACCUAGAGGUCACCUGAAAACUUGGUUUAAAUUUACGAUCAUUUUGUUGUAUUUCGUCCGUUUUGGUAUGAUUUUCAUUACUUCGAUUUGUAAUUACUCUAUUGGUUUGAAUUCUCGAUAUGUUUCUGCGCAUUGCAUUACAUGACCACUCAGUUACACCCUUUUAAGUUGGAGUGAGAAGCUACUCCUUUGUGAGGUUUUCACCUCCGUGCAGGAUAGUGGAUCACUUUUGGGAUACAUCUGUACCUAUGUCUUCGUGAGAUUUUCAUCUCCGUGCAGCCAUAGGGAAAUGUAUUCCCCUGAACCGAACUCGGUCCGUAUGAGCCUAUAAUGGGUGAAGAUCGAGGAAUCGGCUGGUUUGGGUACCCUUUCUUUAGAACCAAACCACAUGUAGAAGACCUUAGGAGCCCACCCUAGGUAUAACUACUUUGAACCCCUAGUAGUUACCCGAAUAGGUGCUCUUUUUGUUUUUUUUUCUUGUUUACUUUUGCUUUGUACUAACCUGUUUUGUUUUGGUUAUAACUGCAUUGCAUUUUCAUCAUAGAAAAGAGGUGUUGAUUCAAAUUUGAUUGCUAAAUAGAAAAGCUUGUCAUGGAAAACGAAUUUCUUGAUAAAGUAGAAUAUGAUGCGACUGUCUGAUUAUGGACUAAUUAAACACAACAAGAGAAGGUUAGAAGUUUGUGGAGGAAUAUACGACUAUGCUUCACUGCCUGAGGAUUCAAACCGACAAAGAUCAUUCGAGAGUGGUCACGAAACUAAAGAGCAUCGUAAGGGAGCAAUGGGUCGUGGCUCAGAUCAAUCAAAAAAGAAGAUAGUAAAGGUAAAUUUUGGGAAAUUCGCAAGAUUUGAUCCUAACAUCUGGAUAUGAAGAAAAGAUCAAUGUCUUCGCCAGGAAUAUGGGGGCAAAGCAGCAGAUGUAAUCUAUUUUAUGUAAAGAAAUUUAUUCUCUAGAAAAGUUGUUCUAAUGGAAUUGAAUUAGGAAUCAAUGCCUCUCUUUCUUUUUGCAUUCAUUUCACGCAUUUGUAUUAUAUAACAUCACAUGCAUUAAGGACCAUCAAAAGACUCUAAUUGAGUAAAAUGAUUUCAGCUAAUCUAGAGAACCAACACCCUUACGGAAUCCGAGCAAAAACUAAAAGAAUGGACCAAAGAUUGGAGAGAUUAAAACAAAGGCAAAUACAGAUGCAAGAGCAAUUUACCAAAUUUCAACAAGAUAUGAAGGAUCAGAUGCUAGAAGUCCAAAGAAAUCUGAUGAGUCAGUUAACCCAGUUAUUGGAUAGAGGGUUAGAAAAAGGAAAAAACCCAGUGGUCCAUUUUGGAGAUAAUGAUGAAGACCCUGCUCAUUUUCUAGGUUUUACCCCAACAAACAUCCAAGCACAACUAAAUGCAUGUCCACAAAAGGUAAAUGUUAACAUCUGACCACAAUACCAGACCAGUACCUCGACACCGGUGAAUUUCACGACAGGCUCAGGUUACAACCUUAGGGGAAAUCUAACUAGUCCCGUUGUCCUUGAUGAUCUAGCGGGAACAAAACAGGUGAGAGUAGAGCUCUCAAAACCAUUUGGAGAUCGUUACAAACAGAAAGGGCAAGAGUGGAAUCCUCAAAUCAAUACUUCGAGGGCCCCGAGGAAGAGGAAAGAUGACGUGAAUGAUGUGAGUAGGUAUAAUGAGGGUUAUUCAAAGCUGAUUACAACAAGCCAGAAAAGGACGGUUGAUUCUAGCCAUCAGAUCUCCCAGAGCAAGAAUUCGGCACAAAGUAAAACAUUGAGAAGUCCAAAUUUGUACCAAUCUCAAUGUCAUUUCGGGAGCUGUAUCAUAAUUUAUUUAACGCACACAUUGCCUCCCCUUUCUACUUGAAGCCUUUACAACCUCCGUACCCCAAAUGGUACGACACGAAUGCACAAUGUGACUAUCAUGCAGGAAUUACGGGGCAUUCAAUAAAAGAUUGCGUUGCCUUUAAAAAGGUGGUUGAAAGGCUCAUCAGUAUAGGCAUUGUCAAGUUCGAUACAAAAAAAUCUGCUGCCUAAUCAUAUUGAUAAUCGGGGUGAAUGCGAUGAAUGAGGAAAUAUUGGGAAACGUUCAAAUUAACGCUGUGCGAAGAAACAACUGAAGAAGGGACCUUGUUAGAUAUUUACCCGUACAUACUUAGGGGUGUUUUGAGCAAUGAGACUGUGGAAGAGAUCCCUGUAUUUUGUAGAGCUAAUUCGGAGUAAUAUCCAAAACACGCUUAUUGCUUUAAGCCUAGGGGCAAUAAGAAUCCUUUUGUGAGAUAGGCUUAUGUCCAACAUCUUUAUUUCAAUAAAAUGCAUCUUUGUUUCUCACUUCGAGCAAAUUUUUAUUCUUAGAUUCUUUUAUUCUUUGGAUAUACUUUCGUCCCUAUAAUAGGUCUUCAGAUAUCAAUGAUAUGAGCGACACUGCUAUUGACUCAGAACCUCCUUUUGAGCAAGAUAUGUGUCCAGAUUAAACUUCAAAACUUUGGAGAUAACUAAGACUGUAGCUUAUCUCUUAGUUUGUUAAGGACGGGAGAACAAGAUCCUACCUUACAAAGAAUCAAUGGAAGCCAUGGCCUUUCUCUAGAUGGGGCACGGAUGUCAUUAGGCCAAUCUCGUCUAAGGUUUUUGACGGCUAUCUUUAUAGUCAUCGAUUACUUAACUAAGUGGGCAGAAGUUGCUUCAUAUGUCAAUGUCGCAAAGUUAACAGUCUGUAAAUUCUUGAAAAAUCAUAUGUUAGUAUGGAAUGUCAAAAAGGAACAUAUCUGACAAUACACUAAAAGUGAACAACGACACAAUAUCAGAAGUUUGCAGUCUGUUCAAGGUUAACACAUUUUGCCCUAGAAUGUACGGUGCAGUGGGAGCAAAAACAAAACAAAAAAGAGGAAAAAUUACUGCAGGGGCAACACAUUGGCUUAGCGCAGUUUUGCUCAUUGAGGUCAAGAUUCCUUCCCUCCGAGUGUUGGAUCAGAUCCCGAUUGAAGAGAAAUGUUCAAAGUUAUCCGUCUGGGUCAAAUACACCAAAAAUAAAAGAUGCGAGCUCAUCAAAGAAGGUUCACCCUAAAGAGUUCCAUGAAUAGAACCUAACAUCGAAGAAAAUCCUCCCCAUACAAAAGGGACUUUAUAAGAAAGAGGAUCUGGAAAAGUGUUGAUUUCGACCAGAAAGGAUAGCAAGGACUUACCUAAUCCUACGAGUGCGGAUUCAAUCAAAGAAUGUAAAAAAAACAAACAAACAAACGAAAAGAAAAAGAAAAGAAAAGAAGAAUGAAAAAAGAAAAAGGAGAGGCCAAGAUGAAAACCCGCAAAGGGCGCCUUGAGACCAAAGGGGUUUUGAAUUGAAAACCCAGGAAUGGGUAGUUCAAAUUUUGAUCAAAGGUGGGGCAUGCGGUGGCCUUGUCCUCUCUGAAUUAGCAAGAAGGUGAGACGCUACAUCUCAGGCUAUCAACAAAGUCUUUUAGGACUUCUAGACACAUAUCAAGUUCAAAAGAGUCCUCAAGAAGCUUAUACAGAAAAGCUCAUGUUGCGAUAUCUGGGGCACCUGUUUCCAUUUUAUUCAUUUUUAUUUUGGCAAAAUAUGCCAUCUUGAUUAAUUUAUUCUCAUUUCGUAUCUUAGCAAAUUUACUAUCUUGAUUAUUUAUUUCGAGCUUUGUUCUCAAUAAAAUUUCAUCUUGUCCAUUGUGAUAAUCCUUUUCAUCUUAUUCAUUUUGAAUCUUAGCAAAAUUCGCUGUUCUGCUUAAUUUAUUUGUUUAGAGCUCUGCUCUCAAUAAAAUUUCAUCUUUCCCACUAUGAUAAUCUUUUUCAUCUUAUCUUAGCAAAAUUUGUUAUCUUGAUUAAUUUAUUCAUUUUGAGCUUUGUUCUUAAUAAAAUUUCAUCUUAUCCAUAUUGAUAAUCUUUUUCAAGCAUUUUACAUUGAAAUAACGAUUAAUUGACUGAAUAUUCAAGCAAAAGAAGUUUUGCAUAUUACUCUGAAAGUUUCUAAAUAAUACAGGAACCUGAAAUAGGACUAUUGUUUAGAGCAUACCAAUAAAGGGUGAAAUGUCUAAGAAGGAAAAGUCUAAAUUAAGACUAUCCUUUCGAAUUUUGUUGUCCAAGCAUGAAUUGAACAAAACGAAAAAAUGUCGAGAUGGUGACAAAGUUUCAAUGAACAAACGAGCAAUGAUCACCGAGUUAUAAAAAGAGGUUUUUGGAAGAAAAAAUUCCACAAUCGUGCAUAAACAUUUGGUAUGACACCUUGGGAAUGGUGUAGAAGACUAAAGAGAUUCAGAUACUGUAUCCCUGAAUUACAGUGGGAGAGGAUUGAGAAAAGUCAGAUCUUAUACUCAGUGGGAGGAAGAUGGCUCGAAUUUUAUGCCCCAAAAUUACCAUGGACUUAACCUUGAAGAUUACAACGGAUUGAACUCUGAAGAUUACAGUAGGGGGCAAUCUGGCUAAGUAAGAGAUGAGUGUUACCAGUCGAGCAAGAUAGCAUUCUGAUAUGUUGGUAAUAAAACCUUAUUGAAUAACGAGCAAUAACAACCCUAACAUUAAAAAGGGAUCAUUCUCAUGACAUUCUGCAUUCAUGCAAAUAUAAUUCACAUACACACCUAGUUAGGAGCAUUUGAUUCGUUCUGAUCAUAAUAUCCUAAUCAUUAGGCAUAAAUAGAUUCAUAAAAUGGACUUUACAGGUCAUGUUCCCCAGAGAACAUAUUAAUAAAGUUACCCAUACCCCUGAAGUUGCAAUGGGAUGAAUUGAAGUUGUCAUGUCAAGUCUUAUCUCUCAGAAAUUAUAGAGGAGUGGACUAGAGAUAGCAGAUCUUAUCUUCCUGUAUUUGGCAGCGAAGUAGAUCGUAGAUAGCAGAUCUUGUCUUCCUGUAUUUGGCAGCGAAGUAGAUCGUAGAUAGCGGAUCUUGUUUUCCUGUAUUUGGCAGCAGAGUAGAUCAUAGAUAGCAGAUCUUGUCUUCUUAUAUUUGGCAGCGGAGUAGAUCGAAGAUAGCAGAUCUUGCCUUCCUGUAUUUGGCAGCGAAGCGUAGAUAGCAGAUCUUGUCUUUUUGUAUUUAGCAGCGAAGUAGAUCGUAGAUAGCAGAUCUUGUCUUCCUGUAUUUGGUAGAGGAGUAGAUCAUAGAUGGCAGAUCUUGUCUUCCUGUAUUUGGCAGUAGAGUAGAUCGAAGAUAGCAGAUAUUGUCUUCCUAUAUUUGGCAGCGAAGUAGAUUGAAGAUAGCAGAUCUUGUCUUCCUGUAUUUGGCAAUAGAGUAGAUCGUAGAUAGUAGAUCUUGUCUUCCUGUAUUUGGCAGUGGAGUUGGUUAAAAAUUACAGAUUCUAUCACCUUAAGCAGUAGUGGAGCAGAUUAAAAGGAUGGAUCUUAUCUCUUCGAAGUUGUAGUAGAGCAGAUCGCAUCAAACUUUAUUGAAGCUACAAGUCUUAUCUCACUGAGGUUGCAGUAGAAUAGACUGAAGAUAGCAUAUAUUAUCUCUCUGGAGUUACAGUAGAGCAGACCACGAUGAUUUUAUCUCCCUAAAGUUGCAAUGGAGUGUACCAAAAUAAUAAAUCCUAUACCUCUGAAGUUGCAGUAGGUCGGACUAAAUCUACCAUAACAAAUCCUAUCUCCCUGAAGAUGCAGUGGAGCAAAUUGAAGACCGACUACAAGUCUUAUCUCCCUGAAGUUGUAGUGGAGCAGACUGUCGAUAACGGAUCUUAUCAUAUUAAAACCUUAUCUUCUUGAAGUUACGUGAAGCAGGUUGAAGCAACAAGUCUUAUCUCCCUGACGUUGCAGUAGAGUAGAUUAAAACCACGAAUCUCGUCCCCCUGAAGUUGCAAUAGAAUGGAUUGAAGCUACGAGCUGUAUCUCUCUGAAGUGCAGUGGAGUGGAUUGAAGCAACAAGACACAGUGGAUUGGAAUGAGGCUACCUGAAGAAGAGAAGCACUAGAAGAAGUCAAGACUCGGCGAGACCGGGUAAAUUUGGUCUUUCUUGGUCUUUGCUCUAUUCUCGUUAUACGACAACGAGGAAAGAGGGGCAGCUGUACAAGCCCAAAUUUGCCCGGGGCCCAAGAACCCAAUGCACCCAAACCUCAGCCUAAUUACAAAUUUAAAUCAGCAGACCCAACCCACCUAAACACCAACCCAACACCCAUAACCCAAACCUCAAUCCAAUAACACCUAGCCCAACAAGAUUAAACCCAAACCCGAGGCCCAAUAUCCAACCAAAAAAAAAUGAAGGCCCAGUAGCCCAAAAUGUUUGAGACUUUUUCAGAAAAAAUGAAACCCUAGCCUACUGCCUAACCCUAGCCGCCUCUGCCUCCUCUAACAUCUUCUAGUAUGGCCGCCGCUCGUAGCCUCUGCCACCACCACCUCUGACGCCGAGCCACCCGUCAAUCACCUACUCCAUCAACGUCAACACCUGCAAACAAGAGAAAAAGCAAUAGCAAAUAAUAGCAAAAAUAUUGUAAAAAAUGGCUAUAAAGCCAUAACCACCACUGUAAAUGGGGUACUCCCUCCCCCCCCCCCCCCCCGAUUUUUGUAUAAAAAAAUAUUAGCAGGGAAAUAAAGAAAAAAAGAUUGAAGGUGAUUUUUUCUUUUCUUUUCUUUUCGGUUUUGUAGACCCGUUUUUCUGUUCUCUUUUCUUUUUUCGUUUACACGUAUGUAAAUAAAGGUAGUAAAUAAAAGGAAAGAAUGAAGACUUACCCAUUUCGCUUUUCAGUUGCGCCGCCGUCGGGGUCUACUCAUCGUUGAAAUCGACCCCGAAAGGUCGAGUUAGGGGGUCCUUCGUCUUGAUUUUUGGGCCAAACGAAUAUAGCCUUCGAUUGGGUCUUAAAACGGGGACUAGAAUGCCCAUUUUGCGCAACGCCGGCCACCGUCCACGGUGGCGCUAUGGCGGCGCUAAGAAGACCCAAAGGCCGAACGUUUGAGAGGGAUGAGGAAAGGUUUUUUUUUGUUUUUUUUAAAUUAGUGGCUGAAAUGUUUUAUAUUUUCAUAUAGUUUUUAUAUACAUAUAUAUAUUCUUAUAUGCACAUACUUAUGUUUUUUUAUACUUUAUAUAUAUAUACACCUAAACAUGCAUAUUUUUUUAUAUGUACAUACAUUCAUAUAUUUUAUAAUUUAUAAUUUAAGUACAUAUAUAUAUAUACAUAAACAUUAUUUUUUUUUGUAAUUUAUAUUUUUAUUAAUUGUUUUAUUUGAUAUUUAUUUAUUUGCUUAUCAUUAUUUUUAUGAAAUGCUUUAGUUCUUUUUACUUCUCAUUAUUUCAUGUAUAAUUUUUUUUAUAUAUGUGUCCUUUUUAUUGUUGCUCGUAUUAUUUUACUUACAUUAUCAUAAUUGUCAUUCCAUUACGUUAAUUUUCACCCAGAUUCAAAAAAAGAAAUUUUAAAAAUAUAAGUAAUACUCGGUAUUUGGGAUCUUCGAGAGAAUCGAGUCCUAACGUAUUGGGUUCCGAUUUUCUUCGUUGAAUCUAAAUAAUUGAGACUACUCUUUUUAUAUAUAUAUAAAAAAAACAUAAAUAAAAGCUCAUUAUUGGGAAUUCAAUACGUUGUGUCCUAACGCAUUGGAUAUGAUACAUUGUUUUCUCGAGAUGAGGAUUUUUCUAAAAAAAUAAAAAUAAGGCAAUGUUUUGAGUUUGGGAAAUUCGAGAAAACGUGCCCUAAUGUGCUGGGUUUCGAUUUCUCGUUUAGCCAAAUAUUCUCUUAAAUCUUAAUCUAUGUCAUUUAAGUUUUUUUAGGAUCGUAUUUUAAAUCUCUUUAAAGUUUUCAGUUUUUCGACGCUAAGACAUUAAGUAAUCAACUAGGUACCAAUUUUGGGCGUAUCGAGGGUGCUAAUCCUCCUCGUGCGUAACCGACUCCCAAACCCGUUUUUCUGAAUUUCGUGGACCAAACUUGUUGUUUUAAUAAAAUCAAAUCAUUUAUUAAAACAACCACUUUUUGAGGUGAUCCGAUCACACCUUAUCAAAAAAGAUUGGUGGCGACUCCCACUUUCGUUUUCAUUUUUCAAAACCCAAGUCGACCCCUUUUUAUCAAAAAAAUGGUGUCAACAACAAUAACAAUAGAAGCACAUCAAAGUCAAAGCACAUAGGCUUUAAGUUCAUUGUUAUUAUAAUAAAAGUUCAGGGUGGUUAGAUGUCUAUAAAGUAUAUUGAGACGAACUCCAUGAUUACGGAUUCGCUUAUUAAGUGACUACCACCCAAAGUUUUUUUCCUGAGCACACUGUUGAUAUGGGUGUAAUGUCAUUUAAGGAUAUUUGAUUUUAGUAGGAGUUUGUACUUUUAAAUGUUUUUAUGUUAUAAACACAUUUUCAAUUAUUUUAGUUUACGAAUAUUAAGUUUAUUUUUUAUAGAAAUAAAGUUUAUUUGGUAAAGUUUGAUCUCACUAAGGUUAAUAAGGACCAGUUAGAAUAUGCAUGUUUGAAUCAUAUUACAUAUAAUUUUCAUGUUACACAUCCAUACUUGAUCUAUGUCAUUUGGUUGUGCUAAUAUAUGUGAUUAGGGAUGGAUUUAAUUAUGAUAUAUGUAACAAAAGUUGCAUUCGUUCUAUGUUAACAUAAUUAAUGGACGAGAUUGUUCGAAAUAUCUUUUGGAUAUGAUAGUAAAAUUUUGAGCUCAUAAGAUUAUAUAAUGACAUGUAAUUAUAAAGUAAUCGGUAUAUAUCAAAAGUCUUUCCCACAUUCAUCAACUAGAAAUCAGAGCUCACCAAAUGUCUAUUCUUUUCAAUCUGAACCGACUCUACAAUCACUUAUUGCUCAUGGUCAUCAGCCUAUAAACCCAGGAGCAUUGUUAACUUCUAAAUCCAAAACACUAAUAUCAGCAUCCAACCCUACAAUGAUAGUAUUAUUGACUCAUUUAAACAAGUUUCCUUUGUCAAUCUAUAUUCCGUAUUUGGUAAUCUCCAGUAUGAAUUCAGAAUUUAGGAUAGCUGGAAUAAGAAUAGCAGCAAAGAUGCAAAGGGAAACGACUUGUAGGAGGAGGAAGAACCUUCUUUUGGGUACAGACCUGUAUAGCAUAUAAUAGGAUGUCCUGUAUAAUGUCACGAGAGCUAGUACCGUUGCCAAGCAGUAAUUAGUAAUGCUGAGUCUAGAAUAGGAAACGGAUCCAGGAGUCGAAAGAGAGAAAAAAUACUGAAGUUCGAGUGUCCGUAUGGAAACAGCAACUAAAAGCAUGUAACAGGUCCCAAACAAGGAAAGUGUUAUGAGAAUAAACAAGCAGAUUGAACGGCUGGGUAGGAGAUAGGCAGUUAAAACAGUUGCUGCCCAAAAGGUUAAAGUGUUGUAUAACCAAAACAUUGUGGACACGUCUAGUAUAUUUUUUAAAUCUUCUUUUUCAGCGGGUGGAGGACUUGGUACGGGUCCAGUGCUGGUUGAACCUAAAGAUGCGUCAUACAUGAGAUGGAAAUUCUGGGAAUUUGAAAUGGUAUCAGGCUGCUUUGGAGGGUUCAAAGUGGCAGUAUAUGUGGCUGUUAUAAUUAGCACUGUGACUACUAAAAAUGUGUUACGCAUCUCAUAUGGGAUUCCCUUCUUUCCACGACUUGCUAUUGUUGCAAAAUUUUGAAGAACUGACACCUUUCCUUUUAAAUAUGCGAUGUGGAAUGAAGAGAUGGAGGUUUUGGGAAGCGAGGAAGAGGAACCACUCAAACCUCCUGCUUUGCUUAUCAUGUCUUUAAUGGACUCCUUAUAGUCCACUUUCUCUUCAUCCAAUGUGUAUUGUGAUGGGAUAUCAAGUGCAGUCAAUCCCUCCGCAUUUUUGGCAUUGAUAUGGUCACCACACAAGCGUUCCAGCAGUACUUUUACCACCUGUUAAUUAGAAUAUUCAUACAAGUAACCUUUGAGUAUAUAUAUACAUAAAAAAUUUCACUAGCAAAAUUAUCAUACCUGAGGUCUAUUUCUGAUAGCAGCAACAUGUAAAACAGUGUUGCCAUCAAUGUCUGCCCAACUCAGUAGUUCUUUCUCCCAACGGCUGGCAGCUUUAUGGCGGCUCCUUAUAAGCCACCCCACCAAGACUUGGAAAGCUUCAAACCUGUCAUUUUUUACGGCAAGAUGGAAAACCGUCUCAUCUCGAACAGUCAUAUCUUCAAUAGCCUCGGGGCAAACCUCAAGGAACUUGAUCAAAAAAUCAACAUUUCCAUUUUGAACCACAUCAUGCAAAGGAGUCAAGCCCUCCCGCCCUUUGACACGAACAAGGCCUUCAUCAAACCUGAGGAGUCGAAGCACUGUUUGAGUUUUUUGAUUUUGCAGAGCCAAGUGCAUGGGGCUAAACCCAGCUUGGUUUAGCUUUCUUGCAAACGAUGGCUUUAAGUUGAUCAUCUCCAUCAUAAAAUCAAUAUGCCCUGCAGAGGCUGCUACAUGCAAAGGAGUAUGGAAAAAAGGUACAUCAUCGAUACGCUGUAAAGCAUAUGGAUCAUUCAGAAUUAACUCAUACAAGAUGUUUAUGUCUCCUGUUUGUGCAGCCCCCUUCAUCUUCUCAUCCAUAGCAAGGUGCGGAAAUUUGCAGAAUAUAGAAAUGGAGUGAAGAAAAAACGCUUUAGCAGAGGAUAUGAUUAUGUUAAGGAUACAAUGAAGUGUUUGAUUAUUUUUUCCAGAUGAAGUGUUUGACAUUUUAUAGCACUUUAAUGAUUUUGGAUUUAUAUGUGAUGUCAGCCUCUACACGUAUACAGGUGAAUUGUUGCCUAUUAGAAAGAAAUAGUAAUUAAAUUCAUAUUUAAUAUAUAUUUUUAAUCUAAUUUUUUUAAUUCAAUUUAAUUUUAGUUAAAACGUUUAAAAACAUUUAUUUAAUCUAAUUUCUUUAAUAUAUUAAAUAAAAUGGAUUAGAGAAUAUAUUGAAUAUGGAUGAAUACUAUAUCAUACUAAUUUUAUGUCUCUAAAAAUUAAUAAGGUGUUAUUAUUUUAUUGGUGCUUAAAAAUUUAAAAUAUUUAGAAUCAUUCUAAUAUAAGUUAUUCUUUUAAUAAUAAUAUUUGGUACUUCCACGACAAGUUCAAUGGUUGACAAAUAUCUUAUAAAAGUAUUAUAAAAUAUUUAAAAAAUAUAUUAUUUAGUGACUUAAUUUUUUAAGAACAUUUGAUAAUUCAUAAAGAAAAUAAAUAAUAUUUUUUUCCAAUAAAAAAGGUGGGAAAAAUGAUAAGUAGAUAAGAGCUACCAUCACUUACAACAUGUUUGGACUAAAAAGAAGAAAAAAGGAGGGAAAAUUAAGUAAAAUGAGUAAAGAAAAUUUGGUUUUUUUUGUUUAAGUUAAGUAAAGUUGUUUAUUUUUUAUCGUAUUAUUAGAUUUUAUUUUUUAGAUUAUUAUCUCUUUUUCUUCUUUUGUUGACUCUUUUUCAUUAGUUUGUUAUUUCUCUAUGAAUCAGUAUCCCAACCAACUCAAUUUUGUUCAGGUAACCAUGUCUAUAUGUUUAAAAGCAUUAAUGCACUAAUCGAAAUCUGAACGUAAUAACUGUUCUCACAUUGAGGUAUAGAAGGUUCUUUUGGUGAAAAGAUGAAGCAUUGCAAAAAAAAAAAAAAAUUGAAUAAGAUAUUUUGAAAGAAAGCGGAGAGGAAGACUAAAAUAUAUUUAGUAACAUUAAGCAUCGUACAAGUAAAAAAAAAAUAAAGUAAAUAAUUUUAAAACACAAAAUUAUAACUUUAAAAAAGAUAAAACUCACAAUAAAAUAACAAGAUUAUAAAGUAAACUUUAAAAUGCACUAAUUAAUUAAAUUAAAUUACUUAUUAUAAAAAAAUCAAAGUAAAUUACUAGUAGUAAUUUUUUAAUCUUAGGUAUGUUGCAUAUAAUUUUAUAUUUUUUAUUUUUUAAAUAAUAUAUUUUUAUAAUUUUAAAUAUAUAUUUAUGCUAAUUAAACGAGGAUUCUCGUCGUGACAUCGCUAGCUAACUUUUGUAAGUGCCUAUAAACUGAUAAGUGCUAGCUAAAAGUGACAUAUUUUAACAUCAUUCUUAAUACAUUUUGGGUGAUUAUUUGAUGUUAAUUGUGAAUUUUAUACUCCUAAUACUUUAAAUUCAUGUAUUAAUGCUUAAUAGAGCACUUGAGAGCAAAAGGAGUAAAAAAUGAGCGAAAAAUGAAAUUUCGAAGCAAGUUACAGGAGCCACACGAGCUAGACCAUUCCACACAGCCAUGUAAGCCACACGGGCGUGUAGUAGGCCAUUUAGUUUUUACAGGACUUGUGACAUUUAGAUUGAUAGUGAUAGAUGAAAUCUAGGUGGAUUCUUUCCUGUGUAUUGUUUUGCUUCUUGGUUGUUAAUCGAUUAUUUUCUUAUUUUUUUCUUUAUUGCGUUCAUUGGUAAUUAAAUUAGUUAAUUUUAGUUUUAAUAAAUCACUCAAAUUAUUCGAUUAAAUAAUGGAAAAAAGAGUAAUUACCAGUACUUUUAGUCUUCUUGGAAUGAUAUCUUUGCUCCCCAUAGCUAUACUAUUAAUUGAUAGGUGCGCAUGCCUUAGUCAAAUUUUAGUUAGUUUCACGAAACAUUACAAAUUGUCUGAUAAAUGCGAGGCACAUCCCACACUUUCCAUUAUCAAUUUAACGAAUUCAAAUGUUGGUGCCUAAUUAAAAACUUUUCAAAUUGGGUGACUAAAUCAGGAACGAGGGCAUAGUUGAGUGACAUUUUGUAUAGUUUACCCUUAAUUUUUUUAAAAAUUUAAAAAAAUAUUUUUUUUAUAAUUUUUAUACUGUUUAAUAUAACUUUAAUAGUUUUUAAUUUUUAAAAAUAAUUUUAUAUUUUUUGAAUUUUUUAAAUUAAAAAAUAAAUUAAUUGCUUACAUGACAAUUUAAUGUAUGUCAUGUCAACAAAGUUAACAAACGUUAACUUUUCUAUUCAUUUUGGGGCGAUUUGAUAAACCAGCUUAGUUUAGCUUUCUAGCAAACGACGACUUUAAGUUCAUCUCCAUCAUAAACUCAAAAUGCCCUGCAAAGGCUGCUACGUGCAAUGGGGUAUCAAGAAAAGGAACAUGAUCAAUACGCUCUAAAACAUAUUGAUCAUUCUGAGUCAACUCAUAUAAGACGUUAAUAUGUCCUUGUGCAGUCUUUCUCAUCGUGUCAUCCACGGCAAGGUGUGUGUGUGUUGGGGGGAGAGGAUGAAAUAUGCCGGAACAUAAGAGUCCAACCAAUUGAGAAGGUACACAUAUAUUGAAAGGACCGAUGAAAUCUUAGACCGCACAAAACGGAAGCUAAAGGAUUGAUGAAAGAACGCUUUAGCAGAAGGAUAAUAUUGAAGUGUUUGAUUUUUCUUCUUCCUGUUGUAAUGUUUGACGUUUUGUUUGAUACCAAAUCCCACUUGUUAAAAAAUAUACAAUAAUUAUAUAUUUUUUAAUGAUUUUUUAGAUAUUAAAUAAAUGGUAACACGUCAUAAUAAAACUCUAAAACUAGAUGCAUUUAAUUUUAAUAUAAAUAUUAUAUCAAUGUAUCAAUAUGGUUGACCUAAAUACAAAUAGUUGAUUAAUUAAUAAAAAAAUAUUUAUUGAAUUAUUUAAAUAUUAUCUAAACUAAUUUAAUUUUUAAUUUUCAACCCUAUAAAACAUUUCACCAUCAUUUUUAACAAUAAUACCUAAUAUUUUAAAUUAACAAACCACAACCUUUUAAAUAUUAAUUAUCUUGAAAUUCAACUUUUUAGAAGUUAUUUUUUAACCGUCAACAACGUCAAACUGGCACUAAAAUCUUCCACUCACACUUGUAAAUUAAUAAAAGGACUCCGGUAAUCAAGGGACUUGAGAAUUUAAUCCAGUAUGAAUCUCCGUCACUCACGUAUUUGCUGUCAAUAGUGAUGGAUGAAUACGAAUUUUGUCCCAUAUACUGCUUGGAUUUAUAACCCCAAGCAAUGCAAGUGGUAAUAUUGUAGGGAUUUUCAACAUUAUCAUAAAUUUUAGGGAGGAAUUAAGUGAAUUCAGAGACGAAAUUAGAUGCCCAUUGAGUUUUGUUCAAAUCUAGGGAUUUCAUCGUCAUAUAGGGUCGAUUUUGAUAGCUAUUUUUAGCAACAACUUGAUUUAAUUAAUUAAAUUAAUUAUGAUUAGUUAAGUUUAAUUUAAGUAUAAAAGUUAAAAUUAAAUGAAAAACAAAACAUUUUUCUCUUCAUCUUCUUCUCCACUGUUUCUAGGGUUUUGGAGCUUUCUACUUUAGCCCUCAAUUUGGUAAAUAAUUUCAAGUUUUUUUUAUUAUAAAUUUUACAUUUUUGAAAUCGUAAGAGCUUGAUUUGAUUUAACUAAACCAUAUUCUAUUUUUGCAAAACCGUUAAAAUUUUCAAACAGGAAAUGUUGAUCUUUUGAUCAAGUUACUUAAGGUUUGUCCUGAGGCUAUUGCAGAUGUGACUGUUCGAGAUGAGACAAUAUUCCAUCUUGCUGUGAAAAACGACAUGUUUGAAGCUUCCAAGUCUUGGUGGGGUGCUUAUGAGAAGCUUCCAUGAGCCUGCCCAAUGGAAGAAACAACUGCUGAGUUGGCCAGACAUCGAUGGCAACACUGUUUUACACAUUGCAACUAUUAGAAACAGACCUUGGGUAUAUGCUCAUUUUUGUCAUUAAGUCAGUUACUGAUGUGCAUAUAUGCAUGAUAAAAGGGUUACUUAUAGGAAUAUUCUAAUUGAUAGGUGGCAAAACUAUUGCUGAAACACAUGCCGUGACCAAAUCAAUGCCAAAUAUUUGGAGGGAUUGACAGCACUAGAUAUCCAAUCUCAGUACCCAUCGAAUGAAAGGCAAGCAGAUAGGAUUAUAGAUGCUAAGAAAAGCAGGAGGUUUGAGUGGUUCCUCUUCCUCACUUCCAAUACCUUCAUCCCUUCAUUCCUAAUCGAAUCUUUAAAAGACAAGAUGCACGGUCUCAAAAAUGGGCAACUUCUGAAUUUCCACAAUACUUACAUUAAGAGUACUUAUCAGAAUUUCCAGCACCACUACCACCACUACCUUUUGCAGCAACUUCUGAUCCACUACUGGCACCACUCUUCUUCCCUUUCCACUUCUAGUCCUUUCCUUCUUCACCCUGCUACAUCUUAGCCUUCAAUGCUUCCUUCCUGCCUCAUUAGUCUCUUCUACUACUGUGCUUGUAAAGCACUGAUCAACUCGACUACUCUCAGUUGAGUCAAGUCAUUUGUGUUCUCCAAAGAAGUAAUUGUUCCUUCAUACUUCUCAAGCACAGAGAUUAGUAUUUUCUACAUUAGUCUACAAUCAGAGAGAUUAGUCACUACAAUAAAAUAGACUUUUAGCGGCAUUUUUAAGCGCCGCUAAAAGUAUUAGCAGCGCUUUAACAAGUGCCGCAAAAAAUGCCGCUAUAGACAACGCCGCUAAUUUUAGCGGUGUUUAUGUGAAAAAACACUGCUAAAGAUCAUGACCUUUAGCGGCGCUUCUACCACAAACGCCACUAUAAAGAAUGACUUUCAUGAUUUUUUUAAAAAAAUAUUUUAAUUAAAUAAUAUUUAUUUCUAUGAUAAAUAUUAUAUUAUGUUUUAUUUUUGAAAUUUAAACUUUAAACUAUAUGCUUUUAAGGAUAAAAAACAAAAUUUCUAUUAAAAUUUUAACUUUAAAAAACAAAAUUUCUAUUAAAAUUUUAACUUUAAAGCUAAAUAUAAAAAUUAAUGAAUUUAAAUUUAGAAUUAAAAUAUUAUGUUUAAAUAAAUGAGCAAUCUACCUCACAGCUCAUCUGAUCUAUAUUAACUCGGCCAAAUAUAAAAGAAGCUACAAAACACGUAAUAAUUAACAAUCAUGGUUAAAGAAGCUAGUACACAAGGUAGCUACAAAACCCUGUUUCAAUAACACCAAAUUCAAGUUCCGACUAAGAUAAAAGACCAUGACGAUGUGCUUGUUUCCUUCUAUAUAUCUUUGGGAAGAAUUCCUUCAAGAAAUCAUCCAUGGAAGUCACUCCACCUGCAGUCAAUAUUAAAAGAUAAACAGUGUCAUCAUCUUGAAAUAAGUAUCUUAUUGAGCUCUUUUGAAUCAAAUAACAUAAAUCUUCUAACAAAAAGAAACAAAUACAUAAUCUAUAAUGCAAAUAGCUUAGGAAUCAUUGAUAAUUCCCAAAUACCAAAUAAUAUAUGAAGAUUAUAUUUUGACGAUUAAAGAAAAUAUGUAGAGAGGGUUCUUCUCAAGACAUCAUUUUGAUUGAAAAGCAAAUCAGUAAAUCUGGAAGAUAGGAUACAAAUCUAAAAAGAUUUCAGCAAUUGCUAAUACUUAAUAUAAAUGAAUAGAAUUCAUAAACAGGCUGAAAAAAAUGCCACGAAUGCUCAUUUUUAGCGGCGUUUUUUCAAAAAUCGCCGCAAAUGCUCAAUCUUUAGUGGCGAUUUCCAUAAAGCGCUGCUAAUGCUCAAUUUUUAUCGGUGUUUUUUGUCCAAGUGCUGCUAAAAGCCUGUUUUGGUGUAGUGAGUCCCGAAACCCUUACCUUAUUAGCAAUAUCUAUCAACUUGUUUGAGUAUUCUUUGAUUGACUCAAAAUCUUUUAUUUGUAGCCUAUCGAAUUCCCUGGUCAAGUUCAACACCUUCAUGAUCUAGAACCUCUUAUCUCCUUGAUACUCAACCUUGAGGUAGUAUCUCCUUUAUUGAUCCAAAAAUAAUAAUUCUAUUGAAUAUGGCUAGUGAAACAACAACAUAAAGGCAAACCUUUACAUUUGCUUUCCAAGUGGUUCUUUCUUUGUGCAGUUUGAUCUGGUUCAUAGUUGGAUUUUUGGAAAGUGGAACCACCUCAUAGUCUUCCUCGAUAACUUCCCAAUAAUCACAACCCUCCAUGUAUGCUUGCAUUCUCAUAGCCUAUGCUUGAUAGUUCUUUCCAUCAAACACAUGUGGGGUUAAGACAGACAUAUUGCUUGAUCUUGAUUCCAUUUUUCUCAAUUCCUUACAAGUGUAUCUCUCAAUUUUUGUCUUAGGAUUCUCAUAAGGCCUCUCUCACAGGUCCCUCAAGAAAAAGAGGCUCUCGAUACCACUAUUGUUUCAAUGGAGAACUAACUAAAGGCACAAAAAUUGAAAAUGGAGAAAGUUGAUUAAAAUUUAUUAACCAAGCAAUGCUUAUUUACAUGACUCAAGCAAUGCUUAUUAAAUCAAUUUUUUAUUAUUUUUAGGGGCCAAAGUGUAAUUUUACCAUUACUAAUUUAGAAUUUUAUAAAUUAUAAAGGGUCUAACUGAAAAUUUUUCCAUUUCAGGAGGGCUGAGGGCCCUGCCACCCCCCUUGGCUUCGCCACUGAUAUUAGUUCUCGUGGUAUUAUACUAGAUAGCCAGUUAUAUACUAUAUAGGUUUGUACCCAAAAGAAAAAUAUCUUCCUCCUUAUGGCAUACUAGUUCAUAUGCUUUUAUUUUUAAGAAUUUAAACUAUCCUUAAUCAUAUAGUCCGCUAUAUCAUUCAGUCAUCACUCUCUUCACCGCUCAUUUAUCUUAUUUUUUAUUUGAUUUAAGAUUUCGUACAUCGAAAUUUCCUUUGACCUUUCAAGAAGUUUUAUUUUCUAAAAUUAGUGCGUUUUAAUCACCUAUAAAAUCAAAAUUUUUAUUCAAGUUGCAGUUGAUUUGGACUGGAUGUACAUUAUCUAUGGCUUUGGGAUACUUGGAAGUUUCCUACGACCUUCGAAGAAAUCUGUUUUUUGAGACAAGAGUGAUCGAGUCAUGUAUAAAUUUUGGUCAGGUUCCUGUGUUUUGCAAAUUUCCUUUCCUACAUUCUCUUCUGGUUCUUUUUUCUGUGUUUCGUUGCAAAUUUCCUUAGUUUUCAAUUUUCAAUUAUCUGAAGAUUAACUGCUCAAUUUAUUACCCCCAAAAGAAAAGUUAUGGAUGAGAGGAUGAUAGAGGCUGCCCAAACAGGAGAUUUUAACCUCUUGUAUGAGUUGAUUCUGAAUGAUCCAUAUGUUUUAGAGCGUAUUGAUGAUGUGCCUUUUUUCCAUACACCAUUGCAUGUAGCUGCCUCUGUUGGGCAUAUUGAGUUUAUGAUGGAGAUGAUCAAAUUAAAGCCAACGUUUGCAAGAAAGCUAUGUAGGAACAAUGGCAGCAGCAAGCAUCAAACAAAGUUUCAAAUCUGUAUUUGUAAGACUGAAGCAAGAAGAAUCGAAGCAAAGAAAAAGCAAAGCAAUGAACACAAUUGAAUACUCAGCAAAGUUGUAACUGAACAUUACAUUUUUCAUUCAAGAUUUGAAUAUAUAAAAGAGCUACAAAUUUUGGUUCAUUUGACAGAUACCUAAUGACAUAACUAUUCCCACUUAAACUAAACUAAUACAAGCUUAAGUCAAAUACAAAAUAAGCUGACAUAUCAGCUUUUACAUCAUCAAUCCAAUCAUAAACUUAAUCCAACUAACUAUUAAAGCUAGUUACAAUCAAACUAAACUAAGUUACAUCAAAACAAAACAGCAAUAUCAGUUGCUUCAUUUGGUCUGAAAACCAUUCGUGCAUACCAAGCAAAAUGAGCUGAGCUCGAUAGCUGCUGGUCUCGAUAGUAGCAUGCUUCCGGCUCCAUGUUGCAUUGCAGUCCAGCUUUCAACACUCCUCCUUGGACUGUAUGCAACACAUUCCAAUUGCAUUUCUCAAAGAUUCAAAUCGAGCAGCCCCCAAGGACUUGGUCAUUAUGUCAGCCAAUUGUGUCCCUGAGCUGCAAUGCACAAGGCUGACUUCCUUUGCUUGUUCAGCCUCUCUAACAAAAUGCAGCUUGAUUUUAAAAUGCUUUGUCUUACCAUGGAACACAGGGUUCUUGGCUAUUGCAACUGCAGACUGAUUAUCCACCCAAAUUUCAGUUGCUUCAUCUUGAGUUUCAUUAAGGUCAUGAAGCAGCUUCCUUAGCCAAAUGGCCUGAUUAACUGCUCCUGCUGCAGCAAUGUAUUCUACUUCAGCUGUGGACUGAGCAACAGUUUGCUGCUUUUUUGAACUCCAGCAAAACAUCCCCGAUCCAAGUGUAAAGAAGUGUCCUGAGGUACUCUUCAUGUCAUCGAGGGAUCCUGCCCAGUCACUAUCAGAGUAGCCUUCUAGUUUCAGUUGGUUCCCACUUUCAAACAUUACACCAAAACUAGCAGUGCCCUUGAUGUAUCUAAGGACCCUCUUUGCUGCCUUCAAAUGUGCCUCAUUGCAACAAUGCAUAAAUCUCGAUAACAGACUGACACCAAACAUGAUGUCUGGCCUGGUUGCUGUUAGAUACAACAGACAACCAACUAGGCUUCGAUAGUGCCUCUCAUCAACCCUCUGCUGAUCACCACUGCUAGUCAGCUUUUCUCCUUGGGCCACAGGUGUGCUGACUGCUUUACAAUUAUGCAUGCAGAAUUUGUCUAGGAUCUUCAAAGCAAAUGAGUGUUGGCUGAUGAAGAUACCUCGAUCAGACUGGUGAACUUCCAUGCCAAGGAAGUAAGUCAUGAUCCCCAAGUCUGUCAUUUCAAACACUUGCUGCAUUUGGACUUUGAACUCAUCAAUGAGCUCAAUUUUGCUCCCUGUCACAAGCAAAUCAUCCACAUACAAGGAGACAAUCAGCAAGGUUUCAUGUUUUGACCUUUUAACAUACAGAGUAGGCUCACUAAGGCUCUUUACAAAUCCAAGUUUGGUCAGGUAAGCAUCAACUCUGUCAUACCAGGCCCUUGGUGCCUGUUUCAGGCCAUAGAGGGCCUUUCUCAACUUAUACACUUUGUCUUCAUGUCCAACAACUUCAAAACCUUCAGGUUGUUCGAUGAAGAUCUCCUGACUGUAGCAAAAGUUUGUAUCCAGUCUUGCCACUGGAGCAAAAGUUUCUAGGUAGUCAACACCAUACUGCUGACUGUAGCCCUUCACCACAAGCCUGGCCUUGUGCUUGUUCAGUGAGCCAUCAGCAUUGUACUUGGCCCGGUACACCCAUUUAACUCCUAUGACCCUCUUGUGUUCUGGUCUGCUCACCAACUCCCAAGUCUGAUUUUUGUUGAUCAUUUCCAACUCAGCUUCCAUAGCUUUCAUCCAGCUUCUGUUCUUAGCAGCCUCUUCAAAGUCUGAGGGCUCAAUCACAGCAACAUUGCACCUCUGAUAGACAUCAGCCAAAGUUCUGGUGCCCCUCACUGGUAUAUCAUCGACAGCAUCAUUACUUGGUCCUUUUACUGCAGGUUCAGCAACCAAGUCUAACUGGUCCAAUUCAGACAAGUCAGCCUCAACACCAUUCCAAUUCCACACCUUUUCCUCAUCAAACUUUACAUCCCUGCUGACUAAAACCUUCUUUGCUGUAGGAUCAUACACUCUAUAGCCUUUCUUGUUGCUGCUGUAGCCAACAAAGAUUCCUGGAGUUGCUCUGCUCUCAAGCUUGGUCCUUUUCUCUACUGGAAUAAGUGCAUAACAUACACAGCCAAACACUUUUAAGUGUGUUACCACAGGUUUGACUCCAUGCCAAGCCUCAAAAGGAGUCUUAUCCUUGACUGCUCUAGUUGGCAGUCUGUUGAGCAGAUACACUGAGGUGUUGACUGCCUCAGCCCAAAACUGACUUGGAAGCUUGCCUUGAAACAAGAGGCACCUGGCCAUGUUCAGUACAGUCUUAUUCUUUCUCUCACAGACUUCAUUCUGUUGAGGAGUAUAGACUGUUGUGAGCUGAUGGUAAAUCCCAGCACUGUCACAAAGCUUCUGAAAUCUCUCAGACACAUAUUCAGAACCAUUAUCAGUCCUCAAGGCUCUAAUUUUGCAGCCUGACUGAUUUUCAGCAUAAGCCUUGAAUUUACAGAAGGCUUCAAACACUUCUGACUUUUGCUUCAAGAAGUAGACCCAACACAACCUUGUUAAAUCAUCUAUAAACAGGGCAAAGUACCUGUUCUCACUGAUUGAAGGUGUUCUCAUAGGGCCACAAACAUCAGAGUGCACCAAUUCGAGCUUGUCUUGAGCUCUCCAAGCACUGUCAGCAGGAAAAGGCAGUCUAGCCUGCUUACCAAGCUGACAAACCUCACAAACAUUCCCACUAACUUCAAAUUUUGUAAUGUCAUCAACCAAAUUCAGCCUAUGUAACAGAUCGAUGGAUCUAAAAUUUGCAUGGCCUAGUCUCCUAUGCCACAAGUCAGUGCUUUCAACAAGGCUGGUGUAUGCCUUUCUUUCUAUUUGGCUAACAUCCAGCAUGAAGCACCUAUCAGUCAUAGAGACUGUGACUAACUCCAGACCAUUCAUGUCUUGAACAAUACAGCAACCAUCCUUAAAAACCAAUGUAUAGCCCUUUUCAACUAAUUGGCCUACACUAAGUAAAUUCUGGUCUAAGUCAGGUACAAAAAACACAUCUGAGAUCAGCUUGUUACCUGAACCAGUGCUAAUCAACACACUGCCCUUGCCUUUAGCCUCAAUCAGUCUACCAUCUCCAAUUCUAAUCCUCGAGUGGAAGCUUCUGUCUAGGCUUUUGAACAGCUUCUCAUCUGCUGCAAUAUGGUGUGAGCAGCCACUGUCUAGUAGCCAAUCAUUGCUGGCCUUGGUUGUGCCAACAAAACAAGUUACUGUGAACACUUGCUCCUCCUGAGCUUGAAUGUCCUCAGCAGGUCUAGCUUGUUGCAGAGCAGCCUCCCUUGGUUUGCCCUUGCACACCUUCUCCACAUGGCCAAACUGCUUGCAUUUUCUACACUGAAUAUCUGGCCUAAACCAGCAAUACUUUUCUGAAUGUGUUGUCUUCUUGCAAUGAACACAUGGUGGGAACACCCUUUUUGCUUCAUCUAUUCCUGACUUGACCCUUCUAUUGUGCCAAUGCUGCUUGCCUUUUGCACUCACACUCGAGCCUUCACUGGCUUUAGCCUGGAAAGCAGCUUCAGGAUUCUCCUCCUGCCUAUUUGCCCUCCUUUGCUCAAGUGCAUACAGGAAGUUUAUCAGCUCAGACAAAGAAAUGGCUGAUAAGUCCCUCGAGUCCUCAAGUGAAGAGAUUUUAGACUCAAAUUUCUCAGGGAGAGUUGUAAUAACCUUUUCAACAACUCUGCUCUCUGUGAAGUCCACUCCCAGGAGCCUAAUGCUGUUGAAAAUGGCCAUUAUCCUGUCUGAGUACUGCUUGAUGGUCUCAGACUCCUUCAUCCUCAAAUUUUCAAAGUCUCUCCUGAGGUUGAUCACUUGCUGUUGCCUUGUCUUAUCAGUCCCCAUGAACUCCUCCUUCAGCUUCUCCCAAGCCUGCUUUGGUGAGUCACAGGCCAUGAUGCGAGUAAAUAUCACAUCAGAGACUCCAUUUUGCAAGCAGGCCAUAGCCUUAUGCUUCUUGGCUCGCUCCUCAGUAUGUUGCCUCAUCUGUGCAAUGGUGGGAUUGGCUCUCAAUGGAGGUGGUUCAGCAUCAUUCUCGAUCACACUCCAAAGAUCAUGUGCUUGGAGAUAAGUCUUCAUUUUAACUAUCCAAAUGUGAUAGUUUUCUCCAGUGAACACUGGUGGAGGUGGUAGAGUGAAACUCAUUCUGCUAGACUGAAUCCAAAUGCUUCGAUCUUACCAAAUUUUGAACUUGCUGUUGGUUUUGAUUCAAACACAACAGAUUGCAUACAAAGGCCCCUCAAAGACUCGGGCUCAUGAUACCAUUUGUACGAACAAUGGCAACAGCAAGCAUCAAACAAAGUUUCAAAUCUGUAUUUGUAAGACUGAAGCAAGAAGAAUCGAAGCAAAGAAAAAGCAAAGAAAUGAACACAAUUGAAUACUCAGCAAAGUUGUAACUGAACAUUACAUUUUUCAUUCAAGAUUUGAAUAUAUAAAAGAGCUACAAAUUUUGGUUCAUUUGACAGAUACCUAAUGACAUAACUACUCCCACUUAAACUAAACUAAUACAAGCUUAAGUCAAAUACAAAAUAAGCUGACAUAUCAGCUUUUACAUCAUCAAUCCAAUCACAAACUUAAUCCAACUAACUAUUAAAGCUAGUUACAAUCAAACUAAACUAAGUUACAUCAAAACAAAACAGCAAUAUCAGUUGCUUCAUUUGGUCUGAAAACCAUUCGUGCAUACCAAGCAAAAUGAGCUUAGCUCGAUAGCUGCUGGUCUCGAUAGUAGCAUGCUUCCGGCUCCAUGUUGCAUUGCAGUCCAGCUUUCAACAAGCUAAACCAAGCUGGGUUUAGCCCCAUGCACUUGGCUCUGCAAAAUGACAGAACUCAUGCAGUGCUUCGACUCCUCAGGUUUGAUGAAGGACUUGUUCGUGUUAAAGGGAGGGAGGACCUCACUCCUCUGCAUCAUGUGGUUCAAAAUGAAAACUUGAAUCUUUUGAAAAAGUUUCUUGAGGUUUGUCCUGAGGCUAUUGAAGAUAUGACUGUUCGAGAUGAGACGGUUUUCCAUCUUGCUGUGAAAAACGACAUGUUCGAAGCUUUUCAAGUCUUGGUGGGGUGGCUUAUGAGAAGCUGGUAUGAGUCUCCCCGAUGGGAGAAAGAAUUACUUAGUUGGCCAGACAUUGAUGGCAACACUGUUUUACACAUUGCAGCUAUCAGAAACAGACCUCGGGUAUAUGCUAAUUUUUGUCAUUAAGUCAGUUAUUGAUGAGUAUAUAUGUAUGAUAAAAGGGUUACUUAUAUGAAUAUUUUAUUAACAGGUGGUAAACGUAUUGCUGGAACACAUGAGGCGAGACCAAAUCAAUGCCAAAAAUUUGGAGGGAUUGACAGCACUAGAUAUCCAAUCACAGUACCCAUGGAAUGAAAGGCAAGCGGAUAAGAUUAUAGAUAUGCUAAGCUAAGCUGGAGGUUUCCCAAUACCUCCAUCUCUUCAUUCCACAUCGAAUCUUUAAAAGACAAGAUGUCACGGUCUCAAAAAUGGGCAACAAGAGCAGGUCGAGGAAAGAAGGGUAUGGGACAUGAGAUGCGCAACACAUUUCUAGUAGUGACAGUGCUAAUUAUAAUAACCACAUACGAAGCCUCUUUAAACCCUCCAAAGAAGCCUAAUGACAGUCCAUCCAUGAAAUACCAAGUCUCUUCAAGUCAAGAUGAGCCUCUCAAUUCCCACACAUUUUUGCAUAAAACCGACUUCAAUACUGCUCCCAUACCCAGUCCCUCCGCAAUUGACGUUUUGGAUCUAGAUGAUUGGACAUUUAAAUACUCCUCAUUUUUGUUUUGCAACACGUUCACCUUUUGGGUAGCAGUGUUCUUAACAGCACUUCUCCUACCACCUCAUUCAUUCUCUUCCUUGAUUCUCCUAACACUUUCCUUCUUUGGGAGAUCUUACAUGAAUUUAUUUGAUGUUUCCGCAUGGUCAUGGGGAUAUUCAUAUGAGUUUUCCAAUGAAAACGCACACUUAUUAUAUGUUGUAGCCUCCUUUUGUAAUGUUUUCUUCUCAACAUUGCUAGUUUUCCUUGGAUCAUACCAGACAAUAUUUUAUGUUUGCAGUAGGGUAAACAUUACCAAGCAAAAAUUCUUCUUCCUCCUACUAGUCGUUGUCAUUGGCUGCAUGCAGGUUUUUAUGUUUGCUUAGCUUAGUGAUGUGAUGGCCAUUGAUAAAUAAAAUCAAGGUUGGUGAAUGUACCAUUUCAUUCCAUUGAUAAAAGAAGUUUAAGUUUUAGAGUUGUUAUAUAUAUAUAUAUCAUCUAUCUUGCUCCACAUAUAAAUAUGGAGUGCAAAUCUGUUAAAUACUUAAAUGUGAUAGACUAAAACAUCAUUCUAAUAUAUUAAAUUUAAAAUAUUUUGAUAUUAUUAAAAGAAAUGAUUAAAUUAUUUUAACAUAUAAUAUCUUUUUUUAAGAGUAUUGAUUUUAUUUUUAGCUUUAAAAAAUACAAGUAAAAACAAAAUUUAAUUAACAAAAUUUUUUAUACAAUGCCUCAAAUUUAUGUUUUCUUUACACUAAUAGUAAUAUCGAUACUAACUAAAUUAAAAUUCAAUCGAUAAAUAAUUUAAAUUAUUAAUAAAUUAAAAUCUAUAUUAUACUUUAAAAUAUUUAUGAUAUAAAAAUAUAUUAAUAUAAUACCGACAUAUUGAUUAUUGAUUGUCGUGUUUAAUUAAGACUAGUAUAGCGUCUUAAGGUCAGAUGGGACUAUUGAAGAAACUUUUACCUCUAAGUGCCAAUUCGUUUGGAAUAAGAAAAAACAAUAAAAAGUGCCAGUACUUGUUUCUUUUCUUCUUUCUGUUUAAGACUUCUAUGGCUUGGGACCAUACCAGAAUUGUAUGUUCUACUUUUAAUUCUAGGACGACGUGAGUACAAAUUAAAUAUUUUUGUAUUGGUAACAAUAUUGAUCAUAAUCGAUUAAAAUAUUAAAUUUUACACUAAAGAACUUAAUAGAAAGAAUGUUGAUGAUGCUAACAACUAAACUUGAAUUUUUAAAUUUGAAAAUUAGAAAGAUUAAAUCUUAAAAGUAAAAGUAGAUGGACUAAUUAAAUUUCUAAUGUAUAAAGUGUAUAAGGAGUAAGGACUUAAAGUAUAUUUUAACACUUAAAUUUUUAUUUUAUAAUUUCAGACAAUCAAAUAAUUAAUCCAAUAUAAAACUUGGACGAAAAAAUUCUAUUUUCUUUUAAGCAUGUCGAAUUUAUUUCAAGCCUUCAAACAAACAAGCAAAGAAAAAAUAAAAUCAAAAGAAGAUAUCAAGUUGUCACUAGAUAACAAUUCUAGGUAGGAUUGGACCGAUGAGGUUCCGGUCCACAAUGAGCAAAACGGUGAGAGUGAUCCGAUUAAGUGAAGAAAUUUGAGAAGGGGGGGAGGGGGAACUUUCGUCGUUGUAAAGUGAAAAAGCUAAGGGAGUGAUUACAAUUUGAUUAUUAUUUCAUAUGCAAAUUCAAUUUUAAUUUAAAAUAACUUGAAGGCUAAAUUCAAUAAAAAAAUACUUUUAUAUUUCACUUUAAUAUUUAACAAUAAUAAGUUAAUUAAUAUAAUAUUAAAUUUAAAUAAAAUGGUUAUUUUAUAAAAUAAUUGUUUUUUCAUUUAUGAUAUAUGGACUUUUAUUUCUCAAGUUUUUAUAAAAUAAGGCUGUUAGGGUUGUUGCGUAUGUAUGCAUGUGUGUAUGCCUUGCAUGGGUGACAUUAGCAAACAAUAUCCCUCAGUUAGUAUAUAAGCUGAGCGAUAGUUGCUGAAAUGUGUGAGUUCCGGAAUAAUAAAAGUUCAAGUUUAUGCUUCUAUUUACUUUCUUGGCAAGUUUUCUCAGCUGCCAAACAGCUACAUAUGAUCGUUUGAUGUUCUUAACUAUCGACUUGUUGGAGUUUAGAGAAGUUGAGAGAGCAAAUAAAGAGAAAAAAAAGGAAAAUAUUUGCUUUCAAAAUUUUUCAUUAUUAUUAUUUUUACACAUGUAAUACAAUAUAUGGGUGUAGUGGUUACAGAUAAUUCAACAAGUCCUACUAAUACACCUUAAAAAUAUAAACCUAAAAUUUAUACAGAAACUGAUUAGGUAAAAUCAAUACCUAAAAAUAUCAAUUCAAUACUAACUCUGCUUGCUUUAACAAGUAAUCUCAGCAAAUAAAUUAAUUACAAAACAUUUAUAUCAGCAAAGGUGAACCCUACCAGCAUUACAACUAGUGGUUCACCAAAAACUUUACUAGCUCAUACUUUGAUGAGCUCCCAGCUUCAAUUGAACUCGCACUUUUUGUUCAACUCACAGCUUCACCGGAAGAAUUCGCCACUGCAUGCCACUUCACAACACGAUUGCAAGAAAGCUAAACCAAGCUGGGCUUAGCCCUCUGCUCUUGGCUCCUCAAAAUGACAAAACUCAAGCGGUGCUUCGACUCCUCAAGUUGACAAAGGCCUUUGUUCGUGUGAAAGGGAGGACGGCCUCACUCCUUUGCACCAAGUUGUUCAAACUGGAAAGGUUGAUCUUUUGUUCAAGUUUCUUGAGGUUUGUCCUGAGGCUAUUGAAGAUCUGACUGUUCCAGAUGAAACGGUUUUCCAUCUUGCCGUAAAAACCAGCAUGUUUUAAGCUUUUGAGCUCUUGGUGGGUGGCUUAUAAGAAGCCGCCAUGGAGCUGCCAAAUGUUGGGAGAAAGAACUACUUAGUUGGCCAGACAUUGAUGACAGUACUGUUCUGCACGUUGCAGUUUUAAACUCACCUCAGGUAUGCUAAUUUUGUUAGUUAAUUCAAUUAUUAAAUAUACAUAUAAUAGGGUUAUAUAUUUGAUUUUUUUUUAACUAACAGGUGAUAAAAGUAUUGCUGGAACAUUUGUGUCGACAUCAUAUCAAUGCCAAAAAUUUGGAUGGAUUCACUGCCCUAGAUAUCGAACCAGAGUUACCAGAAUGGCCAUUGGAUGAAGGGCAAGUGGAUAAUCGGGACUCCAUUAAAGAUAUGCUAAGCAAAGCAGGAGUUUGAGUGGUUCUUCGCUACCUAUGAGGCUCCGGUCUACAAUGGGAAAAACGGUGAGAGUGGUCCAAUUGUGUUGUCCUUAUUUGGGACCUGUUGCCCGCUUUUAGUUGCUGUUAACAUAUGGGCACUCAUCCUAUCAUGAUGGCCACAGCAUUGUUAAUUACUGCUGUUAACAAUGUUAACAAAAAAUUGUUAACUGUUUAUCCUGAAUUUUAAAAUAUGAAAAUAAAAAAGAUUAAAUUAUUAAAAAUAAAAUAUAUGAAAAAAAAUUUAAAAUUUUGAAAAGUACAUCGUCAAUCAUAUGGUCUGCUAAACCAUUCUUUCAUCACUCCUUCCACCACUCAUUUAGGUUGUUUUCUGUUUGAUCUAAGAUUUCCUACUUGGAAAUUUCCUUUGAUCUUUCAAGAUGUUUUAUUUUCUCAAAUUAGUGCGUUUUACUCACCUCUCAAAUCAAAACUUUUAUUCAACCUGAGUUGCAUUUGAUUUGGACUGGGUGUCUAUUUUCUAUGGCUUUGGGGUACUUGGAAAUUUCCUUCGACCUUGGAAGAUAAUUGUUUUUUGAGACAAGAGUGUUCGAGUCAUGUAUAAAUUUUGGUCAGAUUCCUGUGUUUUUGCAAAAUAUAAGUUCUAUUUCCUUUCUAUCUUGUCUUCUGGUUCUUUCUUCUUUGUGUUUUGUUGCAAAUUUCAUCAGCUUUCACUAAUCUGAAAAUUUACUGCCUAAUUUAUUACCCCCACAAAAAAAGCUAUGGAUGAGAGGAUGAUAGAAGCUGCCCACAUGGGAGAUAUUAACUUCUUGUAUGAGUUGAUUCUGAAUGAUCCAUAUGUUUUACAGCGUAUUGAUGAUGUGCCUUUUUUUAAUACUCAAUUGCAAGUAGCAACCUCUGUUGGGCAUAUUGAAUUUAUGAUGGAGAUGAUCAAAUUAAAGCCAACGUUUGCAAGAAAGCUAAACCAAGCAGGGUUUAGCCCCAUGCACUUGGCUCUGCAAAAUCACAGAACUCAUGCAGUGCUUCGACUCCUCAGGUUUGAUGAAGGCCUUGUUCGUGUCUAAGGGAGGGAGGACCUCACUCCUCUGCAUCAUGUGGUUCAAACUGAAAACUUUAAUCUUUUGAAAAAAAUUCUUGAGGUUUGUCCUGAGGCUAUUGAAGAUAUGACUGUUCGAGAUGAGAUGGUUUUCCAUCUUGCUGUAGAAAACGACACGUUUGAAGCUUUCCAAGUCUUGGUGGGGUGGCUUAUGAGAAGCUGCCAUGAGUCUGCCCAAUGGGAGAAAGAACUACUGAGUUGGGCAGACAUUGAUGACAACACUGUUUUACACAUUGCAGCUAUUAGAAACAGAGCUGGGGUAUAUGCUAAUUUUUGUCAUUAAGUCAGUUAUUGAUGUGCAUAUAUGGAUGAUAAAAGGGUUACUUAGAGGAAUAUUCUAAUUAACAGGUGGUAAAAGUAUUGCUGGAACACAUGCGGCGAGACCAAAUCAAUGCCAAAAAUUUGGAGGGAUUGACAGCACUAGAUAUCCAAUCACAAUACCCGUGGAAUGAAAGGCAAGCGGAUAGGAUUAUAGAUAUGCUAAGCAAAGCAGGUGGUUUGAGUGCUUCCUCUUCCUCGUUUCCCAAUACCUCCAUCUCUUCAUUCCACAUCGAAUCAUUAAAGAAAAAGAUGUCACGGUCUCAAAAAUGGGCGACAAGAGCAGGUCCAGAAAAGAAGGGUAUGCCACAUGAGAUCCGUAACACAUUUCUAGUAGUUAUGACACAUGCCCAUGUGAAGGAGGCACACGCCUAUGUGAAAAGAGGCACACACACGACUGUGUGCCCUAGAGACAUGACUGUGCGAAUAACCCAUGUUACUCUUUGUCCGAAAUUGUUAAAAUAAGGUGCAAAGCAGACACAGCCGUAUGAAAGUCUCACAUGCUCGUGUGCCACGGAACACUACUGUGUGCCCAGAACACACGCCCAUGUGAUUAUCAACUAAAAUCUCCAAAUCGAAACCACAAGAUCGUAUGACACCAAAAAUCAUCGAAAAACCCUAAUUCCUAAAUUCGCACAGCCGUAUGAACUGCCCGUGUGUGGCACAAGCCCGUGUGGUUACGAAACCACACCGAAACAAGCUACAGAACAUGCAUUUGCUACCGAAACAACCCUCAAUCCUCAUUAACAUAGUAAUACACCAAAAACAAAUAGUAUUUCAAGCAAUUCCAUAACAAUCUACACUUCGAUUGGUAAAUUUCAGAAACACACAAAAUAUGUCGAAUUUCACGGAGGCAAAUCAAAAUUUUAAAAAUGAAAAUGAUGAGCUUUCAAACCCACACCUAAAUUUGUGAUCAAAGCACGAGGAGAAAAACAAAGAAGAAAGCCAGAACGUAGGAGAAGGAAAUAAUAAAAUCUCCCCAACAAAAAUAAAAAAAAUUUGGAACAAAAAAAAAUGGAAACAAAUCUAACGUUUGGAAGAGGGAGGGAGAGGAGGAACGUGAAAAGAUUUUUUAGGAUAACUCCCUGUUGUAGACACAAAAUAAUAAUAAUAAUAAAAUAAAAAGAAUUAAAUUAAAUGAAAAUAACAAAUAAGUAUUGAAACUUUAAACAAGCUAAAAUAAAAUUGAUUCCUCUAAAACACUCAUGAGGGCUCAAACUUGAAAUCCGAAGGUAAACUAACACACUCGCCACUACCAACCAGCAGGCUCAUUCUAACAUUAAAACGCAAAAACAAGCACAAUUACUCAGCCUACUCACUAACCCUUACUUAAAACCUCAAAUCUUCUAACCCCAAAAUUUAGGAUGUUACAUGUAAUGUCCAUAUUUUUCUAAUACAAUUUUAUACAUGAAUUUUGGUUUUGUGCAGUUUUGCACAUGAUUUUUUUAUUUAAUUUAUUUUUCACAAACUACUAACAAAAUUAUUGAUAUAUAUCACCAUUUUAAGUUUACAUAUUAUAUACAUAAAUAAGUAUAUUUAUAAGAUAUCAAAAUAAAUCGAUGUCUUUAAACGUAACACCAAAACAAAGUUUGAUAUAUAACUCAACAUAUAAAAAGAAGUUAUUAAACAAUACAUAUAAUGUUUAGAACUAUAGUUCUAAUAUUAUUGGUAAAUUUAUAAUUUUCGGUUCACGUAAAUCUUAAUUAUAAAAAAUAAAAUUAUGACUUAUCUUGGAUUAAACUUACAUUAUAUUAUUUAAAUAAAUAAUUUACUAGUUUUUAAUGUCAGGUAGAUGUAUGUAAUUUUAUGCUUUUAAUAUUUAAUUAAUUUUAAAUAUUAUAUUUUUAAUUGAAAUAAUUAAUGUAAAAUAAUAUUUUUUAUUUGAAUUAUUGAAUGUAAUUAAAAUAUAUUAACUUAUCACUUCAAAUAUUAUAAUAGAAAUUUUUUAAAUCAAAAUUGCAUUUUUAACAUAAUCGACCUACAAUGUAAUUUUACUUUUAUGUAACUAAUACAAGUAACAUUAUUCAAAACAAUAACUAAUCAAUAUAAUUAAAUUUAGUAAUAAUUAAUUUUUAAUUAAGAUGCUUAAAAUUUUAGUAAUAAUUCAAUUUUACAUUGAUAAAUAUAUUAAUAUAAUUUUUUAUUUGUAAAUAUAAAUAUAAUAAUAUGAUAGAAAAUAAAAAGUAUUUUAAUAUGAAUAAAUAAAUUUUAAAAUUUAAAAUUCAACAUAUAUAUUUACAUAUUUCGCUAAUUCACCAACGUAUAUGCCUUGAUUUGAUAUAGUUAAUAUUCGGAUAAUGUUGUGAAUCACAUAUAUAUAUUUUGAAGUUUUAUCAUAUUUUCAUGGGUAAAAUACUUUAGAAGUUGUUGUACUCUUUGAAAAUUUAGAAUUUAGUUUUUAUGCUUUUAUUUUUAAGAAUUUAGUUCAUUUAUUUUUCAGAUUUUAAAAUUCAAAUCCAAUUGUUAAUAUUGUUAAUAUUUUUAAUUUCUUUAUGUUAAAUUCAAGUUCAUUACAACAUAUUUUUAGUUACAUGGUUUCCAAGUGUUUUUUUUUUUAAAUGUCACACCAACAAAUUUAACAAAAAAAAUUUGAGUGUUAACAAUUGGACCUGAGUUUUGAAAUUGAAAGGUAGAGGGACUAAGUUUUUGGAAAUAAAAGUAUAUGGAUUAAAUUUCAAAAUUUUGAAGAGUACAGAUACUUAUAACAUCUUUUAACCUAUUUUAAAAAUGUUUUGAAUCAUUACUUAACUUAUUUAGCUCUUCCAAUAAUUAUUUUAGAAUCUUUUUAAAUUUUAUCUUUCCUUAUAUAAUCUUUAUAAUUUUUUAAAAUUAAAUAUUUUGAAUUUAUUUUUUGUAAUUUUUGUUGAGAGAGAGACUAACCUACUCAUUUUCAAAAUUGUCAAGGACCAAACGAAUAUUUACAUCAAUCUAAUAUUUGAAUUAUUUGAAUCGAAACUCAAAUUACUAAUUCGAGUUGAGUUGAAAAAUCGAAUAACUCAGUUUCAUUAAAUAGAAAUUUAAUUUUUCUUUCUUUAUUCGAAUUAAAUUGAGUUUAAGUCGCCCUUAGUUUUACUCUAUAAAUAGGAUAUUUUUAAUAAUUUUUACCGUUCCUUCCACUUGCUUUUUGUUUGGUCCAAGGUUUUAUAGUUGGAAAUUCCCUUGGACCUUUAAAUAUGUUUAUUUUCUCAAAUUAGUGCGUUUAUGUCAUAAAUAAAAUCAACCUUUUUAUUUAAUGUGUAUUUCAUGUGGACUGGAUACCUGUUUUCUGUGGCUUUAGUUCUUGGAAAUUUCCUUGGACCUUGGAACAAAUUUGUUUCCUCAAACUAAAGUGUUCAAAUCAUGUAUAAAUUGUGGUCAGAUGCCUGUGCUUUUGCAGAAUACAGGUUCUAUUCCCUUUUCUAUAUUGUCUUCUGGUUCUUUCUUCUUUAUGUUUUGUUGCGAAUUUCAUCAGCUUUCAGUAAUCUGAAAAUUUACUGCCUAAUUUAUUACCCCAAAAAAAGCUAUGGAUGAGAGGAUGAUAGAGGCUGCCCAAACAGGAGAUAUAAUUAACCUCUUGUAUGAGUUGAUUCUGAAUGAUCCAUACGUUUUAGAGCGUAUUGAUGCUGUACCUUUUUCUCAUACUCCAUUGCAUAUAGCAGCCUCUGCUGGGCAUAUUGAGUUUAUGAUGGAGAUGAUCAAAUUAAAGCCAACGUUUGCAAGAAAGCUAAACCAAGCUGGGUUUAGCCCCAUGCACUUGGCUCUGCAAAAUGACAGAACUAAAGCAGUGCUUCGACUCCUCAGGUUUGAUGAAGGCCUUGUUCGUGUCAAAGGGAGGGAGGACCUCACUCCUCUGCACCAUGUGGUUCAAACUGGAAAUGUUGAUCUUUUGGUCAAGUUACUUAAGGUUUGUCCUGAGGCUAUUGCAGAUGUGACUGUUCGAGAUGAGACGGUAUUCCAUCUUGCUGUGAAAAACGACAUGUUUGAAGCUUUCCAAGUCUUGGUAGUGGCUUAUAAGAAGCCGCCAUGAGUCUGCCGAACGUUGGGAGAAAGAACUACUGAGUUGGGUAGACAUUGAUGGCAACACUGUGCUACACAUUGCAGCUAUCAGAAACAGACCUCAGGUUUGCUAAUUUUCCUAAUCAAGUCAAUUAUUGAUAUGUAUGUAUAUGAUAAAAGGGUAAUUUACAUUAAUUAAUUUCCAAUUAACAGGUGGUGGAAGUAUUGCUGGGACACUUGCGUCGAGACCAAAUCAAUGCCAAAAAUUUGUAGGGAUUGACAGCACUAGAUAUCCAAUCACAAUACCGAUGGAAUGAAAGGCAAGCGGAUAGGAUUAUAGAUAUGCUAAGCAAAGCAGGAGGUUUGAGUGCUUCCUCUUCCUCGCUUCCGAAUACCUCCAUCUCUUCAUUCCACAUCGAAUCAUUAAAGGAAAAGAUGCCAUGGUUUCAAAAAUUGGAAACAAAAACAGGUCGACUAAAGAACGGUAUUUCAUAUGAGAUGCGUAACACAUUUCUAAUAGUGAUAGUGCUACUUAUAACAACCACUUACGAACCCUCUUUAAACCCUCCAAACAUGCCUUAUGACAGUCCAUCCAUGAAAUACCAAGUCUCCUUAAGUCAAGAUCAGCCUCUCAAUUCCCACACAUUUUUGCAUAAAACCGACAUCAAUACUGCACCCAUACCCAGUCCCUCCGCAAUUGACGUUUCCAAAAAAGAUUAUUGGACAUCUAAUCACUCGUUUUUGGUUUUGAACAUGUUCAACUUUUCGGUUGCAGUUCUUUUAAUAGGACUUCUCCUACCAUAUCAUCCUUUCUCUUUGUUGAUUCACUUACCACUUUCCGGCUGUAUGGUAUCUUACACGGAGUUAUAUGCUUCCUUAUGUGAGUUUUCCAAUAAAAACGCACUUCUUUCUGGCGUUUAUAAUUUUUCCUUUACAAUGUUGCUGCCUUUUCUCGUAGUAUGCGGGUCAAUCUUUUAUGUUAUGGGCAAAGAGACAAAAUUUUCUAAGAAUCGGAAUUAAAUUGUAUAUUUGUUGAAGUUAGCUUCCAUGCAACACAAGCAGCAACAAACGUGUCCAUGCAAGCCACAUGCAGAAAAGAAGCAGCACAUGAAGGCAGCCGCUUGAGCUCGACAUUGCUGUCCAAAUUCAACUAGUUUUGUUGGAUUAAGUUUAUAUUUUGUAACUUAGUUCUUAUAGAACUUAGUUGGUAAACUUUUGAUGUAAUUUUUGAUGAUUGAUUGACUGAAAAUCCAGCCAAUGUAACUUAUGCAAGCUGAUUAACAAUUUCCAAUGUAUUAAGUGGAGUUAGGUAAGUGAUUAGGUAGUAUUUUGAUUUGUAAGUUUAACUCAAUGUUUGAUAUUUGUAAUGCCAACUUGCCAAUGUUUUGUUAAUGAAAAAUUAGCUUCUUUUUCAUUCAAAUUCUCUCCUUUCUUUGCUUUUGUUUUCUAUUUUCCACUUGCAAAGCUUUUCUUCUGUUUUGUUUCUUCCCCAAGCCACGAGGCUUGCUGUCCAAGCAAGGCUAGACCAGCUUGCUUACUGCCUUUAACACCAACAAUAUUUCUGUAAUAAUAAAAAUGAAAAUUUAUCAAUUUAAUAGUCUAUAUUUUUAUAUUUUUUAGAAGAUUAAAUCAAAAUUUUGUCAUUUAUAGGAGUCAAAAUAUAAUUUUAUCAUUACUAAUUUAAAAUUUUAUAAAUUAUAAAAGACUUAAAUAGAAAAAAAAAAUCAUUUUAAGGAGGCUCCAGCUCCCUGACUCCGCCUCUGCAGGUGGGUAACCAGUACCAAUCCAAAAUUCUCCAACCUCAUAAUAUAAUCUUUUACAUUGGCUUCCUCCUUUCUACACUGUGUCCAGUUUCGUGGAUCCUUCUAAUGUAAAUGCCGAAAGCGUAAUGAAGUUUUGGGGUUUGUAUUAGAGAUGGUGAUGGAGUAGUUAUUGGGUUGAGCUGGUUCAUUAGUUCCCUUCAUCUCUUCUACCGGACUCUUAUUCCUUUUUUAUUAUCAAGGGUGAAGGUCUGCACAUACUUUUGUUUAGGCCUAAUCGUCUCUUGAGGAAGAGCUAUGUUGUAAUGAUAAAAGAAGUGCGAAUUUGUUUGUCAAGUAGUUGUUGAAUAAGGAUCUUAACUAGGAUCUUAAAUAAAGGGAAAUGUAUUUGUUAUGUGCUCAUGAUACAUACCAUCGUGAUUCAUCAAAACAGCAUUCUAAAAUAUUUACUUUAAUUGUAAUUACUUGGUAUGCUUUACAAACGAGGUUGAGAUUUUGUUACAUAUUUUGUUUAUUUUUUCAAAAAACGAGGUUGAGAUUUUGUUACAUAUUUUGUUUUUUUUUAAAAUGAGAUUGAAAUUUUGUUACAUAUCUUAUUUAUUUUUCAAAAAAUUCAAUAUAAUUUAAAGGCACGUGACGAUAUAAAUUCUACUUGCACAAUUAAAAAAUUUCCAUUGGAAAUAUUUUAAAUAAUUAUCCUUAAUUCAAAACAAAUAAGUGUUGAGUGUAAUAGUAAAAUAUAUUGCAUUUCCAAGAAAAGAUGUAAGUUCAAACCUUGGAAAUAAUAUUAUUAGAGCGGCAGCCAUGAACUCCGAAUAUGGACCAUAAAAUAGAUAUAAAAAUAUGUAAAAUAUUUAGAAAAAUAAUAAAAUAUAAAACAUCACGUUAGAGUACUAUUACAUAUUACUAUAGAUUUAAUUUUAUGUGUUAUAAAUAAUAUAAUAUAUAAAAAUAACAAAAUAUUUAACAUUACAAACUUAUAAAAACGGGUUUAACCUGGGCUGACCUGGUCUUUAAAUGUUCAACCCCAUUUUUCAAAUCUAAUCUUUUUACCUAAAUCCUCCUCAUUUUUUAAACAAGCGAAUAUUCGGAGGAUUCUUCUAACCAAAAUAGAAAAUAUAUCAAAAAACUAAAAAGUAUAACAAAAAUAAUAAAUAAAAAAUUUACAUAUAAUUUGGAAUUUCUAAUUGUACUUAGAAUUGUAUAACGUAUAAUUGUAAUUUGUCAGCAAAGUUGUUUCUUUUUUUUUCCCCUUAAAAUUCAAAGAAUUCUUCUCCCUUUAUACAUAGGUCAUCGAUUCAGCAUUAGAAAAAGGGGCUCAAAUCGUUUUAUCGACAUGAGUGUUUUAUGUCGAAAAAAUAUUUUUGUUUUGAAAAUAUUUCUGUAUUUAGUAACAUAGUAGUAAAAAGAGUACCCAAUUGCAUCUGAACUUCAAACGGGUUUGGCCUUAACCAUGUUAAUGGUCCCAGAUUAUUGGUUAAUAAAGAAUCAAAGUCGAUGUGCCAAUGAAUCACGAAAUGCUAUAGUUCUAUAGUAUGAUUUUAAAAAUAUAUUCAGAAGUAAUUCGCGAGAUCAUGCACUCUUUUAUUUCCUAGUUAUAAUGAAAAAAAGUACAACUGGGUGAAUCCAGCUUAUUCUUGAAAUAAACAACUCACACACACUCACUUUCCAAAAAAGAUUAAUACACCAAGGACUACACUUAGAUUUAUUAGAUUUGUUGCUAAAAUAUCGGUAUUAACCCCGAAACUCUCGGCAGAUGGCCAGUGACCCAAGGAAACGAAAGAAUCGAUUACAUUUUUCAUAUGAUCUCCUAUUUUAUUUUAGAUAGACUAACAAAAAGAAUUCAGUUUUUUUUUGUAUUAUAUCGCUUUGACUCCUUUUCCAUUUAUUCUAUUCUAUCAUAUUUAUAUUAUUCUAAUUAUUCUAGUUCUAUGUAUUUCUUUAUUUGUUUUAAUAAAUUAUUAAAUUUAUUAUAAAAUUAUUCAUUAUUAUGAUUAUGAAUUUUCAUUUACCUAUGUCUAAACGGAGUUAAAAAUAUAUUCUAUUUAGCUAGUUAGCUAGAAAUGUAUUUUUUUAAUUGAAAAUUCCCAAUAAUAAUAAUUCUUAUUAGAAUUAGGGAGCAGGUUUCAUGUCAAUGGCAAAAUACCUCAUUUGAUGCUACACUCCUUUAAACAAUAAAUAAUAAAUAAGGGGUUCUUUUGAACUAAGAAGGAGAAGGAAGAAAGCGAGUUGGCGUGAUAAUUCUUCAGCCUCAAAUUAAUCCUUCCCACGGAUUAUUGUCCUAACGAAUAUUAAUUGUAGGGGUGAAAUCUUGAUAGAAUUCGAAAAAGCGAGGAGUAAGUCCCAAGCCAUAAAAUAAGAAAAACAAAUACAAAAUUCUCAUGUUUAUAGGAUUAAAUAAAGGGAUUCACAAAUAAGAGUGCCAGUGCUACAACCAGUGCAUAAAUUGUUAAAGCUUCCAUAAAAGCCAAACUAAGCAAUAAAGUACCUUGUAUUUUUUCCUCCGCCUCAGGUUGUCUCGCGAUACCUUCUACAGAUUGGCCCGCAGCAGUACCUUGACCGCCUCCAGGUCCAAUAGAAGCAAGCUCGACAGCCGACCCUGCAGUAAUAACGAAAGCGGCAGAAAUCAGUGGAUUCAUGAUAAGUUCCUCGCACCAAAAUAAAGAAAUAGUUAAUGAUACAAUCAUCCAAUGAAUUUUGACUUAAUUAUAUUAUAUCAUCCAUAUGUUUUACAGCGUAUUGAUGAUGUGCCUUUUUUUAAUACUCAAUUGCAAGUAGCAACCUCUGUUGGGCAUAUUGAAUUUAUGAUGGAGAUGAUCAAAUUAAAGCCAACGUUUGCAAGAAAGCUAAACCAAGCUGGGUUUAGCCCCAUGCACUUGGCUCUGCAAAAUGACAGAACUAAAGCAGUGCUUCGACUCCUCAGGUUUGAUGAAGGCCUUGUUCGUGUCAAAGGGAGGGAGGACCUCACUCCUUUGCACCAUGUGGUUCAAACUGGAAAUGUUGAUCUUUUGGUCAAGUUACUUAAGGUUUGUCCUGAGGCUAUUGUAGAUGUGACUGUUCGAGAUGAGACGGUAUUCCAUCUUGCUGUGAAAAACGACAUGUUUGAAGCUUUCCAAGUCUUGGUAGGGUGGCUUAUAAGAAGCCGCCAUGAGUCUGCCGAACGUUGGGAGAAAGAACUAUUGAGUUGGGUAGACAUUGAUGGCAACACUGUGCUACACAUUGCAGCUAUCAGAAACAGACCUCAGGUUUGCUAAUUUUCCUAAUCAAGUCAAUUAUUGAUAUGUAUGUAUAUGAUAAAAGGGUAAUUUACAUUAAUUAAUUUCUAAUUAACAGGUGGUGGAAGUAUUGCUGGGACACUUGCGUCGAGACCAAAUCAAUGCCAAAAAUUUGGAAGGAUUGACAGCACUAGAUAUCCAAUCACAAUACCUAUGGAAUGAAAGGCAAGCGGAUAGGAUUAUAGAUAUGCUAAGCAAAGCAGGAGGUUUGAGUGCUUCCUCUUCCUCGCUGUUGGAACAUUUGGCAGCAGCAAAAGAAGAGAACAGAGAGCAUAACAAUGAAGCAAGGUGCAAGAAGGAUUUUUACUUGCUCACAAAUGUGCAGCAAGGGAGCUUAUGGCUGAUAGCCUAUUCAGCUCAUUCAUUCAACUAGAAAAACAACAUAUUUAUAGUCAAAUACAUCACCAAAUACUACCUACUACCACUAGUUUUACUUUGAAUUAAGUAAAACUUAACUUGCACACAAGCUGAUUAUGUCAAUCAGCAACUAAAAACAUCAAAACAAUACCAACUUAGUUCAUUUUCAACUAAGUAGCUUAACAAAGAAACUAAAGAGAAAACCUUGCUGCUACAGCAAGUAUACGUGCUGCAGCAUGUCAUCAAGCUGCAUGCACUUCAAACAGCAGCAUGGUUGGCCAAUUUGAACACUCCUCCUUUGGACUCCAUGCUGCAAAUACAUAUCAUUCAGCAAGUUUUUGAACUAGGCAGCCCUUAGAUGCUUUGUUUCAAGCUGACCAAUUCAUUUUCAACCUUGGCCUCAUUCACAAACAAAUCUGACUUACACACUUGACUAUCCCAGUCUUUUGUGGCAAAGAUUUGUUCACCAAAUGGAGUCUUCUCCUCCUUCACAGCCUUGGUUGACAACUUGUUUCUUCUUGCACAAACAGUUCCUGAGUAUAGUUGCUUGCCUUCAUUCUGCCAUUUUGGCUUGCAACUAUACAACACACAUUAAGCUUCCACAUGUUGCUGAGCUCACACCUUUGACAGACUCACAUCUUUGCAUAUUGUCUUCAACAGGUGUCUUCAACAGGCUCGCACUUUGCUAAGCUUGCAGCUUUGACAUCUUGCUAAGCUUGCACAUUUGGAAAGCUCACACCUUUCUUUGAAACUCCUCCUUCAGCUUAUUCAAGCUUGUUUGGGGGUCUUAUAAGUUUGAGCCGGUGUUGAGCAGGGGAAACAAAAUCAAUGGUCCCUUAAGACUUAGGCUCUUGAUACCAUUUGUUGGAACAUUUGGCAGCAGCAAAAGAAGAUAACAGAGAGCAUAACAAUGAAGCAAGGUGCAAGAAGGAUUUUUACUUGCUCACAAAUGUGCAGUAAGGGAGCUUAUGGCUGAUAGCCUAUUCAGCUCAUUCAUUCAACUAGAAAAACAACAUAUUUAUAGUCAAAUACUUCACCAAAUACUACCUACUACCACUAGUUUUACUUUGAAACAAGUAAAACUUAACUUGCACACAAGCUGAUUAUGUCAAUCAACACCUAAAAACAUCAAAACAAUACCAACUUAGUUCAUUUUCAACUAAGUAGCUUAACAAAGAAACUAAAGAGAAAACCUUGCUGCUACAGCAAGUAUACGUGCUGCAGCAUGUCAUCAAGCUGCAUGCACUUCAAACAGCAGCAUGGUUGGCCAAUUUCAACACUCGCUUCCGAAUACCUCCAUCUCUUCAUUCCACAUCGAAUCAUUAAAGGAAAAGAUGCCAUGGUCUCAAAAAUUGGAAACAAAAAUAGGUCGACUAAAGAACGGUAUUUCAUAUGAGAUGCGUAACACACUUCUAAUAGUGAUAGUGCUACUUAUAACAACCACUUACGAACCCUCUUUAAACCCUCCAAAGAUGUCUUAUGACAGUCCACCCAUGAAAUACCAAGUCUCCUUAAGUCAAGAUCAGUCUCUCAAUUCCCACACAUUUUUGCAUAAAACCGACAUCAAUACUGCACCCAUACCCAGUCCUUCCGCAAUUGACGUUUCCAAAAAAGAUUAUUGGACAUCUAAUCACUUGUUUUUGGUUUUGAACAUGUUCAACUUUUCGGUUGCAGUUCUUUUAAUAGGACUUCUCCUACCAUAUCAUCCUUUCUCUUUGUUGAUUUACUUACCACUUUCCUGCUGUAUGGCAUCUUACACAGAGUUAUAUGCUUCCUUAUGUGAGUUUUCCAAUAAAAACGCACUUCUUUCUGGCGUUUAUAAUUUUUCCUUUACAAUGUUGCUGCCUUUUCUCGUAGUAUGCGGGUCAAUCUUUUAUGUUAUGGGCAAAGAGACAAAAUUUUCUAAGAAUCUGAAUUAAAUUGUAUAUUUGUUGAAGUUAGCUUCCAUGCAACACAAGCAGCAACAAACGUGUCCAUGCAAGCCACAUGCAGAAAAGAAGCAGCACAUGAAGGCAGCAGCUUGAGCUCGACAUUGUUGUCUAAAUUCAACUAGUUUUGUUGGAUUAAGUUUAUAUUCUAUAACUUAGUUCUUAUAGAACUUAGUUGGUAAACUUUUGAUGUAAUUUUUGAUGAUUGAUUGACUGAAAAUCGAGCCAAUGUAACUUAUGCAAGCUGAUUAACAAUUUCCAAUGUAUUAAGUGGAGUUAGGUACGUGAUUAGGUAGUAUUUUGAUUUGUAAGUUUAACUCAAUGUUUGAUAUUUGUAAUGGCAACUUGCCAAUGUUUUGUUAAUGAAAAAUUAGCUUCUUUUUCAUUCAAAUUCUCUCCUUUCUUUGUGUUGCGCGGAAGCGUGUAAAAGAGUAAAAUUAUUGUACUAAAAAAUCACACUAAGUUCAAUUCCUAGGAAAGAGAGGUGGAUCACGAGGAUCGCUUAAGUACCAGGUCUUUCCUAGCCAGAAUAUCCCUCUAUCUUAAUUUAGUAGCACAAUAAAUCACUACAAUCACACUCGCAAAAUAUGAAAAAUAAACAAUAAAGAACACUAGAAUUUUAACGAGGUUCAGAAAAUUUUGCCUACGUCCUCGUGCACUACCAAAUAUAUUUCACUCCAAAAUACAAGUGAAAGUUUACAAAUAAGGAGAGAGAACAAUUGCCUUAAGUAGAGAAUGGUAAAUGUGGGAUGUAGAAAAUGAGAAAUAGUUAGGCCUAUUUAUAGUUGAAGCUCAAGGAUCAACUUGCAAAGUCCCUAUACAAUUAGGGACCAAAAUUGCAAUUAUCCCAAGCCAAAUUUCAACCCUAAAAUCUAUGCCUUAAAUGUUUAGAGUUUCGGUGCCAAAUUUCUGACACCAUCCAUCGUUGAAAAGUCAAAGAUGGUUGCCAAUAAUCUCCACCUUGAAGAUUUGAUUAGGAUAAUCUUAUCUUCACACAAUUCUUUCUGCCUUUGACAACAAUACUUGAUAGUGCCUUCUUCAACUGUUAAACUUACAGGAUAUUGAUCAAGUUCAAACAAUGUUCGAACUUGAUUGUUGUUACCACUUUGGUCAUCAUAUCUGCAGGAUUAUCUGCAGUCUUGAUCUUCUGAAAUUUUCCCCCCAUCAAUAAUUUCUCGCACAAAAUGGAAUCGUACGUCGAUAUGCUUUGUACAUGCAUGAUAGACUUGAUUCUUUGCUAAAUGAAUAGCACUUUGACUAUCACAAUACACGUUAAUAUGCUUCUGAACAAAUCCCAAGGUUUUAACCAUACCUUGUAACCAAAUAGCUUCAUUUACAGCCUCUGUUACAGCCAUGUAUUCGGUUUCUGUGGUUGACAACGCAACUGUAGACUGCAGUGUAGACUUCCAACUUAUAAACACAUAACCGGUGGUUGAUCUUCGUUUGUCCAAAUCACCAGCAUAGUCAGAAUCAACGUACCCAAUAACACCUUUACCAAGUGUAGUAUCCUGCUUGAACAGUAAUCUAACAUCCACGGUCUUCAGAAUAUAUCGUAGAAUCCAUUUCACAGCUUGCCAAUGUCCUUUUCCAGGAUUAUGCAUAUACCUGCUCACUAUACUAACUGCCUGUGAAAUGUCGGGUCUUGUACACACCAUUGCAUACAUCAAGCUACCCACUGCAUUAGAAUACGGAACUUGUAACAUGUAUUCUUGUUCCGUAUUCGUCGAAGGAGAUAGUUGUGCAGAAAGCUUGAAAUGAGAAGCCAACGGGAUACUUACAGGUUUUGUUUGCUCGUUCAUGCCAAAUUGCUGUAGUACUUUCUUCAAAUACUGCUUCUGAGAUAAACUAACUCUGCCAUGAGCUCUAUCUCUACAUAUUUCCAUGCCAAUAAUCUUCUUAGCUUCACCUAGAUCUUUCAUCUCAAACUUGAGAUUGAGCUGAGUCUUCAAUCUCUCAAUCUCAACUUUGCUCUUAGAUGCUAUCAGCAUAUCAUCAACAUAUAAGAGCAAGUAUAUGAAAGUUCCUACUUGUAGCUUCUGAAAAUACACGCAAUGAUCAAAUUUACUUCUUGUGUACCUUUGUCCUUUUAUGAACUGAUCAAAUCGCUUGUACCACUGCCUCGGAGAUUGUUUCAAUCCAUAAAGCGACUUCGUCAGUUUGCAAACCCAAUUUUCUUUAUCAGCAACCUUGAAUCCAUCAGGCUGAGUCAUAUAGAUCUCCUCUUCCAAAUCACUGUGUAAAAAAGCCAUCUUUACAUCAAGCUGAACUAGUUCAAGGUCAUAUUGCACAACCAGGGCUAGCAAAAUCCGAAUAGACGAAUGCUUCACAACUGGAGAAAACACUUCAUUGUAGUCUAUUCCUUCUUUCUGAGCGUAACCUUUUGCUACCAAUCUAGCCUUGUAUCGAAUUUCAUUUUUACCAGAAAAUCCUUCCUUCUUUGCAUAUACCCAUUUGCAUCCAAUUGCCUUAUUUCCCUUGGGCAGUGUCACCAACUCCCAAGUCCUAUUUUUAUGAAGAGACUGCAUUUCUUCAUUCAUAGCCUGCUUCCACUUUACACCAUCAGGGUUACUUAUUGCUUCUGUGUAAGUAGAAGGAACAUCAUCAUCUGCAAUUGGAAGUGCAUAGGCCACUAUAUCAUUAAAGCGAACAGGCUUACGAAUCUCUCUUCUUGGCCUCCUAUAUGCAAUUGAAUCUUGUUGCUAUAGAAGUUCUUGAGUCGAAACUUCUUCAUCAUUUGCUCCUUUAGUAUUAGCUGGAUCAUCAUUAACCUUUUCAAGCUCCACCUGCUGCAAAGUGCCACUAGUUUUGUCAUCCUUUUGUGAAUCCUUGUUCUUCAUCAUGGUUGAUUCAUCAAAAGUCACAUCUCUACUGAAAAUAAUAUUUCUUGUAUCAGGACACCAGAGACGGUAUCCUUUUACUCCACUAGUUAUACCCAUGAAUAAUGCUUUCUUUGCUCUUGGGUCUAACUUAGAUUCUUUUACAUGAUAAUAUGCAGUGGAACCAAAAAACAUGUAAAGAAUCAUAAUCAGUAGCAGGUUUACCAGUCCACAUCUUCAUAGGAGUUUUUCCAUUUAUUGCAGCUGAUGGCAACCGGUUAAUUAGAUGGCACGCAUAUGUAACUGCCUCAGCCCAAAAUUCCUUGCCCAAUCCAGCAUUGGACAACAUACAUCGAACUUUCUCCAGUAUAGUCCGAUUCAUACGUUCUGCCACCCCAUUCUGCUGUGGUGUAUCUCGAACAGUGAAGUGUCGCACAAUGCCCUCAUCUUGACAUACUUGUAGAAAUGGAUCAUUUUUGUACUCAGUACCAUUAUCUGAUCGAAGUCGUUUGACCUUUCGACCAGUCUGAGUCUCCACCAUCUUCUUCCACUUCAGAAAUGCAUCCAAAAUUUCACUUUUUCUUUUCAUUAGAUACACCCAUACUUUUCUUGAAUAAUCAUCAACAAAAGUAACAAAAUAGUGCAUACCUCUCAAAGAAGCCACUUUGGUAGGUCCCCACACGUCACUGUGAACAUAGUCCAGAAUUCUUUCCGUAUUGUGAAUUGCUGAACCAAAUUUUACCCUCGCCUGCUUGCCCAGAACACAAUGUUCACAGAAUUCAAAUUUGCAAGAAUUUACACCUUUCAACAAGCCUUGCUUCGCCGAAGUCUACCAAGCUUUUUCACCAGCAUGUCCUAAUCGCAUAUGCCAUAACCUGGUAGCCUCUGAAUCUGCAUCUUUCGCAAAAGCUGUUGAUAUUGAUCCAAUAAUUGUACUUCCAUUUAAAUAGUACAAGUUAUUUCUUCUAGUGCCUUUUAUCACCGUCAAUACCCCAGCUACUACCUUUAGUAAUCUAUCUCUCAAAGUGACUGUGAGCCCUUUAGGUUCUAGGGCCCCUAAUGAGAUGAGAUUUUUCUUCAAGCUAGGUACAUAGCGAACAUCUGUCAAGACUUGGAUUGAGCCAUCGUGAUUCUUCAAUUUGAUUGUACCUACUCCUAUUGUCUUACAAGCACUGUCAUUGCCUAUAAAAACAACUCCACCUUCUAGUUUUUCAAGACUAGAAAAUCAAUCCUUAUUAGGACACAUAUGUUAAGUACAUCCCAAAUCCAAGAUCCACUCAUCCGUAUGACAUGUCAUUGCCAUGCCAACCAAGCUAAAGUCUGACUCCUCAUCAUGCUCCGUUACACAUGCAUCAGAAAUAGCCUUGCCCUUUUGUAACUUAAGACAAUUCUUUUUCCAGUGCCCUUUCUCACGACAAAAAGCACAUUCAUCUUUGGCGGGUCUCCCUUUGGACUUGCCCCUUCUACGAGGUUUGUUGCUGUGUGAACAACCUCUUACUAUUAAGACUACUGCAGUUGUAUCUCUGUGAUCUCUUUUAUCUUUCUUUCGAGUCUCAGAUCUGUACAAUGCACUACAAACUGCAUCAAAUGUGAUCGUAUCCUUCCCAUGAAGCAAUGUGGUGGUAAGAUGAUCAUAUUCAUCGGGAAGAGAAUUCUACAACAAUAAUGCCUUGUCUUCAUCUUCAAACUUCUCAUCCAAAUUUAGCAAGUCUGCUAAAAUUUUAUUGAAUGAGUUCACAUGGUCAUUCAUCGACAUACCGGGUGCAUACGUGAACCGAAAAAGUUUCUUUUCAUAUAAAGCCUAUUUUCAUGACUUUUCGUUAGAAACUUUUCUUCCAGUGUAUCCCACAACUUCUUCGCUAAUGUCUCCCUCAUGACAGAGUACUUCUGCUCUUUGGCCAAACAUAGGCGAAUUGUACCACACGUCUGUCUAUUGAUCUUGGCCCACUCCUUGUCAUCCAUCUUGUCAGGUUUUUCUUCAAGGGCUAUAUCCAACUCUUGCUGACAUAAGACAUCCAGGAUCUCACACUGUCACAUACCAAAAUUAUUGGUACCAUCAAAUUUAUCUACAAAUUUUGCAUUGGUCACGGUAGUCUUUAUUGAUGACGAUGCCUCUGCCAUUUUUCUCCUCAAUCCCAACUACUGUAUAUGUGAACAGUACCGUCUACGUGAAUAGUACAGUGGAUGAACAAUACCGUAUACGUAAAUAGUAUCGUAAACGGUCGUACUCCCCAAGUACGAAUCUAGCUUCGAUACCAAUUGUUGCGCGAAAGCGUGUAAAAGAGUAAAAUUAUUGUACUAAAAAAUCACACUAAGUUCAAUUCUCAGGAAAGAGAGGUAGAUCACGAGGAUCGCUUAAGUACCAAGUCUUUUCUAGCUAGAAUAUCCCUCUAUCGUAAUUUAAUAGCACAAUAAAUCACUACAAUCACACUCACAAAAUAUGCAAAAUAAACAAUAAAGAACACUAGAAUUUUAACAAGGUUCAGCAAAUUUUGCCUACGUCCUCGAGCAUUACUAAAUAUAUUUCACUCCAAAAUACAAGUGAAAGUUUACAAAUAAGGAGAGAGAACAAUUUCCUUAAGUAGAGAAUGACAAAUGUGGGAUGUAGAAAAUGAGAAAUAGCUAGGCCUAUUUAUAGUUUAAGCUCAAUGAUCAACUUGCAAAGUCCCUAUACAAUUAGGGACCAAAAUUGCAAUUAUCCCAAGCCAAAUUUCAACCCUAAAAUCUAUGCCUUAAAUGCUUAGAUUUUCGGUGCCAAAUUUCUGACACCAUCCAUCUUUGAAAAGCCAAAGAUGGUUGCCAAUACUUUGUUUUUGUUUUUUGUUUUCCACUUGCAAAGCUUAUCUUCUGUUUUGUUUCUUCCCCAAGCCACGAGGCUUGCUGUCCAAGCAAGGCUAGACCAACUUGCUUACUGCCUUUAACACCAACAAUAUUUCUGUAAUAAUAAAAAUGAAAAUUUAUCAGUUUAAUAGUCUAUAUUUUUAUAUUUUUUAGAAGAUUAAAUCAAAAUUUUGUCAUUUAUAGGAGCCAAAAUAUAAUUUUAUCAUUACUAAUUUAAAAUUUUAUAAAUUAUAAAAGACUUAAAUAGAAAAAAAUCAUUUUAAGGAGGCUCUAGCUCCCUGACUCCGCCUCUGCAGGUGGGUAACCGGUACUAAUCCAAAAUUCUCCAUCCUCAUAGUAUAAUCUUUUACAUUGGCUUCCUCCUUUCUACAUUGUGUCCAGUUUCGUGGAUCCUUCUAAUGUAAAUGCCGAAAGCGUAAUGAAGUUUUGGGGUUUGUAUUAGAGAUGGUGAUGGAGUAGUUAUUGGGUUGAGCUGGUUCAUUAGUUCCCUUCAUCUCUUCUACCGGUCUCUUAUUCUUUUUUUGUUAUCAAGGGUGAAGGUCUGCACAUACUUUUGUUUAGGCCUAAUCAUCUCUUGAGGAAGAGCUAUGUUGUAAUGAUAAAAGAAGUGUGAAUUUGGUGUGAAUUUGUUUGUCAAGUAGUAGUUGAAUCAGGAUCUUCACCAGAAUCUUAAAUAAAGGGAAAUGUAUUUGUUAUGUGCUCAUGAUACAUAUCAUCGACUCCAACACCCUUAAAAGUGAUUCAUCAAAACAGCAUUCUAAAAUAUUUACUUUAAUUGUAAUUAUUUGGUAGGCUUUACAAACGAGGUUGAGAUUUUGUUACAUAUUUUGUUUAUUUUUUUUAAAUGAGAUUGAAAUUUUGUUACAUAUCUUAUUUAUUUUUUAAAAAAUUCAAUAUAAUUUAAAGGCACGUGACGGUAUAAAUUCUACUUGUACAAUUUAAAAUUUUCCAUUGGCAAUAUUUUAAAUAAUUAUCCUUAAUUUAAAACAAAUAAGUGUUGAGUGUAAUAGUAAAAUAUAUUGCAUUUCCAAGAAAAGAUGUAAGUUCAAACCUUGAAAAUAAUAUUGUUAGAGCGGCAGCCAUGAACUCCAAAUAUGGACCAUAAAAUGGAUAUAAAAAAUACGUAAAAUAUUUAGAAAAAUAAUAAAAUAUAAAACAUCACGUUAGAGUACUAUUACAUAUUACUAUAGAUUUAAUUUUAUGUGUUAUAAAUAAUAUAAUAUAUAAAAAUAACAAAAUAUAUAACAUUACAAACUUAGAAAAACGGGUUUAACUUGGGCUGACCUGGUCUUUAAAUGUUUAAGCCCAUUUUUCAAAUCUAAUCUUUUUACCUAAAUCCUCCUCAUUUUUUAAACAAGCGAAUAUUCGGAGGAUUCUUCUGACCAAAAUAGAAAAUAUAUCAAAAAACUAAAAAGUAUAAUAAAAAUAAUAAAUAAAAAAUUUACAUAUAAUUUGGAAUUUCUAAUUGUACUUAGAAGUAUAACGUAUAAUUGUAAUUUGUCAGCAAAGUUGUUUCUUUUUUUUUCUUCAAAUUCAAAGAAUUCUUCUCCCUUUAUACAUAGGUCAUCAAUUCAGCAUUGGAAAAAGGGGCUCAAAUCGUUUUAUCGACAUGAGUGUUUUAUGUCGAAAAAAUAUUUUUGUUUUGAAAAUAUUUCUGUAUUUAGUAACAUAGUAGUAAAAAGAGUACCCUAUUGCAUCUGAACUUCAAACGGGUUUGGCCUUAACCAUGUUAAUGGUCCCAGAUUAUUGGUUAAUAGAGAAUCAAAGUCGAUGUACCAAUGAAUCACGAAAUGCUAUGGUUCUAUAAUAUGAUUUUAAAAUUUUAUUCAGAAGUAAUUUGCAAGAUCAUGCACUCUUUUCUUUCCUAGUUAUAAUGAAAAAAAGUACAAUUGGGUGAAUCCAGCUUAUUCUUGAAAUAAACAACUCGCACACACUCACUUUCCAAAAAAGAUUAAUACACCAAGGACUACACUUAGAUUUAUUAGAUUUGUUGCUAAAAUAUCGGUAUUAACCCCGAAACUCUCAGCGGAUGGCCAGUGACCCAGGGAAACGAAAGAAUCGGUCACAUUUUUCAUAUGAUCUCCUAUUUUAUUUUAGAUAGACUAAAAAAAAGAAUUCGUUUUUUUUUGGUAUUAUAUCGCUUUGACUCCUUUUCCAUUUAUUCUAUUCUAUCAUAUUUAUAUUAUUCUAAUUAUUCUAAUUCUAUGUAUUUCUUUAUUUGUUUUAAUAAAUUAUUAAAUUUAUUAUAAAAUUAUUCAUUAUUAUGAUUAUGAAUUUUCAUUUACAUAUGUCUAAACGGAGUUAAAAAAUAUAUUCUAUUUAUCUAGUUAGCUAGAAAUGUAUUUUUUUAAUUGAAAAUUCCCAAUAAUAAUAAUUCUUAUUAGAAUUAGGGAGCAGGUUUCAUGUCAAUGGCAAAAUACCUCAUUUGUUGCAACACUCCUUUAAACAAUAAAUAAUAAAUAAGGGGUUCUCUUGAACUAAGAAGGAGAAGGAAGAAAGCGAGUCGGUGUGAUAAUUUUUCAUCCUCAAAUUAAUCCUUCCCACGGAUUAUUGUCCUAACGAAUAUUAAUUGUAGGGGUGAAAUCUUGAUAGAAUUCGAAAAAGCGAGGAGUAAGUCCCAAGCCAUAAAAUAAGAAAAACAAAUACAAAAUUCUCAUGUUUAUAGGAUUAAACAAAGAGAUUCACAAAUAAGAGUGCCAAUGCUACAACCAGCCCAUAAAUUGUUAAAGCUUCCAUAAAAGCCAAACUAAGCAAUAAAGUACCUUGUAUUUUUCCCUCCGCCUAGGGUUGUCUAGCGAUACCUUCUACAGAUUGGCCCGCAACAGUACCUUGACCAACUCCAGGUCCAAUAGAAGCAAGCUCGACAGCCGACCCUGCAGCAAAAACGGAAGCGGCAGAAAUCAGUGGAUUCAUGAUAAGUUCUUCGCACCAAAAUAAAGAAAUGGUUAAUGAUACAAUCAUCCAAUGAAUUUUAACUUAAUUAUAUUAUUCCAUCGCUAAGAUUCAACCUGCCGAAGUAACUAAGAACUCCGAAUGGAAGUGAGAAGAUUAUUGAACUGUCAGAACUAUUUUGCAUCUUUUUUUAGGUCCUAUCCGCUAGAUUUUUUUUGAAUCCGCACAUAUUUUGUUCUUCCCUUUGUUUUUUCCAACCCAUUCUUUACUUUGAAUUCUUCGUUUUUAUCUUUAUUUUAUCUCUUUAUUCAUUCAAUUCAGAGUCAAAGACAAAAUAGAGGAACUUCUAUUCUUCUAUUAGAAUACCUAUCUAAGUCCACAGUAGUAGGUUGGAUUAGAUAUAUUUUAAGUUCGUAUAUAACUAGUCAAUAUCUCAUAUCUCAUAUACAUGUGUUUCUUACAUAACGUAAACCAACUAUUCAUGUCUUAGAUUCAAUUGGAUUCUAGAAUUAUUCCUCAAAGGAUAGACAAUAGCUGUCUUAUAGCCAUUAGAUUCCAUAUACCUAAUUUUACCCCCUUUUUUUCCUAAUAAUUUUUUAUAUCAUUUUUUUAUUGUAAAUUCGUCUCUUCCUUUUAUUUUUUUAUUUAGCAUUAUCUCACAUGGAUACAAUCUAAAUGGACGAAUUCAUUAGACCAAAUCAUUGCAUACAAAUAAAACAUCAAUAUCAGUAUUUGAUUGAGCUAAAUUCAUGCAAUUUAUUUUAUUAUUUAUGAAAAAAAAUUCUUUAGGUCAAUCAUUGAAUUGAAUGUAGAAAUUGACUAAAAUGGGAAUCAUUCUAUAUAAAGAACAACUUUUUUAAAAUCAUAGACCCUAAAUUGAUAAGAAUUCCUAUUCUAAUUAGGACUCAUAAUAUUGAAAUUGAAUAAACAAAAACAAUAUCAAGAUAAAGAUAAUAUUGAUUGAAGGUAAAUAUGAUAUAAAUAUAAGUAAUAAAAAAAUGGACCAACCCUGAAUUUUAGGAAAAAGAUCUUUUCAAUUAGAUCUCUUUCUUUUUUUUAUUACAAUUCUCUAAUAUCAUAAUCUUUUUUGUUAUUACUCUAGAUCGUCGUAUUUGUAUAUUUAAGGUCCCUAAGUAAGUAGAUUAUCCUGAGUUGUACAUACAUUGGAUUGGACCAAGCUAAACUAAAAAAGGGCUAGGCUAUUUCAAAAACAAAAACUAAUCAAUGAUGGCCCUCUAUGGAUUCGCUUAUAUAAGCCGCAGCUAAAGUUGCAAAAAUAAGAGCUUGAAUCCCACUUGUAAAUAAUCUAAGGAACAUGACAGGUAUAGGGACUACUGAAGGUACUAAAGAAACAAGAACAACAACUACUAAUUCAACAGCUAAUAUUUUCCCAAAAAGUCGAAAAACUAAGUGAUAAGGGUUUUGUGAAAUCCUCUAAAAUGUUAAUAGGUAAAAGAAUUGGAGUGGGUUGAAUGUAUUUACUAAAAUACCCCAAUUCUUUUUUUGAAAGACCUGCAUAGAAAUAUGCUACUGACGUGAGUAAAGCUAAAGCAACAGUAGUAUUUAUAUCAUUUUUGGGUUCGGCUAACUCUUCAUGAUGUAAUUGUAUGAUUUUCCAAGUUAACAGAGCGUCCGACCAGUUAGAAACAAAAAUAAAUAGAAACAUAGUUCCAAUAAAGGGAACCCAUGGACCAUAUUCUUCUCCAAUCUAAGUUUUGCUUACUUCUUGAGUGAAUUAAAGAACAUAUUCGAAGAAAUUUUGACCGACAGUUUGAAUUGUUUGUGGAUUCCGAACUGCGAUAACGACGGAACCUAAUAAGAUAGCAAUUAUAACCCAAGAAGUAAUAAGUACUUGGGAAUGGACUUGGAAACCUACUAUUUACCAAUAGAAAUGUUGGCUUACUUCCACACCAGAGAUAUCGUAUAACCCGUUUAGUGCGUUUGAUAUACCAUUCAUAUUGCCCUCUGACAGAAAUAGAAGUUUACUUUUAAAAAAAGGAAUUAUUUUUAUUCAAUCUUCUCUUGCCUACUCAAAUUCUAUAUUUUUGACACUGACGAAACUAAGCACACAAUAUUCACAAUUUUUUUAUCUCUUUUGUGCGAUUCAGGAUAUAGUAACUGAUUCCAUAGAUCUAUGUAAUUCCAAAAAAUAAUUUAUUUAUCUUAUUAUUAAUAAAGGAUUUCGUAUAUAACUAGAAUGACCCUCACAAAUUGCGACUACUAAUUUGUUAAGAAUUAAUCGAAUUAAAGCUAUAGAGUCAUCAUUUGCUGGAAUCGAAAUAUCUGCGAGAUUAGAUUGCUAUUUGUAUCGAUUAAACAAAUUGCUAGAAUUCCCAAAUUGAUACAUUCUCGCAGAGCCGUAUAUUCUUCUUGCUGAUCAAUGAUGAUUACAAUAUCAGACAAUCUCGUCAUAUAUUUAAUCCCGCCUAGAUAUGUUUGUAAGCGAGAUAAUUGUCUUUUUAACAUAGCUGUAUCUCUUUUCGGAAGAUAGUUGAGUCCCCCGGUCUUUUGUUCUGUUCUCAAGUCCCUGAACUUAUGAAGCCUCGUUUUUGUAGUGGGCUAAGUUGUUAACAUACCACCGAGCCAUUAGAAAAAGACAAUUGAAGAAGAAUUGUCCAUAAAUUUGCAGUCAAUAGUUAAUGGUUCCAAUUUAUUUGUCCUGAAUUUUGACUUUUGGAACUGAGAAUCCACAUUUUCUUUUUCAAUAGAAAAGAAAGGGAAAGUUUUUAGAUAUUGUGUGUCUUGAGAUACUAUAACCAAUUGAAGUUAUGGAUCCGAUCUAAAAAUGAAAAAGAAAAGGGAGAUACUCUCCUUUUUUUGUUUGUAGCCUUUUGGUGACAUGGCUGAGCUGUAAGGCGAGGGACUGCAAAUCCCUUAUUCCCCAGUUCAAAUCCGGGUGUCGCUUGAUCAACAAAAAACUCGAAAUCCUAACGUUUCCUAACAUCUAAGAUUCAAGGAAAAACUAAAGUAGUGGAAGGGAAUCGAUAAAUCUUGAUAUGGGAGCCCCCCUUACUAAUGGAGUGGCUACUAGAGGAGUCUUGAAUUAGAUUGGAUAACGGGAGUGUCUAAUUAACUAAUGAAUGGUUGUAGAAGGGUUGGAAGAUACUUUGUAUACAGACGGAUGAAAGUCUCUGAGUGUUCAGACAUCCAAUUAAUAUUAGAUUGGAUAGAUAAUUGACUUUUACUCUAUGAGAGACACCAAAAGAAAGAAUAAGUCUUAUUAUUGAUACAUGUGAGUAACAUUCUUUUGAUACUUCCAAAAGUGUUACUGCGCAUUUUGUUUGUGCUUAAUGGUUCUCGAUUUUACUCGAAAUCAUAUAUAUGUCUAAUUACAAUCUUAAUCCCCAUCAAAGUAGCAACAAAAUCAACAUUUAGUAUCUUAAUAAAGUCUAGGAUCUCUGAGAUAAGUUUUAAAGAGAUUUGAUCCUGUCUCCUUAAAAUAGGGGAUUCGAUUGUUUGAUCUAAUCCAAUAUUCAGGAUACAUUUUUUCUUCUAGAUCGAUUUCCAAUAUAAAAUAACACACGUCCAAAAUAACAAUAAAGAUCAUGAGCUAAAUGUUUUGUUUUAAAAACUUACCAACUCUAAAUAAAACAAGUUAUGUAAUUUACACAGCACAGAAUGCAGUUGUAACUUCCAUCCUCAUCAUUCCUUCAACAAUUUUCUCUUAAAUUUAACAUCUUUGAACAAAACACUAACAAAGGGGAAUCCCACAUUGUGCGGUUUCAUCAACGUUGGUUUCUCCUUGUUUUGGUUUAAAAUUAGGUCAUUUCAAGGGUUUUCCAUUAUAUGAAUGAAGUUUAACAUAAAAAAAAAGUACACAUUCCAAUAAAUAAUCAGAAAAUUAGCGUAAUUUUAAUAACUAGAAUAAAAUUUAUCAAUAUUAUAAAGAAGUGAUAAAUAGCGAUUCCGAAUUUGCUAUUAGCUGAUUUGGUCAAGAUUUAAUACUUCAAUUUAACCAUUUCCAAUUUCCUGGAAGGGAAGGGACCCCUUUUCCCAUACACAUUCAGCAUUGCUCACACUUUUUAGUGCAUGUUCUUUAAUGAAGUUUACUUAUAUUACAACAUCUAGACUUAAUUAUAAACAAAUUAUUUAUAUUUAUUUACUUAAAUAGAUUAUCCUUUACAAUUAAAGACAAAAACAUUCCACUAACCUUUCCUGUCGGAGCAGCUGCCAGGAAGGUACCAAUUGACAUAGGAGGAAAAUUAGAAGUUUAACCACCGAAAGCGAUUAAUUCAAAAAUUAAAGACUAGUAUGGUCCGUCAACAAGGAAACAAUAUAAAGUCAAAAAGGGCAGACAAACAAAGUAGAGAUUUAUGCCUAAAUGGCACCAUAUCAAAGCCAACUUGAUAUCAAGAAAAGAAAUCAUAAAUAAUAUAAUUGUUUUUUGAAAGUAAAAACAAAAUUGUGAUGAAAAAAAUAAAUUUACUUUUUUUUUUCUAAUUCGUUAUAAAUAAAAGGUGAAUUUAAUCUCUUUUACUAUAGAUUAUUAGUAAAAAUAAAAGUUAAAUUUAAAAGUUUUUUCAUUAUUAUAAAUAUAUUAUCAUUGUUUAUAUUUAAUCACAUUUCUAUUUUUUUUAAUAAAAAUGUUUAAAAUUAUCCAUAAUUCCUUCUCAAUAUUUUAAUAGGAGGAUAAAUACAUUCUAUCGUAAUCGAACCCACAUCCUCCUAUACCAACAAUAAUGCCGAUACUAACUGAGCUAACACUCAAUUAGACUAUUGAGUAGAGAAGUUCAUUAACCCAACUAGAUUAUUACUUAAAGUUCUUAGGCACAUCAUAUGUGAAUAAAUUUGAAAUAGAAAGAAAAAAGAACUUUCAAGGAAAAGUGAAAAAGCAAAGGGAAUGAUUAUUAUUUGAUAUAUAGUAGAAUCUUUUAAUUCUAUAAAUGAGAUCUUUUUAUAAUUUUUAUUUACUUUUUUGGAUUUAUCUAUUUUUUUUUUGAAUUUUUAGAAAUUAAUUUAAAUUGAUAGAAUAGGUAAACAAUAGAAUUAAUUUUGUUAUAUUUUUUAAAAUUAUCAAAUUUAUAGAAUAGGUAAAUAUUAAGAGCUAAAAACAUCAAUAUUACAUUAAAAAUUUAACUUAUGAGUAACCUCUUGAAACCGUUUUUUGAACAAAAUUGGCUUAUGAUAUUAUAGAAAACAUAAAAUUUUAAUUUUUAAACCGUUGGGUUUUUACUAAGAAAAUAGAAAUCGCAACCAUUCAUUUUAAUAAGGUGCGAUCGAUCACCUAAUAAAUUAACUUUUUAAAAUGAAAAUUUUUUGAAAUUCUCUUAAAAGGAUAAUUUUUUGAAACUACGUUUAGGGUUUGGGAUAUGUACAAGAAAAAUUAUAACACCUUCGUAAUGCCCAAAAAUUGAUAACUUGUUCAUUACGUGUUGUAUCAUAUCUUAGAAAUAUGAGUUCAAACUUUCAGUACUUAAUUGUCAUCCUUUAAAAUUAAAAUGAAUACAAAUUUAUUUAAUGAGCGAAUUUAAAAUUGAAAUUUGAAAAAUUGUCAAAUUUUGCAUUUUUGUUUAUUUAAAAGACAUUUUUUUUAUUCAUCCGAGUUUGAAAACAGCAUUCCAUCAUUAAACACAAUCAACAAUAUCAUAUUCCAAAAAUUUUGGUAUCGACCUCAUCAAUUUUUUAAUAUUGAAAUGUCAGCAAAAUAUAUUUAACGAAUAUACAUAAUAUCACAAUUAAAUGUCAAUCUCAAUCACGAAAUUCAACUAUAUUUCAAAAAAAAAAAAAUCUUCACAUGGAUUUUAUUUUAUGGUAUAUGUCAUGACAGUUAUUAUAUAACAAGAAAUUGGCAACCUAGCAAUGGCAUGGCGAUAUAAUUUGAACAAAAAAUUUGGGAUAUUCAAGUUUGAAGAGACAUGGAAUCACACUAUAAUAUUAAGGCAUUACAAUAUCUUCAAAAACAUCAGUCACAUAUCUCAACAACAUGAAGAGAAAAAAAUAAAGCUGCAUAAGGGAACUAUACCGAAGUGCCAAGCAUUGUAAUGUUGUGAGUGCUUACAUAUAUGGACGCAUAGAAAUUAAAUUUGAGAACAAAGACUCCUGGGGGAAACCAAAACUUCGAAUAUAGAUCUGGGUGAAACCAGAAUUUUGAAAUGACUAACUGGACGAAACUAAAAUUUGGAAAGUAGACUGAGCAAAACCAGAAUUUGAUUAUUUAGGUGAUUAUUUGAUGCUAAUGGUGAAUUUUAUACUCUUAAUCCUUUAAAUUCAUGUUUUAAUGCAUAAUAGAGCAUUUGGGUGCAAAAUGAGUGAAAACCGAAAAAUCGGAGCAAGUUAUAGGAGCCACAUGGGUUGACCUAUUCCACACGACCUAGACACAUGACCGUGUGAGCCACACAGCCAUGUAGUAGGCCAUGUUGAUUUCGUGAAUUUGCACCCUAAACUGUGGGAAAUCGCAUUUUUUAGAUUUUUCAGGAAUUCUAAGACGUAUAUAUGAUAAAAGUAAAAAGAUAGGAAUGAGUCGUCAUAGAAUACUCAAGAAAACAUCUCGACAAACACCAUUGAAACUAAUUCUAAAGUAGAUUUCCGUCAAGAUUGAAGAUUCUCAUUUGAUUUCUUUGGAGAUUGUCAUGAGUUUCUUUAUUUCUUUUCAAUUAUACUGUGUUUUGGAUUUUUUUAUUUUAUUUUCAAGCAUGAACUAAUUUUCUAAAUACCUAGGGGAGAUGAACCCUAUGAUAAAUUCUGUCUUUUGAUUUUUAUUUUUCGCAAUACAUAUUUAGAUCUUGUUUUCAAUUAUGUGUGCCUAAUUCUUGCUUUAAUAUUUCUAAAUUAUUGAUUUAUAUUUGAUGUACUUAAAUCAGAGGAGGAAAAGACCCUGUCUGAGAGUAGAUCUUGUGUAAUUGAGUGGAGUUACAUGCAAUUCUAGACAUAGAAUGACAUAAAUAUACUGGAUUAGAUUCAAAUCUAAUGGGCGAAUCCAUAGCACGAGUUAAUGCGAUAAUAGGGGUCUUAAUUAGAAAGAAAAUUCAAUUAAUCAACCUAGAGUCAGUUACUCUUCUUCUCGAAAGUGAUAUUAACAUAAUUUAGGGAUUUUUACAGAUCAAUAUACUAAGUAAAGAAAUAGCGUAAUUUAGAUUGAUAGUUACAAAUGAAAUUUAGGCGAAUUCUUUCCUGAGUAUUGUUUCACUUCUUGGUUAUUACUCUUUUUUUUAUUUGUUCUUUGAUCGUGUUCGUUAGUUAAUUAAUUUAGUUAAUUUUAGUUUUAAUCAUUCACUCGAAUUUAUCGGUUAAAUAAUAGAAAGACAAUAAUAACUAGUACUUUUAGUCUUCGUUGGAAUGAUAUAUUUGCUCAUUGUAACUAUAUUAUUAAUUGAUAAGUCCACUUGCCUUAGCCAAAUUUUUAAUUAAUUUCGUGAGACAUUAAUACUUUCUUGUUAUACUACUCUUACAUUGUUCUAUAAAAAAUUACUACAAAAAUACUUUAUAGAAAUUUAUUUUCUUGCUAUACUCUACUCAGUACUUAAUGAACUAUUUUCUUCAGUAUAAAACACAAACAAUCACCAGACUUCAUUGUAUUCUCAAAGUUUAUUUUUUCUUAAAACUCAUUUGCACACUAAGUAUAGGUGCGGUGGAUAGGACUUUAAAGAUAAUGACUUGAUACAUGUCUUGAAGCCUUAUCUUAUUGCUUUGAUUUUCUAUUCGUGUUGUUGUUCAUGCUUCGUUCAUAUGUUUGAGAUUUUCCUCACCAAAAUUCGGCAUUACCAUUUAAUUCUUCUUUAAGUCAUCCCAUAACUAUUUGUUCCAUUAAAUUUUGGUCAUAUCUACUUUCAUUUUUCAAGGGUUUGAUUAAGACUUCAUUAAUUUGUUAACCAUUACAGAAUUUGGGCCGAAGCCCAUAGAUUGUCAUGAAUAUUGGUUUAAUAAGCUCUCCUUUUGAAAACAUCACAACCACUUAUGCUCCUCAAUGAAUCACUACUUUCCCACUACACAAACAAAUUGUCACUCACACAUCAAACAAAUCACAUUCAAGAGACUACAAGGCCUUGUUAACAAAAGCAAACAAGACCUCAUACAAGAGAUGAAAGGGGACCAAUUAACCAGCUGAAACGAAUAAGAAUUCAACGAAGAUCACUCAAAGAAAUUGGAGUGCUUCAAUAUGGUUUCGGUAUUAAGGAUAGCUGGAACAAGAAUAAAAGCAAAGAGGAUAAAGGAAACGAUUUGUACGAGGACGAACAUCUUUGUUUUAGGCACAAACCUGCAGAAAACAUAACGGGCUAUCCGGUAUGAAACCAGCAGUGCUAGCGAUGUUGACAAGCAGUAAUUUAGAAUGCAGAGAGCACGAUAGGUCAAGGGUAUAGUAGUUUGAAGAGAAACCACAUACUGAAGUUUCCACGACCAUGUGGACACAGCAACUAAAAGCAUGUAACAGGUCCCAAACAAGGAAAGGGUUAUGAGAAGAAACAAGCUGAUUGAACGACUUGGUAGGAGAUAUGCUGUUAACCCGAUUGCUGCCCAAAAGGUUAAUGUGUUGUAUAACCAAAACAUGGAUGAUACGUCUAUUAAAUCUGACCAAUUAAUCUGAUCAUCGGCCAGUGGUGGCAGAGGACCUGGUAGGGGUGCAGUGCUGUCGGUUGAUUCUAAAGAUGCGUAAUACUUGAUAUGGUAUUUCAUGGAUGAACUGUUAUCAGCUUUCUUUGGAGGGCUUAAAGAGGCAGCGUAAGUGACUGUUAUAAUUAGCACUGUCACUACUAGAAAUGUAUUACGCAUCUCAAGCGGGAUACCCUUUCUUCCUCGACCUGCCAUUGUUGCAAAUUUUUGAAAACAUGACAUCUUCGGCCUUAAUGAUUUGAUGUGGAUUGAAGAGAUGGACUUAUUGGGAAGCUUGGAACCACACAAACCUCCUGCUUUUGUUAUCAUAUCUUUAACCGAGCCCUUAUAAUUAUUCACUUGCCUUUCAUCCAAUGGACAGUCUGGUUGGAUAUCUAAAGCAGUGGAUCCCUUCAAAUUUUUGGCAUUGAUAUGGUCUCGACGCAAGUGCCCCAGCAAUACUUGCACCACCUGUUAAUUAGAAAAUUCAUGUAAAUAACCCUUUUAUCAUAUACGUAUAUACAUCAAUAAUUGAGUUAACUAGCAAAUUAGCAUACCUGAGGUGAGUUUUUGAUAGCUGAAAUGUGUAGGACAUUGUUGCCAUCAAUGUCUGCCCAACUAAGCAGUUCUUUCUCCCAACGUUGGGCAGCUUCAUGGCGGCUCCUUAUAAGCCACCCCACCAAGACUUGAAAUGCUUCAAACUUGUCGUUUUUUACUGCAAGAUGGAAAACCCUCUCGUCUCGAACAGUCACAUCUUCAACAGCCUCAGGGCAAACCUCAAGGAACUUGAUCAAAAGAUCAACAUCUCCAGUUUGAGCCACAUGAUGCAGAGGGGUCAAGCCUUCCCUUCCUUUAACACGAACAAGGCCUUCAUCAAACUUGAGGAGUCGAAGCACAGCUUGAGUUAUGUUAUUUUGCAGAGCCAAGUGCAUGGGGCUAAACCCAGCUAGAUUUAACUUUCUUGCAAACGAUGGCUUUAAGUUGAUCAUCUCCAUCAUAAAAUCAACAUGCCCAGAACUGACUGCUACAUGCAAUGGAGUGUCAAGAAAAGGAACAUGAUCAAUACGCUCCAAAACAUAUGGAUCUUUCUGAAUUAGCAAAUACAAGACAUUAAUGUUUCCUGUUUGUGCAGCCUCUAUCAUUCUCCAAUCCAUAGCUAUGGAGAAGUGGAGGUAAUAAAUUACGCAGCAAAUUUUCAGGCUACUGAGAAAUGAUGAAAUUUGCAGGAAAACACAGAGAAUAGAGACACAUAAGACAAUAUAAAGGGAAUAGAAGCUAUAUUUAGCAAAACACACAGCAAUCCAACCACAAUUUUAUACAUGACUUUAAACGCGCUAGUCUGAAGAGAAACUUCUUAAAAAGUCGAAGGUAACUUUCACACUCCAAUUACGACUUGUUUAAAAGAAUAGAAAAUAUAGAACCCAUUUUGGUUGAAUGGAAAUCUUACUUCCGAAAAAAAAAAUCUAACCAAAAGGUUAGAGGUACAUAAAAUCGAAAUGAAACCCAACUCCUAGAACAGGAGGACAACAAACAGCUAUCAUCCUGGAUUAAAUAUAAAUGUUAAUUUCAUUCUAGAUACACAAUGCUUAAUAUAAUAUACUUCAACACACUCGAAUCCACGCCCUUCUGACAACAAUGUCAAUUGAACUAAUACGCAAUAAAUAACACCACUAUAUUUAAUUUUUUUAAAAAUAAUAACAUAUAUUUUAAAAAAUUCAAUUUAUAUGAGCCGGCCACCUUGCUAAGAUGAGAUUUUUUUGUUGUUUUUGGUCAUUUGCUUGUUAAAUUAACAAUUUUAUAUGAAUCUAUGUCAAAGCUGAACAUUUGGCAUACAUUCAUAUUAUAGAUGAGAUAGGUGAUUCACAUCAAAAUCAAAAUGUCGAGAGUCAAUAAGAAAUUUGAAAAAUACGAAAAGAGCUUCCAAUGAUAUCAUUGACGUUAAAGUAGGAAGAAGAAACUUGAUCUCUUUUUGUGAAGAAAAGGAAGAGAUCUUAUAUUGGUGGUGGAUUUAAUAAUGAGCCGGCCGUGGACCUCGAUGAAUGGUUGCUUUAUUUAUAUAGGAUUUGGUGGUAUGUAACAGGAUAUGGCUAGACCUCACUAAGAUAUGAUCAACCAUGCUGUAGAUAGUUGGUGGCAAGAUUUCUAUGAUGUGUAUUGGUAGGAUGAAGCUAGAAAAUUUUGUAGGGAUCAAAAUUAAAUUGUAUUUUUACGAUAAUAAAAAUAUAAUUUCAUCAUUUUAAUAGUCUACGUUUUAUAAUUUUUAAAAGAUUAAAUCAAAUUUUUAUCAUUUUUAGGGGGCAAAGUGCAAUUUUACCUUUACUAAUUUAAAAUUUUAAAGAGCUUAAAUGAAAAAUUUUCUAUUUUAGGGGAGACGGGCCCUGCCAGCCCCCUUAACUAGGCCCUUGUGUACUAGGAAGCAACAAAUGUAAUUGGAGGGUUCCGAUUGGAUUUGAUGGUGAUUCCAUAAGCAAACAAGACCCUAGUAAGGGGCGAACGUUUGAUUGAAUCGAGUAAAAAAAUUGAGUUAGUCGAGUUUACAAGCCUUGUUUUUAUCAUCUUAUCUCGACUUGAAUUUUUUUGCAUUCGAGUUCAUUGAAAUAAAAUUUCAUUUAAGUCGAAUCGAAUCAAGUGAAAUUGUUUGAGUUAAAUUUAAAAAAAUUAAACAUGUCAAGAUAAAAUCUUGUUACAAUAUAACUAAUUCUAUGUAAGAGCACAUAAAUUUGAAACAAUAUAUAUAUAUAUAUAUGAAAACUAUAAGAGAAAAAUAUAAUAUAUUUAAUACGAUAAACUUGAAUUGGUAAAUUUACUUGUUUAGAUCCUCAAAAUUAAUGUAUUGAAAAAUUUUAAACAUUUUUUUAUAUAUUCUUUAUUUUUUUUAAUUUUAAAAAAUUAUGAAUUUUUUGGAAUUUUUGAAAAAUAAUUUGAAUAUUUGAAAUUUAUUUUGAAUUGUUUUGUAAAUUUUUGUUGAGAGAGAUCGAUUUGAUCAUUUUUUAAAAUCGAUAGGGGUCAAAGGAAUAUUUACACUAAUCAAUUACACGAAUUGUAAAAUUCAACUCGACUCGAAUUCGAAAAAUUGAACUACUUGUUUAAGUUGACUUGAAAAAAUUGAAUAACUCGAUUAUUUCAAUUCGAUUAACUCAAAUUUUGAAAAAAAUAUUUUUUAAAUUAAAUCGAGUUUUGAUAAACCGCAUCUAUCUAGAUGAAAUGCCUUGAAAUUAGUUCAUCAUCAAUUAGAAAUUAGUUAUUUGACUCCUACUUUAUUUAAUAACAGAAGUCCAAUAAAUUUUAACUUAAUUAGAUCACUUUAAAUUUGGGCUAACCUUUUAAGAUAGUAAAUAAUAACAUGUAGUUGACAUUAUUAUAUAUGUUAUGUCCAUAUUUUUCCAACACAAUUUUAUACAUGACAUUUGGUUUUGUGCAGUUUUACGCAUGAAUUUUUUAUUUGAUUCACUAAAUCAAAGUAUCCACUGGAGCGAGCUCAAUACUAGCCUUUCACGUUCCGUAGGCCCAUUAAAUAAGUAGGCGUUUGCCACGAGUUUUAAAGUUACUCCAUACUUGGACACAGUUAUAUAUAUUACUUUAUUUUGUGUGAUGCACAAAUUUAAUUGUGUGGAUCAAUUAAAAUGUAUUCUCAAUGUUUCUAGUUGUUCGUGCAUUAUGCUACUUAAUCUUUGAUUUUGUCUGGUCGGUAAACAGUACGAAUAAAAAAUUCUUCGUCCUCGUACUAAUCGUUUACAUUGGCAUGGUUUCUAGCCCAAUCUAAAUACCGAAACUGUAAUGAAGUUUUGGGUUUUGUAUUAGUGAUAGUGAUGGGGUAGUUCCCUUCAUCUCUUGUACCGGAGUCUUUUUCUUUUUCUUUUUUUUGGUAUCAAGGGCGAAGGUCAGGUCACAAACUUUUGUUUAAGCCUAAUCGUCUAUUGAAAGGGUGAAUUUGUUUGUGAAGUCGUGGUUGAAUAAGGAUCAUAACCAGCUGUGCUUUUAUUGUAUUUUGUUCUUUUUGUAAUACAUCUUGAAGACAAUUCGAAGUCACAUAUCUUAUUUAUUUAAAAUCAAUAAGACUCAUGCCAAAAUUCCAUUUUCACUUGUAGGUUAAAAUUUUCAUGUUCAGUGUCUUAAAUAAUUAUUUUUAAUAUAAAAUCAAUAACGGUUAAAUACAAUGAUAAAACACAGUGCAUUUUUAAAAAAAGAUAUAAGUUUAAAUAUUGAAGAUAAUAUUGUUGAAUAGACAACUAUAAAAUUUAAAUAUAAAUUGUAAAACAGACAUAAAAAAGAUAUAAAAAAUUACCUUUAUUUAUUUAAUUAAAUAAAUUACCCUUUACAGUUUAAUCUAUACAAUUUCACUAGCCUUUCCCGUAGGAGCAGCCGUGAGGAAGGGACGAAAUGACAAUAGAAGGAGAAAAAUUGGAAGGGUUUAACAAGGAAACAAUAUAAAGUCAAAAAGGGCAGACAAAAAAUUUGCCUUUUCCAUUGAUUUUAGUUCUUGUCUUAUACUAAUAAAAUUAUGCCAUUGAUAUGUUCAUAAACAAAAGUUUCAAGGAAAUGGCACCCCCUGGUCUGAACCACAAAGCCAACUUGAUAUCAAGAAAAGAAAAGAAACCAUAAAUUCUUAUUUAUUGAAAAGGCUAAUAUUUAAAGUAUAAACACAAUUGUGAUGAAAAAAAUAAAUUUACCAUAAUUCCUCUUCAACCACAAUCUUUAAAUAAAAGGAUAAAUGUGUACCAACUAUUAAUCGUGCAUCUAUUUUGUUGAUUAGAGAAGUUCAUUGAACCAAUCAGGCUAUUAGGUAAAGUUGUUAGAGAUGUCUGAAAGAAUUGGGUAAAUAGAGAGAAAUAUCCAGCCAAACAGAGAAAUAUAAAAUGGAAAACUUCUUUUUGUUUGUUUAUUCCAAAAUCUUAACUCUCUGAAUACACAUGUUCAGUAUUUAUAGGCAUGAGUAACCGCUCCAUAUUGAGCAACAACCUUCACCGGAUACAUAACUAACUAACAACCUAUAAUACUCUAAUAUUCAUCCAUCUUCCCCACAGGCAAAACCCGUAGACAAUUCCGAAACCAAGCAAAAAUCGAUAGUGAAAGUGGCUUAGUGAGAACAUCAGCAACUUGAUCACACGCCGGAACCUCGCCAACGGCAACAGUACCAUCAGCAACCUUUUCACGAACAAAAAACAAAUCUAAUUCAACAUGCUUAAACUUUGAAUGAAGAACAGGAUUAGCAGCAACUGCAACCGCACCAGAACUAUCACACCAAAUAUUUGGAAUACUAGAAGACCGAACAUGUAACUCUUGAAGUAACGACAAAAGCCAUGUAACCUCACUAGUAACCGCAGCAAGACUCCGAUAUUCUGCCUCAGCAGUAGACCGAGCAACAACCUGUUGUUUCUUCGUACACCACGACACAGGAUUACAUCCGAAAUAAACACAGUACCCGGUAGUAGACCUUCGGUCAUCAAAAUCUAACCCCCAGUUUGCAUCAGCAUACCCAACUAAGGACAGAUUAGGUGACGGACGAAACAUAAUCCCAAACUCAAUCGUUCCACCUAGAUACCUCAAAAUACGCUUUAGAGCCGUCAUAUAGACAGAAGUGGGACAAUGCAUAAACUGACAUAUUUGAUUCAAAGCAUAUUCAACAUCUGGUCGCAUAAGAGUGACAUACUGUAGUACCCCAGCAAAGCUCCUGUAUUCAGUUGGAUCCUCUAAACACUCACCACCAUCUUUAGUUAAGAAAGAAGAACUAACCAUCAGUGUAUUAACACUCUUCGCAUUUUCCAUCGAACACCGAAUAAGAAUAUCACGUAUAUACUUCUUCUGACAUAGAUAAAGACAACCUGAUGAAGAACGAGUAACUUCUAUCCCAAGAAAAUAAUGAAGAUCGCCCAUGUCCUUAAGUGAGAACUCACUAUUCAGCAAUUUAACAAACCAUUCUAUAACAGAUGGCACAUCACCUGUCACAAUAAUAUCAUCAACAUACACAAGAACAUACAACGUUGAACCGGAAACAACCCGAACAAACAAGGAAGCAUCAGACUUCGAUACUACAAAGCCCACAGAUACUAGAAAUCCUUUUAGCUUCUCAAACCAGGCACGAGGGGCCUGACGAAGACCAUACAACGCUUUCUUCAAACGACAUACCAGAGGUCUGCCAUCGGAACCAUACUGUACAUAGCCAGGAGGUUGAUGCAUGAAGACUUCAGUAUCAAGAUCUCCAUUUAGAAACGCAUUAUUCACAUCCACCUGUCGAAGGGACCACCCCCUAGACAUAGCAAUAGACAGAAUAACUCUGAUAGUAGCCGGUUUUACCACCGGACUAAACGUUUCCUUAAAAUCACAACCUGAAACCUGAGAGCAGCCUUUCGCAACCAAGCGAGCCUUAUGGCGAGUAAUAGUACCAUCAGAAUUCCUCUUAAUCCUGAACAACCAUUUGCAUCCUAUAAUCUUACGAUUAGACGGAGCUGAAACUAGCUCCCAUGUGGAAUUGCGCAUAAGAGCAUCAUACUCAUCUUGCGCAGCAGCACGCCACUCAGCAGUAGCAAGAGCUUCUUCAAUUGUAGAAGGUUCUUUAACCUCAACAUGUAAAACCUUAGGCUUGUAAACUCCCGCUUUAGCUUAAGUGACCAUUGGGUGAGUAUUACCCACAGGUGGUCUACUAACUUGACUGUCAGAUGACGACGAAACGCCUUCAGACAGUCUUGAGAUAGACUGAGGAUGAUCAGUAAAAUCACCUAGUGAAGCCGACUCAUGCAAAAUUGAAAGAGCAUCCAACCCAGACCCAACAUCAUCCGAAGGAGCAUGAGAUUGCACCAAAUCUGUAUUUGAAGUAGAAACAUUAGGCUGAGACUGGAACCCUUGAAGAGAUGGUGACACAACACAAGGCAUAGGAGACGACGAAGAAGAAACAGUGGGCCACACAACGGGAACAACAUUCGAACUAGUCUGACUGGUCUUCGUCAUAGACUUAUCAGGGCUAGACUCAGCAAACAAAAAUCUCUGCUCAUCAAACACGACAUGUCUCAAAAUAAUAACCUUACCAUCCGGUAAAAGACACUGAUACCCCUUAUGACGAGGACUGUAACCCAACAAUGUAGACGGCUGAGACUGAAAAUCCAAUUUAUGACCAACAAACGGACGUAAAUAAGGAUAGCAGCAGCAGCCAAAAACUCGAAGAUGAUCAUAGGUCGGAUCAUUACCAUAAAGUGCCUUAAACGGAGAAUUUCCCUGAAGCACAACAGUAGGAAGUCGAUUGAUCAGAUGAACCGCGCAACAGAACGCAUACCCCCAGUACUGCAUAGGCAAACUCGCAUGAGCCAAUAACGUAAUACCCAUUUCAACAAUGUGACGAUGUUUACGCUCAGCCACUCCAUUUUGUUCAGAAGUGUACAGACACGUCAAUCGAUGAAUAAUUCCCUGGGAUUCCAAAACAGAUGUAAAACCACGGUAUUCUCCUCCCCAAUCACUCUGAAACUGCUUAAUAGACUUGCCAAAUUGUGUCUCAAUUAACUUUUGAAACUGAGUGAAACACUCUAUUGCUUGAGCUUUUUGACGUAUAAGAUAAACCCAGGUAAACCUAGUGCACAUGUCAAUAAACGAAACAUAAUAUCUCUUUUCAUCACAUGCAACAGAUGCGGGACCCCAAAGAUCAGAUACAACUAACUCAAAAGGUUGAUAACUAGUAGUAGAAGGUGAAAAAGGCAACUCAAAUUGACCUCCUGUAACACCUGAACUUGACGAUUCUCACAAUCAACCAACGCAUCAACCACACGCUUUAACGGCAGUACACCAGUCGACAAUCGAACAGACGAGAUGACCGCCUCAUAUUCCGACAGCAAUCCCGCAAGCACCACUUCAACCUUCUCUUCAUCAGAAAUACGCGAACCGGACGUAUCUAACAUAGCACAGAGAUCUUUAAUCUUAGCAACAUAAGUUUUAAUAGAGAGGUUACAUUUCUUCAAGGAAUGAAGCUCAUGCCGAAGUCUCGAUUGCUUGGCGCCAGUAUUGGUCGCAAACAGAUUAACGGCCAUACUCCAUACAUCACAAGCCGUGCAAGCAUCAUCAAAGGAAGAUUGAUGAGAAGAGCUUACUGUAGAUAAAAGCCAGGACGUCAGAAGUCGAUCUUGCUGCAUAAACACCUGAGCCGCCGGAUUUGGAGCACGCAAGCCAUCGGGUAGAAGAUUGAAACGUGAUGGUAGAGCAAUGGUGCCAUCUAAGAAGCCUGUAAGUCCAUAACCAUCAACUAUCAGUUUUACCUGUUUGCGCCAUUGAAGAUAAGUACCUUCAUCAAGUUUAACGACUUCAUGCCGAGGAAAGACAUUCGUGACACGAUCGGCAUCAAACACACCGGAGCUAGGUUCACCAAACUCAGAAUCAACGGAAGCCAUACUAAGAAAAAUCCAGAAUCAACCUGCGAAUGAUACCAUGAAAGAAUUGGGUAAAUAGAGAGAAAUAUCCAGCCAAACAGAGAAAUAUAAAAUGGAAAACUUCUUUUUGUUUGUUUAUUCCAAAAUCUUAACUCUCUGAAUACACAUGUUCAGUAUUUAUAGGCAUGAGUAACCGCUCCAUAAUGUCAUACGUGAAUAGAUUUAAAAAAGAAAGAAAAAAUAACUUUCAUCAUUAUAAAGGAAAAGUGAAAAAGCAAAAGGAAUUAUUAUUUGAUUUAUAGGAGAAAUUUUUAACUCUAUAAAUGAUAAUUUUUUAUAAUUUUUAUUUACUUUUUAUAAUUUUUAUAUUUAACAAAAUUAUUUUUUAAAAAUUUUUACAAUCUAAAUUAAAUUGAUAAAAUAUAUAAAUAAUAAGGUUAAAAUUUUUUUAAUUAUGAUAAAAUUGAUAAAAUAUAUAAAUAUUAUUAAAAAUUAAAUCAUCAACAUUAUUCUAUACUAACGAUUUAACUUAUAACCUGUUAGAAACAAUUUUUGAACAAAAUUGGUUUGAUGAUGGCUCCAAAUAAAUUUCAAGUCUAACGAACUUGUAUCAACAUCACGAAAUUCAACUAUAUUUCAAAAAUAUAUAUAUAUAAAAUAUAUAUAUUUAGGACUUUUUUAUGGUGCAUGUCAUGACAGUUAUUAUAUAACAAGAAAUUAGCAAUGUAAAAAAGGCAUGGAGAUAUAAUUAGAACAAAAAAUUUACAAAAUAGGGACGCUUGGGCUAUGAAGAUACUUAAAGUUUGAAGAGACAUGGAAUAUUAAGGCAUUAGAAUAUCUUCAAAAACAUCAGUCACAUAUCUCAACAACAUCAAGGGAAAAAAAAGAAAGAGCUGCAAAAGAGAACUAUACCGAAGAGCCAAGAAUUGUGAUGUUGUGAGUGCUUACAGAUAGACAUUAAAUUUGAGAACUUGAACACUGCUGCACUGCCACACAGAUCAAAUACUUGAUGGUUUAGUUUUAAGGAAGAAGGUAGUGAAAUUGUUGAUGGGAAAAUGGAGGUUCUAAUCCCGCUCCUUGUUGGAGACAAUUGUCUCAAGCUUUUUCCUUGUUUAAAGGUUCUCACCCCAAAACCCUUGCAUUCUUUUUUUUAAAACUCAAAAAGGAACUUUUAACUUCCUUUCUCCCCACCGCACCCAUGUAACUGCUUAUAUAUUAUAUGUACGUAAUAUGUAUAUAUUAUAUGUAUGUAAUACGUACAUAUUAUAUUAUAUAUUAUAUAACCCCACAUAUAUGUAUAUAUAUAUAUACACAUAUAGCAUUUUGUCCCUCAUUGCACAUCGGGGUUCGACAAGUGUUGCGGCUGAAGUAGUGAGAAUAUACAUUUUGUCUUGAUAGUUUUAAAAAGAUUGUUUUUAAAGAUAUUUUCGAUAUUUCUAAUUUAAAAAGAAAUUUAAUUUUAAUUACUUGUUAAUUUAAAGACAGCUUUAUUAUGACUUUUAAUAAUAGUAUUGUAAUUUUUAGAAAUUGUUCACUUAUCUAUAAAGGAUUGAUACAAAACAAUCUCUAUUUUAUCGAACUAAAGAUGUACACAAUGAUAGAAAUCGAAAUUGCAAAUAAGGAACUUAAAACUUUGUACUUUUGACAUUUGAGAUUGGGCCGUAUUAAGUAAGAAAAAAUUACUAACUUGUGAAAGAUGACAAUUUAAGUACACUUAGGGAAAUUUAUCUCCGACAAUGUGAAUCUUACUUGAAAAGUAAGAUUUCCAAGUAAUCUUUUAUUGAAAAAGGUACUAGAGUAAUUCAACCUUCAGAAUUUAUUCACACUAAUGCAUGUGGCCCCAAAAAUUUAUUGCGCGAAGCGAUUAUGAUUAUUAUAUUAAUUCAAAAUAUAUACAAUUGAUUUACCAUGCAUUGUAUUUUUCUUUAUGAUUCGUUUUACUUUUAGAUUAGGAAGGCCUACAAUAAGUAUGUAAAUGCAAAGAAAAACUGAGUCCAAUAUAUCAGGUAGGGAAAGUUUGUACAUUUAUUCAAGGUUCUUUAGUUGUAAACUAUGUAAUUUGGUUGGUGUUGAUUAAUAAUGAUCUAAAGUUUGUACAUUUAUAGAAGUGGAUGGUCUAAACCGGUGUUGAUUAUGGAUGGCAGAUAUGUGCAGUGCAGUGUUGCUAUCUUCGUCAUUUUUGGUUCAUCACUUGCCAAUGAAAGUCUUUCUUUUUAAGCAUUUGAAUCAACAGUUAAGAGAACAUCCAAUCUAUUGAUUUUAGUUUCUUAGCCGAAUGACGGCUUUUAGUUCAUAAUUUCCAUUGGCGAACCCAAUGCAGCAGCUAAGUGUAAUGAAGUGACAUCAAUGCGGCCUAAAAACAUUUCCAUCUCGGUAGAUUAAUCUAUACAAUUCGCCUUUCCUGUACGAGCAGCUGUGAGGAAGGGGCCAAUUGACAAUAGCAGGAGAAAAUUUGGAGGGGUUUAACCAUCGAAAGCGACUCAUUCAAAAAUUGAAGACUGGUAUGGUCCGUCAAUUACGGUCGACAAGGAAACAAUAUAAAGUAAGAGAAGGUAGACAAUUAUUUUGGUAGUGGUGAAGGUUAAAAGAACUGCUUCUUCCAUGGAUUUUAGAUUUUAAUCAUUCUGUACUAAUUGGAUGAUGCCUUUGAUAUGUUCAUACUUCAUAUUCAAAAGUUUAAACAAACUGGCACCCCGUGGUGUGAACGAGGAAGCCACCUUGAUAUCAAGAACAGAAAAUAAAUAUCAAAAUUAAGUUUUGUUAAUAAAUGAACUUCAUUUAAUUUUAAUUAAAAAAAUACUUUGUUAAUAUUAAUAAGAUUUUGAAAUAUAUUGUCUAAUAUUUUUAAUAAAGAAUAAAUCUUAAAAUCACAUAAAAUUUUAGUUCCAUGUGUAUUGUGUUCUAACCAGAAAUAUGAUAUAAAUAUUAAUAAACAAGGAUAUGUCAUGUCAAAUAAUACAGAAUAAAUUAAGAACAAAACUAAAUGUGAAAGCGUACUUGAAUUCAUUUAAAUAUUGUGGUUUUGAUCUUUAAAAUUAACACAUAAGUGUUUUAGAGAAGGCGAUACUCUCUUUUUUGAAUAAAUCGAUGUUUUUAUUUCUUUAAACUUGAAUAAUUGAAUCAAAAUUAAAAUUUCAAGUAUACAUUUAAACCACAAUCAAAGUUUCAUGUGUAUAAUGGCACCAAAUUAAAGUUCGUGUAUUGAUUUGCAUAUCCAAUCAAUGUUUAUGUACAGUUCUGAGAUUUAUCUCUUUUAAUAAUUUUGAAAUGCAUUUUUAAUAAUUUUAAUUUUUUUAAUUCGAAAAAUAUAGUUUAAGAAAAUCUCAAAUUUUAGGUUUUCUUAAGGAAAGUUCAGAAUUUUACAAAAAAAAAUUAGAAUUUUUCGAUUUUUUAGUAAUUUUAGAGAUCAUAAUGUGUUUUAUUUUUAUUUUGAAUUUUUUAAAAAUAUUAGUUAAAUACAUUUGUCAACCUCUUAAUCCCAAUUGUGGAGUUAAGAAGUUAUAUUAUAUGUGUAUCAAAUAAUUAUCCUUAGCAAAGGGAAGUGAGGAUUAUUAUUUGAUAUAUAGGGGUUCUUUCAACAAAGGAUGAGUGUUCAAUCAAAUCAAGUGAAAAAAAAUUAGAGUUAAUUGAGUUGAUGAGUCAUAUUUUAUCAUCUUAAAUUGAUUUGAUUUUUUUCAAAUCAAGUCGAGUGAAAUAAAUUCAAUUUAAAUCAAGUGAAAUUGUUUGAGUUAUUUUAAAAAAAAUUAAACAUGCCAAAUUGAAAUCUUAUUACAGUACAACUAAUUUUACAUUAAAACACAUAAAAUUGAAACAAUAUAUAUAUUUGAAAAAAAAAUUAAAGCAAAAUAAGAAAAAAAUAAAUAUUCUUUAGUAUGAUAAACUUAUUCAAUCAUCAAUUAUUUUAAUUUUGUAUAUAUAAUAUAUAAAUGUAAAAUGAUGUUAUGUGAAUAGUUUUGUUAAUAAUUUGUAUAUGUAAAAGUGAACACAUAUAUUAUACAUUUCCCUAAUUCACCAGCAAAUCUGCCUUAAUUUUGAUAUGGAUAUACUUAAUACUCGGAUAAUGUUGUGAAUCACAUAUAUUGUUUAAUUUUCUUUUUUGAAGUUUUAAUAUAUUUUAAUGGGUAAGAUAUGUCAUUUUUACUCUUUGAAAUUUUGGAAUUUAGUUCCUAGACUUUUAUUUUUAGGAAUUUAGUCAAUUUACUUUUUAGAUUUUAAAAUCAAAUCCAAUUAUUGACCCUCUUAAAUUUUUUUUGUUAAAUUUAAGUUUAUUAUAACGUUAUUUUUUUUAGUUAUAUCGCUACCAAAUGAGUUUCUUUUCAAAAUGUCACACCAAAAAAAUUUAACAAAAAAAGACAUUUAACAAUAUUAACAAUUGGACCUGAAUUUUGAAAUUUGAAAAGUAAAGAGACUAAAUUCUUAGAAAUAAAAGUACAUGGAUUAAAUUUCAAAAUUUUGAAGAGUAUAGAGACUUAUGGCAUAUUUUAACCUAUUUUUAAAUUGUUUUGAAUAUUUAUCUGCUUGUUUAAUUUUUAUAUUUUUUUGGAUUUUUAAUAAUUUUUGUGAAGUUUUUUAGAAUCAAGAUUAAAUUGAUAUAAUAUGCAAACAUUGAGGGUUAAAUUUAUUAAUUUUUAGAAUUAUGAUUAAUUUGACAGAAUGUGUAAACAUUAAAGGAUGAAUUUGUUAUUAUGUCAAUAAAAAAGUUACGUCAACAUUCUAUUAACAUUUAAUAGAUAAUUAACCAAAAAUAUUACUAUUGAUAACAUUGGUGACAAAACCAAAAAACGUGCUAAUACUUAGUGACUAACAACUCUUGGAUGCAAUGAUACGACUCAUUAUACUCUUAAGAAGAGAACACGAGUUUAAAAAUGAGACACAACAUUAUUAAGAGGGGGAUAAUAACAAACCUUAAACACUUACAGUAAAUAUAUAUCCAGAAUCAUAUGGUGCAUUAAACCAUUCAUUCAUCACUCCUUCAGCUAGCUUUUUGUUUGGUCCAAGAAUUCAUAGUUGGAAAUGUCAUGUAUAAAAUCAACCAUUUUAUUUCAUGUGGACUGGAUACCUUCUUUCUGUGACUUUGCUGCUUGGAAAUUUCCUUGGACCUUCGAAGAAAAUUAACUCCUUAAACUAGAGUUCUGUUCAAAUCAUGUAUAACUUGUGGUCAGAUCGGAAACAUGUGUUUCCGGAAAAUAUAGGUUCUAUUUCUAUUUCUAUGUUGUCUUCUACUUCUUUCUUCUUUGUGUUUGGUUGCAAAUUUCCUUAGUUUUCAGUAAUCUGAAAAUUUACUGCUUAAUUUAUUAAACCUCAAGAGAAAAGCUAUGGAUGAGAGGAUGAUACAGGCUGCCCAAACAGGAGAUAUUAACCUCUUGUAUGAGUUGAUUCUGAAUGAUCCAUAUGUUUUACAGCGUAUUGAUGAUGUGCCUUUUUUUCAUACUCCAGUGCAUGUAGCUGCCUCUGCUGGGCAUAUUGAGUUUAUGAUGGAGAUGAUCAAAUUAAAGCCGACGUUUGCGAGAAAGCUAAACCAAGCUGGGUUUAGCCCCAUGCACUUGGCUCUGCAAAAUGACAGAACUCAUGCAGUGCUUCGACUCCUCAGGUUUGAUGAAGGCCUUGUUCGUGUCAAAGGGAGGGAGGACCUCACUCCUCUGCACCAUGUAGUUCAAACUGGAAAUGUUGAUCUUUUGAUCAAAUUACUUGCGGUUUGUCCUGAGGCUAUUGAAGAUGUGACUGUUCGAGAUCUUGCAGUAAAAAACGACAUGUUUGAAGCAUUUCAAGUCUUGGUGGGGUGGCUUAUAAGGAGCCGCUAUGGAGCUGCACAACGUUGGGAGAAAGAACUGCUUAGUUGGGCGGACAUUGAUGGCAACACUGUGCUGCACAUUGCAGCUAUCAGACACAGACCUCGGGUAUAUGCUAAUUUUCCUAAUCAAGUCAAUUAUUGAUAUGUAUGUAAGUAUGAUAAAACGGUUAUUUAUAUAUGAAUAUUCUAAUUAACAGGUGAUGGAAGUAUUGCUGGAACACUUGCAUCCAUACCAAAUCAAUGCCAAAAAUUUGGAGGGACUGACAGCACUAGAUAUCCAAUCACAAUACCCAUGGAAUGAAAGGCAAGCGGAUAGGACUAUAGAUAUGCUAAGCAAAGCAGGAGGCUUGAGUGGUUCCUCUUCCUCGCUUCCCAAUACCUCCACCUCUUCAUUCCACAUCGAUUCUUUAAAAGAAAAGAUGACAUGGUAUGAAAAAUGGAUAAAAGCAGGUCGAAGAAUGAAGGGUAUGCCACAUGAGAUGCGUAACAUAUUACUCUGCUAAUUAUAACCACCACUUACGAUGCCUCUUUAAACCCUCCAAAUACGCCUGAUGACAGCCCAUUCAAGAACUACCAAUUCUCUUUAAGUCAAGACCAGCCUCUCAAUUCCCACACAUUUUUGCAUAAAACCGACAUCAAUACUGCGCCCAUGCCCAGUCCCUCCGCAAUUGACGUUUUCAUAAAAGAUGAAUGGUCAUCUGAAUACUCCUCGUUUUGGGCUUACAACUCGUUAACCUUUUGGGCAGCAGUUUUUUUAACAGCAAUUCUCCUACCACCUCAUUCAUUCUGUACGUUGGUUGAUACUCCUAGCACUUACCGUGUUUGGGAGAUCUUACAUGCAUUUAGCUGCUGUUUCGACGUGGUCACGGGUACCAUUACCAUAUGCCAGUGAAAAGGCAUACUCAUAUUUUUCUUCAGGCUCCGUUUAUAAUCAAGCAUUCUUAACGUUUCUGCCUGUCCUUAUGGUAUUCCGGGCAAUCUUUUAUGACCCGCAAACAUUACCAAACCAAAUUUCUCCAUGCUACUAUUAUUUGGUAAAGUUCUCUGGCAUUGUAUUCAAGAGAAGGUCACGGCGAGACGAGCCGUUUAUCAUUACGAUAGGUGUCAAGUGGAAGUGCAGUGAUGUAUGCAGCUGAGGCAUCCUAACAGACCGGUAGACUUGAACCUUGUUCCUACAUGACCCGAUCAAUUCGAUCAGGCACUCGCCAUCUAUUUUCAUUGUUCAACUCUUUGACAACACGAAAAAUCCAUUGUUCAACUCUUUGACAACAUGAAAAAACCAAAAGCUCUGCCCUCCCUCUCUAUCUAUCCAUGGGAUGGAAGGGCGGAGGCCUUUGGUGUCCCCUCCAGUCAAGAAUUGGGGCCUCAUAGAGAUAGCAAGCAAAACAGAAAAGAAUCAGAGAAACGAACUAGUAACUAGAAAAUAGAGAAAAGAGCUCAUUUUGUGUAUUGAAUCAGAUCAUCAAUUACAAUGUAGCAAAGAACUUAAGUAAUUAAAUUAGUUACUUAAGUUCUUUGCUACAUUGUAAUUGAUGAUCUGAUUCAAUACACAAAAUGAGCUCUUUUCUCUAUUUUCUAGUUACUAGUUCGUUUCUCUGAUUCUUUUCUGUUUUGCUUGCUAUCUCUGGUUGCCUUCCUUGCAACUGUCGCCGGAGCACUGCCAUUUUCACAUGGUAUCAAAGCAAAGGUUUUUCGACCAGUAGAUCGACGAUUACUCAUUUUUAUGGAUCCACCAUCAAUUCCCAUUGUUGCUUAGGUCAAUCUGUCUUUUACAAAUAACAAAAUCAGUGUUUAUCUUAAUGAUCAAUGUUUAUCAAAAAAAAAAUGGUGGAAAUCCACUUUCAAAAUGAAAAUCACCUAAAAAUUGAAUUUAUAUUUUUUUGAAGUUUGAAAAUAGAAAUAAAUCAUUUGGUUAUAUUGAAUCGUUGAAUAUGAGAAUAUUAAAUAUAUUUUAUUCUAGAUUCUUCUACGUAAAGUCGUCAUGAUUUUAAUGGAAUUAGAAUUGGAUUGAGAAAAUUAUUUAAAUAAAAAAUAUCGGGUUGAAUCGAAUUAUAAAAUAUUGGAUUAAAAGCUCAAAAAGUACUUGGACUUGGACCCAAUAUGGAAUAGUCCCAAAAGCCCUUUAUGUGAAAAGAGGUGGAAGUCUAACCCUAGUAAAAAUAGCUAGGGUUGUCGCCACCUAUAUUCUUAGUUGGACCAGGAGUUCGUUUUACUAGUUGAAAUAAACUUCUAUAAUUCAACAAGAAUUCUACCUUAUUUCCCUAUAAAUAGAUUACAUCAGUAGGGUUAUUUACAAAACUUUCAGAUAUUAUUAUUUUGCCUGAAAAUAGAGAGACUUUUAUUCUCUAAGAAUUAAAUAUAUUUUUUGGAAUAAUGAUUAUAUCGGUUUCUAUUUGAGAAGAGAUUUUCGUUUCCACAAAAAAAAAUAUUUCUAGUUCUGUGUUUGAUUCGAUUUAUUCGAGCCCACACUCAAAGUAGCUCGUGGUACGAGAAUAGCAUAAAAUAUCGUUUGGUUGAAAGUCGGGAACGACAAUAAUCCGUCUAUCCAAAAAUGCAGGUGCGAAUUCAGCCUAAAGUUUAUUACUAUAAAACCAUUUUUGAACCUAAUUUUUUUCAACAAGAAAAUCAUUUUCGAACCUAAUUUUUUUCAACAGUUAGUAUUAGAGCGUCAAGUUGUGCUAUGUUUAUAGUGUAAACCGAUAUCAAAAUUCUCUCUCUUCUUCAUGAUUAAUUAUAUUUGAUAAAAUGUGACAUUCUUGUGAUAAUAUGCAUGCAUGUUUACGGGAAUGUAUGCGGAUGAAUAUAUGAUAUUAUUUUAUUGCUAUGGAUGAUAAAGUAAAUUUGCCAAAGUUGUGAUUCCUAGAAAAUAAUAAUAAUUUAUUAUUAAUUUAGAUUGUGAACUAUCAUCUUCAUGCAAGAUUUAUUUUAUUUUAGAAUAAAAUAUGUGAGUAGGAAACGGAAAUAGGAAUUUCGUAACCUAAAUUUUCCCACCGAAACCCGAGAACUGAGAUAACGCAAAUUCAACCUAGCCAAAACAGCAAUGGCCGGAGGUGGUUCGAUGAAAGUGGUCGGUGGUGAUCCGACGGUGAUCGGCAAUGGUGACGACACAAAAACGAUGGCGGAAAGAUGAUGACAAAAACAUGAACCGCUAAAGCAGCAGAAGUCUGUGGUGACAAAAUUGAAGACUCAAAGUAUGCUUUGGGGUGAAUUUUGUAAUCUUAUUUUUAUUUAUUUUUGGCUUGUUAGAGUUGCGACCCAAAUUCUUUUUAAAAUAAAAUACCAGUGGCAAGAUGAGGGGAUCCACGAGGGCGACUUCUAUUAAAGUCAUGACGACUUUAUCAUACUAGAAUCUAUGAGUAAAUAAAUUUAAAUUGUCUUAUUUCGUAAAAUUGCAAUGACUAAUUGAUUUAAUUCCCACUUGAAACUUCAACUAUUUAAUUAUAACAAAUUAAUUAAUAAUUUAAAUAAAUUAAAUUAAUCAUUAAGUUAUCUUUUGUACCUCAUGAGAAAAUGCAUUCACUUCGAAUAGUGAUACAUGCAAUAUGUUUCUCUAUUUGUUGUUUUCAUUCACUCAACAUAUCAAUUCAAAUGCAAUUUAUAAAUGGUUGUGUUGAGCUAGCAAAGGGACAAUUGAAUAUAUAUAAUUAGGGCUCAAAUAAUUUAAAAUUAAGUUCUAACUCUUCCCUAUUAAUUACAACAUUAUUUAGUCAUAGAGUUAAUCCACUAAAAAUACCAUAACUAAAUUCUCUCUUAUUAUAUACCAUUACGAAAGCAACUGAAUUUAUAUUUGUCUAAUGACCUUGUCAUAUGUGUGUUGCCCUCAUAGGAUAUCAUUUAUCUCAUUGGGUUAAAUCUGUUCAAACAAUAUGAUCAUAUUUUAUCUCAUGAUGACCACCGCAUCUUCCACCAUGAAAAAGCCAAUUACUAAUACAUAGUAAUUAAAUCAUUUUUCCUAGACAAAUGACCCAUGACAACGUUACUUCUCCAUCAACCACGCAAUGUCAAAGAGAAGAUAUCAUUAACCAUUUAUUAGGCUAUGAAUUUCAUUGUUGUAAGUAAACCAAUGUCAUGCAUAAGUGUAAUACCCAAUAUACUGACUUUUGGCUCUAUUACAAAUUGAACUCUGGCUUUCAAUAUAUCAAAGUAUACAAGUUACAUACACAUAGUCAGUUACUUAUUCAGGAUUGAGGUAAGUCAUACUAUGAAUGUCACAAGCAAAUAAAUCCAUAAACAAAUGUAGGAUAAAUUCAACUUGGGUCUUGUCUGAUGUAUUAUCAAUCUAGACAAUCACACCUAUGUCUCUAUGUUUUGGGGAGUCAUACGUUCCAGUACCUAGGAUAAGAUAUUUCCCCAAUUGGACUUGAUAGACGACACAAUAGUCUCUUGAAUAAUUUUGCUCAAUUUUGAUUCUUUAGACCAUAUAGCAUUUAGAUUAUCUACCAAUAUAAGUUGUCUCAUAUCAUGAUCUGACCACAUGAUGCAACUUAAUAUUAGUUAAACAUUAAUUAAUCAGUGAGCCAAUAUUUACUUAUACAUUUUGGUUUUUAUGCAAAAAUCAUUGAGGAUAGAAAAAGGAUAAUAAUGUAAAUGAUGGAAUUUUACUAAAUAAAUUUAUUCAAAAAAUUACAAGCAUAUAUGACAAAAUAACUACACUAAAGACACUAGAUCAUAACGAAAGAAGCACUCUCUAUUUUUACAUUUCAUUUUAGAGUGACUAGCAUAAGCUUAUGGUGGAAAGUGAUAGCCAAAUCAUUUUGAAUCCAAUGUAAACAUGUUAUUUGUUAUGAUAUAUGGAAAAAUCUGACAAAAAUUAUAUAAAAAAAGGAAUGGUAAUAUUAUUAAAAGUGUAACAUUUGAAGUAUAAUGUAAUAGAAAAAAUAUUUUACAAAUAGACAAAAUAUUAAUUUUAGUUGAGAUGUACUUUAAAAAUAUAUAAUAAAAAAUGGAAGAAUUUAAUUCAAUAGUUAUUAUUAUUUUGUUUAUGUUCAAGUAAAAUGAAUUAAAAUCAUUAAAAAUAAGAGUAAAAUAAAAAAAAGGUGAUAUACCUUCUAAUUCUUUGGUAUUAUUGGGAAUAUAAGGUUACCUGCUUGUUAGUUGGAUUUUAUUUUUGGAUUGUAUUUUGUCCAUUUUAUUAAAAAAUGACAAAUUAAUCUUGUUAGAUUAAAGAGCAAAUUAGUACUAUUAAAAGUUGGUUCAUUUACAUUAGCAUGAGAUACACAUGGCACGACGCGUGUAACUGUUUGAUUAUGUCAUCAGUCAUACCAAUUUUUAACGGUAAAAAGAGAAAAAAAUUUACAAAAAGAAAUUAUUUCCUUUUUGAUCCAACCUAAAAGAAUUAAACAAUUACAUUGUUUUUAAAUAAUAGUUUAAGAACAUAUAACAAUUACAUUGUUCUAAGCAUUGUAUCAAUAAAAAAAGAAAUCAAAUAAUUAAUUGCCAGCUCAUCAAUAUAUAUAUUUCAGAAUGCCUAAAUGGACAAAUAUAAAGUUUUGAAGGGUGAAAUUUUUAUAAUUUGAAAAAUAAAAAACAAAGUUAAAAUAUACUAGCGGUUUGAGAAUUAGGUUAUUGCAUGGGAACCAUCUAUUGUAAGAAUGUUAUAUGGUCUAAGAGGGCAAAUGAUUCUGCUCAUUUUAUAAAAUAUACAUCAUGUUUUUUUUUCCUUAUGGAGUCUUCAUUUUUCUUUUAUUGGGAAUUAUCCAUAUUUAUGGAAAAUCAAAGAUAUGGGUAUCAAAUAAUAGAAAGUCAAAGAUAUGGAUAUCAAAUAUUGGAAAGUCAAAGAUAUGGGUAUCGAGAUAUUGGCAUAAUAAAAUCUGAGAUAUUUGCAAUAUAUGGUCCCUAAUUGUAAAGUGACUUUGCAAGUUGAUCCCUGAACCUCAACUAUAAAUAAGCAUGACCAUCUCUCAUUCUGUAUCUCAAACUUGCCAUUCUCUACUUAAGGCAUUGUUUUUUCUCUCUCUCUUUGUAAAUUCUCACUUGUAUUUUGGAGUGAAAUAUAUUUGGUAGUGGCCGAGGACGUAGGCAAAAUUUGCUGAACCUCGUUAAAUUAUUGUGUUCUUUAUUGUAUUAUUCUGCAUGAAUUGUGUGUGUGAUUGUAGUGAUUUAUUGUGCUAUUAAAUUAAGAUUGAGGGAUAUUCUGGCUAGGAAAGACCUGGUACUUAAGAGAUCCUUGUGAUCCACCUCUCUUUCCAGGGAAUUGAACUUAGUGUGAUUUUUUAGUACAAUAAUUUUACUCUUUUACACGCUUCCGCACAACAAUUGGUAUCAGAGCUAGAUUCAUACUUGGGGAAUACGAUCGUUCACGGCACUGUUCACGUACUGUAGUUGGGAUUGAGGAGAAAAAAUGGAAAAGGCAUCGUCAUCAACAAAGACUACUGUGACCAAUGCGAAAUUUGAAGUAGAGAAAUUUGAUGGUACCAAUAAUUUUUGUAUGUGGCAAUGUGAGAUCCUGGAUGUCUUAUGUCAGCAAGAGCUGGAUAUAGCCCUUGAAGAAAAACCUGACAAGAUCGAUGACAAGGAGUGGGCCAAGAUCAAUAGACAGGCAUGUGGAAUAAUUCGCCUAUGUUUGGCCAAAGAGCAGAAGUACUCUGUCAUGGAGACAUCAGGGAAGAAGUUGUGGGAUACACUGGAAGAAAGUUUCUAACAAAAAUUCUUGAAAAUAGGCUUUAUAUGAAAAAGAAACUUUAUCGGUUCACGUAUGCACCCGAUAUGUCGAUGAAUGACCAUGUGAACUCAUUCAAUAAAAUUUUAGCAGACUUGCUAAAUUUGGAUGAGAAAUUUGAAGAUGAAGACAAGGCAUUACUGUUGUUGAAUUCUCUUCCUGAUGAAUAUGAUCAUCUUACCACCACAUUGCUUCAUGGGAAGGAUACAAUCACAUUUGAUGCAGUCUAUAGUGCGUUGUAUAGAUCUGAGACUCGAAAGAAAGAUAAAAAAGAUCACAAAGAUACAACUACAGAAGUCUUAACAGUAAGAGGUCGUUCACGCAGCAACAAAUCUGGUAGAAGGAGUAAGUCCAAAGGGAGACCUGCCAAAGAUGAAUGUGCUUUUUGUCGUGAGAAAGGGGCAUUGGAAAAAGAAUUGUCCUAAGUUACAAAAAGGUAAAGCUAUUUCUGAUACAUGUGUAGCGGAGCAUGAUGAGGAAUCAGACUUUAGCUUGGUUGGCAUGGCAAUGGCAUGUCAUACAGAUGAGUGGAUUUUGGAUUCAGGAUGUACUUACCAUAUGUGUCCUAAUAAGGACUGGUUUUCUAGUCUUGAAGAACUAGAAGGUGGAGUUGUUUUUAUGGGCAAUGAUAAUGCUUGUAAGACAAUGGGAGUAGGUACAAUCCAAUUGAGGAAUCACGACGGCUCAAUUCAAGUCUUGACAGAUGUUCGCUACAUACCUAGCUUGAAGAAAAAUCUUAUCUCAUUAGGGGUCCUAGAAUCUAAAGGGCUCACAAUCACUUUGAGAGAUGGAUUACUAAAGGUAGUAGCUGGGGUAUUGACGGUGAUGAAAGGCACAAGAAGGAAUAAUAUGUACUAUUUAAAUGGAAGUACAGUUAUUGGAUCAACAUCAACAGCUUCUACGAAAGAUGCAGAUUCAGAGGCUACCAGGUUAUGGCAUAUGCGAUUGGGACAUGCUGGUGAAAAAGCUUUGCAGAGUUUGGCGAAGCAAGGCUUGUUGAAAGGUGCAAAUUCUUGCAAAUUGGAAUUCUGUGAACAUUGUCUUCUGGGCAAGCAGACGAGGAUAAAAUUUGGUUAGCAAUUCACAAUACAAAAGGAAUUCUGGAGUACGUUCACAGUGAUGUGUGGGGACCUACUAAAGUGGCUUCUUUGGGAGGUAUGCACUAUUUUGUUACUUUUGUUGAUGAUUAUUCAAGAAAAGUAUGGGUGUAUCUAAUGAAAAGGAAAAAUGAAGUUUUGGAUGUAUUUCUGAAAUGGAAGAAUAUGGUGGAGACCCAGACUGGUCGAAAAGUCAAACGACUUCGAUCAGACAAUGGUAUUGAGUACAAGAAUGAUCCAUUUCUACAAGUAUGUCACGAUGAAGGCAUUGUAUGACACUUCACUGUUCGAGAUACACCACAACAGAAUGGGGUGGCAGAACGUAUGAAUCGGACUAUACUGGAGAAAGUUCGAUGCAUGUUGUCCAAUGCUGGAUUGGGCAAAGAAUUUUGGGCUGAGGCAGUUACAUAUGCGUGCCAUCUAAUUAAUCAGUUGCCAUCAGCUGUAAUAAAUAGAAAAACUCCUAUGGAGAGGUGGGGUGGUAAACCUGCUACUGAUUAUGAUUCUUUACAUGUUUUUGGUUCCACUGCAUAUUAUCAUGUAAAAGAAUCUAAGUUAGACCCAAGAGCAAAGAAAGCAUUAUUCAUGGGUAUAACUGGUGGAGUAAAAGGAUACCGUCUCUGGUGUCCUGAUACAAGGAAAAUUAUUUUCAGUAGAGAUGUGACUUUUGAUGAAUCAACCAUGAUGAAGAACAAUGAUUCACAAAAGGAUAACACAACCAGUGGCACUUUGCAGCAGGUGGAGCUUGAAAAGGUUAAUGAUGAUCCAGCUAAUAUUGAAGGAACAAAUGAUGAAGAAGUUUCGACCCAAGAACUUCUACAGCAACAUGAUUCAAUUGCAUAUAAAAGGCCAAGAAGAGAGAUUUGUAUGCCUGCUCGCUUUAAUGAUAUGGUGGCCUAUGCACUUCCAAUUACAGAUGAUGAUGUUCCUUCUACUUACACAGAAGCAAGAAGUAACCCUGAUGGUGUAAAGUGGAAGCAAGCUAUGAAUGAAGAAAUGCAGUCUCUUCAUAAAAAUAGGACUUGGGAGUUGGUGACACUACCCAAAGGAAAGAAGGCAAUUGGAUGCAAAUGGGUAUAUUCAAAUAAGGAAAGAUUUCCUGAUAAAAAUGAAGUUCGAUACAAGGCUAGAUUGGUAGUAAAGGGUUACGCUCAGAAAGAAGGAAUAGACUACAAUGAAGUAUUUUCUCCAGUUGUGAAGCAUUCGUCUAUUCAGAUUUUGCUAGCCUUGGUUGCGUAAUAUGAUCUUGAACUAGUUCAGCUCGAUGUGAAGACCACAUUUUUACACGGUGAUUUGGAAGAGGAAAUCUAUAUGACUCAGUCAGAUGGAUUCAAGGUUACUGAUAAAAAAAUUGGGUUUGCAAACUGACAAAGUCGCUUUAUGGAUUGAAACAAUCUUCGAGGCAGUGGUACAAACGAUUUGAUCAGUUCAUGAAAGGGCAAAGGUAUACAAGAAGUAAAUUUGAUCAUUGCGUGUAUUUUUAGAAGCUACAAGAAGGAUUUUUCGUAUACUUGCUCUUAUAUGUUGAUGAUAUGUUGAUAGCAUCUAAGAGUAAAGUUGAAAUUGAGAGAUUGAAGACUCAACUCAACCUUGAGUUUGAGAUGAAAGAUCUAGGUGAAGCUAAGAAGAUCCUUGGUAUGGAAAUAUGUAGGGAUAGAGCUCAUGACAGAGUUAGUUUGUCUCAGAAGCAAUAUUUAAAGAAGAUACUACAGAAGUUUGGCAUGAACGAGCAGACUAAAGUUGUAAGUACCCCGUUGGCUUCUCAUUUCAAGCUUUCUGCACAACUAUCUCCUUCGACAAAUAUGGAACAAGAAUACAUGUUACAAGUUCCGUAUUCUAAUGCAGUAGGUAACUUGAUGUAUGCAAUUGUGUGUACAAGACCCGACAUUUCACAGGCAGUUAGUAUAGUGAGCAGGUAUAUGCAUAAUCCUGGAAAAGGACAUUGGCAAGCUGUGAAAUGGAUUCUACGGUAUAUUCAUAAGACCAUGGAUAUUGGAUUACUGUUCAAACAGGAUACUACACUUGGUAAAGGUAUUGUUGGGUACGUUGAUUCUGAUUAUGCCGGUGAUUUGGACAAACGAAGAUCAACCAUUGGUUAUGUGUUUACUCUUGCUGGAGGACCAAUAAGUUGGAAGUCUACACUGCAGUCUACAGUUGUGUUGUCAACCACAGAAGCUGAAUACAUGGCUGUAACAGAGGUUGUAAAGGAAGCUAUUUAGUUACAAGGUAUGGUUAAAACCUUGGGUUGGUUCAGGAGCAUAUUAAUGUGUAUUGUGAUAGUCAAAGUGCUAUUCAUUUAGCAAAGAAUCAAGUCUAUCAGGCACGUACAAAGCAUAUCGACGUACGUUUCCAUUUUGUGCGGGAAAUUAUUGAUAAGGGGAAAAUUCACCUUCAGAAGAUUAAGACUGCAGAUAAUCCUGCAGAUAUGAUGACCAAGGUGGUAACAACAAUCAAGUUCGAACAUUGUUUGAACUUGAUCAAUAUUCUGCAUGUUUAAUAGUUGAAGAAUCCACUAUCAAGUGUUGUUGACAAAGGCAGAGAGAAUUGUGUGAAGAUAAGAUUACUCGAAUCAAAUCUUCAAGGUGGAGAUUAUUGGGAAUUAUCCAUAUUUAUGGAAAAUCAAAGAUAUGGGUAUCAAAUAAUAGAAAUUCAAAGAUAUGGGUAUCAAAUAUUGGAAAGUCAAAGAUAUGGGUAUCGAGAUAUUGGCAUAAUAAAAUUUGAGAUAUUUGCAAUAUAUGGUCUCUAAUUGUAAAGUGACUUUGCAAGUUGAUCCCUGAACCUCAACUAUAAAUAAGCAUGACCAUCUCUCAUUCUGUAUCUCAAACUUGCCAUUCUUUACUUAAGGCAUUGUUUUCUCUCUCUCUCUUUGUAAAUUCUCACUUGUAUUUUGGAGUGAAAUAUAUUUGGUAGUGGCCGAGGACGUAGGCAAAAUUUGCUGAACCUCGUUAAAUUAUUGUGUUCUUUAUUGUAUUAUUCUGCAUGAAUUGUGUGUGUGAUUGUAGUGGUUUAUUGUGCUAUUAAAUUACGAUUGAGGGAUAUUCUGGCUAAGGAAGACCUGGUACUUAAGCGAUCCUUGUGAUCCACCUCUCUUUCCUGGGAAUUGAACUUAGUGUGAUUUUUUAGUACAAAAAUUUUACUCUUUUACACGCUUCCGCACAACAUCUUUAAUGAUAAAAGCUUAAAGAAUAAUCUUUAAAAUUUGGUUGUUGGUAGCUUUAUUUGGGUAGAAUUUGAGAUUUAGUUCAUAUAUUUUAAAUGUUAAAAUUUUAAUUUUUUUUACUUUUUCAAUUUAAUAUUGUAAAAUAAAACCAUAAAAAAUUGUGUACAAAUAGUAUUGAAUUUACAUAAAAAUAUAUAAAAAAUGCAGGAUAAAUUUGAAUAAUAAUACAUGAACACUUAAAAUGAUAAUAUAUGAAAAAAAACUUAAGAUAAUAAUAUACGAUAAAUUUAAACAAUAUUAAUAAUGAAUUUAAAAUAAUAUUAAGCAUAAAUAUUAAAAUAAGGUUAGAUUUAAAAAUAUAUAAAAAUAAUGGAAUAAUAAAUACUUAAAUAAAUUAGAAAAAUAAGCAAAUUAAAUCAAGCUAAUAAGGAUUAAAUUGGAUUUAAAACAAAAUUAGAAGGUAAAAACGUAAAUAAAAUAAAAUAAAGGACCCAAUUGAAAAGCGCGAAUAACUCAAAGGGACCAAAUGGGGAAAUAUCCCCGCCUUUUGAAAUGCAUCGUUUCACCAGGACCAAAUCAGAAACCAAAUAAAAUUUAAAGUAUCAAUUGAAGAAAAUAAAAAAAUUGAAUUAAAAUAAUAAAAAAUACGGAGGGGGCAAAUGCAUAAAUAUCCUUACCAAGACCAGAACAGGCAGAUCUAGCUGCCUCUGGGUCGAGUCAUCGGGUAUAGUCAAUACGGCACCGUUUUGGAGCCAUUGAAACAGACUUUAAAUGGUGUCGUUGCAUGGCCUUUAUAAAACAAAAAAAAAGAAAAAUAAACAAGUUUUUAGCCAUUUCGAAUCAGAUAAAAACCUUAGCCACACGCCGUUUAGAAGCCUGGCCAUUCAAAGGCCAAUCGAUCCCUGUCUGAACUUCGAUUGCGACAGAGUGAGCAAGGAUUCGACACCACCAAGUAAUUUUCUCACCUUAAAUUGUUUUUUUCUUUUUUUACACAUGAUGAGUAAACAAAUAGAUGAGUCUAGAACAGAAAAGAAAAACAACGAAAAGAAAAAAAAAGGUUUCAAAUCACCUUUAGAAAAUUCUGAUUCUUUGAUUUUUCGUCCCCUUUUAUAGAUUUGUAAUUGGCUUUUUAUAGCCGAAACGAAAAAAAGAAAAUAUGUAAAAAAGAAAUCUAUUAUGUUAUCUAGCUAUUUUCAUUUGCUGGCAUAUUGUUGCUCGCUUUUUACUGUUAUUCGUUUCUAUUUCAGGUGUACGAAGGAGCGAUGACGUGGAGGUGCAACACGCGUGGAGGCCUGGUUCCCAGCUGCGGCGUGGACUGUUCCAAAAACCCUAGGGGUUUCUGGAGAUUUCAAAUUGGGCCACUUCAAAUCGGGCUAGGGUUUAAUUAAGUCUAGGAUUGUAUUAGGUCUAGGAUUGGGUUAGAUUUUGGGUUUAGGCCUCAAUCCGAAUUUGGCCUAUUGUAACUGAACUUUUGGACUUAUUAAUGGUUAUUUUGGGUAUUGGGCUAUUAGGGUUUGUUGGGUUUGGGUUUUAGAUAUUUGGGCUGAUUUGUGUUUGUUUAUUUUGGGUUGUUUGUGUAAUUCUGGACUUUUUAUUUUAUUGGACUUUUAUUUUUUGAUUUGGUUUUUUUUGUGUGGGCUCGAGCAGAUUGGGCCUGCUACAAUAUUGAUGCAAAACUUUGUCACUAAAGUGCAAAUUGUAACAAUAGUUAAGUAGUCUUUUGUUCGAAUAACAUUAGAAGCACAUCAAAGUCAAAGCACAUAGACUUUAAGUUCAUUGUUGUUAAAAUAAAAGUUUAGGGUGGUUAGAUGUCUAUAAAGUAUAUUGAGACAAACUCCAUGGUUGUGGAUUCGCUUAUUAAGGGACUACCACCCAAAGCUUUUUUCCUGAGCACACUGUUGAUAUGUGUGUAAUGUCAUUCAAGGAUAUUUGAUUUUAGUAGGAGUUUGUACUUUUAAACGUUUUUAUGUUAUAAAUACAUUUUCAAUUAUUUUAGUUUACAAAUAUUAAGUUUUUUUUUUUUGUAGAAAGAAAGUUUAUUUGGUAAAGUUUGAUCUCACUAAGAUUAAUGUGGACCGGUUAGAAUAUGCAUGUUUGAAUCAUAUUACAUGUAAUUUUCAUGUUACACAUCCAUACUUAAUCUAUGUCAUUUGGUUGUGCUAAUAUAUGUGAUUAAGGCUGGAUUUAGUUAUGAUAUAUGUAACAAAGUUGCAUUCUUUCUAUGUUAACAUAAUUAAUGGACAGAUUGUUCGAAAUACCUUUUAGAUACGAUAGUAAAAUUUUGAGCUCAUAAAGUUAUAUAAUGACAUGUAAUUAUAAGGUAAUCGGUAUAUAUAUAUGUCAUCCAAGUGGUAUAUAUGGACAUCACAUAUAUAAUAAGCAUGUUACAUGUUAUUAUUUACUAUCAUAAAAGAUUAACUCAAAUUAAAAGUGAUCUAAUUUGGUUAAGAUUUAUUGGAUUUUAGUUAUUAAAUAAAAUAUAGGUCAAUAAUAUGUGUAGAUACUCUAGUAACUAAUUUCUAAUUUAUGAUGGGCUGAUUAGAAAUUAGGUUAAUGUGAAAAUGUUAUAUAUUAGGAUUUUGGUCUCCAAGUUAUGCAUAUGUAACUUUUCUAAUAUCCCAUCUUGAGAAAAGAGAGAGUCACAUUCUUUAGAUUACUUGUGAGCUAAUUUGGAAGAUCAAAACCUUAAAAUUCGUAGAUUUCAAGAAAUCGGUAAAUUCAAAUACGCUUCUGCAUUUAGUUUUGUUCUUAAUUAUUUGACAUGAUAGAUUCUGGUUUAUUAAGUUUUGUAAAAGAGUUUUACGGUUUUAAUAGGAUAAUUACGAAUCCCAAAUAUAAACUGUAAAACGGACAUGAAGAAUAUAAAAGAAAUAUUACAAGAAUUUUGAAAGAGAAAAUUAAAUUGAAAAUUUUAAUGUUAUUUUUAUCUUUCAUAAUUAUUUUUAUUUAUAUUUUAUUUACAAGAACAUUUUAUUAAGAGUUUAUUAGGAUUAAGUUUAUUUUUACUUUUAUUAAAUAAAUGUUAGACUAAAAAUAAACUUUUUUUUCCACUGUUGGUAUAAUGGAUAGUAGGCUAGGUUGUCCUUUUUUAUUUGUUUAGGCACCCGUGUACGAGAAUAAUUUAUAUUAGAAUAGUCCUAAAGGUUAAAGAUUUUAAUAUUAAUAAAAUUUUGUCACAUCAUCAAAUUUUAAAAAUAUAAAAUUAUUAUUAUACACUCGUUCAUAUUAAAUUUACUUUUUAACUUUCGUUCUUUUUAAACAUAAAUAAUUAAAAUAAAAAUAGAAAAAUAGAAUAUUUAAAAUUUAUACAAUCCUUAAAGAUUUAAUCCAAUAUUUUUUUUUGUUUUAAAAAAUGUAUAAUAUGAAAUAGAAAAAAAAAUUAAAAUGGAAAAACUCCAUUGCCUAUAAACUAAUUUUUAAAAAAAAAUUGGUUACAAAAAUUAAAAAUAUUAACUUCUGAAAAAAAACUAAAAAUGAUUAAAAUUUAUAAAAGAAGAAAAGAUGUUUAUUUAUAAUUUAAAAAAAUUAAUUAUUUUAAGUAAUUUAAUUAAAGUUAAAUUAAGUUAAAGAAGAAAGGAGAAAUGGAUAAGUAUAUAAUAAUACAUAAUUUGUUAAAUAUAUAAAGAAAUUUAUUUGAUUUAGUACCUAAAUAUUAAUAUUCGAAACUCUCGAUUUUUCACAAUUUAUUCAAUCAAAUUUAGAUCCAACUUUAAUUAUAUUACAAAGACAUUCUAUUUUAUUAUUUUAUUAACGGGUGAAAAAACUUAGUUCAACCCAUAAACAUUGACCACAAAGGGAAAUUUGAAACACUUACCACCAAUCCCCUAUCAGAAAGUCUUUCCCACAUUCAACUAGAAAUCAGAGCUCACCAAAAUGUUUAUUCUUUUCAAUCUGAACCGACUCUACAAUCACUUAUUGCUCAUGGUCUUCAGCCUAUAAACCCAGAAGCAUUAUUAACUUCUAAAUCCAAAACACUAAUAUCAGCAUCCAACCCUACAAUGGUAGUCUUAUUGACUCAUUUAAACAAGUUUCCUUUGUCAAUCUAUAUUCCAUAUUGGGUAAUCUCCAAUAUUAAUUCAGAAUUUAGGAUAGCUGGAACAAGAAUAACAGCAAAGAUGCAAAGCGAAACGACUUGUAGGAGGAGGAAGAACCUUCUUUUGGGUACAAACCUGUAUAGCAUAUAAUAGGAUGUCCUGUAUAAUGUCACGAGAGCUAGUACCGUUGCCAAGCAGUAAUUAGUAGUGCUGAGUUUAGAAUAGGAAACGGAUCCAGGAGUCGAAAGAUAGAAAAAAUACUGAAGUGCGAGUGUCCGUAUGGAAACAGCAACCAAAAGCAUGUAACAGGUCCCAAACAAGGAAAGUGUUAUGAGAAUAAACAAGGACAUUGAACGGCUGGGUAGGAGAUACGCUGUUAAAACAGUUGUUGCCCAAAAGGUUAAAGUGUUGUAUAACCAAAACAUUGUGGACACGUCUAGUAUAUUUUCUAUUUUUUUUUCUUCAGCGGGUGGAGGACUUGGUACGGGUCCAGUGCUGGUUGAACCUAAAGAUAUGUCAUACGUGAGAUGGAAAUUCUGGGAAUUUGAAAUGGUAUCAGGCUGCUUUGGAGGGUUCAAAGUGGCAGUGUAUGUGGCUGUUAUAAUUAGCACUGUGACUACUAAAAAUGUGUUACGCGUCUCAUGUGGGAUUCCCUUCUUUCCACGACUUGCUAUUGUUGCAAUUUUUUGAAGAACUGACACCUUUCCUUUUAAAGAUUCGAUGGGGAUUGAAGAGAUGGAGGCUUUGGGAAGCGAGGAAGAGGAACCACGCAAACCUCCUGCUUUGCUUAUCAUAUCUUUAAUGGACUCCUUAUAGUCCACUCUCCCUUCAUCCAAUGGGUAUUGUGAUGGGAUAUCAAGUGCAGUCAAUCCCUCCGCAUUUUUGGCAUUGAUAUGGUCUCCACACAAGCGUUUCAGCAGUACUUUUACCACCUGUUAAUUAGAAUAUUCAUACAAGUAACCUUUGAGUAUAUAUAUACAUAAAUAAUUUUACUAGCAAAAUUAUCAUACCUGAGGUCUGUUUCUGAUAGUAGCAACAUGUAAAACAGUGUUGCCAUCAAUGUCUGCCCAACUCAGUAGUUCUUUCUCCCAACGGUUGGCAGCUUUAUGGCGGCUCCUUAUAAGCCACCCCACCAAGACUUGGAAAGCUUCAAACCUGUCAUUUUUUACGGCAAGAUGGAAAACCGUCUCAUCUCGAACAGUCACAUCUUCAAUAGCCUCGGGGCAAACCUCAAGGAACUUGAUCAAAAAAUCAACAUUUCCAUUUUGAACCACAUGAUGCAAAGGAGUGAAGCCCUCCCGCCCUUUGACACGAACAAGGCCUUCAUCAAACCUGAGGAGUCGAAGCACUGCUAGAGUUUUUUGAUUUUGCAGAGCCAAGUGCAUGGGGCUAAACCCAGCUUGGUUUAGCUUUCUUGCAAACGAUGGCUUUAAGUUGAUCAUCUCCAUCAUAAAAUCAAUAUGCCCUGCAGAAGCUGCUACAUGCAAAGGAGUAUGGAAAAAAGGUACAUCAUCGAUACGCUGUAAAACAUAUGGAUCAUUCAGAAUUAACUCAUACAAGAUGUUUAUGUCUCCUGUUUGUGCAGCACCUAUCAUCCUCUCAUCCAUAGCAAGGUGCGGAAAUUUGCAGAAUAUAGAAAUGGAGUGAAGAAAAAACGCUUUAGCAGAGGAUAUGAUUAUGUUAAGGAUAUAAUGAAGUGUUUGAUUAUUUUUUCCAGAUGAAGUGUUAGACAUUUUAUAGCACUUAAUUAUUUUGGAUUUAUAUGUGAUGUCAGCCUCUACACGUAUAUACGUGAAUGUCACCUAUUAGAAAGAAAUAGUAAUUAAAUUCAUAUUUAAUAUACAUUUUUAAUCUAAUUUUUUUAAUUCAAUUUAAUUUUAGUUAAAACGUUUAAAAACAUUUAUUUAAUCUAAUUUCUUUAAUAUAUUAAAUAAAAAAGAAAUAUUAAAUAAAUUGGAUUAGAGAAUAUAUUGAAUAUGGAUGAAUACUGUAUCAUACUAAUUUUAUGUCUCUAAAAAUUUUAUAUAUUAUUUAGUGGUUUAAUUUUUUAAGAACAUUUGAUAUAAUUCAUAAAGAAAACAAAUAAUAAUUAAUAAUAAAUUUUUUAAUAAAAAAGGUGUGAAAAAUGGUAAGUAGAUAAUAGCUAUUAUCGCUUACAACAUGUUUGGAUUAAAAAGAAGAAAAAAGAAGGGAAAAUUAAGUAAAUUGAGGGAAAGAAAAUUCGGUUUCUUUGUUUAAGUAAAGAAAAUUAAGUAAAUUUUUUAUCGUAUCAUUAGAUUUUAUAUUUUAGAUUAUUAUCUCUUCUUCUUCUUUUUAACUUGUAACAAUCUUAUUUUUAUUUUCUAUUUUUUUAGGUUACUAGAAAUAUUUAAUUUUAAAUUUGUUUGAUAUAUAUUUUUAAAAAUUUUAACAAUAUUUUUUUAUUAACUAUUUUGUUAAAUUAUUAGGAAUCCUUCAUUUAUAAUUUGGUUAAGAUUUUUUUUUUAGUUUGAUCAAAUAAGCUUAUUAAAAAAAGAAUAUACCAAUAUAUUAUUGGUUAACAUUUUAAUUAUUAUUUUAUAUAGAAUAUUGAUAUUUUUCUAUAAAUUUAAUUUGCUGUGAUUUAAUUUUGUUAUUAUAUAUUAUUUAUGAACUGUUAAAAUUAAAAAAUAAAAGUAAAAUAAUUCAUUUUCUUUCCUUUUCACAGUUUAGCAAAACAAGUCCACAGGCUCGUCUCAUUCAAAAAAAGUAAAUUAUAUAUAUAUAUAAGGGCUAGUUUUAACAAAUGAAAAAUAUAGAAAAACUAUAUUAAAAGAAAUGGGGAAGGGAAAAGAACAGAGGGAGAAACAGAAGAGAAUGAAAAAUAAAGAAAAGUUAAAAUAACAUAAAAAAAAUUAAGGGUGGGUUUGGAUGGGCGAUUGGGUGCGGUGCGGUGCGUUUAGCUUAUUUUUUGUCUCACACUACAGUGUCGCUACAGUAUCUAAUCUCACCGCCACCGCUGUUUUUACACUAACUGCAGGUAAACGCACCGCCCAUCCAAACCCACCCUAAAUUGAAUUGCUCAAAACGAAAAAAUUAUAGGAAUCGGUUGUAUAAAUCACCCUAAAAUUUUUGUUUGAAAGAUGAUUUAACAUGUCACAUCAGUUUAUCGUUACACCAUUAACGGAAAUUAACAGCUCAGUGACUAAAAUGUUACAACGUGAUAACGUAAAUGACUAAAAUGUAACGUUUCAAACAUAAGUGACUAAAAUGUAAGCAAAAGUGACUAUUUUAAUAAUUUACCCUUGCAUUUAUCCAAACAUACGCUUAACGUAAACAUUUUUUUAAUUAUUUUUAUUUUAUUUUAUUUUUUACCAUUAUCCGUUAUCCUUAUUUUUAAAAAGUAUAAUUAAUAAAUAGUAUAAUUAUUUUUUAAAAUUAAUUUUAAGUAAUACACCAAAUAGAUUUUAUAACUUAAAUUUAAUAUUUAAUUUUAUAAUUUUUUUUUAUCAAACAACGUUUACUCCUAAGUAAAUAAAUAAAUAAAGGCCUUGUGUAAUUAAGAAAGUUGAGAAAGAGUUAGUCCUCACAUUGGCUAAAAUAACGGAGGAAAGAGAAAAAUUGGCCAAUAAUGGGGAGGCAAUGUCAAUGAGCAUACCCCACACAUACUAUUUACUGUCAAUGGUGAUGGCUGAAUUGGCUACUAUACAUGGAUUUUGUUUUCCUUUUCUUUUUUGUUCUUGUCCUGUAUUAUUUGCAUUUGUGAUCCCAAACUAUGUAAAAUUCCAGUCACUAUGUGAUCACAUUUUAAAAAAAAAAUUAUUUAUUAUCGAUUGAGUAUCAGCUUGAUUGGUAUAAAUAUUAUUGUUAAUGUAUAAGAACAUAAAUUUGAGUGUGUUAAAGCGCAUUAUCCUCUUAUUUAUAGAUUGAGAAGUGGUUAUUGGUAGUUCUAGACAUUGUGUAGAAAAGAAUACAUAUAAUCAGAAUCUAUAUUAAAAUUUUUCAAAAAAAUAUAUUUAUUACACAUGAAUUAAAAGAAAUCUAUUUAUGGGUAGUUCAAGAUUGUUGAAGCUAUAAAAUAAAAAUUCAAUUCGAAAAUAUAAAUCUCUUUUGUUUAACAAAAUAUUAAUAAUUAGUUGAGUUAAUAUUAUGAGUCAAUCGAACACCAAUUUAAUUAAGAAAUUACGAAAAUAUCGUUCCAUAAUUAAAAUAAAUUAUAUUAUUUGAGGAUAUUUUAAUAUUUUUUAUGUAAAAAAAAAUCAAUAAAAAUAUGAAUAUGAUGGGAUUUGAAAUAAAAUCUAGAAUUUACCACUCAACCAAAAUUUUAUUUUAUUAUAUUUUAUACAUUUUUAUUUUAAUAAGCACACUUUAUUAUCUCCGUCAGUUAUAUAUAUAUUAAUAAAUUUAUUGAUUGAGUUGAUAUCACAAGUCAACUCAAUACUAACCGACAAUUGAAGACAACACUUUGAUAGACAGUUGUAGUGCAUUUAAUUAAUAUUUUUAUUUUGAUGUAUUUAUGUGUUUAAAUUUUAUUUUUGCUCCCAAAUUAAUUUAAUUUUUUAUUUUAAUGUCAUACAUAUUUUAUAUAUUCUUAUGAUUAAUUAGCUUCAAACCAUAUGUUUUAUUAUUUAUUUUAUUUUUUUAAGCAUAUAUCUGUAUUCCAAAUCUAAACGCAAUUGCUUAUGUUAGUCAAUGUUACAAAUUGAGAAAUUUAUUAAAACUAUUGAAAUCUUCACAUCUAACCUGGUUUUAUCAUGUUUGGAAGACGCUAUUGAUCUUCUUCAAGUGGUUUUUUCACAAAUAUACUAUUCAUAUAUAUAAAAUAUGAUGAGUAAUAAUGUAUAGUGACGUGUCCAAACACUAAUUGAUGAAAAAAGUGAGUAAUAUUUUAUUACAACAUGAUGCCUUUUCAUAGUAUAAAAUGACUAUGCGAAUGAGGGCUUCCUACCAUUACCAGAAAGCUGAGGCUGUAGGAAUGAUGGCUUUUGCAAGUUGUGAUUUUAGGAUUUUGUGUUUGAUUAUUGUUUAGUUAUGCUAAAAUGUCACAUAUGGGUACUGUUUUAAGUUAUGUGUGAAUUCUAAGUUGAAUAUGUAGCCGCCUAAAAUAUUUAGGAGCGCUAAUUGAGAUCAUUACGAAAGAAAAUUGUAUUCUAACGGUGUAUGAAAAUUUGGACAAAAAUCUCAACUUUUUAUUUUUUUUUAAAUUUUAUUUUUGCUCCCAAAUUAAUUUCAUUUUUUAUUGUUGUACAUAUUUUAUAUAUUCUUAUGAUUAAUUAGCUUCAAGCCAUAUGUUUUAUUAUUUAUUUUAUUUUUUUAAGCAUACAUCUGUAUUCCAAAUCUAAACACAAUUGAUUAUGUUAAUUAAGGUUACAAAUUGAGAAAUUUAUUAACACUAUUGAAAUCUUCACAUCUAACCUGCUUUUAUCAUGUUGGGUAGAUGCUAUUGAUCUUCUUCAAGUGGUCUUUCACGAGUAUACUAUUCAUAUAUAUAAAAUAUGAUGAGUAAUAAUGUAUAGUGACUGUCCAAACACUAAUUGAUGAAAAAAGUGAGUAAUAUUUUAUUACAACAUGAUGCCUUUUCAUAGUAUAAAAUGAUUAUGCGAAUGAGGGCUUCCUAACGAUGGCUUUUGCAAGUUGUGAUUUUAGGAUUUUGAUUGUUUGAUUAUUGUUUAAUUAUGCUAAAAUGUCAUAUAUUUGUGAGCCCUACACUCACAUCAAAUUUAGAUAUGACAAACAUGAUUUAAAACAAAACCAUAUUAUAUUACUAGCUGUGAGCAAUUUAAAGAAAUUGAAUUUCUUUUUUACAAUUUUAAGUUAAUCAAUUAUUUGAUUUUUUAAAAUUAACUUGAAUGAGUGAUUUUGUUUUUCAAGUUUAAGUCAAGUUGAAUUUUACAACUCAAAUAUAAAUAUCUCUUGGGUCACUGAUAGUUUUAAAAAUGUACAAACUGAUCUGUCUCAAAAAUUUUAAAAAUUCAAAAUGAUCUUCUAAAACUCAAAAUAUUUAUAAAAUAUUUUCCCAAAAUUUUAUAAAUACAUAUAAAUUCAAAGAAUUUACCACUUAAAAAUAUAUAAAAAAUAUUAAAUUAUAUUUUUUGAAAAAAUUAAUAAAAUAAAUUUGAGGUCUUAAAUAAGUAACUUAUUAAUUCAAUUUUAUCAUACUAAUUAUCUUGUAUUCCAAGAGUUUUCAUAUAUAUCAGGGGCGAAGCCAGAAAAUUUUUUUUUAGGGGGGCAAAAUGAAUUUUUUAUUUUUAAUAGUCUAUAUCUUUAUAUUAAUAUUUGAACUGGUAUAAAUUAAGAUUGUUACGUCUAACAUUUAUAUCGAAUAAUUUUUACUAUAGAGAAAAGAAGUAAAAAUAAUAAUAUAUGAUGUAAAAUUAUUAAUUUGAGUCUUAACACAGUCGGUAUUUGUAUGUUGUUUAUGUAAUAUGGAGUGAGUUCAAGUAUGUUCAUGUGUAAUUUUUCUUUCUAUUUAAAGGUUGGAGAGGAGUUAGGGUGAAGCUAGAAUUUAUUUUUUUUGGGAGACGAAAUUAAGUUGUAUAUUUUUAUGAGAGUUAAAAUACAAUUUCACAAUUUCAAUAGAUUAUAUGUUUACAAUUUUUAAAGAACUAAAUCAAUAUUUUAUCAUUUUUUGGGGCUAAAGUACAAUUUUACCAUUUAUUAACUUAAAAUUUUAUAAACUUAAUUUAAAGGGUUAAAAUUUGAAUUUCACAUUUUAAAGGGAGGGAUAGAAACCCUUCUAGGCUCCCCUCUUGCCGCCCCCCUAAGAUGAUAUAAAGUAAAGCAAUAAGUGUCUAAAAUAUAUGAAUUAUGAGUACUGAUUACACUUGACCAAUUGCUUUUCUUCAAACAAAGCAAACACUAAUGCACAUGAAAAUGCAAAUUCACAUGCAACCUAGAUAUGCAUUCUAUAUACAAUGCAAUGCAAUGAAUAAAUAAAUAAAUAAAUAUAUAUUAUUUAAUCAUGAGAGUUUUGAUCCCCUUGUGAUUCUUUAACCAACCAUUCUCACACCUAAUUAUAAUUCUAGUAUAGUAAAAGUACGUGAGUGAGUUGAAUGGAUGGUGGUUGUUUGACAUAACAUGUAGAAAGUGAAAAAAUAGUUGAAAAUAAAUCAAGUAUUAAAACAAAAAAUUUAUGAAAGAAAUUCUAGUAUUAUCAAUUUUUCGUGAGGCUCAAAGCUAUUUGGAACAAAAAUAAAAUCAAUGUGUAUAGGCUUAACAAAAUAGCUAUCAUCUUGCAUUGUUAUUUCAUCCUAACCUCUUCCCUCAUAACUUCAUCUUCUAUUUUCUGUUUGACAUUAUCAAAAGUAAAACAUAGUUUUUUUAGGUUUUUCGACUAUUUAUGCAUCAAACUUUUAGGCCAUUUUGGACAUCUUCAUAAUGUUUUUGGGCUUUAAUCUAAGAAAUAAAUUUAGAUAGAUCUUUCAAGUCACAUCAACAUUUCAUAAAUGAUUUAAUAAAUGAGUAAUAAAAGGAUUUAGGGUUAAUGUGCAAAUUUGUCACUAUACUUCAAUUUGAUUGGUAUUUGAUAUUUGAUAUUGAAUUUUAUUGCUUUAAUUUAAUUGAAUUUUGCCACUAAAAUUAGAAUUUUUAUUGAAUUUUCUAUUCAAUUUAAAUUUAAAAUAACUUGAAGGCUAAGUUGAUUAAAAAAUAGUUUUAUAUUUCGCUUUAAUAUUAAAAAAUAAUAAGUUAAUUAAUAUAAUAUUAAAUUUAAAUAAAAUAGUUAUUUUAUAAAAUAAAUUUUUUUUUCUCUUUUAUGAGAUAUGGACUCAUUAACAAUAGAAAUUCUAAUUUAAUUUAUUAAUUUUUAAUAUUUAUAAGUUAAAUUAUUGUUAAAUAUUAAAAUAAAAUAUUUGAAAGAAUUUUUCUUAUUAUAUAUAUUAUGUUUUAAAAUCAUCAAAUUAAUAUUGAGUGGUAAAAAUUAAUUAAAAAAUUGAUUUGGAGAAAUUUUUUAAUAAAAUUGAAAAUUUAUAGUAAAAUUCAAUCACAUAAUAGUUGAUUGAUAAAUUUACACAAAAACUUAAAAUAUAGCUAUGAAUAUCAAUGAAAAUAAAGUAUAGUAGCAAAAUUCAAAGUAUAGUGACAAAUCAUAUAAGUUCAAUGAAUAAAAGAAAUAAAAAAUUAAAUAUAUGAUUAAAAAGAUUUUUUUUUUUUUACGAAAUUGAAAGAUCAAAUAAAUCAUUAUACGUAAUAUAAACAAAAUCACAAGUAUCCUUAAACUUGGCUUAAUUGCCAAUUAGACAAUUUAGGAUGUCAGAUGCAUAAUCAACAAUUUGGAGAUAAAAGGAUGAAUAACCAAGUAUUUUUAUAAAUAAAUUUGUUUUAGAAGAAUGGGAUGAGUUUUAGAGUAUAUAGAGAAGUAGGGUAGUUCUUCCUUCUCCGCAUAGUGGUUUUGCCUACAAUAAUGAAGCAAAGGGAAAAACACGAGGAUGAGAUGCAAUGAAUUCCCCUUGCAUACCCAAUACGUACUAUUUACUAUUUCUUUUCCCACUGAGAAGUUGGUAUUUUGGAAUUAUCGUUUUCAGCUCUACAAAUGUUCUUGGUGCUGUGUCUGUCUUUCUUUGGUGGGUUCUUGCUUUCUGAAUCUGGUUCUACUGUCGAUUUGGAUGGUUAGGAUACAGCGCUUCAGGCAACUGAUGUUCAAAAGGUUCGAUGGCAUUGGGGAUAUGAUGAUUUUAAGUUUAUUGUCGCCCCAUCAGUUGGUUGUUUGGGUGCACAACUAAAUUUUAGUAUUAUUUUAUUUUCCAUAAUUAUAUUUAUUUAAAUUUUAUAAAUAUUUUCUAAGUCUUAAGAUUUUAUUUUUUGCAUUUUAUGAUUUCUUUUUUUGGAUUUUUAAUGGUUUUUAAAUUUUUAUAAUUUUUCUAAAAUGUUUUAAGUAUUUUGAUUGUGUGAGGUUUUGUGAAUGAAGCGAAGGGUAUCUUUAUUGUGGUGAACUUUUAAUUAGCUCAAAAUGAAGUGAUUUAUUACGUCGUGUGAUUUACGGAUAAGUGUUAAAAAUGAAAUGAAUUGUUGAAUUUGAAAACAAUGGUGUAAUAUUGCAGGGAUUUCCAACAUUAUCAUAAAUUUUAGUGAAUUUAGAGACGAAAUCACAGGUCCACUGAGUUUUGUUCAAAUUUAGGGAUUUCAUCGUCAUAUACGGUCGAUUUGGAUAGUUAGCAUACAAAGCUUCAGAUCAUUGAUGUUCAAAAGGUUUGGUGGCCAUGGGUAUAUGUUGAUUUUGAGUUUAUUGUUGCCCCAUAAGUUAGUUGCACUAAAAAAAUGGGUAUUACCGAUGCUAAAAAUUGUUACUAAAAUUUUAUUGUAGCAAUAAAAGUUGUUGCGGGAUUGUUGUGUAUAUCUUUGUUGUCUAAAAUAUAUGCAACUCUACUCAAUUACACAAUAUUUACUCUUAAAUAUGACCUAUUCAACCACCGAUUUCAGCACAUUAAACACAAAUUAAUAAUCUAGAAAUAUCAAACCAAGAAUUAAAUACACAUAAUUGAGAACAAUAAAUUAAGUGUUUAUUGCAUAAAAUAAAAAAUAAAUGAUAGAAUCCAUCAUAGAGUUCACCUCCCUAGGUAUUUAGAAAAUUAGUUCAAGCUUGAAAAUAAAAACAUCCAAGAAAUAGUACAACCAAAAGAAAUAAAGAAAUUCAUGAUAAUCUCCUAAGAAAUCAACUGAGAAUCUUCAAUCUUGACAGAAAUUUGCUUCCAACUUGGCUUCAAUGGUAUUUUUCGAGUUGUUUUCUUGAAUAUUUUAUGACGGCACUCUCAUAUCUUCUUAAUUUUGUCAUAUAUACGUCUUAGAAUGCCCAAAAAACUUAAAAAUUGUGAUUUUAUGCUGUUUGUGUGGCAAUUCCACGAAAUCGACACAGCCUACUACACACCAGUGUGGGUCAUACGACUGUGUGCUUUCCUCGUGUGAAAUUUAGAAAAUGCAAAAGAUUCCCUAUGCACUAGCUGCUGGAAUCUAAUGUAUGCUCAAGUAUGUAUGCGUCCAGAUAUUGCAUACAUUGUUGGGAUGUUAGGCAAACAUUUAAGCAACCCUGGUAUAGACCAUUGGAUAACAACUGAAAGGGUUAUGAGGUAUCUUUAGAGAACAAAAUAUUACAUGCUCACAUAUUGGAUGUUUGAUAAGUUAGAGAACAUCAAGUUUACAGACUCCAAUUUUGAUGGAAUAUUGAUGCAACAUUUUGCCACUAGAGUGCAAACUGUGACAAUAAUUAGUAGUCUCUUAUUCCAAUAACAAUAAAAGCACAUCAAAGUCAAAGCACAUAGACUUUAAGUUCAUAGUUGUUAAAAUAAAAGUUCAGGGUGGUUAGAUGUCUAUAAAGUAUAUUGAGACAAACUUCAUGAUUGCGGAUUCGCUUACUAAGGGACCACCACCCAAAGUUUUUUUCAUGAGCACACUAUUGAUAUGAGUGUAAUGUCAUUCACUACAGAAUAAGUUUUUAGUGGCGUUAUUUUGGGGCUAUAACUGCCUUAUAAGCGUCGCUAAAACAACUUGCGGCGUUUUGAAAAGCACCGCUAAAAACGCCACUAUAGAACAUGACCUUUAGGGGCGCUUUUCCCACAAAUGCCGCUAAAAGUAUGACCUUUAACAGUGUUUGUGGGGCAAACGCCACUAAAGAACAUGACCUUUAGCGGCGCUUUCUCCACAAACGUAACUAAAUGUCAUGUUCUUUAGUGUCGUUUUUAGUAAAAGCGCCGCUAAAAUUCAUGUUCUUUGGCGACAUUUGUGGAAAAAUGCUACUAACUUUAGCAGAUUUUUACCAACCCAUUUUCAUUCAUAUAGAAUCCUAAUUGUUAACAUAAUUUCCUGUAACAUCAAAUCCAACCAAAAACUAAAAAUUUAAAUGAUACUUCAAUUCCAACGAAAGAAAUAUGUAUGUGAUCUAAAUCAGUAAAUGAAAUAACAAAAUAUAUUAUAUUCAAAAGUUAUAUUGUUAAAAUAUUCUCACAAUAAGAAAACAAACAUCUAAGAUGAUGGAUUCUACGACUGUUGAAACAUCUUCAUCAUAUUCUGAAGCUGUAGCUGGAGUUUGUCAUAUUUUUUGCUUGCCCCUGCUUCCCUUGCUGCCGCCUCCGCUUUAAGUUAUAGUUGGAGUUUUUCAUAUUUUCUUUAAGUCUUUGCUUUUCUCGAUGCUGCCUCCACUUUAAAUUGAGCAAUUUGCUCAACUGUGCUCGCUUGCAUUUGAACCAUCUGGUCUCUUAACCUCUGAACUUCAGCUUGAGCCUGAUUCUCUGAAGGCAUGUAUUGUUGCGAACUGGAUCCAAAAUAUUGGGUUGGGUUAACAAAAUAUCCUUGAAAUCAAACCCGACCAUACUUUUCGAGACCCAAAACUUCGGUAAUAAUUCAGUUAUCAAUGUCAUCAAUAUUAACAGAACUAUCACUUGAAGCGAUCGCUUCAUACUCUGCCCUUUUAUCCUUUAGUUUCUCCUAAUAAAUCAACCAAAGAGUUAGAAACGAAAUAUAUAAUCAAAACAAAUGCAAUAUAACUUUGGGAGUCUAAUGUAUGCUCAAGUAUGUAUGUGUCCGGAUAUUGUGUACAUUGUUUGGCUGUUAGGCAAACAUUUAAGCAACUCUAGUAUAGGCCAUUGGAUAACAAUCGAAAGGGUUAUGAGGUAUCUUUAGAGAACAAAAUAUUACAUGCUCACAUAUUGGAUGUUUGAUAAGUUAAAGAACAUCAAGUAUACAGACUCCAAUUUUGAUGGAAUAUUGAUGCAAAAUUUUGCCACUAUAGUGCAAAUUGUGACAAUAAUUAGUAGUCUUUUAUUCCAAUAACAAUAUAAGCACAUCAAAGUCAAAACACAUAGACUUUAAGUUCAUGGUUGUUAAAAUAAAAGUUCAGGGUGGUUAGAUGUCUAUAAAGUAUAUUGAGACAAACUUCAUGAUUACAGAUUCGCUUACUAAGGGAUUACCACCCAAAGUUUUUUUCAUGAGCACACUGUUGAUACAGGUGUAAUGUCAUUUAAGGAUAUUUGACUUUAGUGGGAGUUUGUAUUUUUAAAUUUUUUUAUGUUACAGACACAUCGGUUAUCUCAGUUUACGAAUAUUAAGUUUAUUUUCUUUAGAAAUAAAGUUUAUUUGGUAAAGUUUGACCUCACUAAGGUUAAGGAGGACCAUUUAGAAUAGGCAUGUUUGAAUCAUAUUGCAUGUAAUUUUCAUGUUACACAUCCAUACUUGAUCUAUGUCAUUUGGUUGUGCUAAUAUAUGUUAUUAGGGAUGGAUUUAGUUAUGAUAUAUGUAACAAAAGUCACAUUCGUUCUAUGUUAACUUAAUUAAUGAAUGAGAUUAUUUGGAAUACCUUUUGGAUAUGAUAGUAAAGUUUUGAGCUCAUAAAUUUAUAUAAUGACAUGUAAUUAUAAGGUAAUUGGUAUAUAUAUGUGGCCAAGUGGUAUGGACAUCACAUAUAUAAUAAGCCUAAUUACUCCAAAAUCCUUGCAGCCCUUUAAUGACUUUUAAGCAAUCAUAACCAUUUUAUUUACAGGUCAUUUGUAUGAAGGAACUUUGUGGUCAUGAUCGAGAGAUUCGAAUUUAGCAUAUUUACAGAGAAGGAAAUCUUGUUUCAGAUUUCUUGGCCCAUAUGGGAUUCCGGCUUUGAUCUAAGUUUACUACGAGAGCCACCUGGAAAUGCUCUCUCAAUUUCAACUAUACUAUGUGAUGAUAUUGCUAGUUCUUUGCCCUAUCGCCUGUGCUCAUUUGUGGUUAAUUAGUUUGUAAUAACCCAAAUUUGCCCAGGCUUACAACCCAAAAAUAAACAGAAAUAAAACCCAAAAAUAAAUAACAAGGCCCAAAUAAUAAUAGCCCACAAAACUUAAAAAAAAUCCAGCCAACUGAAACCCUAAUGCCCUCAUAUACGCCGCACCUCCUCCUCGGACACACUGCUCGUACCUCGUCCCAAGGUCUGACUCUUCCCAUAACAGCCCAAUUUUCAAUGAUAUCAGAAACAAUGAUUUUGGAUCACUAAAUCUGAUAAGUAAGCUUGAAAAUUUAAUAAUUAAUAAUUACGGGUCAAGUGUGAAUUUAGAAGAAUUUUUGAAUUAGUGAAUUUUGUUAUUUAAAAAGAAUUUAAUAGGUAAAUCGGGUCUAAAAUGAGGUAUCGAGACCUCGAAUCCAUAAGUCAACACAUAAAUAUUUUUAUAAAUAUUUAUGGAGUGCCAUUGAGUUAGUAUUAAAGUUUCAUCAGAAAAUUUUAACGUUUUGAUAGUCAAUUAAUUAAAAAGGACUAAAUAGAAAAGAUGCAAAACUUGCUAAAGUGAUUAAAUAGCCUAAAAAUUAAAUAAGGAAGGCCUAAAAGAUAAAAUGGACCAAUUUAAGUGGCUGAGGUGGCAUACGGUUAAAAAAAUUAAAGAUUUUUAUGUAUUUAAGGGCAAAAUUGGAAUUACAAUAAAGUUUAUGUGGCCAAAAUUUAUUUUAAGGAUUUCAAGACCAUUUCUUCUUGAAAUUUCGGUGUAAAACAGCCAUGGAAGAGGAUUGAGAGCUGAUAUUUUAUAUUUUAGCUUCAAGUUCAAUUCUUGUUUUUCCCUUGAAAUUUUUAUAUUUUUGGACUUUUACAAUUAGGUCCAACUUAGUAUUCUAUUAGUUUUUUAUUUUGUUGAAAGUUUUGGAAGAUACCAUUGAUAAGUUCAUAUGAUUUUUAUUAUUUGGUGAUGAAAUUGAGAUGUUAAUGGAUGUUUAAAGGUGUUUUAUUAAAUAAUUUUGGAUGAAAAUAUGUUUUAGGGAUUAAAUUGAAAAGUAUUGAAUUUGUGGAAAAUUCUAAAAUUUUAAGAAAUCCAUGGGCUUUCAUUGACAUGUAUGCGAAUGAUUAGGCUUGUAUCAAUGAUUAAAUUGAAAUAAUUUCAUUUUCCGAGCCUAGGGAUGAAAUCGUCAUGUAUUAAAAGUUUAGGGUCAAAAUGGUAAUCAAUAUAUUGCACUAAAAUAGUUUUGGGUAGUAGUAGUGUGCCAACUUUGAAAAAUCACCAAAAACUGUGGGAAUCGAAUUAGAAGAUGAGUAAAAGAUGAAAUUAAAGCUUAUUGUGUCUAGUUUCUCAUAGAAGAAACAGUGUAAGCAAUGGAAUUAUAAAUCAUGAGAUAUAAUAAAUUUUGUGAGACAGAGUCAGAAUAAUUUUGGAAUCCCCUGUUCUAAUUUUGGAAAAUCAUUAAAAAUUGUAUAAAAAUAAUUAUGAGUUAUAGUUUAUAUGUUUAAAAUCCUGAAAGAGUUUAUUUUCAAGAGAAACAAACAAGAACAUCACCCAAACUCUGUACAAUGAGAUAAUUACUUUUUGGUGAAGAGAGGUCAGAACUGUCAAACAGUGAAACAGGGGAGAAUUUAAAGAAUAAACUGUAUUUAUUGGCUAAGCCAAAAAUUCUAAAAAUUUUAUGGUAAAAUGAUAUAUGAGACUAGUUUCUGGAAAAAUUAACAAAUCUUAAUUUAGAGCUUCGUAGCUCGAGAUAUAAAUAAUUUAGUGACUCUGACUCGGAUAGACAACUUUGAAUUUAUGUAUAAGUAAAUCGUGAAAAUAUAGUUAAUGUUAUUUAAGCAUGUUAUAUACAUUAAGGAUGUGGAAUGGAGAGGAGGAGGAGGAAAAUUGGAAAAUAUAUGAAUGACUUGUGUAUGAAUUGGUCAUAUGCCUGAUUAUAAUCGAUAAACGUUGAAUUUGAAAUGAUAUAAUGUUUUAUUUCAAAUAGUUAUUAUGAAAUUAUGAUUAUCAUUAUGUUACAAAAUUUAAUUGUAAGUUCAUAUGGCAGAAUUUUAAUGAUUAAUUGUUAAUUUCAUAAUUAUAUAAUAUAUGAUGGGAUAUAAUUGUUGAUGAAUUGAGAAUAAAAUAACAAUGCGAAAAUCGAAUAAAUGAUCAAAUUUAGUGGAACGUCGGAUUUGAGUACUUCUGAUCAGUGACAAGUGAUAUAUGAUUUCCGUGUAAGACCAUAUUUGGGAUAUGGCAUCGUUGUGACAUGUGUUUCCGUGUAAGACCAUAGCUCGGCUAUGGCUUCGGUGUGUGAUAUGUAACGAUGUGCAAUACCAUAGCUAUACUAUGGCAAUGUGGAAACAAAGUACUCAAUUCCAUAAGACGUUCUCUAAUUUAUCAAAUUGUGGUAAGUGUUAAGCAAAUUUUAUGUGAUAAAACAUAUUGAACAGUGAAAUUGAGCUGAAUUAUGUGAUCUCAUCAUUCAGAGAUUGUGUUUGAUAGGUUAUGUUAAUAAAUUAUGUGUAUGUGAAUUUAAGUGACAGAAAUUAAACAGCUAAUGAUAUUGAGCUCAUUUACAUGAAUCUGUCAUUUGAAAUUGUGAUUGACAGAAAGAAAUAGUGAAUUGAAUAUGAAAAUGUGAAUAGAAAGCACAAACUAAAUGUUCUUGCGAUAAAUAAUGGCUCAAUGUGAUAGUAAAUGAUGUUAAUCUAAUGAAAGUUAAAUUGAAUUGUAAAUGACUUGAAUUAUCCGAAAAUGUUCUAUAAUCUCUGGUAAUGUCUCGGAACCCUAUUUCGGUGACAGAUACGGGUAAGGGGUGUUACACUUCCCCUGGCCACCUUGCCUAGCCUUGUAAAACAAAAUAGAAGAAGAAGAUAGAAGCGAAAAUAGCAGGGGAUAGCAGAAAAUAGUAGCAUAAUCGGCUGUAAAAGCCCCAAUGAAAUGUAAUUUAUUUUUUUUCUACGGAUAAUCAAAUAUUAAGAGAACAAAAUAUCAAUCGAAAAUCCUGAAGGUUUACUUCUACUGUUGUUUUAAGUUUUGGUUCAUUUUUAUUCUGCCUUUUAUUUUUCAUUUUUUUACAUACAAAGAAAGGAAAAAGAAACAGAAAUAAAAUACCAUAGUUUUAAAACAACAAAGGAAUUUCUUUGCAUAUUUAUCGAAAAUAGAGCAUAUAUACAUAGAUAUAUUCAAAAAAACACAAGUUUUUUUAACCUCUGUUGUGACUGAAGAAGGUGGAACCAAAUGGUUUUUUUUCGCCUUUUCUGAAUUUCAAAGGGGUUUCUUAGGAUUUUAACCUCGGAUUGAGAUUUGGGAGGCCGAAUAGGUCGAAAAGGGGCCUUUUUUUGAACUCCGGUCGACGUAUACGGCGGCAUACGGUGGUGGAUGACGGUGGACGGACGGUUGCCCAGUGACUAGGGUACAGCUAGACCACGACCGGAGGAAAAGGGAUUGAGAGAGAAUCCCCUGAUUUUUUUUGGAAAAAGAAGAAAAUGAAAUUUUUAAAAAAAAAUUGACUUAACUAGGGCCCCUAAACGGCGCCAUUUAGGGCUGGUCAUAAUAGCCCUAAAACGAUGUCGUUUUGCCCAAGACCCGCGCAUGUGACCCGACCCGCCAGAGGAUCCGCGUGUUUUUAACUUUUGGGCUAUUUGCGCUUUAGGCCCUUCAUCAUUUUUGGUCUAUUUCAAUUUAGUCCUUUUGCAUUUUUUCUUUAUUUUUUAAUUUAGACCACAGAUUUGUCUCGGUUUUCAAUUUGGUCCUCAAUUCGUUGGACCCCUGGGGAGGAGAUGCGUGGCCUGGAAAACUGGUUUAUUACCCAUUUGGCCCUCCUCCCUCUCGCGCUCUUUCAUUUUGGUCUUUCUUUAUUCAUUUUAUUAUAGCUUUGACCUUUAAAUUUCAUUUUUAUCCCGAGUUAGUCCAUCUUUGUUAUUUUUGUUAUAUUAUUAAUUAAUCUAAUUAUUAUCAUACUUAUAUUUUCUUUUUAUAUUUACUUAUUAUAUUAUUAUAUUAUACUAUUAGUUUUGUAUUAUUAUUAUUAUUAUAUUAUUAUUAUAUUUAUAUUUAUAUUUACUUAUCUAAAUUUUAAAUAUAUUUUGUCUUAGUAUAUAUUAUUAUGUAAUUACUUAUAUCUUUUGUAUUUUUUUAACUCUAGAUUAUUCGCUAUUCUAUUAUUAAUAUUAUUAUUGUUAUUAUUUACUUAUUUAUAUCCUUUUUAUUUCAAACUUUGUUAUAUAUAUACAUACAUACAUAUAUUAUUUUUUAUAUUUUUAUAAUCUUAUUUAUUUUCAUUAUUGUUAUUAUUGUUUUACUUGAUAUUUAUUUAUUUAUGUGUCCAUUAUUAUUUUAAGAAACAUUUUAGUUCUGUUUGUUUAUUUACUUGUUAUUUUAUGUAUAAUUGAUUUGUCCCCUUUUUUUAUUUAUUUAUCUUAUUUUCGUUGUUGUUGCUCGUAUUAUUUAUGCUUACAUCAUUGUAUUUAUUAUUGUUUUGUUACGCAUAUUAACCCCGUGUUUUAUUUCUACCAUUUCGUGUUAGAUUAAUCUCAUUUGAUGCAUAAAUCAUGACUUUAAAACAAGUAAAACUAGAUAUUUUGAGAUCCGAAAAGGUCGUGCCCUAACUUACGGGGCUUUGAUUUUCUCGAUAAAUUCAAAUACACGAAUCUUUUCAAACAUAAGUUUUUUAAGUGAUCUCGGGAAUUAAUAAAAGAUCGGGUUCUAACUUACGGGACUUGAUUUCUUUUCCAAACCCGAGAUAAUCAAAUCGAAUAUCCUUCAAAUAAAUAAAGCUUUUGGCAUUUAUUCUCGAAUCAAGUAUUUAAAUAUAUUGUGUCCUAACUUACGGGAUAUAAUUCUCUUUCUCGAUUAACGCGAAAUAUGCCCUUUUCUUGAAAACUUUCAGCAUUUUAACAAAGGAUUGUAUUUUGAAUCUUUUCAAAGUUUCCAAUUCUCGACACUAAGACACUAAUUAAUCAACCAGGUACCAAUUUCUAGGCGUUAUGAGGGUGCUAACCCUUCCUCGUAUGUAACCGACUCCCGAACCCAUCUUUCUGAAUUUCGUAGACCAAAAGCGUUGUUUUAAUAAAUCGAACCGUUUUGUUAAAAAUAACCAUUUUUUGAGUUGACCUGAUCACACCUCCUCAAAAAAGGAUUGGUGGCGACUCCCAUAUUCAUUUUCGUUUUAAAAAUCCAAGUCGACCUCUUUUAUCAAAAAAUGGUUUCGACAUAGUUGUUAAGGCUUUUGCCUCUUUCUUUUAUUAAAAAAAAAAGCUGGGCACGAUGAAUCGACCUUAGCUAGUAAAAAACUUCAAUCACCGAAUUGCAUAAAAUUCUAACUUAAAUUCAAAUGCAGAAGCAGGAUCGUUUAUCAAUCCACAAUAUCAACAAAUCUCAAUUCAAACACAAAAUUAACCGGUGAAAAAAAAUAGUUCAACCCAUAAACAUUUACCACAAAGGGAAAUUUGAAACACUUACCACCAUUCCCCUAUCAGAAAGUCUUACCCACAUUCAACAACUAGAAAUCAGAGCUCACCAAAAUGUUUAUGACGAAGCCAUUUUUUUGAAAAGGGUCGACUUUUUAUUUAAAAACGAAAAAGGGAGUCACCACUAAUCAUUUUUAUGAGGUGUGAUCGGGUCACCUCGUAACGGUUUAAUUGAUUAAAAUAAAAAUUUUGGUCUACAAAAUUUAGAAAAAUGGGUUCAGGAGUUGGUUACGUACGAGGAAGGAUUAGCACCCUCGUAACGCCCAAAAUUGGUACCUAAUUGAUUAAUUAAUGUCUUAAUGUUGAAAAUUAAAAACUUGAAAAGAAUUUAAAAUACGAUCCCUCUUUAUUAAUGUUAUUUUUUAGUUAAAAUUUCUUGGAUAAAUCAAAAUGUGUGCUUAAGACUUUCUCGUCCCAAAGUAGCAAAAAUAUUAUGUCCCGUAAGUUAGGACACAACACUUUGAACUUUGGAGAAUGAACUUGCCUUUAUUUUUUAUUUUAAAUCUUAUUAUUUUGAUUUUAAAAGGAUAUUCGGUUAUUUGAGUUCAACGAGAGAAUCGAAACCCCGUAAGUUAGGUACGAUUUCCUGAAUCUCCAAAAUAUGAAUUAUUGCCUAUUCUUUUGAAAAUUUUCCAUUUUUAUGAAAUUGGAUGAAAAUUAAUGAUAUUUAAAAUGAUAUGCAAUAUAAAAUAAAAUAUUAUAAUAACCAUGACGUAAUUACAAAGAUGAAUGCAAUAUUGUUUGGUGGAAAAUGUUUUCCGAAAAAUAUUUUCUGAAUUUUCCAGCGUUUGUUUGGUGGAAAAUGAAUUCCUAAAGUAAAACAUUUUCCAAACACGGGUAAAAUUAGUCCCCAAUUUUUGGAAAACGUCUUACUAAUUUGGAAUCAGUAAGAAAUUUUCCCGUUCUCCCUUCUCUACACUCUCGUUCUCCCUGCCUCUCUAAACCAAUCUUAGGGCUCAUUGAGCUGGUUCCGGGCUAUUUUUCCCCCUUGAUUUCUUCUCCUUUUUAUAAAUUAAUUUGGGGCUUUUCAUCACUGUGUGUUGUUUUUGUCUGGGAUCUCUUGCAUGGGUUUUCUGCUAGUUUGGGUUCUCUGUGCUCAGGCUUUCUACAAAUUCUGCUCUUCCUCUCUUGCUUGGGUCGGGUUUUUGUUACCGUUUUGUAGCCUGUGGCGUUUGGCUUGUCUUGGGCAAACUUUCUUCGCUGACUUUCUUUAGAAAGGUAUAUUUUCUAUUUUCACUUCCAUUUUCUACUUAUUUUUUAGACGCAAAAUUUCUUAGCAAUUCUUUUAUCUUGAACAAACAAUGUUUUGAGGUUUUGGGUCGUUUCAUAAAGUAGAAAAGGAAUCGAACUGUUAAUAUUCUUAAGAUUGAGAAAUUGAGGACACGUUUGGUUCGCUGUAAUGGAAUAGAGGCGUAAUAGUAAUUCAACUGUUUGGUCGAAUGGAAUGGAAUAGAGCUAUAAUAGUAUUCUUGUGUUUGGUUGAAUGGAAUUAUGUUGUAAUAGCAUAAGGAAAAAAACUAAAAUGAGUAUACCCUUAGCAGAAUUUUUUUAGGUAGAUGAUUAUUAUUAUUCUUAUUAAAUUUUAAUAAGAUUAUUAAUAUAAAUAAUAAAUAAUAUAAUCAUAUUUAACAUAAUUAUUAUUAAAUAUAAUUUAAUAAAAAAUAUAUAAUUUAAUAAAAUUCUUAAUAUAAUUAUUCUUAUAUUAAUUUCCUAAAAUCAUAAUAUAUAAUAAUCACUACACCAAAACAGGUUUUUAGCGGCGUUUGGAUAAAAAACGUCGCUAAAAAUUGAGCAUUAGCUGCGAUUUACGUCAAACGCAGCUAAAGAUCGAGCAUUAGUGGCGCUUCCAAGAAAGCGCCUCAAAAAAUGAGCAUUAGCGGCGUUUAUCCAAAAAACGCCGCAAAAAACGUAAACCCAACGGCAUCGUUUUUGACCUUUCGGGGCUUUAGCGGCGCUUUUUCAAAAGCGCCGCUAAUACUCGGGUCUUUAGCAGUGCUUUUCCCAAAAUGCCGCUAAUGCUCUAGUCUUUAGCGGCGCUUUUUCAGAAGUGCCGCUAAUGCUCGGGUCUUUAGCGGCGCUUUGUCAAAAAUGCCGCCAAAGCUCGGGUCUUUAGCAGCGCUUUUUCAAAAAUGCCGCUAAUGCUCGUGUCUUUAGCGGCGCUUAAUCCCAAAUUGAUCCUCCAUACCAAAAUGAGUGGAAAUGAGUUUAAAAGAUGUCCAAAACAUUAACAUUUAAACAUUUGUUAAGAAAUUUUCUUUUGUUUUCAAUAUAAAUGGCUUAAAAAAUGAAAAAAAAGUCUUAAACUUUGUUUGAUUAAAAAUUUUCGUAUAUAAAAAGGAACAUAUUUAAAUUUAUGUGGAUGGUUUUUAUUUAGUUUCAUUAAUAUAGGGAGAUUAAAGAUUGGUGGAGAUUUUACCUAACAAAUUAUUAUAGAAAGAGAGAAGAUGGAUUUAACACCUUUUGAGAAUCCAUUCCCCAAUGAGUUGUAUGGUGUAUCAAUUACGCAUGUAUGAAUAUAUUUUCCUUCCACCAUGUGCUGCCACGAAACUUAGGGCCAAUAUUGUGGAUUCCCGGAGAAUUAGAAGAUAAAAGAAAACCUAUAGGAGAUUCUUGUAAGAGUUACUGGUUUAAGAUUGGUUUUGGAUUUUGUAGGAAAGAUAUGCUGCAUCAAUUACACAUGGGGAUUUAAUACAAGUUGGAUCAUUUUCCUCAUCAGCUAACAUUUUCUUAUGCUAGUUUAGAUCCAAAUCCACACACCCAAUUUUGAUUUGCGCUUCCAUCAAACUAAUUCUUUUUACUGUGAAAAACAUAUUAUUUCAGUAAUAAAUGUUGAAUCAACAUUAUUUUAAUAAUAAAUUAUUUUAUUCCUUUUACUAUAGUAUUUUUUUCCCAUCAUGUUGAUUUAGGUAUAGUUUGGAUAGACAUUGCGUUUACUUGUGUUUAGUAUAAAAACAACAGUGACGAUAAAAUUAGAUAAAAGUGAACUAAUCGCACCGCACUGGCCAUCCAAAUCCAAGUACCAUACUCUUCUUUUAGUUUUUUUUAAACCCUAAAUAAGAAAGACAACCUCAUUUAGCGAAGUCAUUAACCCCUUUCUUAAAUUUCCAUAAUAAAACUCAUACCCUAUUCAAAAACCCUAUUUUAACAAAAUUCAACUAUCUUUGAAUUAUUCGUAACCCUAUAUUUAUAAUACAGACGUGGUGAUCAGUUAGACCUUUAAUUACUUAACAUACUUUUUUUUUAUUGACUAACAUCUCUUGUUUUUAUUGACUCCUUUAAUUUUAAUUUAAUAAUUUUAUAAUUUAAUCUAAAGAGGUCAAAUUCGAAUUAUUUUUUUGAUAUAAUUUUUAAUUUAACAAGAGCUGAAUCAUACUUUAUAGGAUUUGAACCUUGGACGAUAGGUUUGAAGACCCACAUGCUACCGAACUAAACUAAUAUCACUUUCUUAUCAUAAUAAAUAAAAUUGUAAAAAAAAUCCUUUUAUUUUAUAACCCUAAUACAAUACAUUGUAUGUCGUAUAUAUAUAAUAUGAGAAAAUGAUAGAUUGAGCAAAAUUGCAUCAUAGGUUGUGUUCAAAAUUCAAAUUCUUUUUGGUUUAGAGGGUUUUAUGUUUGGUUAGUGAUAAGUUUUUUUUCUUUCGCAUGUGAUUUAUCUUUUCGAUAUGUAGGGUGAAGGAUUUAAAUUGUGGAAUGUUUGGUUUAUAUAAGCAGCUUAAGGUAAGAAAAGAAAAGCAAGAUAAAAUUUGAAAGAUGAUCCCAUUGUUGACUGAUUCAUUUACUGCGAGCUUCUCCCUCAUAUUGUAGCGACACUGAUGUACAAAAUAUUUCAAAGAUGUACAAAUUUUUCGAGUUUAAAAACUACAUUGAGUGUAUUUUCGUAGGAGUUCAGUUGAUUUAAAAACUACAUUAAAUGGUUUAGGAUUUAAGGUUUACUUCAGAUUUGUUAAAUGAUGAAAUUUUAUACAAUAAAUUAAUACUUUUAUAUUUAAAAAUAUUUAAUCUAAAAUAUUCGAUAUAUUUAAAUAUUAGAUUUAAAAAAAUUGAUAAAUAAAUAAAGUCACUUAACUAAUAAUUUUUGGUAGAUAAAAUAAAAAAUUUUUAACAGAGCAAAACGACGUUAUUUUAUCAAUAGAUAAGCAAUAAUGGCGUUUUUUGUAAAAACGCCACAAAAUUUAUUUUACUUAGAAAAAAAUUUGGCGCUGAUUUUUCCCAAAUUUUCCCCCUAAAACCCCUAACUUUGCAAACAAAAUGAAAAAAAGAAGAGGAAAAUGAAGGUACCAAAGACGAUUCAGCACAAAACCUCUCCAAUCUACUUACGAGUUCUACCGUUUGUUUCCCUGGAAAAUAUAUGAGACUUAAUAUUUUCUGUUCCAUUUUUCCUCUUUAUUUUCUAAUUUUGGGUAUUAUUUACUCAGAUCCCCUUUCUUUUUAUUAUUGUUUUUUUUUUCUCUUAUAUUUUAGCUAGAAAUCGACGAUGCAAGUUACUGCUGGUAACAAGUUAUUGCUUAAAAUUCAUCGUAACAAAUCUACUUCAAAGGAAGUUAUUCAUAUUCCUUCGUAUCGAAGCGAAGUUAUUUACGGUGGAACUUGGUUCUCCAGCUCUCGUAAGUUUGUUCCCAGUUUUGUAUUUGCCAUCUAUACCAGGUUUACCUCUCUUACUUCUCUUCGUCUUCAUCUCCCUUUCAUUUAUUCUACCAAAAACGCCUCUUACUUGUCAUUUUUUUCUCACAUAUCGUGCAAGACUCAUUUUUCUUUCUUUAUGCUCUAGUCUUAACAGUGCACUUCAACUGUUCAAUAUAAUGCUUCUUUAUACAAUUUGUUUCUGGUUUUCAGGGGGUGUUGUUUGUAAGAUGUUGAAGCAAGCGAUAUGGAAGGUGUUGAGCAAAAGGGUAGUUUCAGAUUCUGGUGAUAAACUUCUUUUGCCUUGUUUGUACUUGCCCACGACUUCUUUUCACGCUGGACAGGUAGGUACUCUUUUUUUUUCUUUUAACUCUUACUUUAGUUUUUUUUAUGGAUACCCAAUUGUUAAUUUAUUAAAUAAUAAAUCUUUAAUAAUAAACCUAAAUUUAUGGCAUUUGAAUUAUUUGUAGAAUUUGAAUCAUAAAAACAUUGUCAAGUAUCUUGGAUCAUUGAAGACAACAAGAAGUUAGGUUUUGUAGUCUCUGUCUGGAAUUCUUGCUCUGAAGUUUGUCUAUUUUAUACGAGUUGAGUUUUCAUGGUUUGCUGUUGCAUUGUUUCUUCUGUUCUUUGUUUUGUUAUUGGAACUAUUUCCAAUUGUCUGGUUUACUUGAAAUCCGAUAUUUGAUUAAAGGGACCAAGUAGAGAGCACAAGUGAGAGCGAAGGCAGUGCAAGUGAUGAAGUGCUUGUUGUUCCUUAUGAUAACUUAGCACCUAUUUCUUGUGGUAAUAUUUUCUCAUUAUUCUUCUACUUUUGAAUUUAUUGUAUUCCAAAUAUAGCAUCAAGAAAAAUAUAAUAGUACAUUAGAGUUCAGCUUGUAUAAUUUGUUUGGAUUCUUUCUGUCUUGAAGCAGAUAUUACUGAAUCUAAGCAGCUUUUAGAUAAGCUUGUUGUGGUGAAGUAUAAUAGAGCUUUGGGAAAGAAUAUGGGUUUCGUUGGUCCCAAGUAAGCAAUUAUCUAACUUCUGGAAGUUUGAUACUUAUUUUUUUCCAAGAAAAGAGAAGCAUUUCUUGAUGAUUCCAUAGUUAUAUAUUAAAGACUUGCCUCUACAUAAAUGAAUAUAGUUUCUAUGACAUACAUAUAUUUAUGUAUGCUUUUUAUAUAUGCCUCUACAUUCAUAUAUUUAUAUAUGCUUUUUAUAUUGUAUUGUGCCAAAUAAAGAGAAUAAAAGUUUUAAUUAUUGAUAGAUUCUGCUACUUUUUUUAUGUACUUUUUAUUAAAUCACUCUUUAAUCAAAUGUAGAAUUAUAAAAUUAUUAAAUUUUACUAUAAAUAAUUAUCCUUAUAUAAUUAAUUAUUUUAGUAAAUUUUCCAACUAUCAAAACAGAUCACUCCACCAUCCCACGUCAAAAUUUUGUUAAGGGUAGGAGUUGAGAGAGGUAGAUACUUUGAUGAAUAUUUUCUUUUACAUGAUAAUUAUAUACUUCUUUAAGUUUGUUUUGGAUGUUGGGACAAUGUCAGUUGAUGCCGAAAUUUGAUAGUGCUGCAAAUUGAAGUGUUUAAGUGCUGCAAAUUGAAGUAUUUAGUUGCUGCAAAUUGAGAUGUUUUAUCGCUGUAAUUGAGGUGUAUAAAUGUUGUUAAUUGAUAUGUUUAAGUGCUGCAAAUUGAAGUGUUUAAAUGCUGUAAAUUGAAGUGUUUAAGUGCUGCAAAUUGAAGUGUUUAGUUGCUGGAAAUUGAGAUGUUUUAUUGCUGUAAUUGAGGUGUAUAAAUGUUGUUAAUUGAUAUGUUUAAGUGCUGCAAAUUUAAGUGUUUAAAUGCUGUAAAUUGAAGUGUUUAAGUGCUGCAAAUUGAAGUGUUUAAAUGCUGUAAAUUGAAGUCUUUAAGUGCUGCAAAUUGAAGUAUUUAGUUGCUGGAAAUUGAGAUGUUUUAUCGCUGUAAUUGAGGUGUAUAAAUGUUGUUAAUUGAUAUGUUUAAGUGCUGCAAAUUGAAGUGUUUAAGUGCUGCAAAUUGAAGUGUUUAGUUGCUGCAAAUUGAGAUGUUUAACGCUGUAAAUUGAAGUGUUAAAGUGCUACUUUCCAUUGUCACCUCCCCCAUUUCUUUAUGCAUCAAUAACUAUAUUAAUGAAAUCAAGUACUACAAUUAUAUACUAUUGCAGAUGGGGGUUGGAGAAUAUGAUCAAGGGGAAAACAUCAGAUAUGGUGAUUCCUAGCCAAGCAGUGGCUUCUUAGACACCCAACAUUUUGCACAACCAAACAUGACCACAACUUUUAAACCUACAUGUUGAGGUUGCUACACACAAGUCCCUUCCUUUUUUUAGUUUAUGUGCUAUGUGAUGAUUGUGUUUUAAAAUUUAACUUGUUUUAGUUCCUUACAUUCUUAUACGAUUCACACUCAAGGAGCUAGAUUUGGAGCUUAAACUGUCACUGUAAUCAGUAAUUUUUUUUUUGCUUCUUUAAAUGCAUGCUCAUGGAACUACAUCUUAUGCUUUCCUAGAAUUGUAAGUUCAAAUAAGGUGUUGAUCUGCAAUUUAUACAUACAACUUGAGCAAGUUGAUAUGAACUAGUUUCAAUUUUUUUUUUUAAAUGAAAGGAAUGUUAUGUAAUCAAAGGCAAUUUGACUUGUUGCAUGAGAUAUAGUGAAAAACAUUUAUCUUCUUAUUCAUGAAUUUCCAUUUUAAUACGUCUUCAAAUUAAAUUAUACAUUUUUUAAUUGGUAGAAUCUCACUUUUGCUGUUGCUGCAAUCUUUAACCAAAGAAUGGAGUGAUGUAUGUACUGAUAACAGUUCUAAAGGAUUUGUUUAAGCAAGUAAAGAGAUUGGCGUUUUUAUAAUAAUUUAGGAUAGGAAUGGAGCAAAUCCAAAGAAUGGAGUGGCAUUUUUAUAAUAAAUUUUUUUAUUUUUCGUGACCUUUACUAGCGUUUUUGGAGAAAGCGCCGCUAAAGGUCUUGUUUUUUAGCGGCAUUUUUGGGAAAAGUGCCGCUAAAGGUCUUAGUCUUUAGCGGUGUUUGUGGUAAAAGCGCCACUAAAGGUCUUGGUCUUUAGUAGUUUUUGUGGGAAAAGUGUCGCUAAAGGUCCUGGUUUUUAGCGGCGUUUGUGGGAAAAGCGUCGCUAAAGGUCUUGGUCUUUAGUGGCGUUUGGGGGAAAAGCGCUGCUAAAGGUCUUAGUCUUUAGCGGUGUUUGUGGGAAAAGCGCCGCUAAAGGUCUUGGUCUUUAGCGGCGUUUGGGGGAAAGCACCGCUAAAGGUCCUGGUUUUGAGCGGCGUUUGUGGGAGAAGUGCCGCUAAAGGUCAUGGUCUUUAGCUGCGUUUUUUCCGGCUAAAAAAGUGCCGCUAAAAGCCUGUUUUGGUGUAGUGAAUAUAAAAAUAAUAUAUAAUCUCAUUUAUUAUUUUUAAAUCGCAAUACAUAUUUAAUGUGCUAAAAUAUCAUUAGUGAAUCAAAUAAUUUAAUUAUUCUACAAAAAAAUAGAAGUAAUAAAUAACUUGAAAAUUAUAUUUUGCAUAAAUAUAAUAUUCAAAUAUUAACAAACAUACCCUAAAUCAAAUUUCAUGUAUAAUUUUAAAAUUUACCCCAAAGAUUUAGUGUACUUCUUGACCUGAACUUGACAAUUAAGUUUAUUUUAGUACUUGUAUAUUUUUUGUCCACUUUAAUAAUUGAACUUGACAAUUAGAUAUAUUUUAAUCUUUGAACUUGAAAUAUAUAAAAUUUUAUUGACAUAACACUUUAAGAUUGUCUCACAUCAUUAAAUUUGGACGGAAUAUAAAUUCAUAGUCAAAAUAGACCUACUUGUAAAGUUAGAUACUAAAGUAGACCCCAACAACAUAUAUAAGUAUCAAAAUGAAACUAGCUUACAAAGCAAAACUUCGUAUAAAAGAAGAUAAACAAAUUGUGCUACUUGAAGGGAACAACACUGGCACUGGAAAAACAUUCCGUGUUUGAGGACAUAAAAUCUCUUAAGCACUGCGUCCAGGUUAUGAGCUACUCACAGCAACACAGAUCGCUGGGAAAUAGUGUGCCAAAUUACCUUUUGUAUCUCUUCUUGGAACCACAUGGACAGGGAGCAUUACGGCUCAUUUCUCCACUCUUUACCAUAUUAAACUUGGUAAGAUCCAAUGGUGUUAAACCCGUUAGCUUUUGCACCUGCAAAAGAUAAAAAAAAACUAAUGACAUUUCCAAUGGAGAAAGAGAGAGAUGCAUAAACUAAUACUUGUCAUUGAUGUUUUAAACUGUGGGAGAAACAUUCAUCCGAACUCAAAUGCGAAUUUCAGCAACUGAAGAUGAAUGAAGGCAGACAUCUCAGUCUUUUAAGCAAUCUGGCAUUGAACCAAAAAAGCAUAACGCAGAUCAGCAGACCAAACAUCUGUAACUCUAUGUUAGUUCGACUCUUUCUUUUCCUUUAUGCAUCCAUGUUUGAUGCAAGUCUGGGACCAGAAUGAAUAUAGGGAGAUAAUCCUUUAAAAAUCCUCCAAAUACAUUAAAAAACUUGGACAAAAAAUGAACACAACACACCCGUGUCAAACAUAUAUAUCAGACACUCAAACUAUAGUCUGAACAACAAGAUAUACAAUCAUCAUUUUGACUCAGAUAAUAUGCAUAACUAACUCCCCUACCUUCUUAGACAAAUAUCUUACUUAUCUUUCAAAUAGCUCAUCCUACAUUCAACAUCAUAUUCACCGAGCAGCAGCCAAAAGACAAAAAUACAUUAACUUAGAGAAUUUAAGAUCAGACAAAUUGAGCAAUAGGCAUAAAGACACUAGCUCAUACGUUUUAAUCAUUCAACAUAUUAUCAGCAAAAACAUAACUGAAAAAAACCAGUGGUGAACCUACCACAGCAAAGUUCUUUGGCAUCGGUUUGCCUUCCUCUUUCAGCUUAACCAUCUUCUUAUGAACUUCUUUAGCCCAUGUGAACUUCGCAAGCGCAUUCUCAACAUAUAAUAAGGUACAAUCACACUGUUUUGCAGCUUCUUUCUUUUGACUCAGUUGGAGAUUCUAAAAAAAAAGUCAAAAUCUAAAUCCACAAUCAGCGAAUUCACCUACAGGGCUCCAACCAUGUUUUAUAGUUUGGACGAGAAAAGGCAGCACCUUCUUACAUGCAAUGUCAGUGGUCAACAGGACUGGAAUGCUCGCCUGUUUAUCAUGGUGGAAAUCAAAUUCUUAUAUAAAACAUAGUUAACAUUUCUCAGCAUAAAGCCUUCAUCUUUUGUGCAAACAAAUUUUAAAUUAACAGAACUCAACUAGUCGAAAUCACAAGCCAUUCAAAAAACAAUAGAAUCAGACAAACAUGUAAUAGAAUAAAAAUUUUCAUCUGUUCAAUCUGUUCAAUCGAACAAACAUUGAAAACAUUGAAAGAAUUUUCAUCUGUUCAAUCGAACAUGCAAUACAAAGAAAAGCUGAAUGGAAAACGCUAGAAACGAAUCAAAAUUAGGAGAACAAAAACAAAUAUUCCAGAUUUGAGCAAAAGCAAAACUAAAUCGAUUUUACAGAAAAGAGAAGAAAAGAAAAACAGGGAAAGAGUGUGAGAAUUUUUCGUUGUUGAUAAAAUGGAGAAAAGAAAAAAAACGAGAGAAGAAAAGAAAUGUACGAGAAUAAAAGAAGCAGAAAUCGAUGGAAGGGAAAAAAUUACCUUGCAAAACGUCGGAGAGGAUGAGCGCAGAAAACGAAAAAGAUGGUAACAAAUUGGGAGGGAAUCCCUAUUCCGCGCUUAAACAUCAGAAUGGCUAUUACAGCCAACGUGGGUAAUAGAUGCGGAACGGAACCAAACAUCCGUUUGGUGGUGGGCCUAGGGAAUUGGGGGGAAUGCAUACCGAUUCCCCCCAACCAAACAUACCUUGAGUUUGUUCUCUUAAGAGGAAAUGGUAAUGAGGUGUAAAAGCCAAGAGGAAAUGAUUAUCUUUACCGCUAGAAAUGAACAAGGUAUGUUAUUCAUAUUUUUCUCCGGAUGCAGGUUUUAAUUGGGCAAUAGUUUUACUUUUGUUAUAGCUAGAGGUUUUACUUGUCAUGCAUCUUACUGCAUUUGGUUAGUUUUAUGUUUUAUUGUUUUAUCUUUCUGGCAUUUUAUAUUUAGUUCUCCUAUUUUUUUAGACAAUUUCUGCAACAUUGGUUUCCUAUGACGUGAUAGUAUUUUUUUGUUGUAGUAGUGAUAACAUUUGUGGUUGGCAAGAUUCCUUUAACACGGUUUAUCUGGAAAGGUCUAUCUUUGGGUUGCUGAUAGUGUCACCGAGUGAAAUAAAUGCUAGUUGUGGCUCUUAUGAUUACAAACUAUUAGCUUAUUGGUAAAUUGAAUGUUCAGAUGUCAUGACUGAUGUAAAUUCACAUACUUUUAAACAUUGUGCAUCUUCUAAUUUUAUGAAUUUUAACAACAAAAAGUUUUCUAUACAUAAUGAUUAUUUGAUUACUGUAUGUUUGAUCUUGGAUUUCUGUUGCUAAACAUGAAUUGGAAUAAAAUGAAUGCUAGUUGUUCAUUUGAAUAACAAGAAUGAAAUAAAUGCUAGUCAAGGCCUCUAAAAGACUAAUUUAGUAAUUUGGCUGAAUUGAACCCUUAUAUCAUUAGGGAAUAUAACAGAAGAACUACUAAUAGUUUGAAUAGAACAUAAUGAACUGAUUAAUAAUACAUUUAAGAGGUAUGUUAGUAGCUGCUAGUCUCUAGUUCCUUGAGAGUUUGGUUGUUCAGAGUGUCGUCUAGGAUUGUAUUCUGUGCUGUCCAUGCAAGUGUAAUAAGAUUGACUAAGGUCUUUUCCCUUUGAAAUUGUUGAUCACUCAAUUAAGCUCAGUUGACCGGCUAUCAUGUCCUUGCUCAAUUAAGCUCUGCCAUAACUGCACGAAAGAACAACAAUUCCAUACACUCAUUACAAAGAAUACAAGUAGUGGAGUUCACGGACUAGACAAUUAAAGAGAACUUUACACAUGUAACCAAAUUCACCAAUAUGAGCAUUGAUAUCUCAUUUUUAUGAGAUCUUAUUAGAUUAUUGAUUAUGAAUAUGUUUACUCGAUCAUUUCAAGAUCAUGGUUUCAUUACAUGGAGUUGUUUGAUGGUGAAGGCAAUAAUACAUUUUUAAGAUUACUGCAGCCAAAAGAGUUGUUGCAAAGGAGACCAAAGUCCAGAACUCUUUUUCUUUUGUGCUUCCACAACUGAGUUCUCCAUUACCUCAACUUUCAGCUUCAAAUCUUGAGCUACUUGUCUCUUUCUGUCAUUGAUUGUUACUUUUAUGUGGUCUAAUAUUAGUUAUGCACUUGGACAAUGUUGUUGUUAUUAUGUGGUGUACUACUAAUUAUGCAUUUGGAUAAUAUUAUUAAUUUCUAGUAUUAAUUGUGGUUUGGAAGCUAAUUUAUAAUUAUUCAAUCCUUAUUUUUUAUUUUUUAACACAAUUAUAAAUAAUUUAUUUGACUUUGGUUGUUUUCAAUUUAUGACGGUUAAUAUUGUAGCUUAAUAAUUGAGUAUUUUGAUUUAUUUAUUUAUAAAUAAAUCAUUUCAAUAUAUGUAAAAAUAAUUUAAAAUAUAAAAAUUUAUUAAUAUGUAUAUAAAUUUAUUAAUAUAUGUAAAAACAACUUUUUCGGAAAAUAUUUUCAGGAAAUCUACCAAACAACAAAAAAUAUUUUACACAGAUUCAUCCAAACACUAGAAAAUAUUUUCAGUAAAUCAUUUUCCAGAAAAGUAAAUCAUUUUCAGGAAAUCAUUUUUCGAAAAACAUUUUACUGGCAAACAAACGAACCCUUAUUGCUCAUGGUCAUCAACCUAUAAACCCAAGAGCAUUAUUAGCUUCUAAAUCCAAAACACUAAUAUCAGCAUCCAACCCAACAAUGAUAGUCUUAUUGACUCAUUUAAACAAGUUUCCUUUGUCAAUCUAUAUUCUGUAUUUGGUAAUCUCCAAUAUGAUUUCAGAACAUACGAUAGUUGGAAGAAGAAUAGCAGCAAAGAUGCAAAGGGAAAUGACUUAUACGAGGAGGAAGAACCAUCUUUUGGGUGCAAACCUGUAUACCAUAUAAUAGGAUGUCCUGUAUAAUGUCACGAGAGCUAGUACCGUUGCCAAGCAGUAAUUACUAAUGCUAAUAUGAUGAACAGAAAAGGAUCCAGCCGUAAGAUAGUAUGGAUACUGAAAUGCGAGUGUCCGUAUGGAAACAGCAACUAAAAGCAUGUAACAGGUCCCAAAACAGGUCCCAAACAAGGAAAGUGUUAUGAGAAUCACUACACCAAAAUAGGCUUUUAGCGGCGCUUUUUUAGGCCUUUAGCAGCGCUUUUUAGCGCCACUAGCGCCGCUAAAAACGCCGCUAAUGACAGUGUCGCUAACUUUAGCGGCGCUUUUUCCACAAACGCCACUAAAGACCAAGACCUUUAGCGGCGCUUUUACCACAAACAUCACUAAAGACCAAGACCUUUAGCGACGCUUUUCCCACAAACGCCGCUAAAAACCAUGACCUUUAGUGGCACUUUUACCACAAACGCCGCUAAAGACCAUAGCUUUUAGCGGCGCUUUUCAAACAAACGCCACUAAAAAUAUAUCUUUUAAAAAAAUUAAUUUUUUUCAAAUAAUAUUUAUUUCUAUAAUAAAUAUUAUAUUAUGUUUUAAGGAUAAAUAAAAAAUAUUAUUUAAAUUAAAUUUUCUACAAAAAUUUUAACUUUAAAACUAAAUAUAAAUAUAAAAAUUAAUGAAUUUAAAUUUAGAAUUUAAAAUAAUAAAUUAAUAACACAAUUAAAAUCCAAAAGUUAGAACACUUAAGUAAAAAUAAAAAUUUAGAAUCAAAACUAAAAUAAAUGAUACAUAUGCAAGGUAAUAAAAUAUACAAUGCAUUUUCUUAAUCAAGUAAAUCUUGGUUACAAAACUAACACAGAAAAUAACACAGUAUACAGUAUGUUUUGUCUUUCACAUUUUAAAAAUAAUAAUAAUAGCAUGUUUGUUUGCAUGCUACCAUGAUCAAAACACAAAAAUGAAGUUCUCCACCUAAUACAAAUUUCUCCUACGAAUGUGCAGAAUCAGAUCUCUAGAUUCUCGGAGUUCUUCAUCUGGUGCUGUCUCGAUGGUUUUGAUUAUUGUGUCAUCUAGCUGGAUUCAAAAAAAAGAAUAGAAUGCAAAGCAUGUUAUACAUUUGGACUCCAAAUUUUUAGCAACUCAAAAGAAUGCUAAGAAUGUUGUCCAACCUUCCAGUACUCACAAGGAUCUUGAAUAAAAAUGAAAUCAGACCUCACCACUUCAUAUAAGAAGCCUACACAACUAAUUACACAAAAGAAAAAGAUGAGAAAAAAUAACAAUGUAAAAAAGACGUUUGAAUGAGAUAAUAUAGAACCCAGAGUUAACUCUGUGAAUACCUUCACUUUAGAGUGGGUGUACACAGUUCGAUAAAGAUCAGCACGAGUAGCAAAUAACUUGUGGAUACUAAGAUCUAGCAAGAGCACCCAUUACCAUUAUUAAGGAGUAAAAAAACACUAAAAGAACUAAACAUGUAUUUUGCAAGUAAAUGAAUUAGAUGAUACUAACAGUCUUUAGCACGAUAGCAGAUCUCAUCACCCAAAACUCGCAGUCUCCAUGAACCUGCAGGUGGUGUAGUAUGUAUAUUAAGUUUCACUUACUUAUCCACAUCAAUUCCAUUCUAACCAUUUGCAACAAUAUCAUAUAAGAAUUGCUUCUCCUUUGCACUCUUCAAAGUAAGCACAAAAUAGUGUAUGUGUUAGAUAAAGAAAAGAAACAAAGAAUGUUUGUACUUCAUACUGGAGCAAAAUAUAAAAAAUCCAGUGAUCAACAUGUGCCUACACUUAAAAUAUAAAAAAUCUAGUGAUCUACCGAAAUUAAACUAUUCAUCAAAAUGAUUGCAAUUAACUGAGUUAAAACAUGAUUUUUUUUCUUUUCUUGCAAAUAUCUAAAGUUUUUUAUACCUUCCCAAAUGGUGAAACAAGCUGGUGAAGUGCUGUAAUUCUGUCUCCUAAUUUUUCUUUCCUCACCUGCCAUAUAACAUAUAUAUGUAUAUAUACAAGUCAGAAAAAAAGAAAAAGUAGGUGAUUAAUUUACUAUUUUACUUUCACUUAAACUAUAUUCUCUUUUUCAUACAUUAAUAGAAUAUGAUAGUUACAGCAAAAAAAAAAGAAAAAGAAUCAUCCCUCUAGAAAUCGACAACCAAACAAGGACAACAGUUUUUACCACCCCACAUGUAUUUUGUGUAUGUGUAUAUAUAUAUAUGCUUGUGAGUGUGCGUGUGCGUGUGCGUGUGCGUGCAAUCUGUAUUGAGAUAAAAAAAAACAUAUAUUUAAUUAUAUAAAAAUUAUGAUAAAAGUAUCAUGGAAGUCCCUGUACUAAAAGGUGGAUUACAUUUUGCCCUUUUACUCAAAUGGUUUAAUUUAAACACUCAUUCAACAGCUAUUACCUAAAAUGCUACCACUUUUGAGGUAUAAAAUCAGUGGAAGUCUAAAUGAACAAAGUCCUAAGCCAAUCAAAACAAAGUCACCAAGAAAUGAAAAAACAAUCUGUUCUUAUCCUUUCGAAACAGUGACCAAAUACAAUGAAUUCAAAAGGUUGUCCUUUUCAUAUCUGCUUAUCAACCAAAUACGCAAUGAGAAAAAAAAAUCAUGAUCCGCCAGCAGAAAAGCUUGAAAUUUGAAUGGAUCAAAUGAAACAUAAAUCUAAUGUAAAACACACCUGGAGAAAGCUUAAAAGAAGAGCUUUGAUGAGAUUUUCUGGUGUGAGCUCUGGCUGACGCUGCUGAUAUCUUCCUUCUAACUUCCCCAUUAUCGUCCCUCAAAACCCAAUAAUCUGUAAAACGAAGACUCCCCCAAAUUACUUCAGAUGUCUCUCUUAAAUUCUAUUUAAAAAAAUUAAAAAUCUAUAAAAAAAAUCAGUUACUAUAAAAAAAAGAGAUAAGUGUGAAUUAAAAAUAUAAUCCCAAAUACUGAUUCAAUUGCAGACUGGGAUUUAUUUCUUACCUCAAAGGUACAGCAAUGGUUGUAACCUCUGUAACCUGUUUGUGAAACCUCUGUAACCUGUUUUACUAGUAAAGCCGAUAAUAAUCCAGAAACUGGUUGUAACCUCUUUGUAUUUGCCUGGGAAACCAGAAAUCUUCUCAUUAUCAGCAUAUGUUGAUUUUUUUUAUAAUGUCGCAGGGAGGGAGGGAGGGACAGAAAGCAAGAGAGACGGCGAAGAGUUUUAGGAGGGAAAAUUAGGGGUUUCGGGGAAAUUUGGGGCUAAAAUGGGGGGAGAAUUUUUAAAAGUGAAAUUAGGGUUUUUAGAGGGAAAUUUUGGGAUAAAACGGCGCCAAGUGAAAUUAUUUUUGCGACGUUUUAAAAAAAAAGCCGGGAAUGUACCUUUUGUGGAUUUUUUUUGAAAACGUCACUAACAAAUUUAAAUUCUUUUAUUGAAAUGACGUCGUUUUGAGAAAUAUUAAUACAUAGUAACGGCGUUUUUUGCUAAAAACGCCGCUAAAGCUCUCAUAUUUUUUAUAUUCAAUUAUUGUAUCUUUCAUAUAAAUUAUACAUAAAAGAAUUAUUAAAAUUUUAAGUAAUAUUUAAAAGAAUUAAAUAAUAUUAUAAAUUUAGUUUUCUUAUUUCAUUUUUAUUUUUGUAUUUUUUUCUUAUAAUUUGGUCCUAUCUAAAUUAAAUAAUUACCUAUAUAUCCAUAUCAAAUAUAUCAAAUGGUUUAAAUUAAAUAUUUUUAAAUAUAAAAGCAGUAAUUAAUUGUAUAAAAUUGUAUCAUUUAACAAAUCUCAAAUAAACCUUAAACCCUAAAUUAACCAUUCAAUAUACAUAAAGUCUAUCUAUUAUAUAUCUCUUACAUAAUAUAAACUAUACUCAUAAUUUCAAUAUAUUAAAUUUAUUAUUAUCUCUUUUACAAUUAUAUAAGAACAUAUUUAAUAUAUAAAUUAAAAAAUCAAUUAAUCUAAACCCUAAACCUUAACCCGACCCUUGAAACCCUAAAUCCCUAACUCCUAACCCCUAACUCUUAACCCCUAAACCUUAAAUCCCAACCCUUAAACCAUAAUCCCUAAAUCUAUAUAUAAUCCCCGAACCUUAAAAUAGUAACUCCUAAACUGGCUUUAAAUAUUAAAUUAACCAUAUACCGUAAACCAUAUAAACCCUAAACUAUAAUGAUAAUUAAUUAAAUAUUUUAAAAUUAAUACUAUCUUAUCUUUUUCAAUUAUAUAUGAAAUUAUUUAAUAUAUAAAUUAAAAAACAUCAAUAAAAUAUAAAUUAAAAUGCUUUUUUUUGGAUAAUUUAAUGAAUAUGGCAGGAUUAACUCUAAACCCCUAACCCCUAAAUUCUAAACUUAGCCCUAAACCUUAAACCCCAACCCUUAAACCAUAAACCAUAAACAAUAAUCCCUAAACUAUAAUGAUAAUUAAUUCAAUAUUUUAAAAUUAAUACUAUCUCUUUUACGAUUAUAUAAGAUAUUUUUAAUAUAUAAAUAUCAAACACGUCAUAGACACUUAAAACUUUGAGAUAGUUAUACUAUUUUUUAUUUCACUUAUAGGAACCUCAUACACUCAAGCACUGCAAGUCUUUUGUGAAUUAACCAAUGGUUAUGAAGAUCUACUACUUACGGUUAUCAAUGCCAGCUGGAAUCACAAAUAUUAACAAGAAUCAGACAUAGAUAGCAAAAUUAAUCAAGCACUUUCAAGGGACAUUCUAGCAGUUCUUUAAAGAAAUGGAUUUCAAUCCAAAAUUCAACAGUUCUGUAACUAGCCUAGCAGACAGAUGGAAAAAUAAUAUUUAUUUUAGAGAUCAGUCUACCUCUUAAGUGGAAUAACUUUCUAUAAACUUUAACCUUGUGAACUUUUUUAUUAAUAUAUUUCUUCUAAUACUUCUUAGAGAUAAUCACAGUCAAGAGAUUCAACCAUUAAGAUUCAAUGGAUGGUUAAUAUAAGACCAAACAAAGACAAUGCAUCUAAUUUAAUAAGCUCAGCAGUGCUCACGAAUAAAGCAAAACAGUGUAUAAGAAAUUAUUUAGUAUGUAAAUUAAAAAACACUCAGUAAUGUACCCAAAAAACUUAAAAACUAUUUUAAAUAAUAGUAUUUUAAAUCAUGUACCCAAAAAACUUAAAAAUAUUUUUUGCGGCGCUUUUUAAAAAACGCCGCUAAAAAUAGAGCAUUAGCGGCGCUUUAUCAAAAACGCCGCUAAAGACCAGAGCAUUAGCGGCGCUUCUUCAAAAAUGCCGCUAAAGACCCGAGCAUUAGCGGCGCUUCUCCAAAAACGCCGCUAAAGACCCGAGCAUUAGUGGCGCUUAUUCAAAAACGCCGCUAAAGACUCGAGCAUUAGCGACACUUCUUCAAAAACGCCGCUAAAGACCCGAGCAUUAGCGGCACUUCUUCAAAAAUGCCGCUAAAGACCCGAGCAUUAGCAGCGCUUUUCGAAAAAUGCCGCUAAAGCCCUGAAAAAUCAAAAAACGAUGUCGUUGUGCUUGGGUUUUUUGCGACGCUUUUUGAAAAAUGCCACUAAUGUUCAUUUUUAGCGGCGUUUUCCAAAAAACGCCGCUAAUACUGGAUCUUUAGCGGCGUUUUUCCUAAAGCGCCGCUAAUGCUUGAUUUUUAGCGGCGUUUUUUGUUCAAACGCCACUAAAAACGCCGCUAAAAGCCUAUUUUGGUGUAGUGAAUAAACAAGUAGAUUGAACGGCUGGGUAGGAGAUAGGCUGUUAAAACAGUUGUUGCCCAAAAGGUUAAAGUGUUGUAUAACCAAAACAUUGUGCACACGUUUAGUAUAGGUUCUAUUUUUUUUUCUUCAGCGGGUGGAGGACUUGGUACGGGUCCAGUGCUGGUUAAACCUAAAGAUGCGUCAUACUUGAGUUGGAAAUUCUGGGAAUUUGAAAUGGUACCAGGCUGCUUUGGAGGGUUCAAAGUGGCAGUGUAUGUGGCUGUUAUAAUUAGCACUGUGACUACUAAAAAUGUGUUACGCAUCUCAUGUGGGAUUCCCUUUGUUGACACCAUUUUUUUUAUAAAACAAGGUCGACUUGGGUUUUAAAAAUGAAAACAAACACGAGAGUCGCCACCAAUCCUUUUUGAUAAGGUGUGAUCGGGCCACCUUAAAAGUGGUUAUUUUUAAUAAACAAUUUAAUUUUAUUAAAACAACGAUUUCGGUCCACGAAAUUCAAAAAAUCGGUUCAGGAGUCGUUUACGUACGAGGAAUGAUUAGCACUCUCGUAACGCCCAAAAUUGGUACCUAGUUGAUUAAUUAACGUCUUAAUGUUGAAGGUCGAAAGAUUUUAAAAUACGAUCCUUAUAUUAAAAACUUGGAUAAAUCAAAUUAGCCGUUAGGACCCUCUCAUUUCAGAGAGAGAAAAUAUUAUACCCAAUGAGUUAGGGCAUGAUAUUUCACCUCUUCAAAAAUGUGCUUGUCUAAACAACUCGUACAGUAAAAUUUAAAAGGAUAUUCAAUUGUUUAAGUCAGGUGAAAAAAUUGUAGCCCAAUACGUUAGGGCACAAUUUCUCAAAAUUCUAAACAUUGAAUAUUGCCUUUAUUUAUUUUUUAGAAAAAUUCACGUCUCGAGAAAACAACGUGUCAUAUCCAAUGCGUUAGGAUUCAACGUAUUGAAUUCCCGAUAAUGAGUUUUUAUUUAUGUUUUUGAUUAAAGAGCAUUCUCGAUUAUUUAGAUUCAACGAAGAAAAUUAGAACCCAAUACGUUAGGGCUCAAUCCUCUCGAAAAUCCCAGAUAUUGAGUAUUGCUAUUAUUUUAGAAAUUUUCCUUUUUUCCAAAUCUGAGUAAAAAUUGAUGUAAUGGAAUAACAAUUAUGAUAAUAUAAGUAAAAAUAAUAAGAGCAAAAACAAAAAGAUAAAUAAAUAAGAAGACAAAUAUUAAUAUAUAAAAAAAUCAUUCAUGUAUACACAAUAAACAAGUAAUAAGCAAAUAAAAGUGAAACAUUCUUUUAAAAUAAUAAUGAAAGCGUAAAUAGAUAAAUAAAUAAAGAAAAUGAAUAAAAUUAUAAGAAUGUAAAAAGAUAUAUGUAUGUACAUAUAUAUAUAAAUUAUAAGAUAUAAUAAGAAAUAUAUAUAAGCAUGUAUAUAUAUAUUUAUAAAAAUUAAAAAAUAUGUAUAUAGAUAUAUAUAUGCAUAAAAAUUAUAAAUUAUAAAAUAUAAAAAAAAUAUAAGAAUGUAUAUAUAUGUAUAAAUUAUAAAUAAGUUAUAAAAAUAUGUACGGGUAUAGGUAUAUAUAUAUUAUAAAAAUGUAUGUAUGUGUAUAUAUAACAAUAUAUGCAUGUGUAUAUAGAUAACAAAAUUUGAAGUUUAAAAAGUAUAGAUAAUAAUAUUAAUGAUGUAAUAUAAUAAUAAUAAUAUAUUAAAAUGAUCAAUUUAAUAAUAAAUAACUAAAAUACCAAGCAGAGGACUAAAUCGAAACUAAACAAAACUUUAGGGCCGAAAUCAAAAAUGAAGAGUAGAGAAAAGGACUAAAUCAUAACGCGUCUGAAAGGAAAAGGACCAAAAAAGAAAUAAACCAAGUCACCCAAAACGCAGCGUUGCAAUGGACUAAAAUGAAAUCAGUGAGAAAUUAUGCAGUCCAAUUUGAAGAAUAAAAAAAAUCAAAUUAAAACAAAGUGCAAAGGUGGAGGGCUUAAUGCGCAAAUAUCCCUCCAAAGUAAAAAAACACGCGGAUCCUUCUCAGGGUCGGGUCACUGCGCGGGUCAGGGCUAAAACGGCAUCAUUUUGGCUCCUGACCCUAAACAGCAAAACGCCGCCGUUUAAUAACCUUUAUUUAAAACAUAUUUUUUCUUAGAAAAAAAAUCAUUUUUUAGGGUUUUAGAAUAAAAUUGCAGAGGAAGAAACUCUCCUGUCGUCAGCCGAAUGGGCCACCAUCGGCCCCGCCGUGGGCGGUGGGCAGAAGGCCAAAAGUUGGGUUUUUUAAACCCCGCUUCAAGGGCCGUCUGAAGAUCGAGUUUUCAUGACCCUAAGGCCAUAGGAAGAAACCCCAAACGUCGCCUUCCCCAUCCGCUUUCGGUGACUCGAAGGACUCCGGUGACGACACUUACACGGCGAUUCAGGUAUGUUUUCCUUUCUCUUUUUAUUCUAUUUAUUUCGUAUGUAAAAAAAAAGAAGAAAUGGACCGAGAGAAAAAGCCAAUCGGAAAAUGUAAAAGGAAUCACCUUUAAAACUGUUUUCUUUUUUUAUUUCUUGAAUGUUCGUGGAAAAAAAAAGAAAAAAGACCCCCUUACAGAUGUAAAGAUCGGUUUUUAAAUCGAUUCUCCCCCCAAAAAAAUACAAAAAGUUUUUUUUUUAUUUCUUUCUAUUCUUCCUGUCACUGCUUCGGUUGCUUUGCAAGUACUUGAUGGUGGCAAGUGGCGGUGGGUAGGUGACAGAGGGCAAGUGAGCGGCGAUGUGACAAUGGCGGCUAAUCAGGGCAAGUGGGCGACAGAGGCUGCGACGCUAGGCUAGGGUUUCAGAAAAUUGAAACCCUAGUUUGACUGGGUUUGUUGGGCUGGUUUUUGGUCUGUAUUUGGGUUGUUUGUUUGGGCCAAGUUUGGGUUGAUAUGGUUAUAAUGGGCCCUUUGUAAUUUUUUGGGUUUGCCUGGGCAAAAUUCGGCUGUACACCCUUCUUUCCACGACUUGCUAUUGUUGCAAAUUUUUGAAGACUGACACCUUUCCUUUUAAAGAUUCGAUGUGGAAUGAAGAGAUGGAGGCUUUGGGAAGCGAGGAAGAGGAACCACUCAAACCUCCUGCUUUGCUUAUCAUGUCUUUAAUGGACUCCUUAUCGUCCACUCUCCCUUCAUCCAAUGGGUAUUGUGAUGGGAUAUCAAGUGCAGUCAAUCCCUUAGCAUUUUUGCAUUGAUAUGGUCAGCACACAAGCGUUUCAACAGUAAUUUUACCACCUGUUAAUUAGAAUAUUCAUACAAGUAACCUUUGAGUAUAUAUAUACAUAAAUAAUUUCACUUGCAAAAUUAUCAUACCUUAGGUCUGUUUCUGAUAGCAGCAACAUGUAAAACAAUGUUGCCAUCAAUGUCUGCCCAACUCAGAAGUUCUUUCUCCCAACAGUUGGCAGCUUUAUGGCGGCUCCUUAUAAGCCACCCCACCAAGACUUGGAAAGCUUCAAACCUGUCAUUUUUUACAUGAUUCUUUACAUGUUUUUGGUUCCACUGCAUAUUAUCAUGUAAAAGAAUCUAAGUUAGACCCAAGAGCAAAGAAAGCAUUAUUCAUGGGUAUAACUGGUGGAGUAAAAGGAUACCGUCUCUGGUGUCCUGAUACAAGGAAAAUUAUUUUCAGUAGAGAUGUGACUUUUGAUGAAUCAACCAUGAUGAAGAACAAUGAUUCACAAAAGGAUAACACAACCAAUGGCACUUUGCAGCAGGUGGAGCUUGAAAAGGUUAAUGAUGAUCCAGCUAAUAUUGAAGGAACAAAUGAUGAAGAAGUUUCGACCCAAGAACUUCUACAGCAACAUGAUUCAAUUGCAUAUAGAAGGCCAAGAAGAGAGAUUUGUAUGCCUGCUCGCUUUAAUGAUAUGGUGGCCUAUGCACUUCCAAUUACAGAUGAUGAUGUUCCUUCUACUUACACAGAAGCAAGAAGUAACCCUGAUGGUGUAAAGUGGAAGCAAGCUAUGAAUGAAGAAAUGCAGUCUCUUCAUAAAAAUAGGACUUGGGAGUUGGUGACACUACCCAAAGGAAAGAAGGCAAUUGGAUGCAAAUGGGUAUAUUCAAAGAAGGAAAGAUUUCCUGAUAAAAAUGAAGUUCGAUACAAGGCUAGAUUGGUAGUAAAGGGUUACGCUCAGAAAGAAGGAAUAGACUACAAUGAAGUAUUUUCUCCAGUUGUGAAGCAUUCGUCUAUUCAGAUUUUGCUAGCCUUGGUUGCGUAAUAUGAUCUUGAACUAGUUCAGCUCGAUGUGAAGACCACAUUUUUACACGGUGAUUUGGAAGAGGAAAUCUAUAUGACUCAGCCAGAUGGAUUCAAGGUUACUGAUAAAAAAAAUUGGGUUUGCAAACUGACAAAGUCACUUUAUGGAUUGAAACAAUCUCCGAGGCAGUGGUACAAGAGAUUUGAUCAGUUCAUGAAAGGGCAAAGGUAUACAAGAAGUAAAUUUGAUCAUUGCGUGUAUUUUUAGAAGCUACAAGAAGGAUUUUUCGUAUACUUGCUCUUAUAUGUUGAUGAUAUGUUGAUAGCAUCUAAGAGUAAAGUUGAAAUUGAGAGAUUGAAGACUCAACUCAACCUUGAGUUUGAGAUGAAAGAUCUAGGUGAAGCUAAGAAGAUCCUUGGCAUGGAAAUAUGUAGGGAUAGAGCUCAUGACAGAGUUAGUUUGUCUUAGAAGCAAUAUUUAAAGAAGAUACUACAGAAGUUUGGCAUGAACGAGCAGACUAAAGUUGUAAGUACCCCGUUGGCUUCUCAUUUCAAGCUUUCUACACAACUCUCUCCUUCGACAAAUAUGGAACAAGAAUACAUGUUACAAGUUCCGUAUUCUAAUAUGCAAUUGUGUGUACAAGACCCGACAUUUCACAGGCAGUUAGUAUAGUGAGCAGGUAUAUGCAUAAUCCUGGAAAAGGACAUUGGCAAGCUGUGAAAUGGAUUCUACGGUAUAUUCAUAAGACCAUGGAUAUUGGAUUACUGUUCAAGCAGGAUACUACACUUGGUAAAGGUGUUGUUGGGUACGUUGAUUCUGAUUAUGCCGGUGAUUUGGACAAACGGAGAUCAACCAUUGGUUAUGUGUUUACUCUUGCUGGAGGACCAAUAAGUUGGAAGUCUACACUGCAGUCUACAGUUGCGUUGUCAACCACAUAAGCUGAAUACAUGGCUGUAACAGAGGUUGUAAAGGAAGCUAUUUAGUUACAAGGUAUGGUUAAAACCUUGGGUUGGUUCAGGAGCAUAUUAAUGUGUAUUGUGAUAGUCAAAGUGCUAUUCAUUUAGCAAAGAAUCAAGUCUAUCAGGCACGUACAAAGCAUAUCGACGUACGUUUCCAUUUUGUGCGGGAAAUUAUUGAUAACGGGAAAAUUCACCUUCAGAAGAUUAAGACUGCAGAUAAUCCUGCAGAUAUGAUGACCAAGGUGGUAACAACAAUCAAGUUCGAACAUUGUUUGAACUUGAUCAAUAUUCUGCAUGUUUAACACUUGAAGAAUCCACUAUCAAGUGUUGUUGACAAAGGCAGAGAGAAUUGUGUGAAGAUAAGAUUACUCGAAUCAAAUCUUCAAGGUGGAGAUUAUUGGGAAUUAUCCAUAUUUAUGGAAAAUCAAAGAUAUGGGUAUCAAAUAAUAGAAAUUCAAAGAUAUGGGUAUUAAAUAUUGGAAAGUCAAAGAUAUGGGUAUCGAGAUAUUGGCAUCAUAAAAUUUGAGAUAUUUGCAAUAUAUGGUCUCUAAUUGUAAAGUGACUUUGCAAGUUGAUCCCUGAACCUCAACUAUAAAUAAGCAUGACCAUCUCUCAUUCUGUAUCUCAAACUUGCCAUUCUUUACUUAAGGCAUUGUUUUCUCUCUCUCUCUCUUUGUAAAUUCUCACUUGUAUUUUGGAGUGAAAUAUAUUUGGUAGUGGCCGAGGAUGUAGGCAAAAUUUGCUGAACCUCGUUAAAUUAUUGUGUUCUUUAUUGUAUUAUUCUGCAUGAAUUGUGUGUGUGAUUGUAGUGAUUUAUUGUGCCAUUAAAUUACGAUUGAGGGAUAUUCUGGCUAAGGAAGACCUGGUACUUAAGCGAUCCUUGUGAUCCACCUCUCUUUCCUGGGAAUUGAACUUAGUGUGAUUUUUUAGUACAAAAAUUUUACUCUUUUACACGCUUCCGCACAACAUCUUUAAUGAUAAAAGCUUAAAGAAUAAUCUUUAAAAUUUGGUUGUUGGUAGCUUUAUUUGGGUAGAAUUUGAGAUUUAGUUCAUAUAUUUUAAAUGUUAAAAUUUUAAUUUUUUUUACUUUUUCAAUUUAAUAUUGUAAAAUAAAACCAUAAAAAAAAUUGUGUACAAAUAGUAUUGAAUUUACAUAAAAAUAUAUAAAAAAUGCAGCAUAAAUUUGAAUAAUAAUACAUGAACACUUAAAAUGAUAAUAUAUGAAAAAAAACUUAAGAUAAUAAUAUACGAUAAAUUUAAACAAUAUUAAUAAUGAAUUUAAAAUAAUAUUAAGCAUAAAUAUUAAAAUAAGGUUAGAUUUAAAAAUAUAUAAAAAUAAUGGAAUAAUAAAUACUUAAAUAAAUUAGAAAAAUAAGCAAAUUAAAUCAAGCUAAUAAGGAUUAAAUUGGAUUUAAAACAAAAUUAGAAGGCAAAAACGUAAAUAAAAUAAAAUAAAGGACCCAAUUGAAAGGCGCGAAUAACUCAAAGGGACCAAAUGGGGAAAUAUCCCCGCCUUUUGAAAUGCAUCGUUUCACCAGGACCAAAUCAGAAACCAAAUAAAAUUUAAAGUAUCAAUUGAAGAAAAUAAAAAAAAUUGAAUUAAAAUAAUAAAAAAUACGGAGGGGGCAAAUGCAUAAAUAUCCUUACCAAGACCAGAACAGGCAGAUCUAGCUGCCUCUGGGUCGAGUCAUCGGGUAUAGUCAAUACGGCACCGUUUUGGAGCCAUUGAAACAGACUUUAAAUGGUGCCGUUGCAUGGCCUUUAUAAAACAAAAAAAAAAAGAAAAAUAAACAAGUUUUUAGCCAUUUCGAAUCAGAUAAAAACCUUAGCCACACGCCGUUUAGAAGCCUGGCCAUUCAAAGGCCAAUCGAUCCCUGUCUGAACUUCGAUUGCGACAGAGUGAGCAAGGAUUCGACACCACCAAGUAAUUUUCUCACCUUAAAUCGUUUUUUUCUUUUUUUACACAUGAUGAGUAAACAAAUAGAUGAGUCUAGAACAGAAAAGAAAAACAACGAAAAGAAAAAAAAAGGUUUCAAAUCACCUUUAGAAAAUUCUGAUUCUUUGAUUUUUCGUCCCCUUUUAUAGAUUUUUAAUUGGCUUUUUAUAGCCGAAACGAAAAAAAGAAAAUAUGUAAAAAAGAAAUCUAUUAUGUUAUCUAGCUAUUUUCAUUUGCUGGCAUAUUGUUGCUCGCUUUUUACUGUUAUUCGUUUCUGUUUCAGGUGUACGAAGGAGCGAUGACGUGGAGGUGCAACACGCGUGGAGGCCUGGUUCCCAGCUGCGGCGUGGACUGUUCCAAAAACCCUAGGGGUUUCUGGAGAUUUCAAAUUGGGCCACUUCAAAUCGGGCUAGGGUUUAAUUAAGUCUAGGAUUGUAUUAGGUCUAGGAUUGGGUUAGAUUUUGGGUUUAGGCCUCAAUCCGAAUUUGGCCUAUUGUAACUGAACUUUUGGACUUAUUAAUGGUUAUUUUGGGUAUUGGGCUAUUAGGGUUUGUUGGGUUUGGGUUUUAGAUAUUUGGGCUGAUUUGUGUUUGUUUAUUUUGGGUUGUUUGUGUAAUUCUGGAAUUUUUAUUUUAUUGGACUUUUAUUUUUUGAUUUGGUUUUUUUUUUGUGUGGGCUCGAGCAGAUUGGGCCUGCUACAAUAUUGAUGCAAAACUUUGUCACUAAAGUGCAAAUUGUAACAAUAGUUAAGUAGUCUUUUGUUCGAAUAACAUUAGAAGCACAUCAAAGUCAAAGCACAUAGACUUUAAGUUCAUUGUUGUUAAAAUAAAAGUUUAGGGUGGUUAGAUGUCUAUAAAGUAUAUUGAGACAAACUCCAUGGUUGUGGAUUCGCUUAUUAAGGGACUACCACCCAAAGCUUUUUUCCUGAGCACACUGUUGAUAUGUGUGUAAUGUCAUUCAAGGAUAUUUGAUUUUAGUAGGAGUUUGUACUUUUAAACGUUUUUAUGUUAUAAAUACAUUUUCAAUUAUUUUAGUUUACAAAUAUUAAGUUUUUUUUUUGUAGAAAGAAAGUUUAUUUGGUAAAGUUUGAUCUCACUAAGAUUAAUGUGGACCGGUUAGAAUAUGCAUGUUUGAAUCAUAUUACAUGUAAUUUUCAUGUUACACAUCCAUACUUAAUCUAUGUCAUUUGGUUGUGCUAAUAUAUGUGAUUAAGGCUGGAUUUAGUUAUGAUAUAUGUAACAAAGUUGCAUUCUUUCUAUGUUAACAUAAUUAAUGGACAGAUUGUUCGAAAUGCCUUUUAGAUACGAUAGUAAAAUUUUGAGCUCAUAAGGUUAUAUAAUGACAUGUAAUUAUAAGGUAAUCGGUAUAUAUAUAUAUGUCAUCCAAGUGGUAUAUAUGGACAUCACAUAUAUAAUAAGCAUGUUACAUGUUAUUAUUUACUAUCAUAAAAGAUUAACUCAAAUUAAAAGUGACCUAAUUUGGUUAAGAUUUAUUGGAUUUUAGUUAUUAAAUAAAAUAUAGGUCAAUAAUAUGUGUAGAUACUCUAGUAACUAAUUUCUAAUUUAUGAUGGGCUGAUUAGAAAUUAGGUUAAUGUGAAAAUGUUAUAUAUUAGGAUUUUAGUCUCCAAGUUACGCAUAUGUAACUUUUCUAAUAUCCCAUCUUGAGAAAAGAGAGAGUCACCUUCUUUAGAUUACUUGUGAGCUAAUUUGGAAGAUCAAAACCUUAAAAUUCGUAGAUUUCAAGAAAUCGGUAAAUUCAAAUACGCUUCUGCAUUUAGUUUUGUUCUUAAUUAUUUGACAUGAUAGAUUCUGAUUUAUUAAGUUUUGUAAAAGAGUUUUACGGUUUUAAUAGGAUAAUUACGAAUCCCAAAUAUAAACUGUAAAACGGACAUGAAGAAUAUAAAAGAAAUAUUACAAGAAUUUUGAAAGAGAAAAUUAAAUUGAAAAUUUUAAUGUUAUUUUUAUCUUUCAUAAUUAUUUUUAUUUAUAUUUUAUUUACAAGAACAUUUUAUUAAGAGUUUAUUAGGAUUAAGUUUAUUUUUACUUUUAUUAAAUAAAUGUUAGACUAAAAAUAAACUUUUUUUUCCACUGUUGGUAUAAUGGAUAGUAGGCUAGGUUGUCCUUUUUUAUUUGUUUAGGCACCCGUGUAUGAGAAUAAUUUAUAUUAGAAUAGUCCUAAAGGUUAAAGAUUUUAAUAUUAAUAAAAUUUUGUCACAUCAUUAAAUUUUAAAAAUAUAAAAUUAUUAUUAUACAUUCGUUCAUAUUAAAUUUACUUUUUAACUUUCGUUCUUCUUAAACAUAAAUAAUUAAAAUAAAAAUAGAAAAAUAGAAUAUUUAAAAUUUAUACAAUCCUUAAAGAUUUAAUCCAAUAUUUUUUUUUGUUUUAAAAAAUGUAUAAUAUGAAAUAGAAAAAAAAAUUAAAAUGGAAAAACUCCAUUGCCUAUAAACUAAUUUUUUUUAAAAAAUUGGUUACAAAAAUUAAAAAUAUUAACUUCUGAAAAAAAACUAAAAAUGAUUAAAAUUUAUAAAAGAAGAAAAGAUGUUUAUUUAUAAUUUAAAAAAAUUAAUUAUUUUAAGUAAUUUAAUUAAAGUUAAAUUAAGUUAAGAAAAAGGAGAAAUGGAUAAGUAUAUAAUAAUACAUAAUUUGUUAAAUAUAUAAAGAAAUUUAUUUGAUUUAGUACCUAAAUAUUAAUAUUCGAAACUCUCGAUUUUUCACAAUUUAUUCAAUCAAAUUUAGAUCCAACUUUAAUUAUAUUACAAAGACAUUCUAUUUUAUUAUUUUAUUAACGGGUGAAAAAACUUAGUUCAACCCAUAAACAUUGACCACAAAGGGAAAUUUGAAACACUUACCACCAAUCCCCUAUCAGAAAGUCUUUCCCACAUUCAACUAGAAAUCAGAGCUCACCAAAAUGUUUAUUCUUUUCAAUCUGAACCGACUCUACAAUCACUUAUUGCUCAUGGUCUUCAGCCUAUAAACCCAGAAGCAUUAUUAACUUCUAAAUCCAAAACACUAAUAUCAGCAUCCAACCCUACAAUGGUAGUCUUAUUGACUCAUUUAAACAAGUUUCCUUUGUCAAUCUAUAUUCCAUAUUGGGUAAUCUCCAAUAUUAAUUCAGAAUUUAGGAUAGCUGGAACAAGAAUAACAGCAAAGAUGCAAAGCGAAACGACUUGUAGGAGGAGGAAGAACCUUCUUUUGGGUACAAACCUGUAUAGCAUAUAAUAGGAUGUCCUGUAUAAUGUCACGAGAGCUAGUACCGUUGCCAAGCAGUAAUUAGUAGUGCUGAGUUUAGAAUAGGAAACGGAUCCAGGAGUCGAAAGAUAGAAAAAAUACUGAAGUGCGAGUGUCCGUAUGGAAACAGCAACCAAAAGCAUGUAACAGGUCCCAAACAAGGAAAGUGUUAUGAGAAUAAACAAGGACAUUGAACGGCUGGGUAGGAGAUACGCUGUUAAAACAGUUGUUGCCCAAAAGGUUAAAGUGUUGUAUAACCAAAACAUUGUGGACACGUCUAGUAUAUUUUCUAUUUUUUUUUCUUCAGCGGGUGGAGGACUUGGUACGGGUCCAGUGCUGGUUGAACCUAAAGAUAUGUCAUACGUGAGAUGGAAAUUCUGGGAAUUUGAAAUGGUAUCAGGCUGCUUUGGAGGGUUCAAAGUGGCAGUGUAUGUGGCUGUUAUAAUUAGCACUGUGACUACUAAAAAUGUGUUACGCGUCUCAUGUGGGAUUCCCUUCUUUCCACGACUUGCUACUGUUGCAAAUUUUUGAAGAACUGACACCUUUCCUUUUAAAGAUUCGAUGGGGAUUGAAGAGAUGGAGGCUUUGGGAAGCGAGGAAGAGGAACCACGCAAACCUCCUGCUUUGCUUAUCAUAUCUUUAAUGGACUCCUUAUAGUCCACUCUCUCUUCAUCCAAUGGGUAUUGUGAUGGGAUAUCAAGUGCAGUCAAUCCCUCCGCAUUUUUGGCAUUGAUAUGGUCUCCACACAAGCGUUUCAGCAGUACUUUUACCACCUGUUAAUUAGAAUAUUCAUACAAGUAACCUUUGAGUAUAUAUAUACAUAAAUAAUUUUACUAGCAAAAUUAUCAUACCUGAGGUCUGUUUCUGAUAGCAGCAACAUGUAAAACAGUGUUGCCAUCAAUGUCUGCCCAACUCAGUAGUUCUUUCUCCCAACGGUUGGCAGCUUUAUGGCGGCUCCUUAUAAGCCACCCCACCAAGACUUGGAAAGCUUCAAACCUGUCAUUUUUUACGGCAAGAUGGAAAACCGUCUCAUCUCGAACAGUCACAUCUUCAAUAGCCUCGGGGCAAACCUCAAGGAACUUGAUCAAAAAAUCAACAUUUCCAUUUUGAACCACAUGAUGCAAAGGAGUGAAGCCCUCCCGCCCUUUGACACGAACAAGGCCUUCAUCAAACCUGAGGAGUCGAAGCACUGCUUGAGUGUGUUGAUUUUGCAGAGCCAAGUGCAUGGGGCUAAACCCAGCUUGGUUUAGCUUUCUUGCAAACGAUGGCUUUAAGUUGAUCAUCUCCAUCAUAAAAUCAAUAUGCCCUGCAGAGGCUGCUACAUGCAAAGGAGUAUGGAAAAAAGGUACAUCAUCGAUACGCUGUAAAACAUAUGGAUCAUUCAGAAUUAACUCGUACAAGAUGUUUAUGUCUCCUGUUUGUGCAGCACCUAUCAUCCUCUCAUCCAUAGCAAGGUGCGGAAAUUUGCAGAAUAUAGAAAUGGAGUGAAGAAAAAACGCUUUAGCAGAGGAUAUGAUUAUGUUAAGG
This 296245-nucleotide long non-coding RNA is filed under the name Gossypium barbadense (sea-island cotton). Its description in RNAcentral is "long non-coding RNA (GBAR_LNC020323)". The stretch from base 213408 to 213479 matches the Rfam family "tRNA". The record is from RNAcentral. Lineage: Eukaryota; Viridiplantae; Streptophyta; Magnoliopsida; Malvales; Malvaceae.